AUGAAUCUGUAUAUUAAAUUGUCAGUUUGUGUACCUCGGCUGAUUCCUGGACGAGGAUUUUAUGCACAAAUAAGUUCGGAAAUUACUAGUGAAUUUCCGGGCGUGACAAGUUGGUAUCAGAGCCAUCUCGACUGUAGGAUAAGCCAAAUGGUCAAACCUUAAGGACUAAUUUUCCGAAAACAUGAUUUGUGAAAAUUUCUCCUUUCUUCCUUAUCUAGAAUUCUUUGCAAAUUGUUUCAUUGUCUACUCCCCUCUCUCUUUCAACCUGAGUAGUUCUGAAACUAGUUGUUGAAAUUAGAAGAUGCUGAUGUGGUCAACUUAUGGAGGUCAGUCAAGUGGAUCGAGGAAGGACCGAAGUGCCAAGUGGUCAAGAUGGAAUGAAGUUUGGAUCCUAUCUUAGAACCUAUGCCGCCAAACUAACCUUGAAGAAUAGUUAGUAGGGUAGAACGCUUGUUGCUUGCUUGUGUGUAGGUAUGGUUGCAUUCCCGUCAUUGGUGUGAUUCAAUGAUGAGUGUGUAACGAUACUAGGUUGCUUGCUUAAUCAACUUAAACAAUAUAAUGAACUACACACACCAGAUCAGUGGUAACCUGGUUAAGGUCUUAACUUUAGCGUAACCCCUCUCCUCCUAUCUUCUCUAAUCUGCAACAGAUGGUGAACACUCGCGCUAGUGGAAGUGGAAACAAUAACAAUGAAGGGAACCCAACUCUUGCUCAAGUUCUGGCUCAACAGACUCAGUUAAUGAACAUGAUGAUACAACAGAUGCAGAACCAGCUCAACCAAGGGAACAACAAUGCUCCACCGCCGCCGAACAAGUUAACUGAUUUUCUUCGUGUGAGGCCGCCUACCUUUUCUAGCACUACCAACCCAGUAGAAGCAGGUGAUUGGCUGCAUGCCAUAGAGAAGAAGUUGGAAUUACUCCAGUGCACAGAUCAGGAGAAAGUCGUGUUCGCUUCACAUCAGUUGCAAGGACCUGCAUCAGAAUGGUGGGAUCAUUUCCGGAUGAACAGAGCAGAAGGACAACCAAUCACUUGGGCGGAGUUCACGGAAGCAUUCAAGAAGACACACAUACCUGCAGGUGUUGUUGCUUUGAAGAAGCGUGAGUUCCGGGCACUUAAGCAAAAGGAUCGUACCGUGACGGAAUAUCUUCAUGAGUUCAAUCGUCUGGCAUGUUAUGCUCCAGAAGACGUGCGUACUGACGAGGAAAGGCAGGAGAAGUUCUUGGAAGGCUUAAAGGAUGAACUGUCAGUUACGUUGAUCUCUCAUGACUAUGCUGAUUUUCAGCAGCUGGUUGACAAAGCAAUUCGACUUGAAGACAAGAAGAACAGGAUGGAUAACCGUAAAAGGAAAAUGAUUGUAUUCCAGGAGGCACAAGGUAGUAGCCAGAGGCAGCGUAUCAAGCCACUCCAAAUUGGUGAAUCUUCUUCCGCUGGACAAGGACAGUCACAGCAGUUGAACAUCGGUGGUGAGAUCAAAUUAGAGACUAAUGAAAGCAAUGAACUUAACAUCGAGCAAGCUAAUCAGCCGGUGCCAGUUCAGCAGGAUCAGUCUCAGGAGAAUAACAGUAGUGGAAGGGAGCAGCAGGUAUGUUUCAACUGUUACAAGCCAGGCCACUUUGCAAGAGAGUGUCCGAAGCCGAAGCAUCAGCAGCCGCAAGGUCAAGUCAACUACAUUGUCGUCACAGGAGCCAAUGCAGUGCCAGUUGCGUCUUCAAGAGUUGUGUCUUCAAGUGUUGCAGCUCAGCCACCAGUUUCAAAGCAGCAGUAGUUUUCUUUAAAGCCUUAGAAUAAUUAUCAGAGUUAUGGAAUAAGAUAGACUGCAGUUUACCUAUUCCCUUUCUAGCCGUUCCGAAUCUCGGGACGAGAUUCUUUGUAAGGGGGGUAGUUUGUCACAUCCUGAUUUUUGUUUCAGGAUUUAUAAAUUAUUUAAUAAAUUAAUAAUAGAAUUUAUAUUAAAUGAUCUUUAAUUUACAAGUGAAGUAAAUGUGGGAAAUAAAAUUUCCUAAAUCUAAAGCAUGGAUGGAUUUAAUUUUUUAUUAAAUUCUCCAUGUUUAAGUCAACUCUCUGAAAUUUUCUCGGAUUUUUUUUCGGAGCUCAAUUCUUAAAUGAUACAAAGAACAGUUCAGUAAUUAUUUGAUCAUUAAUGAUCUAAUUAUUAUUUGUUAAGAGUUUUUCUUGUUUAAAAAUCCUUAAAUUAUAAAUUGUUGUUUAAAAGGAAUUAUUAGAAAUGAUUUUAAAAGCCUAAAAGAGAAGAUCUAAUUUUAAUUUGUUAAAUCUCAACAUAAAAUUGGGCUAGAUAAAAUUUUGUUAAAUACUUUGCUUAAUUCUAUAAUUCCUAGAUUUUUCUGGGAUUUAUUUGAGCUAAGGAAGUAUUUUUAAUAAAUGGAAUUGCAUUUCAUGAAUAAUUUAAAUUGAAAAAGGUCUUAAAAGUUCUCUUUUGGCUUUGGGCCGAAAGCCGGCCCAAAACCCUCUCUCUCUCUUUCCCUUGGCCCAGUCCGGCCCAAUCCGCCGAGCCGCCGCUCUCCUCUCUCUCUCAGCCGCUGACAGGUGGGGCCCGUGUGUCGGAGCCGUCUUCCUCCUCGCGCCGCCGCCGCUCGAAACCCUAGCGCGCCGCCGCCGCCGUUCCUUUCCAAAUCCGGCCGUUUCUUUCCGUUUCCGGUGAAAUUAAUUGAGGGGAAACAAUCUUUGGGAUCUUCUCUACCUUUUCUCCUUUGGAAACAUCGGCUAAAUCGGUUUGGAAUGUGUUUGAUUCGAGUUCGAAUCGGAUCGGCUUUUCUCCCUCCAACCCGACCUUUCCUUCUCGCCGCCGGUCGCCGUGGGCCUCCGUCGCCGCUCGCUAGCGCCUUUAAAAGGACCCCCGAGCUCCCCUCUACCCGUCGCCUCCUUUGCCUUAGCCUGCCGUCGCGUCUAGCGCCGCCUCCGCGUAGCCCUAGUCGCCGCCGUCGUUGCCGUCGGUUCAGCCGCGUCGCGCCGCCGUUGCAGUCGCCGUCGUCGGUCGCCGUCGCCACCUUCGGGUUCGCAAGGUCGUCGCCGUCCCCGUCCACCGCUUCGCCGCCGCCGAAGACCGCCGGAGCGCCGUCGCCGUCAUCGACUCGAUCUCCGCCGCCGCUUCUUCCUCGUCGCCGGCGCUGUCCGUUGUUCCUCCGCCGCUUCUUUGGUCAUCGGUGAGUUCGCCGCGUCGCCCUCUACCCGUUGGUGCCCUCCGUUCGCGUCGCCGCGCCGUCGUUCGCCGGCGAGCAUGCGAUGCCGAGCCGCCCGAGUCGCCGCCGGUGCUGCCGUCAUCGCUGACGUCAUCGGGGUCGUCCGCCGUGAGCCGGUCGUGGACCGAUCGAUCUCAGCCGUCCGUUUUGGAUAGGGUUGAUCUCGGCCGUCCGUUCGCGUGAACCGUCGCCCGUGCGCCCGGUCCACCGAAACCCUAGCCGCUGACGCAAUAAUCCUUCUUUUCCUUUUCAAAAAUAAUUCAUUAUUGCGUCAUAAUUCAAUUAAAAUCAAUUUAAGUGUUUUUAAUCCGAUUUAAUCUUUAAAAAUUCAUAACUAAUUCAUCUUAACUCAGUUUAAUGUGGUUCAAGUUGCAAAAAUUAUAUAAAAUAAAGAUCUACAUAUUAAAAUUGUCCAUAAAUUGAAUUAAAUUUAUUUAAUUCUUUUUAAAUGGGCUUUAAUUAGAUUUAAUCUUGUAAAAUUCAUAAUAAAUUCUUUUGAAGUCAGAAUGAGGCCGUUCAAGUCUCAUAAUUCAUCUAAAAUUUUGAUCUACAUGUUUGUUUACUUUUUAUGUAUUGUUUAUUUGGUUUUUAUUAGUCUUUUUCUUCGUUUUGCAUGUUAGCUUGUCGUUUCCGUCGUUGCGAAGGUUCGCGAGUGCGCCGGAAGUAUUCAAGAAGAUUAAUUGAAGACCGAUUAUUGCAAGGCAAGUCACACAGAUCCUAAACACAAUCCUUUGAGCAUGUUGAUCCUAUAUUUAAAUUCUCUAUUUAUUUCAACUGUGCAUAUAUUUUCGAAUGUCACUGGGUGGUGUGAACCUAUUCCUUUGUUAUGGCCUGUUUGCAUUGAUUACUUUAUUCCUUGAUACCUUGGGUGAUUAUAACUUGACUAGUUGAGCUAUAUAUAUUGGUUCAGCUAGAUAUUAGACGUGAUUGCUUAGCCAUGCUUAGAAACAUUAGCACACAAUUGGGAUAACUAAUGUUUCACUAUCACUUAUGGUUAUAUUUAAUGAUAGUUCACGAUGGUCAAUCGUGAUUGGGUAAUUAAUUACUUGCCAACUAAAACUUGAUAAUGGUGGGUUGUGAGCACAUGGUUUUGAGAGUCGUGCUCAUGACAAUUAAGGACCGGUUCGCGAGCUACUGUUGUGAAACAUUAACCGUGCCAACCACAAGCCAGCGUGGGCAACGGCUUUACCUUUUGUAUAGCAUGAUUCAUUGCGGAGCACCAGACUGAGAAGUGGCGGAGAUAAGCCCACGGGGGUCGCUGGGGAGUCCAUGCCUUGUUUUAUAAGGGGGUGAUUAUGAUCCAGGAAUGGUGCACUGUGGUGAGUUGUGUUGUACAAAGGGUAUUGUCACAGCCUCUAUUCGGGUACUUUCCAGUAUCGCGACGCAUGGUAGACAUGAUGUUGAGGCUGUGUCUUGUGGGUACAGUGGUACACCUCUGGCCAGAGUAAAACUAUUCGAAUAGCCGUGCCCGCGGUUAUGGGUGAGUUGAGCAAUGUUUUUCGUGAUUAGUCUCACACCUCUCACAAUGAUUAAUGAUGUUAUAACUGGUAAUAAUUUGCUUAGCUCCUGGUUUGGAAUGGAUAAUUCCUGGUUUGGAGAUUAGAUCUGUACAGCCGGGUAUGGUUGUUCAGGAUGGUCGGGCCUGUGCAGCAUGGGUGUGCUGUUCAGUGUUGAUUAAAAUUUCUGAUUAACUACUCUACUGUUUUACUUCUCUUAAAUGUUUUGCUAAAUGCUGCUUUCGCAAAUGAGCCUAUGCUACGCCAUCCUUUGGUAUCCUUGUGCACUUGCAUAUUUGCUGUGUGGCUUGCUGAGUAUGUCAUAUGCUCACCUUGCAAUAAUCAAUCAACCUCAGUUGAAGAAAAGGAUCCAGAAGGAGAAGACGUUUGGCUUAUACCCCAGUUGAGCUGCCUGUGGGAGUGGAGCCGGAGCUUCGCUAGAUUUUAUUUUCCGCUGCAGUUUUCUUCUUGGUGAGGACUAAGUUCCUCUUAAGUAAGUAUUUAUCGUUUUAGUUAAUUUGAUGAAUCUGUAUAUUAAAUUGUCAGUUUGUGUACCUCGGCUGAUUCCUGGACGAGGAUUUUAUGCACAAAUAAGUUCGGAAAUUACUAGUGAAUUUCCGGGCGUGACACCCCUUUAGUUAGCUAAUGUUUCUAAGCAUGGCUAAGCAAACUUACAUAUAGCAUUUAGCUGAACCAAUCCAAUAUAUAAGGUUCAUGCUAAUCAAUUUAUAACCCAUAGGAAAAUAAAGUCAUCUUCGGCCAAUAAUUAAUUGGGAAAGGUUCACCACCCGAUGACAUUCGAAAACAAUGCACAGUUGAAAUAAAAUAAUAGCUUUAAACGGGUUCAACAUGCUCAAAGGGUUGUUUGGGAUCUGUGUGACUUGCCUUGGGCUUCCGCAAACGCUUCGGAACCUUCCUCAACGGAAACGCUCUCCUCCGGAACGUCGGAAACUAAAGCAAUUAAACAAAAUCAACAAAACAGUACAAAAACAAGCAUAAACAGUACAUGUGGAUAUUUUUAGCAUGUAGAUCUUGAUUUUAGAAGAAUUUAGCAACUUGAACCACCUAAAACGGAUCUACGGUUAUUUAAUUAUGAUUUUCCGAAGUUUUAAUCUAUUAGAAAAUUGGAAAAAAGAAAAGAGAAAGGAGAUGAUGACGUCAUGCUGACGUCAGCCCUGGAGGCCGGCUAGGGCUUGCGAGCUCGCCGGAGAUAGGACGGUCGGCCGGGGAUUUGGAGAACAUCUAUGCGUUGUCGCGACCGGGAAAAUUGCCUUUUCCCGAACGCUAGUGUAUUAAUCCCCGUCCCAGGAAAAGCCGGGGUACACCACACAAACAUGAUAUAAAAGACACAUCUUUAUUAUAUCGAUAAUAUUUACAUUAUUACAAAGGCACUUCAGGCCUGACAAGCAAAAAUAAACAGCAGCGGACUAGCGGCCUACGGCUCCAUCUUCACAGGCGCUCAACUGGGGUAUAAGCCAGGACUCCACCUAAGACAUCUUCUCCAAAGCUUCUCUUACUGAAGGGGGGAAAGAUUGAGCAAGAAUGAGUACAACCACAGUACUCAGCAAGCCACACCGGAGAUGCAUAAUUAAUGCAAGGGAGGUACAAGGGAAUAAUAAUAUAGGGAUUAAGUUUUGCAGUAAACAGCGUUUAAAAGCCACUUAGUUGCCCAAAGCCAUUUUGUAAAGACGAUCCUAGAGCUACACAGUAUUAUUAAACAAGGCCGUGAACCCUCACGAACCUGCCUUAACCCAAGGCCUGCGAUGAUUCGGACCGAACUGGCAACCCGACCUGGGUCCCAGCUCGUCCCAAGCCAACCCAGGCCAACCAUUCCAUAUUUUAGUUGUUGAGCAAAUUUUAAGAAUUAAAACACUGACUUGGGUACAUUGCUCGGCUUGCCCAUAUCCGAGGGCUCGGCUAUUCGAAUAGAUUUACUCUGAUCAGAGGUGUACAUCUUUACCCACAAGACACAUCUUUACUCCGCAUUCCAUGGCCUUGGAACCCGUCGUAAAGAUGUGACAUAACCCUUCACCCAUCCUAGCCGUGAACAAAAGUACCGACCCAAUCCCACCUACGGCCGGGAUACCCGGGACAGGCAGGCAGAACUGAGCCCCUAGCAGCAGGGCACCAACCCUCUGCCGUAUGACAUCUCGACUACCGGGCCGCAGCUCGUGUAGCCUUCAUUUGCCCUGGAGAAUGUCCAUCGACGCCCGACUUCAUCCAUCUCCAAUCCGUGUCCUUUUGUUCAGGACUAGACUGAGCACCGAGUUAAGCCUUACCCAUUAGACAUGUGGUUAGUACGGUAGUGCUUUGCAACAGAGGCCCGAGCUUAAUCCUUAUAGUGGCCGGGGUGCUACUUCCCAUAACUGGCAUGCACCCAAACCCCACCGAAAACAGGUUUUAGCGGUUUUGAAAGAGGAAGAGAGAUGUAUGUCCAAUUCCACCAUAAACCAAUAAUUCCAUAGUGUCCAAAUGAGAUGAGAAUUCCCAAAGUCUAAAGUUAUAAAACCACCUAAUAUUGCCUAAUUAAUCAGCGAAGCAUCUACCUAAAUUCAUACUAGUGGAACCAUGAAUGGAAUACCCACUAGUUGGGGUUUUGUUUAUCCUAGGGUGAACAAGGUAAUAAUAACAAUAGCAAUAAUAGUAAGGUUAUAACAAAGGUAAAUAGGCAUGGCUAAAUAAAACAGUGAUAACGCGGGAAUUUAAAUAAAGCGAUAAUGCAUUGAUUUAAAUUAAAAUAAUUUUAUAAACUGGGAUUCAAUAUGCUCAAGGAUGAUGUGACUUGCCUUGCUCAGAGAGAACGGCCUUCCGAACCUUCGGCGACGACCACGAACCACGCUUCGGGAACCUCCGGAACGACGAAAGCUACGCGAAGCACACAAGCAAAGCUACAAGCCUAUAAAGAAGCAAUAACAAUACAUAAAAAGAAAGCACAGGGUUCUUUAGGUUAUAGCAAACAUUAGGAGACUUGAACGGGUCGAUUCAGAGUUCGUAUGACCAAGAUAUGAUCAUCCGAAGUUUAAUGCUGUUAUAUGGAGAUUUGCGGAUUAUUAUAAUCAAGCUUUGCAAUUAUAAAACAUGUGUAAGCGCUAGCCUGGAAAAGACAGGAAGGCUGCGCUGUUGACAUGCGGACCCCACAUGUCAACCUAAAGGACCGCGGUAGACCGAGUACACAGAGUCGGUCCACGGGUCGACGGAAGCGGAUCCCGUGUGUCAACCGAGGCGAGUGACCGACAAACGGACUCCGCUAGACACCACACGGCCUGCACACGUGGAAACCACGCGGCUACCGAGCGGACACACUAACACGGUCACCACGCGCACAAGCGAACGACUGCCGAUGCCGAUACACGGGUACCGGGGCCGACAACCGCACAACGGGCACGGGCGACACCGAAAGGACGAGGACAGGGCAGCGAGGGAGAGGGAACCUUACCACCACGCGACGAGGCGUGGGAACGACAACGACGAACGGGCGCGGCGGAGACAGACGGGCACAACGGAGACGAACAGCGAGGGGACGGCUUCGGCGGCGAUCCUUGGACGAAGGCGAGACGCGGCCGGCGCGAGGCUUGACGACGCGGAGCCGAGGACGAAGACGAGGACGGGGCUGCAGCGGCACACUUGACGGACGCGGACGAGACGGACGAGAACGGCCUGACGGAGGGACGAACGCCACGACGACCGGGAACGACGAGAGGACGACGACGACGACGACGACCGGGACCGGCGAGGAGGCGACGAGGACAGCCAGCAGCGGCUGCACGGAGACGAGGACGACGUGGGACACGCCGCUGCGAUGACGACGACGGAGGCGGCGCCGCGAGACGACGAGCCGGGCGACCGACGGGACGUCGACGACGAGAACGAUCGGAGACGACGAUGAUGGACCGCGGAGGGGUUUGGAUGGAGGGGAAACGAUGCCGAGGACGGCCUUGCCGCUGCGAUGCCGGAGGUGGUAGUGGUGCAGCAAGCCGACGAGCCGGGGAGGAGGAAGGGGCGGCCGAAAGGACGCCGGCGACGAAGAGGAUGGAGAGACCGGCGCGGCGACGGCGUUCCGGCGAAAACCGAGGAGCAGCCGGUGUGGAGGGCGAUGCGGCGACGCCGAGGGAGGAGACGGUGACGUCGGCCGACGCUCAGGCGAGGCGACCGGGACGGCUGGAGAUGGUGGAGUGGUGGCGACACCACUAGUCGUCGGUGAGGACGCGUCUCCGGUGAUUUCCCCGCGAAACGGAGGCGAAGCCGGGAAAGAGGAGGCAGCUGCGAGGCCGAGGGAGAAGACGGCGCGGCCGGGCGGCGCUCGGGCGAGGAGAGGAAGGCGGCUGGAGGUGGCCGGCGCGAAGGAAAGAGGAGGGUGACGGCGGGAACGUAGUUCCGGGGGUCUCCUCGCGAAACGGAGGGCAGGCCGGCGUGGAGGAGGUGGCGGCGACGCUGGAGGAGGCGAUGGCGCGGCCGGCCGGUGCGCGGGCGAGGCGGCACAGGCGGCUGGAGGCGGCCGGCAACGUCGGAGAGAGAGGAGGGCGGCGGGGAGGUGGCUAGGGACCACGGGAGAGCUUGGGAUGGGGCUAAAACGAGAGAACGGGGGAUGAGGAUCCCAUUUUAUAGGAUGGGGGAGGGAGCCGGCCACGGGAGGAGCGGGAACGGCGACGGGAAUGGCGGCCGGCGGCAAAGGAAGGCGGCCGGACUUGGCGCGUCCGUUCCCGGCGAUUGGGGGCGCCAUCCAAGGGGGAAUUAAGGGGGAAAUGAAGAGGAUUCAAUGGGGUUUAAUUUCCCCUAAUCAAUUUUGGAAUUAACCGAGUGAAUCAAGCGGAUUUGAGGGAGGAUUGGCGCUAGGGUUCACGGGAGAGGGAGAGAGGACGGCCGGGCGGGAGGAAGGGGACGACGCCCGGCCUGGCGCGUGGGACCCACCGGUCAGGCGGCGGCGUCAGCGCGCGCACGCGCGCCGCACGGGCGGGGGCGCGGCUAGGGCAGGGCGGCUUGGGCCGGGCGGCCGGCCCAGGAAGAGAGGAGGGGAAGGCGGCAUGGGCCGAGCAGGCCGGGAGGGAAGAGGGGGGGGGAAAAAGGCAGCCCGGGAGAGAGGGAGGAGGGAGCUGGGCCGAGAGGGGGAGAGGCCCAAGAGGAGGAGGGAGAGAAGGAGAGGGAGAGAAAGAGAGGGAGGAAAGGGAGACUUUGGGCUGGGCUUGGCCCAAAGGAGGAAGAGGAUUAUUUUUAGGUUUUUCUUUUUAAUAAACUUUGUUAAUUGUUGUUGUUGUUUAAUAAUUAUUUCCGGUGCUCUGAAAAUUCAAGUAAAAUUUGAGGGCUCCUUUUUAGACCAAGGAGAAUUUAACAAAAAUUCUCCGGGCCACAUUUGAAUUUUUCUUGCACGUAUUUUAGUGUUUGCCAAUUUCUUUUCGAAUUUUAAUUAAUUCUAUUAUUCCUUUUAGCGAAUGAUUUUUAUUUCGGGAUGAAUUUAUCAGGACGUGACAAAUCCACCCCCCUUACAAGAAUCUCGUCCCCGAGAUUCGAGGAGGCUAGCAAGAAGAUAGGUUGGGCGGUCUUCUCUUCUUGUCUGACUUCUUCCGCUCCGUCUUCUAUAACAAACUUGCCUAACAAAACUUCUUCACUCUGGACUGCUUGGCUCGAUCUCCUGUUGCAGAUGGAAUCUUCUCUUCACCUGACUUGUCCCUGGUUGAACCUUUAGCUGACUUCGACUGGGUUGCGGCACUUGAAGAUGGGGCUUCAGUUCCAGAACUUCGCAUAGUUCAUAUCUUUGGGGUCAACCUCAUACAAGUUACCACUUCAUGUUAUGCGUCGAUAUCAGCUUGUCAUUACUAGGAUACCAUGCUUGUUAUUUACUUCUAACUUACCACUAUUCACUUCAUGUUGUCCUCAGUUAGCAUUCAGCGUAUUCCUUUACACCUUUGACCUUGAUGUGUUCUUUCCCGAUUUCUCUUAUCAAUCACCUUUCGACCUACUUCUUUGCCUGGUAAUAAACAUCUUUUUCGAUAUCUUCUAUCAGUCAUCUUUUGACCUUUGUCACUAAGUACUCUUCACUCCGAGAGUUGUGGAUGCUUCUGGUGGCGAUGAGGUCCUUUGGUCUGCUACCUUUCAGUGAAACCUUGAAGUGUUUCGCCAAAAGCUAUACGGACUGUCAUUGCCUUUGAUCCGAAAAAGACACAUCUGAAACUCUUAGUCCAAACAAAUGUCUCUUGGGUUAAUCACUUGAUUUGCUUCGCCAUCAAUCGCUAGGUUAUUUGAUUCAUAAUAGAUUAUGAGCUUACGGAAAUGAGACCCUAGGUCUCCCUAAUCAGCAACAAAAUGUACACAACUCACAGCACUUGCAAUCCUAACAUGGAUCCCUCAAUAAACUUAUCAAGCUCAUUCAUUAUCUCAUGUUUCUCUGUUAUUACAUGAUUGACGGGGAACAACUAUAAAACAUAAGUAUAUGAUUACUGAUAUAAGAGUAUUAUGGUUGCUUCUGACUAGCGCUAGGCUUAACAGGUACUGCAUUUGCUCCAGUGACCACUUGGCGAUUGGCACGUCUGCUUCCUUAACAGGUACUACCGUUGUAAAUAACUUUCUUACGCUUGGGUUCUUCAUCCUGUACUUGAUUUCUUGGCUGCUGUGCUGGAACAUCCAAAGGUACAAUGCCGAUACUGGCCUCUGUCUUGUCAACUGAUGGCUGGGGCUGAAAUUGAGCAUUGACACCUUGUGGUAAUGCACUCGCUGGAGUUGGAGCUGUUGCAACGCGGGCUAUAGGACUGCUUCGGGAUGCAUGGAUGACAAUUCGUUGAGGAGCAAGCUUCUGAUUGCAGGGAGUUGCGUGGACUGACGUGCUGGCAGCUAUGUUUCUCGGUUUUGGGCACUUGUCGGCGAAAUGACCCAUUCCUUGACAAUUGAAGCAACAGAUGUCUUCCCGGACUCGGCAUUUUCUUUUCUCAUUUCGAUUCCUCUGUCCUGGCACUGGAGUUAGGCUGAAACUGUAAUCUUGGCGAGGAUUGGUGUUGCCUUGAUGCUUCUCUCCGUUGGAACUGGCGGGUUGGUUAGCCAUCUUCUUCGUCAGCAGAAAACUGAAUUGACAAUCUUUUGGUACAUGAUCAGUUCCUUCACAAAAGAAACAAGUGAUCCUGCUCGUUGGACACCUGUCGGGUGGAUGGUCUUCCUCACAAUGAACGCAUAUAGUGGCACACGAGCUGGCGACAUGACCGAUUUCUCCACAACGAGAGCAUGCCUUACGUUCCAUUUCAUCUUCAUCAUCUGACGAGACUUGAUCUGAAUCUUCACUAUCAGACACUCUACCUCCAUUAGCUAAAAGAUGCUCUGUCAACCGUGGUGCACUUCGGAAGGUAUUUCUUCUCUGACGUCUUGUCAUUCCUGGUGGAGGCCAUUCUGUGCUGGUAAUGAUCAUCUUACGGACUUCAUCUUCGGUUCGCAUUGGUGUUUUUCUUUUCUGCUGAGGACGCUCCCUUGCAUAGUGCACUUGCUCAUCACACGUAAAGCAAAUGUUACUUGCUUCUUUUAGGUCAACAGGUGGCACGUCAUCAUGGGUCCUUCGGGAUGCUGGCGGCAUGCUGACUUGUGGGGUGAGUGCUUGGACUGCCUCCAACUGCACUUGAGGUUGUAUUUGACUCAGGUUCAGAAUUGGCGUCUGAUGCUGCUGUAGUAUCUCUAUAAGCAAUCGGUUCUGGUUAAUCAGGUGUUGGACCAGUGUCACACAACUGGUGUCUGGUGCUUCAUUCACUCGGGAGCUUGAGGUACCAAUGUCCUGACUUCUGACCUUAUUGCCUUUCUCAUUGUCAGCCAUCUGUUGCAAAGGUUUGGAGAGGGAGAGAGGGAAAACAAAGGGGAGAGACAGAUUAGAAACUAAGGAUAGGACCUUAAAGGAACUAACUCUUCUUGCUGAUGUGUUGUUUGUUUCACUUAUUCUGCAGGUUGAUUAAGCAAACAACCUAGCAUGGUUACAUCACCACCCACCGAUGCAAACCACGCGCUACACACACAAGCAAGGAACACACGACUAACAACACUACCCUAUAGGGCGGCUUAGGUUCUGCGACGGGUUUUCCAAGAUCUUCACUCCUGCUUCACAUCUGGCUUCACUGCUUCCUUUACUUCGCUAGCGGAUCCUGCAGUCUUCCGGAGCUUCGGCAAACAAUUGGCGAUAUCUUCUUCUUCGCAAAGCUGACCAUCUAGUACUAGUUGAAAUUUGAAGAAGGAAGAAAAGGGAGUAAACCUUUUGCAAAUAGCAUUAGGGGAAGGAGAAAAAGAGGAACUUUCGCAAAUAGUUUUAUUUAUAAAAUAUGUCCUUAGGUUUUAUCCACUUGGCUUAUCCUACAGUCGAGAUGGCUCUGAUACCAGCUUGUCACGACCGGGAAAAUUGCCUUUUCCCGAACGCUAGUGUAUUAAUCCCCGUCCCAGGAAAAGCCGGGGUACACCACACAAACAUGAUAUAAAAGACACAUCUUUAUUAUAUCGAUAAUAUUUACAUUAUUACAAAGGCACUUCAGGCCUGACAAGCAAAAAUAAACAGCAGCGGACUAGCGGCCUACGGCUCCAUCUUCACAGGCGCUCAACUGGGGUAUAAGCCAGGACUCCACCUAAGACAUCUUCUCCAAAGCUUCUCUUACUGAAGGGGGGAAAGAUUGAGCAAGAAUGAGUACAACCACAGUACUCAGCAAGCCACACCGGAGAUGCAUAAUUAAUGCAAGGGAGGUACAAGGGAAUAAUAAUAUAGGGAUUAAGUUUUGCAGUAAACAGCGUUUAAAAGCCACUUAGUUGCCCAAAGCCAUUUUGUAAAGACGAUCCUAGAGCUACACAGUAUUAUUAAACAAGGCCGUGAACCCUCACGAACCUGCCUUAACCCAAGGCCUGCGAUGAUUCGGACCGAACUGGCAACCCGACCUGGGUCCCAGCUCGUCCCAAGCCAACCCAGGCCAACCAUUCCAUAUUUUAGUUGUUGAGCAAAUUUUAAGAAUUAAAACACUGACUUGGGUACAUUGCUCGGCUUGCCCAUAUCCGAGGGCUCGGCUAUUCGAAUAGAUUUACUCUGAUCAGAGGUGUACAUCUUUACCCACAAGACACAUCUUUACUCCGCAUUCCAUGGCCUUGGAACCCGUCGUAAAGAUGUGACAUAACCCUUCACCCAUCCUAGCCGUGAACAAAAGUACCGACCCAAUCCCACCUACGGCCGGGGUACCCGGGACAGGCAGGCAGAACUGAGCCCCUAGCAGCAGGGCACCAACCCUCUGCCGUAUGACAUCUCGACUACCGGGCCGCAGCUCGUGUAGCCUUCAUUUGCCCUGGAGAAUGUCCAUCGACGCCCGACUUCAUCCAUCUCCAAUCCGUGUCCUUUUGUUCAGGACUAGACUGAGCACCGAGUUAAGCCUUACCCAUUAGACAUGUGGUUAGUACGGUAGUGCUUUGCAACAGAGGCCCGAGCUUAAUCCUUAUAGUGGCCGGGGUGCUACUUCCCAUAACUGGCAUGCACCCAAACCCCACCGAAAACAGGUUUUAGGGGUUUUGAAAGAGGAAGAGAGAUGUAUGUCCAAUUCCACCAUAAACCAAUAAUUCCAUAGUGUCCAAAUGAGAUGAGAAUUCCCAAAGUCUAAAGUUAUAAAACCACCUAAUAUUGCCUAAUUAAUCAGCGAAGCAUCUACCUAAAUUCAUACUAGUGGAACCAUGAAUGGAAUACCCACUAGUUGGGGUUUUGUUUAUCCUAGGGUGAACAAGGUAAUAAUAACAAUAGCAAUAAUAGUAAGGUUAUAACAAAGGUAAAUAGGCAUGGCUAAAUAAAACAGUGAUAACGCGGGAAUUUAAAUAAAGCGAUAAUGCAUUGAUUUAAAUUAAAAUAAUUUUAUAAACUGGGAUUCAAUAUGCUCAAGGAUGAUGUGACUUGCCUUGCUCAGAGAGAACGGCCUUCCGAACCUUCGGCGACGACCACGAACCACGCUUCGGGAACCUCCGGAACGACGAAAGCUACGCGAAGCACACAAGCAAAGCUACAAGCCUAUAAAGAAGCAAUAACAAUACAUAAAAAGAAAGCACAGGGUUCUUUAGGUUAUAGCAAACAUUAGGAGACUUGAACGGGUCGAUUCAGAGUUCGUAUGACCAAGAUAUGAUCAUCCGAAGUUUAAUGCUGUUAUAUGGAGAUUUGCGGAUUAUUAUAAUCAAGCUUUGCAAUUAUAAAACAUGUGUAAGCGCUAGCCUGGAAAAGACAGGAAGGCUGCGCUGUUGACAUGCGGACCCCACAUGUCAACCUAAAGGACCGCGGUAGACCGAGUACACAGAGUCGGUCCACGGGUCGACGGAAGCGGAUCCCGUGUGUCAACCGAGGCGAGUGACCGACAAACGGACUCCGCUAGACACCACACGGCUUGCACACGUGGAAACCACGCGGCUACCGAGCGGACACACUAACACGGUCACCACGCGCACAAGCGAACGACUGCCGAUGCCGAUACACGGGUACCGGGGCCGACAACCGCACAACGGGCACGGGCGACACCGAAAGGACGAGGACAGGGCAGCGAGGGAGAGGGAACCUUACCACCACGCGACGAGGCGUGGGAACGACAACGACGAACGGGCGCGGCGGAGACAGACGGGCACAACGGAGACGAACAGCGAGGGGACGGCUUCGGCGGCGAUCCUUGGACGAAGGCGAGACGCGGCCGGCGCGAGGCUUGACGACGCGGAGCCGAGGACGAAGACGAGGACGGGGCUGCAGCGGCACACUUGACGGACGCGGACGAGACGGACGAGAACGGCCUGACGGAGGGACGAACGCCACGACGACCGGGAACGACGAGAGGACGACGACGACGACGACGACCGGGACCGGCGAGGAGGCGACGAGGACAGCCAGCAGCGGCUGCACGGAGACGAGGACGACGUGGGACACGCCGCUGCGAUGACGACGACGGAGGCGGCGCCGCGAGACGACGAGCCGGGCGACCGACGGGACGUCGACGACGAGAACGAUCGGAGACGACGAUGAUGGACCGCGGAGGGGUUUGGAUGGAGGGGAAACGAUGCCGAGGACGGCCUUGCCGCUGCGAUGCCGGAGGUGGUAGUGGUGCAGCAAGCCGACGAGCCGGGGAGGAGGAAGGGGCGGCCGAAAGGACGCCGGCGACGAAGAGGAUGGAGAGACCGGCGCGGCGACGGCGUUCCGGCGAAAACCGAGGAGCAGCCGGGGUGGAGGGCGAUGCGGCGACGCCGAGGGAGGAGACGGUGACGUCGGCCGACGCUCAGGCGAGGCGACCGGGACGGCUGGAGAUGGUGGAGUGGUGGCGACACCACUAGUCGUCGGUGAGGACGCGUCUCCGGUGAUUUCCCCGCGAAACGGAGGUGAAGCCGGGAAAGAGGAGGCAGCUGCGAGGCCGAGGGAGAAGACGGCGCGGCCGGGCGGCGCUCGGGCGAGGAGAGGAAGGCGGCUGGAGGUGGCCGGCGCGAAGGAAAGAGGAGGGUGACGGCGGGAACGUAGUUCCGGGGGUCUCCUCGCGAAACGGAGGGCAGGCCGGCGUGGAGGAGGUGGCGGCGACGCUGGAGGAGGCGAUGGCGCGGCCGGCCGGUGCGCGGGCGAGGCGGCACAGGCGGCUGGAGGCGGCCGGCAACGUCGGAGAGAGAGGAGGGCGGCGGGGAGGUGGCUAGGGACCACGGGAGAGCUUGGGAUGGGGCUAAAACGAGAGAACGGGGGAUGAGGAUCCCAUUUUAUAGGAUGGGGGAGGGAGCCGGCCACGGGAGGAGCGGGAACGGCGACGGGAAUGGCGGCCGGCGGCAAAGGAAGGCGGCCGGACUUGGCGCGUCCGUUCCCGGCGAUUGGGGGCGCCAUCCAAGGGGGAAUUAAGGGGGAAAUGAAGAGGAUUCAAUGGGGUUUAAUUUCCCCUAAUCAAUUUUGGAAUUAACCGAGUGAAUCAAGCGGAUUUGAGGGAGGAUUGGCGCUAGGGUUCACGGGAGAGGGAGAGAGGACGGCCGGGCGGGAGGAAGGGGACGACGCCCGGCCUGGCGCGUGGGACCCACCGGUCAGGCGGCGGCGUCAGCGCGCGCACGCGCGCCGCACGGGCGGGGGCGCGGCUAGGGCAGGGCGGCUUGGGCCGGGCGGCCGGCCCAGGAAGAGAGGAGGGGAAGGCGGCAUGGGCCGAGCAGGCCGGGAGGGAAGAGGGGGGGGGGGGAAAAGGCAGCCCGGGAGAGAGGGAGGAGGGAGCUGGGCCGAGAGGGGGAGAGGCCCAAGAGGAGGAGGGAGAGAAGGAGAGGGAGAGAAAGAGAGGGAGGAAAGGGAGACUUUGGGCUGGGCUUGGCCCAAAGGAGGAAGAGGAUUAUUUUUAGGUUUUUCUUUUUAAUAAACUUUGUUAAUUGUUGUUGUUGUUUAAUAAUUAUUUCCGGUGCUCUGAAAAUUCAAGUAAAAUUUGAGGGCUCCUUUUUAGACCAAGGAGAAUUUAACAAAAAUUCUCCGGGCCACAUUUGAAUUUUUCUUGCACGUAUUUUAGUGUUUGCCAAUUUCUUUUCGAAUUUUAAUUAAUUCUAUUAUUCCUUUUAGCGAAUGAUUUUUAUUUCGGGAUGAAUUUAUCAGGACGUGACAUGCGUAGAGGACGACGAGGCGAACCCAACGGUACUCACCACGACGACAACCGAUGAACGACGACGGCCGGCGACGAGAGGAGGCGGCGCGGCGGCUCGGUUUGACGGCGUCGGCGGAGCUCCGGUGGUCAGCGGCGAAGGGGGACGGGCGGCCGAGGUUCUCCUCACCACGGCGCACCUAACGGCGGCGACGGCAAGCGACGGCGACGGCGGAAGCGGCGGCGCGACGGCGCCGAAGUCGACCGGCGGCGGCGGCGAACUAAACACACGCGGCGGCGGCGCUACGGUGCACGGGAGAGGACGGGAGAGGGGGCAAACGAAAGAGGGCGACGAGGGGAUGCUUUAUAUAGCAUUGGAUUGAAGAGAUCGAACUCCAAACGAGAGGAAUCGACUCGGGAAGAAUUCAAACUCGGUUUUAGGGAUUAAAUCGAAACGAAUUCGAUUCGGGCAAAAUACUCAACGGAUUGCUCCGUUUCUUGAGGGGAAAGAUAGAGGAGAACGAGAGGAACAAAACCCCUCAAUCAAUCGGACUCGAGGAGGCCGGAUUGAGGCGGAUUUGAGAGGAGAAAGGGGGCGGCUCGGACUCGGCAUGGCCGGCCGGCUGGAGCUUGAAGACGACCCCGACAGGUGGGGUCCACCUGUCGGCGGCUGAGGGGAGGAGGGCGGCGGCUGCUGCUGCUGGGCCGGCUUGGGCCGCGCGGGAGAGAGAGAGAAGCUCGGCCGAAAACGGCCCAACGACCUAGGAGAGGACUUUUGAACUUUUUUUUGAAUAAAACAAUUUGUGAAAUGUUGUUUUAAUUAUUAAAAAUACUUCCCUUGCUCAAAUAAUUCCUAGAAAAAUCUAGAAAAUAGAGGAGCAAGCAUAGUAUUUAAUAAAAUUUUAUCUAGCUCAUUUUUAUGUUGAAAAUUUUCCUAGAAAAUUAGGGUUUAGCUUGUAGGCUUUUAAAAUAAUUUCUAAAAAUUCCAAUUAAACAACAAUUUAUAUAUUUUGGAUUUUUAGGACGUGACAAACCUACCCCCCUUAAACGGAAUCUCGUCCUCGAGAUUCGGAAGAACUAGCGAACAGAUGAGGAUGAGCUGACUUCAAUUCAUCUUCUCGCUCCCAAGUGGCUUCUUCUUCUGAAUGAUUGCUCCACUGAACCUUGCAGAACCGUAUAACGCGAUUCCUGGUAUUCCUUUCACUUACUUCCAAGAUUCUGACUGGCUUCUCAACAUAAGUUAAAUCUUCUUGAAGCUCUAUACGAUCAGGAUCUGCUUCCUCCGUAGGUACACGUAAACAUCUCUUCAACUGCGACACAUGGAACACGUCAUGUAUUCCCGCCAUUGACGGAGGCAACUCUAGCUGAUAAGCUACUUCACCUCUUCGACUCACAAUCUUAAAAGGUCCCACGAAACGCGGUGCCAAUUUCCCUUUGGUCUGGAAACGAUGAACACCUCGUAACGGCGUAACCCGAAGGUAUACAUAAUCUCCUUCUUCGAAAGCCAAAUCUCUGCGACGAUUGUCGGCAUAGCUCUUCUGACGUGACUGAGCAACACGCAACCUUUCUUGGAUAAUCUUCACUUUUUCUUCCGCCUCUCGCAAUAUGUCUGUCCCAAAAACUUGACGUUCACCGGUUUGAUCCCAAAGAAGCGGCGUACGGCACUUUCGACCAUAUAAUGCUUCAUACGGAGCCAUUUGCAAACUAGCUUGAUAACUGUUGUUAUAUGAGAAUUCCGCGUACGGCAAAUUCUUAUCCCAACUUCCACCAAAAUCUAGAACACAGGCUCUCAACAUAUCUUCUAAAAUUUGGUUUACUCUUUCCGUCUGACCAUCUGUUUGAGGGUGAUAAGCGGUACUGAAAUUCAAACGGGUACCCAUCUCUAAUUGUAACUUCUGCCAAAACUUCGAAGUAAACUGGCUACCUCUAUCUGACACUAUCUUCUUAGGAACACCAUGCAAACAUACCACUCUGGCCAUGUAUAACUCUGCAAGCUUAUUCCCCAUGUAGGUUGUUUUGACCGGUAUAAAAUGAGCGACUUUUGUCAACCUAUCAACCACUACCCAAAUAGAAUCAUGUCCUGCCGACGUUCUGGGUAGACCGGUUAUAAAAUCCAUUCCUAUUUCUUCCCACUUCCACUCUGGAAUCUUUAACGGCUGUAACAGACCGGCUGGCUUCCGAUGUUCUGCCUUGACCCGCUGACAUACAUCACAUAGAGCCACAUAUUCUGCUAUCUCACGACGCAUACUGGCCCACCAGAAUUGUUGCUUUAAAUCUUGGUACAUCUUAGUGCUUCCAGGGUGAAUAGAAUACAAAGUUUCAUGAGCUUCUUUCAUGAUAGUAUCCUUCAACUCCUUAUUUUCUGGGACGCAAAUUCUUUCACCUAACCACACAGUACCUUGCUCAUCUUCUACAUAACCGAUGGCUUUUCCUCUUCUCAUGUUUUUCUUUAUUUCUUGGAUAUCAGGAUCAUUCACUUGAGCUUCUCUGACUUGAUCAAACAGAGUAGGUUUAGCUUCCAAAGCGGCCACAAAACCUUUGCUGACUAUUCCCAAGUUCAACUUUUCAAAUUCUUGGCAUAACUCCUAGGUAAACGUCGACCUUCUGACAUAUUACAGUAGCUUUUCCUGCUAAGUGCAUAGGCUACAACAUUUGCUUUUCCCGGGUGAUAAUGGAUUUCCAUAUCAUAAUCUUUAAUCAACUCUAACCAUCUUCGCUGACGUAUGUUCAAAUCAGGUUGAGUGAAAAUAUACUUCAAACUUUUAUGAUCCGUAUACACCUCUGUACGGUUACCGAAAAGAUAAUGACGCCAAAUCUUCAAUGCAUGCACCACAGCUGCCAACUCUAGGUCAUGCGUUGGGUAGUUAUUCUCAUGAGGACGUAAUUGCCUAGAUGCAUAGGCAACCACCUUUCCUUCUUGCAUCAACACACAACCCAAACCGAGUCGGGAUGCAUCACAAUACACUUGGAAACCUUUCCUCGAAUCAGGCAAAAUUAACACAGGCGCAGUCACUAGCCUUUUCUUCAGUUCUUGGAAACUUCGUUCACAAUCCUCUGUCCACUUGUACUUCACUUCCUUCUGAAGCAGACGAGUCAUUGGUCUGGCGAUCUUAGAAAAGUUCUCAAUAAACCUGCGGUAAUACCCAGCAAGUCCAAGGAAACUACGAAUUUCUGUAACCGUCUUGGGUUGCUUCCAACUUAACACUGACUCCACAUUGCUUGGAUCUACUGCCACUCCUCCAGACGAGAUGACAUGACCAAGAAACUUCACUUCGGACAACCAAAAUUCACAUUUACUGGACUUGGCAUAAAGCUGAUGCUCACGUAGUUUCUCUAAAGCUAGACGAAGAUGCUCUUCAUGUUCUUCCUUCGUCUUGGAGUAAAUAAGAAUGUCAUCAAUAAACACCACGACAAACUUAUCCAGAUAUUCCAUAAACACCUUGUUCAUCAGAUUCAUGAAAAAGGCUGGGGCAUUAGUGAGUCCAAAUGACAUAACGGUACAUUCGAACAAACCAUACCGAGUUGUGAAGGCGGUCUUUGGUAUAUCUUCCUCACGGAUUCGAAGUUGAUGAUAUCCAGAACGGAGAUCUAUCUUGGAGAAAACUGUAGCACCUUCCAGUUGAUCAAACAGGUCAUCAAUUCUGGGUAAAGGAUACUUAUUCUUAAUAGUAACCUCAUUCAACGCUCGAUAAUCCACGCACAUUCUCUGAGUAUGAUCUUUCUUCUCCACAAAGAUGACUGGUGCUCCCCAUAGCGAAGUACUGGGUCUGAUGUAUCCUUUCUGAAGCAAAUCUUCCACCUGUCUCUUCACUUCAGCUAACUCAUUAGCUGCCAUUCUGUAUGGUCUCUUAUCGAUAGGGUUGGUUCCAGGUACCAAGUCUAUCCGAAACUCUAUGUCUCUCUUAGGCGGCAUACCUGGCAAAUCCUCAGGAAACACGUCUGGGUAGUCUUGUACUAUGGGGAUCUCUUGUAGAGCAACUUGGUUUAAGAUCACACCAUGAUAUUUAGGAGAGGACACAAAGAAAGAAACGGUUUCCCCAUUGCUACUGGUUAAAGUCACCUUACAGUUGGCACAAUCUAUAACUCCUCUGUGACGAGAUAACCAGUCCAUCCCUAAGAUAACAUCUAGAUCUUUGGAUUCUAGCAAGAUAAGCGAGGAUGGGAAAGGAACUUCUUCUAUUUCUAUAGUAGCGGAAGGACAAUACUGUGUCGAAAAUACUUGAUUGCCUGGGGUAUUAACUAGUAAAUGUCUCCCAAGACUAAUAACUUCCAUCCCAUAAUUGCUCGCAAAACUUUUAGACAAAAAGGAAUGUGUAGCACCGGAAUCAAAAAGCACGGAUGCGGGUAUAGAGUUAACAGGAAACGUACCCAAAACCACAUCUGGUGCAUUCUGAGCUUCUGCGGCUGCAACAUGAUUAACACGUGCCUUCGGUGCUGGAGCAUUGGAGUUGUUCGGGGCUGGAGCGUUCUUCACGCGCCGAGGCUUAGGACACUUAUCAGCAUAAUGUCCUGGAUCACCACAAUUGAAGCACACCCCUGGCUUGCUUCCCUGUUCCUUCCUGACGGGCUGGUUCUGAGCUGGAGUUGCUGCAGGACGAGCAACCAUGUUGCGGUUGUCAUUGCCACGAUUACCAGUAUUGUUGUUGUAGAACUGGCGUUGGGGGCGGACAACUGAUGAAGAUCCUCCUUGAGGGUACGAUGGAUCUUGAGGUCCCGUAAUGAGACGCGGCCUCUGGUUACUGCCCUGUUGUGCCUUGAAUUGAGCAGCCCUGCGCUUCUUCUGCUCCAUCCGGUUAUACUUGUCUUCCUGACGAAUCGCCUUGUCCACCAACUGCUGGAAAUCCCGAAAAUCCGUAGACAUCAAGGCAUAAGACAACUCAUCAUUCAGUCCCUCCAAGAACUUCUCCUGACGCUCUUCAUCGGUGCGAACAUCUUCCGGAGCAUAAUGAGCUAAACGGUUGAAAUCAUGGAGGUACUCGGUGACCGAACGAGAUCCCUGGUUGAGUGCUCUAAAUUCUCUCUUCUUUAGAGCUACAACACCCGUUGGUAUGUGUGUCUUCUUGAAAGCGGCCGUGAAUUCCUGCCACGUAAUAGGCUCUCCUUCAGCCCUGCCUUGUCGAAAAUGAUCCCACCAUUCAGCAGCAGGUCCAUGCAGUUGAUGCGAAGCAAAAGAAACUUUCUCCUGCUCAGUACACUGGAUCAGAUCCAACUUCUUCUCUACCGCAUGCAGCCAAUCUCCUGCUUCUACUGGAUUGGUGGUGCUGGAAAAGGUAGGGGGUCUGACACGUAAGAAAUCUGCCAGCUUGUUUUGGGGAGGUGGGGGUGGAUUCUGGUUCUGAUUAUUCCCCUGCUGAUUCUGUGCCUGCUGCACUAACAGAUUGAUCAGUUGUGUUUGUUGGGCCAGAAUCUGAGCUAGCGUAGGCUCUCCUCCAUUGUUAGUAGCUCCACUUCCACUUCCACUUCCACUUCCGGUGCGCGUGUUCACCAUCUGGUGAUAAGCAGAGACAACAAGAAAGAACGACAGAGAGACACCCUUAGAACGGAGUUAUUUAAUUAAUUUAAAUUCUAUAUUGCUCUUAACUGUGUAUGAUUACAUUUAAGUUGCAUUAACACUAUCUCACCAACUAUCUUACACUCUGACAAGCAAAGAACUAGACUCAUGCUGUUACAUCCCACCAAUGAUGUAAGCAACAACUAAAACCCACACACUCACAAGCAAACUUAAACAAGCAAUCUAACACAGCGAACUACGGCAACGAUCUAACUAAACGACUAAUCCCUCCUUGCGUUGGAACGAAGCGAUGGAUCUUCUUCCUCUGGAGUAGCUGGCUCUCUUUCUUCAGGGUCUUCCUCUUCUUCCUCAUCACUUAUGAUGUCGAUGACAGGUUCAGCACGAUCGGGCACAGCUUCACCCAUCACGCGAAUCUUCGAAGCUAACUGGAGACGAGGUGGCGGACAGGUUCUCUUUCUUGCAGUGAGGCGAAACUUGGGUGUUGGCGGCGACGUUUCUCCUUUAAGUUCAGCUAAUUCCUUCUGUAGACGGUACACCUUGCUCUUCAACUUGUAAAUCUUGCCUCGAUUCCAGUUUUCCCUGUCAUGAGCUGCUUUAUCUCGCUCCACACUUACUGCAUCCAUAGCACUAAGCAUAUGCACCGCAUGCAUCAGAGUGGCACUCUCUUCACCAUCAGGACAGGUAUAGGCUCCAUAGUCUUGACCAUGAGGCUUGUGAGGAUGAUACUGGAAAGCUGAUGAAUCCAACUCUUCUUCAAAGCGUUGACGCAACUCUCCAAUGGCCACCAAAGCUACUUCUUGACAAGCAUGGCUGUACGAUCUUCCUCCAGCUUCGAACUUAAAAGACGGAAGGUCUUCACUAUCACUAGCCAACGUCACACGAACACGACACUUCUCCUCGUCGGGGUCAUGGGAAAUUUGGCGAUACUCGGGAGCAACUUCAUAACCUACCUCAAAAGCCAUCAACCUCAGCUCCCUGACAAAACCUAACACCUUGAUCAAAUUUCUCGGUGAAUGGGGCGGCAUCUAAAGAAACAUAGAAGGGAAGAAUUAAGGCAUAUUUUUAAGUUAGCUGCACCGACUAGACUUAACUGAUUUAGACCAAAAAGGAAGAAAAUAAAAGAAAAGACACAUACAAAGCUACUUUAUAUAUUUUUCUUUUUGAAUUUAACUUUUUGGACAGAGACAAAUCAAUUUGAAUAAGUGAAUUAAAUAGAACCAAAAUACUUAAGACCUACUUUAAGCACGGUACAAUGUCACCAUUAAAAGGGAUGAGUAGUACUAGUGCCAACAUGAUUAAAUCGAUACCAUAAUAGAUGUACAGUACCGACUGAUCAAUAAGAUUUGGUAAAGAGAUAAAAGAAACAUUUUGAGAAGAACAAGUUUUUGCUUUUAAAAGAAAAGAAAUUGAAUUAAAUAAAUUUUGUGCAUAACCUUGCAUGUGCUGCCAACUUAAUUAAUUUGUAAGAGAAUAGAGAAGAGCAGUUCUAUUUUUUUCAAAAUAUUUUGAAGGCUACUUAAGGUUUACCAUUUGGCUUAUCCUAAGGUCAAGGUGGCUCUGAUACCAACUUGUCACGCCCGGAAUUUCUAUCCAAAAUUCCAAACGCUUACAUGUGUGUUAAGCCCUCGUCCAGGAAUCAACCGAGGCACACAAUGACAAUUUGAUAAUAGAGUACAAAUAAAUAACUAUUUAAUACUCGCAAAUAAUAAAAGAUUAUAGAGGUAGAUAGUUCCUCUCAAAGAAUAACAUUCUACGCAGCGGAAAUAUAAAACGAUAACAAUCUACGGAACAGCUAUGGCGACUCCACUCCACAGGCAUCUUAACCAAGAACAAGCCUAAUCCUCCAGAUCAUCACCUUCACUGAGAUACUCCUCUUCUGAUGAAUGAAUAUUGCAAGAAUGAGCAUAUAACAUACUCAACAAGCCACACAGCAAAUAUGCAAGUGCACAGGAUAACAAAGAAUGGCAUAAUAUAGCUCAUUUGCAAAAACAGCAUUUAAUAAAUAUUUAAGAGAAUAGUAAAACAGUUGUAUAAUUAAUCAAUAUUAAACAAACACCAUACAACACCCCUGUGUUGCAUAGGCCCAACCACAUUUGAACAACCAACCCCGGUUGAACAAAUUAAACCUCCAAACCAGGAAUUUUCCAUUCCAAACCAGGAGAUCAAUUAGUUAUCACAUUAUUACCAUUGAUGAGUAGUGUGAGACUAAUCACGAAAAACAUUGCUCAACUCACCCAUAACCGCGGGUACGGCUAUUCGAAUAGUUUAAACUCUGAUCAGAGGUGUACCACUGUACCCACAAGACACAACCCCACAUCAUGUCACCAUGUGCCUCAGUACCACCACGAUACCUCGGAAAGGAGUUGUGACAAUACCUCUCGCACAACAUAACCCAUUACAGUGCACCUUUCCUGGAUCAUAAUCACCCCCUUAUAAACAAGGCAUGGACUCCCCAGCGACCCCCAUGGACUUCUCGCCACUUCUCAGUCUGGCGCACUAUAAUGAAUCACGCUAUACAAAAGAUAAAGCCGUUGCCCACGCUGGCUUGUGGCUGGCACGAUAAAUGUUUCACAACAGUAGCUCGCGAACCGGUCCUUAAUUGUCAUGAGCACAACCAUCAAAACCAUAUGCUCACAACCCACCUUAACAAGGUUUUAAUUAUCAAUUGAUUAACAUCACACAAUUAACCAUCGUGAGCUACCAUAAUAUAACCAUCAUUAAUAAUAAUAAUGUGACAUAGUUUAUAAUUAACCCCUUUAGUUAGCUAAUGUUUCUAAGCAUGGCUAAGCAAACUUACAUAUAGCAUUUAGCUGAACCAAUCCAAUAUAUAAGGUUCAUGCUAAUCAAUUUAUAACCCAUAGGAAAAUAAAGUCAUCUUCGGCCAAUAAUUAAUUGGGAAAGGUUCACCACCCGAUGACAUUCGAAAACAAUGCACAGUUGAAAUAAAAUAAUAGCUUUAAACGGGUUCAACAUGCUCAAAGAGUAGUUUGGGAUCUGUGUGACUUGCCUUGGGCUUCCGCAAAUGCUUCGGAACCUUCCUCAACGGAAACGCUCUCCUCCGGAACGUCGGAAACUAAAGCAAUUAAACAAAAUCAACAAAACAGUACAAAAACAAGCAUAAACAGUACAUGUGGAUAUUUUUAACAUGUAGAUCUUGAUUUUAGAAGAAUUUAGCAACUUGAACCACCUAAAACGGAUCUACGGUUAUUUAAUUAUGAUUUUCCGAAGUUUUAAUCUAUUAGAAAAUUGGAAAAAAGAAAAGAGAAAGGAGAUGAUGACGUCAUGCUGACGUCAGCCCUGGAGGCCGGCUAGGGCUUGCGAGCUCGCCGGAGAUAGGACGGUCGGCCGGGGAUUUGGAGAACAUCUACGCGUAGAGGACGACGAGGCGAACCCAACGGUACUCACCACGACGACAACCGAUGAACGACGACGGCCGGCGACGAGAGGAGGCGGCGCGGCGGCUCGGCUUGACGGCGUCGGCGGAGCUCCGGUGGUCGGCGGCGAAGGGGGACGGGCGGCCGAGGUUCUCCUCACCAUGGCGCACCUAACGGCGGCGACGGCAAGCGACGGCGACGGCGGAAGCGGCGGCGCGACGGCGCCGAAGUCGACCGGCGGCGGCGGCGAACUAAACACACGCGGCGGCGGCGCUACGGUGCACGAGAGAGGACGGGAGAGGGGGCAAACGAAAGAGGGCGACGAGGGGAUGCUUUAUAUAGCAUUGGAUUGAAGAGAUCGAACUCCAAACGAGAGGAAUCGACUUGGGAAGAAUUCAAACUCGGUUUUAGGGAUUAAAUCGAAACGAAUUCGAUUCGGGCAAAAUACUCAACGGAUUGCUCCGUUUCUUGAGGGGAAAGAUAGAGGAGAACGAGAGGAACAAAACCCCUCAAUCAAUCGGACUCGAGGAGGCCGGAUUGAGGCGGAUUUGAGAGGAGAAAGGGGGCGGCUCGGACUCGGCAUGGCCGGCCGGCUGGAGCUUGAAGACGACCCCGACAGGUGGGGUCCACCUGUCGGCGGCUGAGGGGAGGAGGGCGGCGGCUGCUGCUGCUGGGCCGGCUUGGGCCGCGCGGGAGAGAGAGAGAAGCUGGGCCGAAAACGGCCCAACGACCUAGGAGAGGACUUUUGAACUUUUUUUUGAAUAAAACAAUUUGUGAAAUGUUGUUUUAAUUAUUAAAAAUACUUCCCUUGCUCAAAUAAUUCCCAGAAAAAUCUAGAAAAUAGAGGAGCAAGCAUAGUAUUUAAUAAAAUUUUAUCUAGCUCAUUUUUAUGUUGAAAAUUUUCCUAGAAAAUUAGGGUUUAGCUUGUAGGCUUUUAAAAUAAUUUCUAAAAAUUCCAAUUAAACAACAAUUUAUAUAUUUAGGAUUUUUAGGACGUGACACGACGGCCCGGCGCGUGGGACCCACGCGGGGCACUGCUCGGGCAGGGGGGCGCGGCUUGGGCCGGGCGGCCGGCCCAGGAGGAGAGGAGGGAGAGGCGGCCCGGGGGAGAGAGGGAGGAGGAGGGAGCUGGGCCGAGAGGGGAAGGGGAGGCCCAAGAGGAGGGAGAGAAGGAGAGGGAGAGAAAGAGAGGGAGGAAGGGAGGACUUUGGCUGCGGGCCGAGGGAGAGAGAGGGAGGCUUUGGGCCAGACUUGGCCCAAAGGGAGGAGGGGGAUUAUUUUCAGCUUUUUCUUUUAAAUAAACUUUGUUAAUUGUUUUUGUUGCUUAAUAAAUAUUUCCGGUGCUCUGAAAAUUCAAUUAAAAUUUGAGGGCUCCUUUUAGACCAAGGAGAAUUUAACAAAAAUUCUCCGGGCCACAUUCGAAUUUUUCUUGUACGCAUUUUAAUGUUUGCCAAUUUCUUUUCGAAUUUUAAUUAAUUCUAUUAUUCCUUUUAGAGAAUGAUUUUUAUUUCGGGAUGAAUUUAUCAGGACGUGACACGAAUGCCGAGCAGAUGUUGCUGCGUCUUCGGCUCCUCGUAAGUGCCUCGAAAGUUAAGAACAAAAACAUCACGCAAUUGCUCCCAUGAAUAAAUGCUAUUAGCUGGCAAAUUGAAAUACCAAGAACAGGCAAUGCCGUCAAGAGCGAGAUGUAUUACCUUUGUCUUGGUAUUUUCGUCACCAUGAGCCGCUUCGAUCGCAGACUCGUAGAUGGAUAGGAACUCCUUCGGGUCAGUUUCGCCCGAGUAGCGUGGGACGGGUGGGAAUUUGAACUAGGGCGGGAUUGGGCGGUUCUUAAUUCCCCUACUCAGCGGUAGCCCCUUCUCGCCUCCCGCCCUAUUCGCGGUGCCUUGCUGUGGGUACGGUGUGGCGAAGGGUGCAAUUACGGCUUGCGCAUAAGUUUGAGCCAUGGCGUUCGGCUGCCCGGCUCCGAUUGGUGAUGCUUGCUGAGCCGCCAUGGAUGGGUCGAAAACUGGCUGCGACCAUGCCAUGGCGACCUGGGUUGGUGCUUGGCUUGUUCCGAAGCCUGGUGUUGGUCCUUGCGGCCGAACGGUUUGCCCCUGAGCGGUAUUGAUGAAGUCGCACUAAGGUACCUGACUCCACGGCGAAGCCCCCAGAUUCGGCUGGUUCGGCGGCAACCAACUAAGUGCACCUUGACCUGUAUUCCCCUCUGGACGAGUCGAGGGAGUUGUAUUCGAAAUGUUGUGGGGCUGAUUGAUUUGCUGAAGGAAAGCUUGGAAUUGUGCCUUCAGAGCCGAAGCCCCUUCUGCUACGGCUUGCGACACCUAGCCAAGUGGCUGAGGCUGUACUUGGGUCGCGACCGGUUGAGCUUGCAGUUGACCGUGGGGGGCCUGGUGCACUGCUGCAGCUGUCGGCUGCCCGACGAAGUACAUCGAUGCCUGCGAGACUUGUGGCGGAGUGGGCUGGGACUGCACUUGCGGAUAGACUUGAGGUGGGACAUAUCCUGCCGAAUACUAGAGGAUUGGUGCCGAAGCGACCUUGGAUCGCCUUGCCGCUUCGUACGCUUGCUGCUGUUCUUGCAUUUGGCGAAGCAUGUCUUGGAGUCGUGCCAUGUUCUGCCGCAUGGCUUCCAUAUCGGCUUCGGCUUGUGUUUCAGGGUCGGAGUUGACUUGGACUUGCAUGGCAGGGAGCGCCGCUUGGGCCGCUGCUGGCUGCGACGGAACGGCCUGGGGCACCAGCAGCUGACUUGUCGAAAGGACCUCCGCCUUGGCCUGGAGCGCCCUUGCCACUGCGGCUGCCUUCGCCAUGUCAUCCACAUUCGGCGCCUGCUCAGAGGUGGCGGGGGCCGAAGGUAGCAGCGAUGGUGCUGUCGCCGAAGUGGAUGGUGCUCCUUCGACUUCGGCCCCUGACACUGAAGGCUCCGUUCCUUCUUCGGCGGCCAUGCCCGCUCCGCCGUCGAUUUCCUUUCGACUUGUAACCUUCUCCUUCACGACCUUCUUCGGUGGCAUUCGCUCUCAGUGAUUUCGCUCGGAGGUCCCCACGGUCGGCGCCAGCUGUUGUCGAAACGACAACUGCAUAUGUCGAAAGACGUGGUUAAUUAACAGUGGUUGGAAAGAAAUAAAGUGUAUUAGUUUUUUUUGGAAUUUCUCUUUCUUCGGUCUCCCCAUUACAUGGCCCUAGUGGGCUAUUUAUAGCCCCAUUACAGAUUCUUACUACUAGGGUUUAGGUUAUACUGAGGAAUUUACAUGGUUGCCCUUAUGAAAGGGACAUUUACAGGGUUAUAUAGUGUCAAGGGGGCUUAUGGGCCCUUGUUGGGCCGUCGGGCGAUCGCCGGCCCUAUAGCCCCUAAGCUUGAUGAGCCGGAAAGGCUUCUUCGGCCCUUGGGGUGGCGAACUGGACAUGGCAAAGCCGUCCUUCUUCGAGCUGGCUGCCAGGGCGAACUGGUCAUGGCGAAGCCGUCCUUCUUCGGUAGGUACUCACGCGACGCUUCGCCUCGCAUCAUCCUUGGUUCAUAGCCUUCGCCACGGGUUUCGGCAGAUUUGGUCAGAGGGCCUAAUGCCAUCCGCCAACAUAGUGGCAGUAGAUACAGGGAGAUCAAAUGUUUUAAGAUGGUACAAAUAAUUGGCAUUUGUUAUUGGAUCUACCCCUUGUAUAGGGAUGAUUGCACCGGCCUAACCGGCCCAACUCCCGGUCUAACCGGCGUCCAGAGGCACGGUCAUACUAAUCUGAGGUCCAGUUUGACCAGCGGUGAAGUCGCGAUCUAACCGGCCGUCUAGCCUGGUCGGACCGGCUGUAUGCACCGUCCACUCCUCACCAGUUUGUGGUGUCUUCGCCCCAUCGGUUUUGCUAUAUAUUUGAUCUAUAGGGGCUUGGCUAGCACUGGUAGAGGCUUUAUCUUUGAACAUAAAAUCGGCCAUGAGAGGGACGAAUUUAGUCCUCAAGAAAUCUUCAACAUGAGUCUCAAUAGAUGCAUUUAACUUAGUAUUUAAAGUAGCUAUAGAGAAUCUAUUGUAGUUGCAAUUUGUUGUUGGAUAGGUUGUGAUACCUGUUCAGUACUUACCACAUCGAAAUUAGGCAUAGGAUGCGGUCCAGGCUUGACGAUCACACCUUGACAGGUCCUAGUGCAUGCCUUCAUCAACGCCUCCUAUGUGACCAUCUUCAGGUACUCCUCCAUAGACUUGCGCGCUUCUCCAUCGAGCUCCUCCAAUGUUAUUGGUAUCACAUUGCCCGGCUGCACCUCCGCCUUGGAUGACGGCGGCUUCAUCAUGGCGAAGUCGAAAUUGAGAUGACGUUGAGCAGAUUUUCCCAGCGGAGUUGCCAAAAAUCGUGUUGGCAACUUUUUGUGACAAGUUGACAAGCACGAUCGCAACACCUAAACGCCUCGCGGUGAUCCUAGAGUCGCCAACCACCUCGAUCUAGCAAAAGCUAAACCAAGAUGGGUUUUGAUAACUAAACCAGCUAGCGGAGCCGAUUCUAGACAACUACAAAUCUCGUGGCAAAACGGAAGGUUUUUAGGACAAACCUACAAAGAGGUGUUGCACUCUCGCAGCGGCGACGGACGAUUUACAGCCCAAACUGACAAAGAUGGACAAACUAAGAGAAAACUAAAAGCAAUAUGAAAACGAUUCGAUUGAUUGAUUGUAGAUUGAUUUUUACAAUGAACCGGCCUUACCCUCUUAUAUAGGGGUUGGUCUUGCCCUCUACAGGCCCUCCUCCACAUCCAACUCGGGAUAGAAUCCAAAGGAAACCCGAAACAUGCCUUCCCGAGCAAGGAAACUUCGAGACCUGAUGAAACAGACCCGGACUCGGACUCUGCCAGUCAGACCGGCCACACACCACCGGUCUGACCGGCCCUCACCCGGCGGUAUGGCCGGCCAACACAUGGCGGUUAGACUGGCCCUCUCUAGAGGAAACCGGCAGGACUCCAAACUUUGGCAAUUUUUCCUAAUUUAAUCCUAGGUGCCAAAUUUGGGUGUAGAAACAAUUGCAUAUGAAUGAUUAAGCACUCGACUUUGGGGUUCCAUAAACCGAUCUAGCGGCAAAACUGUUCUUGACAAAUUAAUCUAAGCAAAACCCAACUCUAAAUGAUGACGGCUACUGAAUAAAUAUGAUUAGGGAUGUCCUAUGGUUGCCCUAUGUUGGUAUUUCUUAACGACGUUACUAGAAAUAUAAUUCCUAGCAAUGGUUACUAGAAAUAUAAUUCCUAGCAAUGGUUACUAGAAAUAUAAUUCCUAGCAAUGGCACAUAAAUACUUCUGGUAUAUUAUGGUUACAGAGUUCAUCCGCAAGCGCACGGAUAUACCAUUGUAGAAUUUCAUGCAAGAGUAUUCCAAGGGUAUCGUAUUUAUUUUAUCCCGUGGGAAGAUCAUGUAGAGAGUACUUGAUUAAUAAUUUAUAUAUUACUUGUGAUAAUCAUAUCCGAAGCAGGGGUUUAGAUAUUCCAGGGGUAGAGUGACACACAAGCAGCUACUCAUUCACAUAAUAUAAUAUCUAAGCUAAGUAGAAAGAAAAGAAAAAGACAAUCUAUUCCUAUACUUCUAAUAUGCAUAGUAUACAUUCUAGUUAACCGACAUACUAGCUAAUACCCUCUAUACGAUGUCCUCCUGGUACUUCGAUGUCACGUCCUGAUAAAUUCAUCCCGAAAUAAAAAUCAUUUUCUAAAAGGAAUAAUAGAAUUAAUUAAAAUUCGAAAAGAAAUUGGCAAACAUUAAAAUACGUACAAGAAAAAUUCGAAUGUGGCUCGGAGAAUUUUUGUUAAAUUCUUCUUGGUCUAAAAAGGAGCCCUCAAAUUUUACUUGAAUUUUCAGAGCACCGGAAAUAAUUAUUAAACAACAGAAACAAUCAUCAAAGUUUAAUAAAAAGAAAACCUAAAAAUAACCUUCCUUCCUCCUUUGGGCCAAUUUUGGCCCAAAGUCCUCCCUCUCUCCCCUCGGCCUGCGGCCGAAGUCUCCCUUUCCUCCCUCUCUUUCUCUCCCUCUCCUUCUCUCCCUCCUCUUGGGCCCCCCUUCCCCUCGGCCCAGCUCCCUCCUCCCUCUCUCUCCCGGGCUGCCUCUCCCCCCCCUCCCCUCCCGGCCUGCCCGGCCCAGGCCGCCUCCCCCUCCUCUCCUCCUGGGCCGGCCGCCCGGCCCAACCCGAGCGGCGCCCUCCCGCCCGUGCCGCGCACGUGCGCGCGCGUGCGCGCCGUUGCCGCGCGCUGACCGCGCGCCCGACCGCGUGGGGCCCACGCGCCAGGCGCGUCGUCUUCCUCCCGCCCGGCCCCUUCCUCUCUCUCCCUCCCGUGCGAACCCUAGCUCGCUCCCUCCUCCAAAUCCGCUUGAUUCAAUUGGCCAAUUCCAAAAUUAAUUGGGGGGUUUUAAUCCCAAUUGAAUCCUCUUCAAUUGCCCCCAAAUUCCCCCUUGAUUCGUGCCUUCAAUCCCCGGGAACGGACGCGCCAAGUCCGGCCGCUUUCCAUGGCCGUCGGCCGUUAUUCCCGUCGCCGUUCCGCCCUCUCCCGAGCCCGGCUCCCGCCCCCACCCUAUAAAAUGGGAUCCCCUCACUCCGUUCUAUCGUUUUAACCCCAUCCCGAGCCUCCCCGUGGUCCCUAGCCCUCUCCCCGCCGCCCUCCUCUCUCUCCCACGCCGCCGGCCGCCUCCAGCCGCCUGUGCCGCCUCGACCGUGCGCCGGCCGGCCGCGCCGUCGCCUCCUCCAGCGUCGCCGCCACCUCCUCCACCCCGGCCUGCCCUCCGUUUCGCGCGGUGACCGCCGGAGGCGCGUUCCUGCCGUCGCCCUUCUCUUUCCUCCGCGCCGGCCGCCUCCAGCCGCCUCUCCCUCCUCGCCGGAGCGCCGUCCGGCCGCGCCGUCUUCUCCCUCGGCCUCGCAGCCACCUCCUCUCCCUCGGUCAGCCCUCCGUUUCGCGGGGGAAGCACCGGAGACGCGUCCUCGCCGGCAAAACAGUGGCGUUGCCGCCACUGUUCCACCUCCGGCCGCCACUGUCGCGUUUCCCGUGCGCCGGCCGACGUCGCCACCACCUCCCUCGGCUCCGCGACGCCGCCCUCAUCCCCGGCAUCACCUCCUCCUCGCCCGAAGUUCGCCGGAACGCCGCCGCCGCGCCAACCACCCAUUCCUCCUCGUCGGCUCGUCGCCCCGCUGCACCACCACCUUCUCCAACAUCGCAGCAGCGCGUUCCACGCCGUCCCCUCCUCCGCUCAGCCGCUGCUGCCUGCCAUCAUCGUUUCCUCGUCACCGUUCGUCCUCGCCGAUCGACGUCCCGUCGGUCGCCCGGCUCGUCGUCUCGUGGCGCCGCCUCCGUCAUCAUCAUCGCUGCGGCGUGUUCCACGCCGUCCUCGUCCCCGUGCAGCCGCUGCCGGCUGUCCUCGUCGCCUCCUCGCCGGUCCCGGUCGUCGUCGUCGUCGUCGUCCUCUCGUCGUUCCCGGUCGUCGUGGCGUUCGUCCCUCCGUCGAGCCGUUCUCGUCCGUCGUCCGCGUUCGUCAAGCGAGCCGCUGCAGCCCCGUCCUCGUCUUCGUCCUCGGCUCCGCGUCGUCAAGCCUCGUGCCGGCCGCGUCUCGCCUUCGUCCAAGGAUCGCCGCCGAAGCCGUCCCCUCGCCGUUCGUCUCCGUUGUGCCCGUCUGUCUCCGCCGCGCCCGUUCGUCGUUGUCGUUCCCACGCCUCGUCGCGUGGUGGUAAGGAUCCCUCUCCCUCGCUGCCCUGUCCUCGUCCUUUCGGUGUCGCCCGUGCCCGUUGUGCGGUUGUCGGCCCCGGUACCCGUGUAUCGGUGUCGGCAGUCGUUCGCUUGUGCGCGUGGUGACCGUGUUAGUGUGUCCGCUCGGUAGCCGCGUGGUUUCCACGUGUGCAGUCCGCGUGGUGUCUAGUGGAGUCCGUUGACACACGGGGUCCGCUUCCGUCGACCCGUGGACCGUCUCUGUGUACUCGGUCUACCGCGGUCCUUUUUGUUGACAUGUGAGGUCCACAUGUCAACGGCGCAGCCUUCCUGUCUUUUCCAGGCUAGCGCUUACACAUGUUUUAUAAUUGCAAAGCUUAAUUAUAAUAAUUCGCAAAUCUCCAUAUAACAGCAUUAAACUUCGGAUGAUCAUAUCUUGGUCAUACGAACUCUGAAUUGACCCGUUCAAGUCUCCUAAUGUUUGUUAUAACCUAAAGAACCCUGUGCUUUCUUUUUAUGUAUUGUUAUUGCUUCUUUAUAGGCUUGUAGCUUUGCUUGUGUGCUUCGCGUAGCUUCUGUCGUUCCGGAGGUUCCCAAAGCGUGGUUCGUGGUCGUCGCCGAAGGUUCGGAAGGCCGUUCUCUCUGAGCAAGGCAAGUCACAUCAUCCUUGAGCAUAUUGAAUCCCAGUUUAUAAAAUUAUUUUAAUUUAAAUUAAUGCAUUAUCGCUUUAUUUAAAUUCCCGCGUUAUCACUGUUUUAUUUAGCCAUGCCUAUUUACCUUUGUUAUGACCUUAUUAUUAUUGCUAUUGUUAUUAUUACCUUGUUCACCCUAGGAUAAACAAAACCCCAACUAGUGGGUAUUCUAUUCAUGGUUCCACUAGUAUGAAUUUAGGUAGAUGCUUCGCUGAUUAAUUAGGCAAUAUUAGGUGGUUUUAUAACUUUAGACUUUGGGAAUUCUCAUAUCAUUUGGACACUAUGGAAUUGUUGGUUUAAGGUGGAAUUGGACAUACACCUCUCUUCCUCUUUCAAAACCCCUAAAACCUGUUUUCGGUGGGGUUUGGGUGCAUGCCAGUUGUGGGAAGUAGCACCCCGGCCACUAUAAGGAUUAAGCUCGGGCCUCUGUUGCAAAGCACUACCGUACUUCCACAUGUCUAGUGGGUAAGGCUUAGUUUGUGGCUCAGUCUGGUCAUAAACAAAAGUACACGGAUGGAGAUGGAUGAAGUCGGGGGUCGAUGGACAUUCUCUAGGACAAAUGAAGGCUACACGAGCUGCGGCCCGGUAGUCGAGAUGUCAUGGCACAGGGUUGGUGCCCUGCUGCUAGGGGCUCAGUCCUGCCUGCCUGUCCCGGAGGUUCCGGCCGUAGGUGGGAUUGGGUCGGUACUCUUGUCUAUGGCUAGGAUGGGUUGGAAACUAUGUCACGUCUUCCGUCUGUAUACCGUGGUGGUAUGUGGCACGUGGUUGCACGUGAGGAAGAUGUGUCUUGUGGGUAAAGAUGUACACCUCUGAUCAGAGUAUAAUCUAUUCGAAUAGCCGCGCCCUCGGUUAUGGGCAAGCCGAGCAAUGUACCCAAGUCAGUGUUUUAAUUCUUAAAAUUUGCUCAACAACUAAUAUGUGGAAUGGUUGGCCUGGGUUGGCUUGGGACGAGCUGGGACCCAGGGUCGGGUUGCCAGUUCGGUCUGAAUCAUCGUAGGCCUUGGGUUAAGGCAGGUUCGUGAGGGUUCACGGCCUUGUUUAAUAAUACUGUGUAGCUCUAGGAUCGUCUUUAUAAAAUGGCUUUGGGCAACUAAGUGACUUUUAAAUGCUGCUUUCUGCAAAACUUAACCCCUAUAUUAUUACCCCUUGUACCCCCUUGCAUUAAUCAUGCAUCUGCCGGUGUGGCUUGCUGAGUACUGUGGUUGUACUCAUUCUUGCUCAAUCUUUCCCCUCUUCAGUAAGAGAAGCUUUGGAGAAGAUGUCUUAGGUGGAGUCCUGGCUUAUACCCCAGUUGAGCGCCUGUGAAGAUGGAGCCGUAGGCCCGCUAGUCCGCUGCUGUUUAUUUUUGAUUGUCAGGCCUUAAGUGCCUUUGUAAUAAUGUAAAUAUUAUCGAUAUAAUAAAGAUGUGUCUUUUAUAUCAUGUUUGUGUGGUGUACCCCGGCUUUUCCUGGGACGGGGAUUAAUACACUAGCGUUCGGGAAAAGGCAAUUUUCCCGGUCGCGACAUUCGAGAAGCCACCCCUGACUGCCGAGUUCCUUACGACAGCCCGUCAUGACCAUACAACCGGGGCUAAAUAUGGAGGAGUACCCUCCCCAGGGAAUUAACUUAGGAUUAUAUACAUGCGUGGAGGAAUACCCGUACUGAGCUGUCACCAUCAGCGGCCCACCUCUCAUCCGCAGCAUAUAACCCCAAAUAAUGAUAUCCCGUAAUCUAGACACCACGUCUAAACUACCAGAUACUACUCUAAUAUCAUCAUCAUGAUGUAGAGUAAUUGCAUAAGCAAACAUUAUACACGCAUCUCCCAGAUAAGCUAGCAGCUUAUUCAGUAUAACAUGAACAUAAUGUAAAGUAGGCAUUCAUAUACUAGGAAAGUAUUUCAAUACCAUAAAUAUAUAGAGAAGAGUAUUCUAAUAAUAUUACAAAGCUUACAAAAGAGAAGAAAAGAGCUACUACAGCCAUACCCGAACUCUUCGGAAGGCUUCCGGACUCCUGAUUUCUAUUCUAUUCCUAUUCCACUAGCUUGAUACUACUAAACUAAACUUAAGAGAAUAUGAGAGAGCUUUGCUUGAGGUGUGUGUUGAAGUGAAGAGAGUGAGUCCUUAUAUAGGCUGCCAAUGACGGUUGUGGCAGUUGGAAUGGUCGGAAUUGCCCUCCAACAGUCAUUGGGGAGGGAUCCAUGCCGUACAGCCAAAACCUGGAUCCAACGGCGCCAGAGGAGGUUCGGCCCAACCCCCUGGUGUCACGACCGGAAAUAACCCACCGGGCGUUCCUUACGUGCGUGCAUUAAUCCUUGUCCCAGGAGGCAAGGUACACCAACAGUUGAUACAAUUCAGAGUUUAACAAGCGGAAGCGUAAAUAGUUAAUUUAUUACAUGGGCAGCAAAGGCCCAGCACACACAAAGACAAACGAGAAACAGCGGAAGACUAGGGCGACGACCACAGGCGCUUGACGGCAGGCACGAGCUAGACACCAAAACCUUCAUCUUCCAGGAACUCCUCUUCUGGGUUCGGGAAAAAUUGAGCAAGACUGAGUACAACCACCGUACUCAACAAGACACACCCACAAGUGCAGAAUAAAUGCAAGGGAGUACAAAGGAGUUAUACUAUAAAGGGUUAGGGUUUGCAGUAAACAGCAUUUAAAGGUACUUAGUUGCUCAAAGCUAUUUUGUAAAUACGAUUCUAGAACUAUACCAUAUUAUUUAUCAAGGCCGUGAACCCACACGAACCUGCCUUAACCCAAGGCCUACGAUGAUUCAGACCGAACUGGCAACCCGACCCUGGGUCCCAGCUCGUCCCAAGCCAACCCAGGCCAACCAUUCCACAUUUUAGUUGUUAAGCCGGUUUUAAGAAUUAAAACACUAACUUGGGUACAUUGCUCGGCUUGCCCAUAACCGAGGGCGCGGCUAUUCGAAUAGAUUAUACUCUGAUCAGAGGUGUACAUCUUUACCCACAAGACACAUCUUCCUCACGUGUAACCACGUGCCACAUACCACCACGGUAUACAGACGGAAGACGUGACAUAGUUUCCAACCCAUCCUAGCCAUAGACAAGAGUACCGACCCAAUCCCACCUACGGCCGGAACCUCUGGUACAGGCAGGCAGGACUGAGCCCCUAGCAGCAGGACACCGGCCCUGUGCCAUGACAUCUCGACUACCGAACCGCAGCCCGUGUAGCCUUCAUUUGUCCUAGAGAUGUCCAUCGACCCCCGACUUCGUCCACCUCUAAUCCGUGUACUUUUGUUUACAACCAGACUGAGCCACAAACUAAGCCUUACCCACUAGACAUGUGGAAGUACGGUAGUGCUUUGCAACAGAGGCCCGAAGACCGGUCCUUAUUUGGCCGAGGUGCUUCUAUCAAAACCAUGCACCCCGAGCCCAGCCCAAAACCAUUUUGGGGAUUUUGAAUAGAGGGGGAGGUGUGAAUCCAAUUCCACGGUAAUCCAACAAUUCCAUAGUGUCCAGGUGAUGAGAAUAUUCCCAAAGUCUAGAGUUGUAAAAUCACCUAAUGUUACCUAAUUAAAAGCGAAGCAUCUACCUAAAAUCAUACUGGUGGUACCAUGAGUAGAGUGUCCACUAGUUGGGGUUUUGUUUAUUCUAGGGUGAACAAGGUAAUAAUAACAAUAACAAUAAUAAUAAGGUCAUAACAAAGGUAAAUAGGCAUGGCUAGAUAAAAUAGUGAUAACGCGGGAAUUUAAAUAAAGCGAUAAUGCAAUAAUUUAAAUCAACAUAAUUUUAUAAACUGGGAUUCAAUAUAUUCAAGGAUGAUGUGACUUGCCUUGCUCGCUUUCCCAAACGUCGGCUUCAACCUCCACGAAGAGCGGAUCUUCCGAAGCUGCAGCGUCUACACGACCAACGGAAAAGAAAAGGCUUUUACUCUAAUAAACUCCAUAUAACAAGCAGAAACAAAGCACAAAAAUGGGUUCUUGACUUCUUAAGGAAAAAUUAGAGACUUGAACGGUCCAAUUCCGAGUUCAAAUGGCCAAGUUAUGGCCAUUUGAAGGUUAUAUGCUCUUUAAAUGGAUAUUUGCGAAUUUCUUCAUUUAAAUUUUAAUUUAAAAUCGGAUUUAUUGCGUCAGCUGAGGGGAGGGGCGCACGGACCGGGUCCACGGGAGUGGGGCCCACGCGGCAGCCUCACGGUCCACGGUGGACCAGGUGCACGCGGCUUACGCCGGCCGGCGCCGUGGGUCCCACGCGUCAGCCGCACCCGAGGGCGCGGGCGGCUGACGGCCGGGCCCCACAUGGCAGCCGCGGGGCGCGCCCGAAGGCGGCCUCGCCGGCACAGCCGACGGGAGGCGGCGCGCCCGCGCCCCUAUGGUCGCCGGCGGCGGCCAUAGGCACGGCGGAGCGGCGGCCGGGAGAGGGGAGGGAAGGGGGAAACGAAAUGGGCGGUCCACGGCUCACCCCGGGUCGACGGCGACGACGGGAACGGCGACCGGAGCGGAGGAAGGCGGCGGCGCGACUCGGGUCGACGAGGACGGCGGUGUUCCGGCGGUCGGCGGGCGAAACGGAGGGGUGGACGAGGUCGGCGAGGACGCGGCGAAGCCGAAGAAGGCGACGCCGAAGCGGGAGAAGGUCCGGGGCGACGACGGCGGCGGACCGGAGCUCGGCGGUGACGGCGGAGAGAGGGAGCGACGGCGCGAGCUCGAUUCCGACGGAGAGAGAGAGCGGCGAGGGUCGGAAACGGCGGAGGGAGGCACGGGGAGUGUUUAUAUAGGGUUGGGAGGGGGAGAGAGCGGCCGGAUGAGGGGGAAUCGGCUGCGGAAGAUCCGGCCGCCAUUGAUGCGCCGGCGAGGUUUAGGGGGAAAUGAUUCCGAGCGAAUCCGAGGGAGAGAGAGAGGGAAAAAUGGGGGGAAAGGGGGAGGGAAUCACGGGGAGUGAUUUCCCCCUCUUUAUUGCGCGCGUGGACGGCGGGAGGCGGCGGGAUUCGCGGCGGCGGCGGCGCUAGGGCACGGGCGAGGCGGCGGGAGCGGCGCGAGGUAGGGGAUGACGGGUGGGCCCCACCCGUCAGCGAGGGUGGCGGGCGGGCCCGCCCGUCAGCGGCGCGCGCGCGGGGAGGAGGCCGAUUGGGCCGCGGGGGAGAGGAGAGAGAGGGAGAGGGAGGUGGGCCGAGCCGGCCCAAGAGGGGAAGGGGGGGAAGAGGACUUUUUAGGGUUUUUCUUUUUAUAAACUCAUUUUAACUUUGUUUAUUUCUUUUUAAUUAUUAUUUGUGCUCUGAAAAUUCCACUAAAAUUUAUUUACGCAUUUUAGGCUUUUAGGAAAUAUACAAAAAUCCUCCAAGCCUUAUUUGACUUUUAACUUAGCACAUUUUAAUUGUUGGAGGCUUUCACAAGGAUUUUACUUAUUCUAUGCAUAAUUUCGAGGAUGUAUUUUAGAGUCGUUUUGGGACGCGACACCUGGUUCGUCCGAACCAGGGGCCGGCCCAACCUGGCCCAAAUUCGGCAAGUGGCCUCCUCCGUUGCUUCACUUCAUAGACUUGUGAAUUUUGGCCCAAUUCAUCGUGUCAAUUCUGAGUUCUUGGCCCAUUCAUGCAUAAGUAUGAUUCUCGACAUCGUCCGACUGAUUUACCGUCUGUGUUGAUAUCGAUUCUCCUCCACUUUAUGGUCAUUCUCUACAAAAAUGUUAGUAUACCUAAUACUAGUGGAAUAUUAUUAUUCUAACAUAUAUAUGCAUUGCAAGCAUUACAAGUUCUCCUUUAUUUUGAUAAUAUUGACGGUCGAAACUGAUCGAUAACGACCGUCAACAAAACUCCCCAAGCUUGAAACUUUGCUCGUCCCGAGUGAAGGACGAAAGGAAACAAAAACUUGGUUGUUGAUUAGGCGUUGCUACUAUGUUGUAUAUCUCAAAGAUACAGGUGCGGGGUAUAUGUACUCUCUCUCAGAUUAAAUAAUCUUUUGCACGGUGGCUUACCCUUACCCCUGAUUCCCACGAGACAAUGCUUCUCCUUGCCUUGAGCUGUUGAAAGACAGAACAACAAUUAGAGCACAAAUCACCCAAUAUUCAUCCAACUCUUAUUCCGGAUGUUUUCAAAUUAUUUUGCAAAAGAAAGCCUAUUUUCUCAAAUGAUUCACUUAGUAUCUCCAAGUGUAUCAAUACGACUUCCUCACCAAAUUUGCCUUGUUGAUUCCUACUCUAAAAUUUGAUAUGUGGAGCUCGGUAGGGAUCAAACAUGGCAUACUUGCAUUCACAUUUAUUACUAAGUCAAAAGCUUAGACUAAAGCAGAUAACUAAACAUACUCAAGAUCAAGAUCAUGCAAUGUGUGUGUGAUAUGUGGUGAAAUGAUAUAUGAUGAAUAAAGAAAAUGCUUCUCCUUUGUGCUUACUUUCUUCUCCCAAAAAUCCUUCUUUUAUUCAUUAGGAGAGGCCAUGGCUACUUUUUUUUUCAAUAUCAUGCUCAUGCUUGAUGGAGCAUAACUUUUUUUUUCAUAACCAUGCCUUUCCCUCCUCCUUCUUCUUUUUUUUUCAAAAUGAUUUUCUCUUUUAGGAGGAGAAAGCACUUGAAAGCAUGGAGAAUUUAUUUUGGUGGUAACAUGGAAAUGGAAUGGAAUAUUGCUCAGUUCCCAGUGUAGGAGUUUAGCAUGUGCAUAAAUGUGGGUGUAUGAUCUUGAUCAUAGAGCAUGAGAAGUAUUUACACAAGUCACAAGAGUUUGACAAGGUUCAAUGGAAUGGCAAGUAACCCUCAAUUUAUAUCAAAUGAGGAACCCUCAAUUUUACCAUUUUGAUAAACAAAACAUCCGGAAUUCAAGUCAAAAUAGGAUCAGGAUCAUAGCAACUCUUAUUUACUAUCUCAUAUCUUACAACAACUUAGACUCAGAUCAGCAAGUGCAGCUCAUUUACCUUAGGUUUCCAGAUAAUUGUUGGCUACUUAUAUUUAACCUUUGUGAGAGCACUUACCUAUGAACCCAUAUAUAAGAGAUAUAAAACAGAGCAACUAUUCAUCAUUUCAACGAAGAGAACUAGCUUGUAUUACCUAGAAUGACUCAAACCUAUCCUAUCUUUUUGGUAUUUUCAAUUUUGCAAAUUUAUAUGUUGUUUUCAGUUUAUAAGAUGCAAUUGAAAAGCAAACAUGCAAUUGGAAAGGGAAAUAUGCAAUGUGAUACAAGUUACCUCAGUGGGGGGAGAGAUGUCUCCCCCCAAGCUUGGCUUUCGCUCAGGAUCCUUGAUAAGGAUUGAAUCCCUGGAAGCGGAAGUAUGCUUGAAGGUCAUCGUGCUGUUACUGCAUUAUGUUGUUGAAGUUGGUAAAUUGAGCAUCGGCAGAUUGUUGCCAUUCUUGCGUUUGUGCUAUGUGUUCCGUGAGGUUGUACUGGAUCUCCCCCGUCUGCACAUCAAAGGUAUCCAUUCUCGUAGUGAUUUCACCCAAGUCCCAACAAGAGGAACACGAGCACAAUUCACUUAGAGAUGGAGGCACACCACUUGAUCUGGGAGGUUGGUCGUCCCCCCAUUGUAUGUCAUGAGGCGCACGCCAUCGGUCCUCACUGGCACUUGCCCAGCUUGAGACUCCGAUGCUGUAGCGUGGAGCUUGGGUCCAUCCGGGUGCAUCCCCAGUUGGUUCCCAACCUGUCUCACGGGUGUUGAGGAUGAUGAGCUUUCCCGUUCAUUUCUUGCCAUGUUGCGCAUCUCCCUGUAUGCUCCACCUGCACGAGAUUCUUCUAUGGUUUGCAGGGGAAUGGUUAGUUCACGGCAGUUGUACAAAUGAUACCCCGCAUUUGGCAACGGGAUUUCAUUUGUACAACCGGAGAAAAAGUAUAUCAAAGAUCCAUCUACUCCAUGUUUCAGAAUAUGACCUUGCACUAGAUAAGUCUCAUCAAUACACGGACGAGAGGCUAAGAUAAAAGCAAUUUGGUCGCUAAUGAUCCCUAGCCCUUUUGCUAUCCGAGUAAUCAGAGAAGUGCAGUCAACAGGAGCAGAGAACUUUAUAUUCUCUAACCAUUGUCUUAUCAUACAUUUCAUAGGAGCAAUUUUGUUUUUUCUAACCAUGGCAAACAUGAUAAUCAAUUCAUCCCCCCUAAUGGAUCUAUGAUCACCUCUAGGAAACAAGGUCAUAGCAAUCCAUUUAUGCAUGAGCCUAAGUGUAGGAUUAUGAAUGUCAUUCGUCUUAGGUUUCUUGCAAAUUGGAGCACCAGAAAUAUCUUCUCAAAACCUAGGAAACAAGGUCAUAGCAAGCAAUCCAUUUAUGCAUGAGCCUAAGUGUAGGAUUAUGAAUGUCAUUCGUCCUAGGUUUCUUGCAAAUUGGAGCACUAGAAAUGAUCCCAAAACCUAUUUUUAUCGAACCCAGAAAUUCCUUUCUGAAGAUCAAUUUUACAGGAAUCAUGAAAACCAAGAAGUGUACUUAAUCCUUUCCAUGUAAGUGUGUAUUCCUUAUGGAAAAAGUGAAAGGAAAUUCCAUCUUCUAUUUCUUUCAAAGUGCACAGAAAUUGCAAAGUAAGCAAACGAGAACCAGGCUCAUCUACCGUAGCAAAUCUCUGCCAUCCAACAGCUUUCCAAAUAGCAUGAAAUUCAACAUCCAUACCUAUCUUUUUCAGCAGCUCCACAGAGUAUUCCCGCGUGUGAGCAUACUUCUGGUCACUCAGCAUGUAGUAGGCUUGUCUCUCUCUCUCACCGACAAGGUCGAGGUCGGUGUCGUUCAGGAGUCAUCAACAGUUGGGAGCGGUCUCUUGUUGUUGAGGAUAUCCUUGAGGUAACGUGCAUAUGUUGGCACUUGCAUUGCAUCCAACUACGGCAUCUUGAUGUGAAUCUUCUGGAUCACUCCAAGAAAACGUGCGAACUGCUCGUCUACUGACUGUUUCCUUUUCCUUUGAGGAAACGGCGGCAACUGUGUGUCGCAGUAUUCCUGCGGCAGAGCCUUCUUUGGCUGAAUCUCUUUGUCAGCCGAAUUAUCAGAUGGUGCUUCCUUGUUGAUACCGCUAGUCCCUGCAGGGUUAGGAUACGGCGGAUCACUAGUGGACUUACCUCCCCUCGUUGUGAUCGCCUUAACAUUUUCAAUGGAGGAAUCGGGCUGCCCCGGAAUCCUCCCAGAUUCAUUUGCAGGUACUAAUGUGGCCAAUUAAGCUAACUGAGUUUCUAUCAUUUUAUUGAAGCUCAGCUGGUUUUGAAAUGUAGAAGCGAAGCCAUUAUUGACAGUCCUUAAAUCAUAAUAUCGGACCGUCAAUACCUGCAUAUAAUGAAAUAAAACAUGGUAUCCAACUUAGUAGUAGGUAUUAAUACUAAUAAUUUUUACUAGUGUUGGUGAAAUAUGUGUAUGAAGGUAAUUUGCGGAGAAAACACAUCCGUCAAGCGAUAAACUACACCUCCACGCAUUCAAGACACGUUUACAUGGAUUAGAGGCCCAGUAAGUCAAUGAAAAACAUUUAGAAUUGGGUCUAAAUAUAGUGCAGGUUAUUAGGGGCCCAUUAAGCAACAUACCGGCCAAAGGAGAGGCCGGGAGGCGUGUUUUUGGGUUCGGCCGAACCGUUUCUAGCGCUUCCCGCCAUCUGCUUCCACAUGGACGGCUUGGAUUCCUUCCCAAAGGCUAUUGGAGGGUGUUUUGGACAAUUCCCAUGUCCCUAACCGUCAUUUGGAGCCUAUAUAAGGAGGUCUCCUUCUCACUUCAAGGACACACAACUUUGAGCUAAAUUAUAAGAGGCUCUAUUAUAUCUUUUGUACAUUAUAAUAAGGUAGAGAGUGAGGGGAAGCUCUGGAGGAGUGUCCGGAAGUUUGGCGCUCAUCCGACUUCUACCUCGACGAGUAUAGCUUUCUAGGAGGAAUUCGGGAGGAGUAUCGGAGCUGUCGGUACACUCUGCUCCGGAUUCGGAGAACUUCUUCUAUAAAGUAAGCAUCCGUGUUCCUUUCUUAUGUUAUUUAAUUACUUUGUCUAAGUAGGAUAUAUUUCCAUCUUUGCUGGUUCAUUGUUUAGUAUUUAUACUAAGUGCUUUAGUACUAGGACUCCGGAUAGAGAAGGAAUUUCCUGCGCAAGUAUUAGAGUAGUAAUUAAUAACUUAGACGUGGUGUCUAGUUUAGAGAUUACCUUUGUUUGUUGUGUAUCCCACGGAUUUGUCAGAGGUAGGCGGCAGGUGGUGACAGCCCUGAAUCCUGUCCUAGUAAUUCUCCACGUUUGGAUACAUCAAAGAGCUAUAGCCGGAACCACGUUGGCAGGCCAGCAGGGGUAGGUGCCCGAAGCAACAGAUAGGAAAUUACCUUUGCUUAGCGUAGAUAAUUAAAACCCAUAGAAAGUCCUCUCUAGCCUGGUCUACCUAUCAUCAGUUGUUGUCCUUGAAUAGUCUUAGCCUUAGGUAGAUUACGCAUGUUCCCUGAGUUAGAUAUCCUUUUGGGGUCACCCGAAGGUGAAGUGCUACAGUGGUAUUCCGUGCGCUUGUGGAUUUAUCUGUGGUCGUAAUAAAUACCAACAAGCUCAAGGCUAGAUAUGUGCCAUCCUCUAAUAGCUAAUCAUUCACUCGAACCUAUGAUAGAUUAUAUAAUUUGUGAUAGACUCCUCAAUCACCUUUGGCAUGGCCAUGCACUCCAUAAUCUAUAACAUUGAGGGGCCCAGAGAUAUCUCUCCAUAGGAGGGGCAAAUCACACUAUGAUUAUUCAUAUCCCACUACAUGUUUCAUAGCAUACCCGAAAACUACUUUUAUAACUACCCAAUUAUGGGGUAGCGUUUAGCAGUCCCUAAGUAAGCUACUACAUAUGUUGGGAACCAUGAUAAUCUCAUGUCUAAGAAUUCAACACCAACACUAAAUGAAAUCACUGAUGACACAACACAUAUGGCUCUUGCAGUGUCUCGAGUUGGGUCUAUCCAACAACAAGUUUGUCACGCCCGGAAUUUCUAUCCAAAAUUCCAAACGCUUACAUGUGUGUUAAACCCUCGUCCAGGAAUCAACCGAGGCACACAAUAACAAAUUGAUAAUAGAGUACAAGUAAAUAACUAUUUAAUACUCGCAAACAAUAAAAUAUUACAGAGGUAGAUAGUUCCUCUCAAAGAAUAACCUUCUACGCAGCGGAAAAAUAAGACUAUAACAAACUACGGAAGAGCUAUGGCGACUCCACUCCACAGGCAACUUAACCAGAACAAGCCUAAUCCUCCAGAUCAUCACCUUCACUGAGAUACUCCUCUUCUGAUGAUUGAAUAUUGCAAGAAUGAGCAUAUGACAUACUCAACAAGUCACACAGCAAAUAUGCAAGUGCACAAGAUAACAAAGGAUGGCAUAAUAUAGCUCAUUUGUAGAAACAGCAUUUAAUAAAUAUUUAAGAGAAUGGUAAAAACAGUUGAAUAAUUAAUCAAUAUUAAAUAACACCAUACAACACACCCAUGUUGCAUAGGGCCAACCUCAUAUGAACAACCAACCCCGGUUGUACAAAUCUAACCUCCAUACCAGGAAUAUACCAUUCCAAACCAGGAGUCAAAUUGAUUAUCACAAUUACCAUUAAUGAAUAACAUGGGACUAAUCACGAAAAACAUUGCUCAACUCACCCAUAACCGCGGGUAUGGCUAUUCGAAUAGAUUAAACUCUGAUCAGAGGUGUACCACUGUACCCACAAGACACAAUCCCACAACAUGUUACCAUGCGCCUUAGUACCACCACGAUACCUCGGAAAGGAACUGUGACAAUACCCCUUGCAUAACACAACUCACCACAGUGCACCGUACCUGGAUCAUAAUCACCCCCUCUACAACCAGAGGCAUGGACUCCCCAGCGACCCCCACGGACUUCUCGCUGCUUCUCAGUCUGGCACUCCAUAAUGAAUCAUGCUAUACAAAAGGUAAAGCCGUUGCCCACGCUGGCUUGUGGUUGGCACGGUAAAAGUUUCACAACAGUAGCUCGCGAACCGGUCCAUAAUUAUCAUGAGCACAACCAUCAAAACCAUAUGCUCACAACCCACCUUAACCAGGUUUUAAUUAUCAAUUAAUUAACAUCACACGAUCACCCAUCGUGAGCUACCAUUUAAUGUAACCAUAAUUAAAAUAAUAAUGUAACAUAGUCUAUAAUUAAUCCCUUUAGUUAGCUAAUGUUUCUAAGCACGGCUAAGCAAACUUACAUAUAGCAUUUAGCUGAACCAAUCCAACAUAUAAGGUUCAUGCUAAUCAAAUUAUAACCCAUAGGAAAAUAAGAUCAUCUUCGGCCGUUAAUUAAUUGGGAAGGUUCACCACCCGAUGACAUUCGAAAACAAUGCAUAGUUGAAAUAAAAUAAUAGCUUUAAACGGGUUUAACAUGCUCAAAGAGUUGUUUGGGAUCUGUGUGACUUGCCUUGGGCUUCCGCAAACGCUUCGGAACCUUCCUCAACGGAAAUGCUCUCCUCCGGAACGUCGAAAACUAAAGCAAUUAAACAAAAAUCAACAAAACAGUACAAAAACAAGCAUAAACAGUACAUGUGGAUAUUUUUAACAUGUAGAUCUUGAUUUUAGAAAAAUUUAGCAACUUGAACCACCUGAAACGGAUCUACGAUUAUUUAGUUAUGAUUUUCCGAAGAUUUAAUCUAUUAGAAAAAAAAAGAAAAAGGGAAAGAUGAUGAUGUCAUGAUGACGUCAUCAAUGGCGGCCUUGGCUCGGGCGGCACGACCACCGGCGCUACGGACCUUGGUCGGGCGAAAAGAGGGCACCUACGCGUAGAGGGCAACAAGACGAACGCAACGGUACUCACCAAUGCGCCCAACGACGACCGAUGGUGGCCGGCGACGAGAGGAGGCGGCGCGGCGGUUCGGUCGACGGCGGCGACGGGUCUCUGGCGACCGGCGACAACGGGGAGAGGGCGGCCGAGGUUCCUCACCUCCGUGCGCACCUAACGGCGGCGAGAGGAAGCGGCGGCGACGGCGAAAUCGAUGGCGCGGCGCGGCUGGAGAUCGCCGGCGGCGACGGCGAGACAAGGCGGCGUCGGCGGCGAGCUACGGGGCACGGGAGAGGACGGGAAUAGGGGCAAACGAAAGAGGGGAAUGUCGCGUCCUAAAACGACUCUAAAAUACAUCCUCGAAAUUGUGCCGAGAAUAAUUAAAAUUCGUGUGAAAGCCUCCAACAAUUAAAAUGUGCAAAUAUAAAAGUCAAAUAAGGCUUGGAGGAUUUUUGUAUAUUUCCUAAAAGCCUAAAAUGCGUAAAUAAAUUUUAGUGGAAUUUUCAGAGCACAAAUAAUAAUUGAGAAGAACUAAACAAAGUUAAAAAGGUUUUAUAAAAAGAAAAACCCUAAAAGAAGUCCUUUUCCCCCCCCUUCCCUUCUUGGGCCGGCUCGGCCCAAUUCCCUCCCUCUCUCUCCUCUCCCCCGCGGCCCAUCGGCCUCCUCCCCGCGCGCGCGCCGCUGACGGGCGGGCCCGCCCGCCACCCUCGCUGACGGGUGGGGCCCACCUGUCAUCGCCUACCUCGCGCCUCGCCCGCCGCCGCCCGUGCCCUAGCGCCGCCGCCGCCGCGGAUUCCGCCGCAUCCCGCCGUCCCCGCGCGCCAUAAAGAGGGGGAAAUCACUCCCCGUGAUUCCCUCCCUCUUUCCCCCCACUUUCCCCUCUCUCUCUCCCUCGGAUUCGCUCGGAUUCCAUCCCGCAAAGUUCGCCGGCGCAUCAAUGGAGCCCGAGAUCGCCGCGCCGGUUUCCUUCCUCCCCGGCCGCCCUCUCUCGCUCCCGUCCCUAUCUAAUUGUUCCCCGUGCCUCACUCCUCCGUUUCCGCCACUCGCCGCUCGCUCUUUCCGUCGGAUUCGUGCUCGCGCCGUUGUACUCUCUCUCCGCCGUCGCCGCCGAGCUCCGGUUCGCCGCCGUCGUCGCUCCGGACCUCCUCCCGUCUCGGCGUCACCUCCAUCGGCUUCGCCGUGUCCCCGUCAACCUCGUCCACCCCUUCGUUUCGCCCGCCGACCGUCGGAGCGCCGCCGUCCUCGUCGAUCCGAACCGCGCCGCCGCCUUCCUCCGCUCCGGUCGUCGUCUCCGCCGCCCUCGUCGUCCCGGGGUGAGCCGAGGACCGCCGUUCGCUUUCCCUCUUCCCUCCCCUCUCUCGGCCGCCGCUCCGCCGCGCCGUUGGUCGCCGGCGGCGACCAUCGGGGCGCGGGUGCGCCGCCUCCCGUCGGCCGUGCCGGCGAGGCCGCCUUCGGGCGCGCCCCGCGGCUGCCAGGUGGGGCCCGGCCGUCAGCCGCCCGCGCCCGCGGGUGCGGCUGACGCGUGGGCCCCACUCCCGUGGACCCGGUCCGCGCGCCCUCUCCCUCGGCUGACGCAAUAAAUCCGAUUUUUAAUUAAAAUUUAAAUGAAGAAAUUCGCAAAUAUCCAUUUAAAGAGCAUAUAAACUUCAAAUGGCCAUAACUUGGCCAUUUGAACUCGGAAUUGGACCGUUCAAGUCUCUAAUUUUUCCUUAAGAAGUCAAGAACCCAUUUUUGUGCUUUGUUUCUGCUGUUAUAUGGAGUUUAUUAGAGUAAAAGCCCUUUUCUUUUCCGUUGGUCGUGUAGACGCUGCAGCUUCGGAAGAUCCGCUCUUCGUGGAAGUUGAAGCCGACGUUUGGGAAAGCGAGCAAGGCAAGUCACAUCAUCUUUGAGCAUAUUGAAUCCCAGUUUAUAAAAUUAUGUUGAUUUAAAUUAUUGCAUUAUCGCUUUAUUUAAAUUCCCGCGUUAUCACUGUUUUAUUUAGCCAUGCCUAUUUACCUUUGUUAUGACCUUAUUAUUAUUGUUAUUGUUAUUAUUACCUUGUUCACCCUAGAAUAAACAAAACCUCAACUAGUGGACACUCUACUCAUGGCACCACUAGUUUAGUUUUAGGUAGAUGCUUCGCAAUUUAAUUAGGUAACAUUAGGUGGUUUUUCAACUAUAGACUUUGGGAAAUAUUCAUAUCACUUGGACACUAUGGAAUGGUUUGGUUAUUGUGGAAUUGGCUUCACACCGCUCCUUCUAUUCAAAAUCCCCAAAAUGGUUUUAGGCUGGGUUCAGGGUGCAUGGUUUUGAUAGUAGCACCUCGGCCAUAUAAGGACCGGUCUUCGGGCCUCUGUUGCAAAGCACUACCGUACUUUCACAUGUCUAGUGGGUAAGGCUUAGUUUGUGGCUCAGUCUGGUUAUAAACAAAAGUACACGGAUUGGAGAUGAAUGAAGUCGGGGGUCGAUGGACAUUCUCCAGGGCAAAUGAAGGCUACACGAGCUGCGGCCCGGUAGUCGAGAUGUCAUGGCACAGGGCCGGUGUCCUGCUGCUAGGGGCUCAGUCCUGCCUGCCUGUCCCGGGGGUUCCGGCCGUAGGUGGGAUUGGGUCGGUACUCUUGUCUAUGGCUAGGAUGGGUUGGAAACUAUGUCACAGCUUCCGUCUGUAUACCGUGGUGGUAUGUGGCACGUGGUUGCACGUGAGGAAGAUGUGUCUUGUGGGUAAAGAUGUACACCUCUGAUCAGAGUAUAAUCUAUUCGAAUAGCCGCGCCCUCGGUUAUGGGCAAGCCGAGCAAUGUACCCAAGUUAGUGUUUCAAUUCUUAAAACCUGCUUAACAACUAAAAUGUGGAAUGGUUGGCCUGGGUUGGCUUGGGACGAGCUGGGACCCAGGGUCGGGUUGCCAGUUCGGUCUGAAUCAUCAUAGGCCUUGGGUUAAGGCAGGUUCGUGUGGGUUCACGGCCUUGAUUAAUAACAUUGUAUAGUUCUAGGAUCGCGUUUACAAAAUAGCUUUGAGCAACUAAAUGUCUUUAAAUGCUGUUUUCUGCAACCCUAACCCCUUUAUAGUAUAAUUCCUUUGUACUCCCUUGCAUUUAUUCUGCAUUUGUGGGUGUGUCUUGUUGAGUACGGUGGUUGUACUCAGUCUUGCUCAAUUUUUUCCCAAGCCCAGAAGAGGAGCUCCUUGAAGAUGAAGGCUUUGGUGUCUAGCUCGUGCCUGCCGUCAAGCGCCUGUGGUCGUCGCCCUAGUCUUCCGCUGUUUCUCGUUUGUCUCUGUAAUAAGUUAUCUAUUUACGCUUCCGCUUGUUAAACUCUGAAUUGUAUCAACUUUUGGUGUACCUUGCCUCCUGGGACAAGGAUUAAUGCACGCACGUCAGGAACGCCCGUUGGGUUAUUUCCGGUCGUGACAAGUUGGUAUCAGAGCCACCCUUGACCCUAGGACGAGCCGUAGAUCCCAAGCCUUAGCAAUAUUUUCAAAAAUAAAAAUCUUUUGUUAUUUGUGAAAACUGUCUAGUCUCUCUCUGUCUUGCUGCUUCAUUUAUCGCCAAAAUCUGACCUUUAAAAUGUUGUCUUUUCUUUUUGUUUUUGUUUGUAGAUGGCCGGCAGCGUCACCCGUCGUGGUUUGGACAUGACUGGCUUUGUCUUGGAGCUGCGGGGCAUGUGCGUGGUCUUGGGGUAUCCACAUGGAGUGGACUACCAGGCCAGGCCGCUUCCGGAGCAGGAGGGUGACGAUGCAGAGCCCCACGCUGGUUGGGAGGUCACUGCAGUGAUCCUCUCUGGUUCUCCCGAGCGGACUUCGCUGGCAGUCACCGCGGGUGGAGAUUCCUUCCCCGCCGCUUGCCAGAACGCCGCUCUCCUCGCCAUCGGCACUCUUCACCAGCGCUACCCGGACGAGUUGCAGCACUCGCCCUACCGCUACCACCCUCGUCGCGGAGGAGCCCGCGACUACGCCACCUUCCGGGAUGCUAGCUCGGAGGAUGACGCUACCAUCGUGCACCUGGCGCGCAUGGUGGAGGCGUACGACGCGGCUCGUAUCGACUUCCACCAGAUGGUACACCGUGGGAUGGUCGAGAACAACUUGAAGAUCCUGGAGCUGCGUCAGGAGAACCUGCAGCUCAAGAAGGACCUAGACGCGGUGGAGGUGCAGCUGCAUCAGCUCAAGAUCGCCCAGGGAGAGGUCUGCCGCCCCAAGCGUCGCCGUGUCUGCCGCAGCCAGAAGAUCACCGCCCGCAAGAGCACCUCCAGGCCCGAGCUUGUUCGUCAGUCCCUGGCGUGGACUUGCUUCGUCGAGACCCCUCGUGCCGAGCCCGCGCCCGUGGUUCCCCAGGAGGGGGAAGCCUCCGGCGUUGGUAGCACGGAGGAUGCGCUGUUGCUCACCUUCCGUCCUGGCCCGUCGCAGCGGUAGACGAGCAGUUAGUAGGCUUGCGCGUGUGUUCUUUCUUGUUUGUCUUUUGUUUGAGUCGUGUGGGGCAUGGUCAUGCCGGUGUGUGGCAUAACUGUGUCGGAGCCUGUCUUAUUUUAUUUGCCUAAGCAACUUGAACUUUAAUGAACCCAUUUAAUAGCAGUAAUAAAUUCAAGAAUUAUGGUAGUCGUGGGUGGUUAGUUUUAAUUGUUAGCUCUUUCUCUGUUUGCUGGUUCUGUGUGGGGUUUUCAGAUGGUGACGACCAGGAGAAAUGCUGCCACCGGUGAUGGCAACCAACCUGAAGGCAGCAACCACAACCACCCGGGCAACCCACCUCCACCUCCUCCUCCGCCUCCACCACCACCACCAGAUACCAAUGCCAUUCUCACCCAAAUCCUCGCCCAGCAGGCCAACAUGAUGACUGCUUUCCUCCACCACCUCCAAAAUCCACCACAACAGAAUGCUCCACCACCACCCCCACAACACUCUAAACUCGCCGAGUUCCUCCGCAUCCGUCCACCCACCUUCUCUAGCUCCAACAACCCCGUGGAUGCGUUGGAUUGGUUGCAUGCCGUGGGGAAAAAGCUAGACACGGUGCAGUGCAGCGAUGAGGAGAAAGUCAUCUUCGCCGCCCACUAGCUGCAGGGGCCCGCAUCUCUAUGGUGGGACCAUUUCCAAGCUACGCAGCCAGAGGGGCAACCUAUUACUUGGGCCCGCUUCACCGCCGCUUUCCGGAGGACCCAUGUGCCCGCUGGAGUCGUGGCUCUUAAGAAAAGGGAAUUCCGAGAGUUGAAGCAAGGCAACCGCUCCGUGAUGGAGUAUUUGCAUGAGUUCAACAAUCUGGCCCGUUACGCCCCGGAGGAUGUGCGGGAAGAUGAGGAGAAGCAAGAGAAGUUCUUGGCAGGAAUGGACCCCGAGCUGUCCGUCCGUCUAGUCUCUGGGGACUAUCCGGAUUUUCAACGAUUGGUGGACAAGAGCAUCCGCUUGGAGGCCAAGCACAAGGAACUGGAGUCGCACAAGCGCCGCUUGGCGAAUUUCCGCAAUCAGCAGGGUGCUAACCAAAGGGUCCGCUACACCAAUCCCUAUCCAGGGGGAUCCUCCUCGCAGCAGCAACAACAGCAGCAGCAACCUCGCUCCGCGCCUCGACCUCAAUUCGUGGUGCGCGUCCCACAGCCGCAGCAGCAGCAGAAUCAGCAAGGGACUCGUGCGCCCCGUCCUCCUACGCCGACUGUGCAGCCCGGUCAAGGCCGCAGGGACGCUCAAGGUCAGCAGCGUCUGUGCUUCAACUGCUUCGAGCCCGGGCACUUUGCGGAUAAAUGCCCGAAGCCAAGGCGUCAGCAAGGUCAAGCGCCUCCCCGCUCCAACAACGGUGGGAAGGAUGUCAUUCGGGGUCGUGUGAAUCACGCGACGGCCGAGGACGUGCUGACAACUCCAGACGUCAUCGUUGGUACGUUCCUCGUUCAUUCCAUCCCUGCUACCAUUUUGUUCGACUCUGGAGCUUCCCACUCGUUUAUAUCUGUGCCAUUCGUGGGGAGAAAUCAGUUGGGGGUAGAAAGGCUUAGGAACCCUCUGCUCAUCACCACCCCUGGAGGGGUUAUGACAGCAAAGUAUUAUAGCCCUGCCGUCCCUAUAGAAAUUCAGGGGAUUCCUUUUCCCUCGGAUCUGAUUCUGCUAGACACCAAGAAUUUGGAUGUGAUUCUUGGGAUGAAUUGGUUGGCUCAAUUCCAAGGAGUAGUGGAUUGCGCGAGGCGCACUGUCACUCUGUACCGAGGGCCGGAACAACCGGUUGUUUUCUUUGCACCCCCAACCUCUGUCAGAAGUUCAGAACGGCAUCAGAUAGGACUGUCAGAAAUCCCCAUCGUCAGGGAGUUCGGAGAUGUGUUUCCGGAAGAACUACCCGGUAUGCCGCCCAAGCGAGAGAUUGAGUUCCGGAUAGAUCUUGCUCCAGGAACCACUCCUCUGCACAAGCGACCCUACCGUAUGGCAGCAAAUGAACUGGCCGAAGUAAAGAAACAGUUGGAAGAGUUGAAAGAAAAGGGGUACAUACGUCCGAGUACUUCCCCCUGGGGUGCUCCUGUGAUUUUUGUGGAGAAGAAAGACAAGACUAAGAGGAUGUGCGUUGACUACAGAGCUCUCAAUGAAGUCACCAUCAAAAACAAGUACCCUCUUCCCCGGAUCGAUGAUCUGUUCGAUCAGCUUAAAGGUGCCACUGUAUUCUCCAAGAUUGAUCUUCGUUCUGGAUAUCACCAAUUACGUAUUCGUGAAGAAGAUAUUCCGAAGACCGCAUUCACCACGCGAUACGGGCUGUAUGAAUUCACGGUGAUGUCAUUCGGCCUAACCAAUGCACCUGCCUUCUUCAUGAACUUAAUGAACAAAGUGUUCAUGGAAUACUUGGAUAAGUUUGUUGUGGUUUUCAUUGAUGACAUUCUGAUAUACUCACAAUCAGAAGAAGACCAUCAGCACCAUCUCCGUCUGGUGUUGGGAAAGUUGCGGGAACAUCAAUUGUAUGCCAAGCUUAGCAAGUGUGAGUUCUGGUUGUCCGAAGUCAAAUUCUUAGGGCACGUGAUAUCUGCUAAAGGAGUUGCUGUGGACCCCGAAACAGUGACCGCCGUCACCGAUUGGAAGCAACCCAAGACAGUUACUCAAGUCCGCUGUUUCUUAGGUUUGGCAGGAUACUACCGGAGAUUCAUCGAGAACUUCUCCAAAAUCGCUCGACCCAUGACACAGUUGUUGAAGAAAGAAGAGAAAUUUGUGUGGAGCCUGCAAUGCGAGAAGGCGUUCCAAACUCUCAAGGAAAAGCUGGUUUCCUCGCCGGUGUUAAUCUUACCGGAUACUCGCAAGGACUUCCUGGUGUAUUGUGACGCUUCGCGCCAAGGAUUGGGGUGCGUGCUCAUGCAGGACGGUCACGUGGUAGCCUAUGCCUCACGUCAGCUACGACCUCAUGAAGGCAACUACCCUACACAUGAUUUGGAGUUAGCCGCGGUGGUUCAUGCUCUAAAAAUCUGGCGGCACUAUCUUAUUGGGAAUCGCUGUGAAAUAUAUACUGAUCAUAAGAGUUUAAAAUACAUCUUCACCCAGUCGGAUCUGAAUCUUCGGCAAAGGAGAUGGUUAGAACUCAUCAAGGACUAUGAUGUGGGAAUUCACUAUUAUCCUGGUAAGGCCAACGUGGUUGCCGACGCUCUAAGUCGAAAGGGCCAUUGCAACACUCUUAACGUCCGUGGCAUUCCACCCGAACUUAAUCAACAGAUGGAAGCCCUGAACCUAAGCAUAGUUGGUCGCGGAUUCUUGGCCGCGCUAGAAGCCAAGCCCACCUUGCUCGAUCAAAUCCGCGAGGCUCAGAAGAAUGAUCCGGACAUGCAUGGACUCCUCAAGAAUAUGAAACAGGGUAAAGCCGCUGGUUUCACAGAGGAUGAACACAGAACCCUAUGGAACGGAAAUCGGGUAUGCGUUCCAGAUAACAGAGAACUUAAACAGCUGAUACUUCAGGAAGCUCACGAGAGUCCUUAUUCCAUUCACCCGGGCAGUACAAAGAUGUACUUAGACUUGAAGGAAAAAUACUGGUGGGUUAGUAUGAAGCGGGAAAUUGCAGAGUUCGUGGCCCUUUGUGAUGUGUGCCAGCGUGUCAAGGCAGAGCACCAACGACCGGCCGGACUUCUCCAACCUCUCCAAGUACCAGAAUGGAAAUGGGAUGAAAUUGGGAUGGAUUUCAUCACCGGACUUCCAAAAACCCAAGGUGGAUAUGAUUCUAUAUGGGUAGUUGUGGAUCGAUUAACCAAGGUAGCUCGAUUUAUUCCUGUGAAGACCACCUAUGGAGGGAACAAACUAGCAGAGCUCUACUUCGCUAGGAUCGUGAGUCUCCAUGGCGUUCCCAAGAAAAUCGUAUCUGAUAGGGGAAGCCAAUUCACCUCUCAUUUCUGGAAGAAACUCCAAGAAGAAUUGGGAACCCGAUUAAAUUUCAGCACCGCGUAUCAUCCGCAGACAGAUGGACAGACCGAGCGUCUAAAUCAGAUCCUAGAAGAUAUGCUCCACGCAUGUGUACUAGAUUUCGGGAAGACCUGGGAUAAGAGUCUCCCCUAUGCUGAGUUCUCCUACAAUAACAGUUAUCAAGCCAGCAUACAAAUGGCACCUUAUGAAGCGUUGUACGGGCGCAAAUGCCGGACACCGCUCUUGUGGGACCAAGUUGGAGAAAGCCAAGUGUUCGGGACUGAUAUCCUGAGAGAAGCUGAAGCUAAAGUCAGAAUCAUUCGGGAUAAUCUAAAGGUGGCACAGUCCCGGCAGAAAAGUUAUGCGGAUAACCGACGCCGUGAUCUGGAAUUCGCAGUGGAUGACUUUGUGUAUCUUCGGGUCACGCCAUUGCGAGGUGUACACAGGUUUCAGACAAAAGGGAAGCUCGCACCUCGGUAUGUGGGUCCUUUCCGUAUCAUUGCUCGACGCGGAGAAGUCGCUUACCAGCUGGAGCUGCCCGCCUCCUUGGGCAACGUGCAUGAUGUGUUCCAUGUGUCGCAACUCAAGAAAUGCCUUCGAGUGCCAUCCGAGCAGGCCGACUCAGAGCAGAUUGAAGUUCGCGAAGACUUGACCUAUGUGGAGAGGCCAGUGAAAAUCCUGGACACCAUGGAGCGCAGGACCAGGAACCGGGUAAUCCGUUUUUGCAAGGUCCAGUGGAGCAACCAUGCCGAAGAAGAAGCUACUUGGGAGCGUGAAGACGAGCUGAAGGCAGCCCAUCCCGAUCUCUUCGCCAGUUCUUCCGAAUCUCGGGGUCGAGAUUCCGUUUAAGGGGGGUAGGUUUGCCGCGUCCUAAAACGACUCUAAAAUACAUCCUCGAAAUUGUGCCGAGAAUAAUUAAAAUUCGUGUGAAAGCCUCCAACAAUUAAAAUGUGCAAAUAUAAAAGUCAAAUAAGGCUUGGAGGAUUUUUGUAUAUUUCCUAAAAGCCUAAAAUGCGUAAAUAAAUUUUAGUGGAAUUUUCAGAGCACAAAUAAUAAUUGAGAAGAAAUAAACAAAGUUAAAAAGGUUUUAUAAAAAGAAAAACCCUAAAAGAAGUCCUUUUCCCCCCCCUUCCCUUCUUGGGCCGGCUCGGCCCAAUUCCCUCCCUCUCUCUCCUCUCCCCCGCGGCCCAUCGGCCUCCUCCCCGCGCGCGCGCCGCUGACGGGCGGGCCCGCCCGCCACCCUCGCUGACGGGUGGGGCCCACCUGUCAUCGCCUACCUCGCGCCUCGCCCGCCGCCGCCCGUGCCCUAGCGCCGCCGCCGCCGCGGAUUCCGCCGCAUCCCGCCGUCCCCGCGCGCCAUAAAGAGGGGGAAAUCACUCCCCGUGAUUCCCUCCCUCUUUCCCCCCACUUUCCCCUCUCUCUCUCCCUCGGAUUCGCUCGGAUUCAAUCCCGCAAAGUUCGCCGGCGCAUCAAUGGAGCCCGAGAUCGCCGCGCCGGUUUCCUUCCUCCCCGGCCGCCCUCUCUCGCUCCCGUCCCUAUAUAAUUGUUCCCCGUGCCUCACUCCUCCGUUUCCGCCACUCGCCGCUCGCUCUUUCCGUCGGAUUCGUGCUCGCGCCGUUGUACUCUCUCUCCGCCGUCGCCGCCGAGCUCCGGUUCGCCGCCGUCGUCGCUCCGGACCUCCUCCCGUCUCGGCGUCACCUCCUUCGGCUUCGCCGCGUCCCCGUCAACCUCGUCCACCCCUUCGUUUCGCCCGCCGACCGUCGGAGCGCCGCCGUCCUCGUCGAUCCGAACCGCGCCGCCGCCUUCCUCCGCUCCGGUCGUCGUCUCCGCCGCCCUCGUCGUCCCGGGGUGAGCCGAGGACCGCCGUUCGCUUUCCCUCUUCCCUCCCCUCUCUCGGCCGCCGCUCCGCCGCGCCGUUGGUCGCCGGCGGCGACCAUCGGGGCGCGGGUGCGCCGCCUCCCGUCGGCCGUGCCGGCGAGGCCGCCUUCGGGCGCGCCCCGCGGCUGCCAGGUGGGGCCCGGCCGUCAGCCGCCCGCGCCCGCGGGUGCGGCUGACGCGUGGGCCCCACUCCCGUGGACCCGGUCCGCGCGCCCUCUCCCUCGGCUGACGCAAUAAAUCCGAUUUUUAAUUAAAAUUUAAAUGAAGAAAUUCGUAAAUAUCCAUUUAAAGAGCAUAUAAACUUCAAAUGGCCAUAACUUGGCCAUUUGAACUCGGAAUUGGACCGUUCAAGUCUCUAAUUUUUCCUUAAGAAGUCAAGAACCCAUUUUUGUGCUUUGUUUCUGCUGUUAUAUGGAGUUUAUUAGAGUAAAAGCCCUUUUCUUUUCCGUUGGUCGUGUAGACGCUGCAGCUUCGGAAGAUCCGCUCUUCGUGGAAGUUGAAGCCGACGUUUGGGAAAGCGAGCAAGGCAAGUCACAUCAUCUUUGAGCAUAUUGAAUCCCAGUUUAUAAAAUUAUGUUGAUUUAAAUUAUUGCAUUAUCGCUUUAUUUAAAUUCCCGCGUUAUCACUGUUUUAUUUAGCCAUGCCUAUUUACCUUUGUUAUGACCUUAUUAUUAUUGUUAUUGUUAUUAUUACCUUGUUCACCCUAGAAUAAACAAAACCUCAACUAGUGGACACUCUACUCAUGGCACCACUAGUUUAGUUUUAGGUAGAUGCUUCGCAAUUUAAUUAGGUAACAUUAGGUGGUUUUUCAACUAUAGACUUUGGGAAAUAUUCAUAUCACUUGGACACUAUGGAAUGGUUUGGUUAUUGUGGAAUUGGCUUCACACCGCUCCUUCUAUUCAAAAUCCCCAAAAUGGUUUUAGGCUGGGUUCGGGGUGCAUGGUUUUGAUAGUAGCACCUCGGCCAUAUAAGGACCGGUCUUCGGGCCUCUGUUGCAAAGCACUACCGUACUUCCACAUGUCUAGUGGGUAAGGCUUAGUUUGUGGCUCAGUCUGGUUAUAAACAAAAGUACACGGAUUGGAGAUGAAUGAAGUCGGGGGUCGAUGGACAUUCUCCAGGGCAAAUGAAGGCUACACGAGCUGCGGCCCGGUAGUCGAGAUGUCAUGGCACAGGGCCGGUGUCCUGCUGCUAGGGGCUCAGUCCUGCCUGCCUGUCCCGGGGGUUCCGGCCGUAGGUGGGAUUGGGUCGGUACUCUUGUCUAUGGCUAGGAUGGGUUGGAAACUAUGUCACAGCUUCCGUCUGUAUACCGUGGUGGUAUGUGGCACGUGGUUGCACGUGAGGAAGAUGUGUCUUGUGGGUAAAGAUGUACACCUCUGAUCAGAGUAUAAUCUAUUCGAAUAGCCGCGCCCUCGGUUAUGGGCAAGCCGAGCAAUGUACCCAAGUUAGUGUUUCAAUUCUUAAAACCUGCUUAACAACUAAAAUGUGGAAUGGUUGGCCUGGGUUGGCUUGGGACGAGCUGGGACCCAGGGUCGGGUUGCCAGUUCGGUCUGAAUCAUCAUAGGCCUUGGGUUAAGGCAGGUUCGUGUGGGUUCACGGCCUUGAUUAAUAACAUUGUAUAGUUCUAGGAUCGCGUUUACAAAAUAGCUUUGAGCAACUAAAUGUCUUUAAAUGCUGUUUUCUGCAACGCUAACCCCUUUAUAGUAUAAUUCCUUUGUACUCCCUUGCAUUUAUUCUGCAUUUGUGGGUGUGUCUUGUUGAGUACGGUGGUUGUACUCAGUCUUGCUCAAUUUUUUCCCAAGCCCAGAAGAGGAGCUCCUUAAAGAUGAAGGCUUUGGUGUCUAGCUCGUGCCUGCCGUCAAGCGCCUGUGGUCGUCGCCCUAGUCUUCCGCUGUUUCUCGUUUGUCUCUGUGUGUGCUGGGCCUUCGCUGCCCAUGUAAUAAGUUAUCUAUUUACGCUUCCGCUUGUUAAACUCUGAAUUGUAUCAACUUUUGGUGUACCUUGCCUCCUGGGACAAGGAUUAAUGCACGCACGUCAGGAACGCCCGUUGGGUUAUUUCCGGUCGUGACAGGGAACUGGGGGGUCCUAUUUAUAGCCUUGGAUUGAAGAGAUCAGACUCCAAACGAGAGGAAUCGAAACCGGAAAAUCUUCGGGUUAGUUUGCAGAGAUAAAAUCAAAACGAGUUUGAUUCGGACAAGAUACACAACCAUUUGCUCCGAUUCUUGAGGGGAAAGAUAGAGGAAGAUGUGGGGAUAAAAACCCCCCUAACAAUCGGACUCGAUUGCGACCGAGGGCGGCGGUAUCGAUGGUGCAAACGGCGGCUCGGACGGCUCGGCCUGGCAAUCGGCCGGCUGGAGGAGGAAGAUGGGUCCGACAUGUGGGCCCUACAUGUCGGUGACCCGAGGAGGAGGGGCGGGCGGCGUCGGCUGGGCCGGCUUGGGCCGGUUCGGCCGCGCGGAAGAGAGAGGAAUGUUGGGCCGAAUUCGGCCCAACGGCUUAGGGAGGGGUUUUUGAACUUUUUUGAAUAAAAAUAAUUUGUGAAUUGUUGUUUCAAUUAUUAAAAAUACUUCCCUUGCUCAAACAAUUCCUAGAAAAAUCUAGAAAAUAGAGGAACAAGUAAAGUAUUUAAUAAAAUUUUAUCUAGCUCAUUUUUAUGCUGAAAAUUUUCCUAGAUAAUUAGGGUUUAACUUGUAGGCUUUUAAAAUAAUUUCUAAAAAUGAUUUAAACAAUGUAUUUUUACAUUAGACGAUUUUUAGGGCGUGACAAACCUACCCUCCUUAAACGGAAUCUCGUCCUCGUGAUUCAGAAGAACUGGCGAAGAGAUGAGGAUGAGCUGACUUCAAUUCAUCUUCUCGCUCCCAAGUGGCUUCUUCUUCUGAAUGAUUGCUCCACUGAACCUUGCAGAACCGUAUAAUGCGAUUCCUGGUAUUCCUCUCGCUUACUUCCAAGAUUCUGACUGGCUUCUCAACAUAAGUUAAAUCUUCUUGAAGCUCUAUACGAUCAGGAUCUGCUUCCUCCGUAGGUACACGUAAACAUUUCUUCAACUGCGACACAUGGAACACGUCAUGUAUUCCCGCCAUUGACGGAGGCAAUUCCAACUGAUAAGCUACCUCACCUCUUCGACUCACAAUCUUAAAAGGUCCCACGAAACACGGUGCCAAUUUCCCUUUGGUCUGGAAACGAUGAACACCUCGUAACGGCGUAACCCGAAGGUAUACAUAAUCUCCUUCUUCGAAAGCCAAAUCUCUGCGACGAUUGUCGGCAUAGCUCUUCUGACGUGACUGAGCAACGCGCAACCUUUCUUGGAUAAUCUUCACUUUUUCUUCUGCCUCUCGCAAUAUGUCUGUCCCAAAAACUUGACGUUCACCGGUUUGAUCCCAAAGGAGCGGCGUACGGCACUUUCGGCCAUAUAAUGCUUCAUACGGAGCCAUUUGCAAACUAGCUUGAUAACUGUUGUUAUAUGAGAAUUCCGCGUACGGCAAAUUCUUAUCCCAACUUCCACCAAAAUCUAGAACACAGGCUCUCAACAUAUCUUCUAAAAUUUGGUUUACUCUUUCCGUCUGACCAUCUGUUUGAGGGUGAUAAGCGGUACUGAAAUUCAAACGGGUACCCAUCUCUACUUGUAAUUUCUGCCAAAACUUCCAAGUAAACUGGCUACCUCUAUCUGACACUAUCUUCUUAGGAACGCCAUGCAAACAUACCACUCUGGCCAUGUAUAAUUCUGCAAGCUUAUUCCCCGUGUAGGUUGUUUUGACCGGUAUGAAGUGAGCGACUUUUAUCAACCUAUCAACCACUACCCAAAUAGAAUCAUGUCCUGCCGACGUUCUGGGUAGACCGGUUAUAAAAUCCAUUCCUAUUUCUUCCCACUUCCACUCUGGAAUCUUCAACGGUUGUAACAGACCGGCUGGCUUCUGAUGUUCUGCCUUGACCCGCUGACAUACAUCACAUAGAGCCACAUAUUCUGCUAUCUCACGUCGCAUACUGGCCCACCAGAAUUGUUGCUUUAGGUCUUGGUACAUCUUAGUGCUUCCAGGGUGAAUGGAAUACAAAGUUUCAUGAGCUUCUUUCAUGAUAGUAUCCUUCAACUCCUUAUUAUCUGGGACGCAAAUUCUUUCUCCUAACCACACAGUUCCUUGCUCAUCUUCUACAUAACCGAUGGCUUUUCCUCUUCUCAUGUUCUUUUUUAUUUCUGGGAUAUCAGGAUCAUUCACUUGAGCUUCUCUAACUUGAUCAAACAGAGUAGGUUGAGCUUCCAAAGUAGCCACAAAACCUUUGCUGACUAUAUCCAAGUUUAACUUUUCAAAUUCUUGGCAUAACUCCCAAGGUAAAUGUCGACCUUCUGACAUAUUACAGUAGCUUUUCCGGCUAAGAGCAUCGGCUACAACAUUUGCUUUCCCCGGGUGAUAGUGGAUUUCCAUAUCAUAAUCUUUAAUCAACUCUAACCAUCUUCGCUGACGCAUGUUCAAAUCAGGUUGAGUGAAAAUGUACUUCAAACUUUUAUGAUCCGUAUACAUCUCUGUACGGUUACCGAAAAGAUAAUGACGCCAAAUCUUCAAUGCAUGCACCACAGCUGCCAACUCUAGGUCAUGCGUUGGGUAGUUAUUCUCAUGAGGACGUAAUUGCCUAGAUGCAUAGGCAACCACCUUUCCUUCUUGCAUCAUCACACAACCCAAACCGAGUCGGGAUGCAUCACAAUACACUUGGAAACCUUUCCUCGAAUCAGGCAAAAUUAACACAGGCGCAGUCACUAGCCUUUUCUUCAGUUCUUGGAAACUUUGUUCACAAUCCUCUGUCCACUUGUACUUCACUUCCUUCUGAAGCAGACGAGUCAUUGGUCUAGCGAUCUUUGAAAAGUUCUCAAUAAACCUGCGGUAAUACCCCGCAAGUCCAAGGAAACUACGAAUUUCUGAAACCGUCUUGGGUUGCUUCCAACUUAACACUGACUCCACAUUGCUUGGAUCUACUGCCACUCCUCCCGACGAGAUGACAUGACCAAGAAACUUUACUUCGGACAACCAAAAUUCACAUUUACUGAACUUGGCAUAAAGCUGAUGCUCACGUAGUUUCUCUAAAGCUAGACGAAGAUGCUCUUCAUGUUCUUCCUUCGUCUUGGAGUAAAUAAGAAUGUCAUCAAUAAACACCACGACAAACUUAUCCAGAUAUUCCAUAAACACCUUGUUCAUCAGAUUCAUGAAAAAGGCUGGGGCAUUAGUGAGUCCAAAUGACAUAACGGUACAUUCGAACAAACCAUACCGAGUUGUGAAGGCGGUCUUUGGUAUAUCUUCCUCACGGAUUCGAAGUUGAUGAUAUCCAGAACGGAGAUCUAUCUUGGAGAAAACUGUAGCUCAUUCCUGUUGAUCAAACAGGUCAUCAAUUCUGGGUAGAGGAUACUUAUUCUUGAUAGUAACCUCAUUCAACGCUCGAUAAUCCACGCACAUUCUCUGAGUAUGAUCUUUCUUCUCCACAAAGAUGACUGGUGCUCCCCAUGGCGAAGUACUGGGUCUGAUGUAUCCUUUCUGAAGCAAAUCAUCCACCUGUCUCUUCACCUCAGCUAACUCAUUAGCUGCCAUUCUGUAUGGUCUCUUAUGGAUAGGGUUAGUUCCAGGUACCAAGUCUAUCCGAAACUCUAUGUCUCUCUUAGGUGGCAUACCUGGCAAAUCCUCGGGAAACACGUCUGGGUAGUCUUGUACUAUGGGGAUCUCUUGUAGAGCAACUUGGUUUAAGAUCACACCAUGAUAUUUAGGAGAGGACACAAAGAAAGAAACGGUUUCCCCAUUGCUACUGGUUAAAGUCACCUUACGGUUGGCACAAUCUAUAACUCUCUGUGACGAGAUAACCAGUCCAUCCCUAAGAUAACAUCUAGAUCUUUGGAUUCUAGCAAGAUAAGCGAGGAUGGGAAAGGAACUUCUUCUAUUUCUAUAGUAGCGGAAGGACAAUACUGUGUCGAAAAUACUUGAUUGCCUGGGGUAUUAACUAGUAAAGGUCUCCCAAGACUAAUAACUUCCAUCCCAUGAUUGCUCGCAAAACUUUUAGACAAAAAGGAAUGUGUAGCACUGGAAUCAAAAAGCACAGAUGCGGGUAUAGAGUUAACAGGAAACGUACCCAAAACCACAUCUGGUGCAUUCUGAGCUUCUGCUGCUGCAACAUGAUUAACACGUGCCUUCGGUGCUGGAGCAUUGGAGUUGUUCGGGGCUGGAGCGUUCUUCACGCGCCGAGGCUUAGGACACUUAUCAGCAUAAUGUCCUGGAUCACCACAAUUGAAACACACCCCUGGCUUGCUUCCCUGUUCCUUCCUAACGGGCUGGUUCUGAGCUGGAGUUGCUGCAGGACGAGCACCCAUGUUGCGGUUGUCAUUGCCACGAUUACCAGUAUUGUUGUUGUAGAACUGGCGUUGGGGGCGGACAACUGAUGAAGAUCCUCCUUGAGGGUACGAUGGAGCUUGAGGUCCCGUAACGAGACGCGGCCUCUGGUUACUGCCCUGUUGUGCUUUGAAUUGGGCAGCCCUGUGCUUCUUCUGCUCCAUCCGGUUAUACUUGUCUUCCUGACGAAUCGCCUUGUCCACCAACUGCUAGAAAUCCCGGAAAUCCGUAGACAUCAAAGCAUAAGACAACUCAUCAUUCAGUCCCUCCAAGAACCUCUCCUGACGCUCUUCAUCGGUGCGAACAUCUUCCGGAGCAUAACGAGCUAAACGGUUGAAAUCAUGGAGGUACUCGGUGACCGAACGAGAUCCCUGGUUGAGUGCUCUAAAUUCUCUCUUCUUUAGAGUUACAACACCCGUUGGUAUGUGUGUCUUCUUGAAAGCGGCCGUGAAUUCCUGCCACGUAAUAGGCUCUCCUUCAGCCCUGCCUUGGCGAAAAUGAUCCCACCAUUCAGCAGCAGGACCAUGCAAUUGAUGCGAAGCAAAAGAAACUUUCUCCUGCUCAGUACACUGGAUCAAAUCCAACUUCUUCUCCACCGCAUGCAGCCAAUCUCCUGCUUCUACUGGAUUGGUGGUGCUUGAAAAGGUAGGGGGUCUCACACGUAAGAAAUCUGCCAGCUUGUUUUGGGGAGGUGGGGGUGGAUUCUGGUUCUGAUUGUUUGCCUGCUGAUUCUGUGCCUGCUGCACUAACAGAUUGAUCAGUUGUGUUUGUUGGGCCAGAAUUUGAGCUAGCGUGGGAUCUCCUCCAUUGUUAGCAGCUCCACUUCCACUUCCACUUCCACUUCCGGUGCGCGUGUUCACCAUCUGACGAUAAGCAGAGACAACAGGAAAGAACGACAGAGAGACACCCUUAGAACAGAGUUAUUUAAUUAAUUUAAAUUCUAUAUUGCUCUUAACUGUGUAUGUUUUCAUUUAAAUUGCAUUAACACUAUCUCACCAACUAUCUUACACUCUGACAAGCAAAAGAACUAGACUCAUGCUGUUACAUCCCACCAAUGAUGUAAGCAACAACUAAAACCCACACACUCACAAGCAAACUUAAACAAGCAAUCUAACACAGCGAACUACGGCAACGAUCUAACUAAGCGACUAAUCCCGCCUUGCGUCGGAACGAAGCGAUGGAUCUUCUUCCUCUGGAGUAGCUGGCUCUCUUUCUUCAGGGUCUUCCUCUUCUUCCUCAUCACUUAUGAUGUCGAUGACAGGUUCAGCACGAUCGGGCACAGCUUCACCCAUCACGCGAAUCUUCGAAGCUAACUGGAGACGAGGUGGCGGACAGGUUCUUUUUCUUGCGAUGAGGCGAAGCUUGGGUGUUGGCGGCGGCGUUUCUCCUUUAAGUUCAGCUAAUUCCUUCUGUAGACGGUACACCUUGCUCUCCAACUUGCAAAUCUUGCCUCGAUUCCAGUUUUCCCUGUCAUGAGCUGCUUUGUCUCGCUCCACACUUACUGCAUCCAUAGCACUAAGCAUAUGCACCGCAUGCAUCAGAGUGGCACUCUCUUCACCAUCAGGACAGGUAUAGGUUCCAUAGUCUUGACCAUGAGGCUUGUGAGGAUGAUACUGGAAAGCUGAUGAAUCCAACUCUUCUUCAAAGUGUUGACGCAACUCUCCAAUGGCCACCAAAGCUGCUUCUUGACAAGCAUGGCUAUACGAUCUUCCUCCAGCUUCGAACUUAAUGGACGGAAGGUCUUCACGAUCACUAGCCAAUGUCACACGAACACGACACUUCUCCUCGUUGGGGUCAUGGGAAAUCCGGCGAUCCUCAGGAGCAACUUCAUAGCCUACCUCAAAAGCCAUCAACCUCAGCUCCCUGACGAAUCCUAACACCUUGAUCAAAUUUCUCGGUGAAUGGGGCGGCAUCUAAAGAAACAUAGAAGAGAGGAAUUAAUGCAUAUUUUUUUUUAAGUUAGCUGCACCAUCUAGACUUAACUGAUUUGACCAAAGAGGAAGAAAAAAUAAAAGAAAAGACACAUACUAAGCUAUUAUAUAUAUAUAUAUUUAGAAUUUAACUUUUUGGACAGAGACAAAUAAUUUUUUUUUUUGACAAAUAACUAAAAUAAAACUAAAAUACUUAUGAUCUAUUAUAAGCACGGUACAGUGUCACCAUAAGAAGGAUGAGUAGUACUAGUGCUAUCAUGAUUGUAUCGAUACCAUAAUAGAUGUACAGUGCUGACUAAUCAAUGAAGUUUACUAAGGCGGAAUAAGAAACAUUUUGAGAAGAAAAUUUUUUUUUCUUUUAAAAGAAAAGAAAAUGAAUUAAAUUAAUUUUGUGCAUAACCUUGCAUGUGCGGCCAACUUAAUUAAUUUGUAAGAGAAUAGAGAAGAGCAGUUCUAAUUUUUUUCAAAAUAUUUUGAAGGCUACUUAAGGUUUACCAUUUGGCUUAUCCUAAGGUCAAGGUGGCUCUGAUACCAACUUGUCACGCCCGGAAUUUCUAUCCAAAAUUCCAAACGCUUACAUGUGUGUUAAACCCUCGUCCAGGAAUCAACCGAGGCACACAAUAACAAAUUGAUAAUAGAGUACAAGUAAAUAACUAUUUAAUACUCGCAAACAAUAAAAUAUUACAGAGGUAGAUAGUUCCUCUCAAAGAAUAACCUUCUACGCAGCGGAAAAAUAAGACUAUAACAAACUACGGAACAGCUAUGGCGACUCCACUCCACAGGCAACUUAACCAGAACAAGCCUAAUCCUCCAGAUCAUCACCUUCACUGAGAUACUCCUCUUCUGAUGAUUGAAUAUUGUAAGAAUGAGCAUAUGACAUACUCAACAAGUCACACAGCAAAUAUGCAAGUGCACAAGAUAACAAAGGAUGGCAUAAUAUAGCUCAUUUGCAGAAACAGCAUUUAAUAAAUAUUUAAGAGAAUGGUAAAAACAGUUGAAUAAUUAAUCAGUAUUAAAUAACACCAUACAACACACCCAUGUUGCAUAGGGCCAACCUCAUAUGAACAACCAACCCCGGUUGUACAAAUCUAACCUCCAUACCAGGAAUAUACCAUUCCAAACCAGGAGUCAAAUUGAUUAUCACAAUUACCAUUAAUGAAUAACAUGGGACUAAUCACGAAAAACAUUGCUCAACUCACCCAUAACCGCGGGUACGCCUAUUCGAAUAGAUUAAACUCUGAUCAGAGGUGUACCACUGUACCCACAAGACACAUUCCCACAACAUGUUACCAUGCGCCUUAGUACCACCACGAUACCUCGGAAAGGAACUGUGACAAUACCCCUUGCAUAACACAACUCACCACAGUGCACCGUACCUGGAUCAUAAUCACCCUCUACAACCAGAGGCAUGGACUCCCCAGCGACCCCCACGGACUUCUCGCCGCUUCUCAGUCUGGCACUCCAUAAUGAAUCAUGCUAUACAAAAGGUAAAGCCGUUGCCCACGCUGGCUUGUGGUUGGCACGGUAAAAGUUUCACAACAGUAGCUCGCGAACCGGUCCUUAAUUGUCAUGAGCACAACCAUCAAAACCAUAUGCUCACAACCCACCUUAACCAGGUUUUAAUUAUCAAUUAAUUAACAUCACACGAUCACCCAUCGUGAGCUACCAUUUAAUGUAACCAUAAUUAAAAUAAUAAUGUAACAUAGUCUAUAAUUAAUCCCUUUAGUUAGCUAAUGUUUCUAAGCACGGCUAAGCAAACUUACAUAUAGCAUUUAGCUGAACCAAUCCAACAUAUAAGGUUCAUGUUAAUCAAAUUAUAACCCAUAGGAAAAUAAGAUCAUCUUCGGCCGUUAAUUAAUUGGGAAGGUUCACCACCCGAUGACAUUCGAAAACAAUGCAUAGUUGAAAUAAAAUAAUAGCUUUAAACGGGUUCAACAUGCUCAAAGAGUUGUUUGGGAUCUGUGUGACUUGCCUUGGGCUUCCGCAAACGCUUCGGAACCUUCCUCAACGGAAACGCUCUCCUCCGGAACGUCGGAAACUAAAGCAAUUAAACAAAAAUCAACAAAACAGUACAAAAACAAGCAUAAACAGUACAUGUGGAUAUUUUUAACAUGUAGAUCUUGAUUUUAGAAAAAUUUAGCAACUUGAACCACCUGAAACGGAUCUACGAUUAUUUAGUUAUGAUUUUCCGAAGAUUUAAUCUAUUAGAAAAAAAAAGAAAAAGGGAAAGAUGAUGAUGUCAUGAUGACGUCAUCAAUGGCGGCCUUGGCUCGGGCGGCACGACCACCGGCGCUACGGACCUUGGUCGGGCGAAAAGAGGGCACCUACGCGUAGAGGGCAACAAGACGAACGCAACGGUACUCACCAAUGCGCCCAACGACGACCGAUGGUGGCCGGCGACGAGAGGAGGCGGCGCGGCGGUUCGGUCGACGGCGGCGACGGGUCUCCGGCGACCGGCGACAGCGGGGAGAGGGCGGCCGAGGUUCCUCACCUCCGUGCGCACCUAACGGCGGCGAGAGGAAGCGGCGGCGACGGCGAAAUCGAUGGCGCGGCGCGGCUGGAGAUCGCCGGCGGCGACGGCGAGACAAGGCGGCGUCGGCGGCGAGCUACGGGGCACGGGAGAGGACGGGAAUAGGGGCAAACGAAAGAGGAGAACUAGGGGGUCCUAUUUAUAGCCUUGGAUUGAAGAGAUCAGACUCCAAACGAGAGGAAUCGAAACCGGAAAAUCUUCGGGUUAGUUUGCAGAGAUAAAAUCAAAACGAGUUUGAUUCGGACAAGAUACACAACCAUUUGCUCCGAUUCUUGAGGGGAAAGAUAGAGGAAGAUGUGGGGAUAAAAACCCCCCUAACAAUCGGACUCGAUUGCGACAGAGGGCGGCGGUAUCGAUGGUGCAAACGGCGGCUCGGACGGCUCGGCCUGGCAAUCGGCCGGCUGGAGGAGGAAGAUGGGUCCGACAUGUGGGCCCCACAUGUCGGUGACCCGAGGAGGAGGGGCGGGCGGCGUCGGCUGGGCCGGCUUGGGCCGGUUCGGCCGCGCGGAAGAGAGAGGAAUGUUGGGCCGAAUUCGGCCCAACGGCUUAGGGAGGGGUUUUUGAACUUUUUUGAAUAAAAAUAAUUUGUGAAUUGUUGUUUCAAUUAUUAAAAAUACUUCCCUUGCUCAAACAAUUCCCAGAAAAAUCUAGAAAAUAGAGGAACAAGUAAAGUAUUUAAUAAAAUUUUAUCUAGCUCAUUUUUAUGUUGAAAAUUUUCCUAGAUAAUUAGGGUUUAACUUGUAGGCUUUUAAAAUAAUUUCUAAAAAUGAUUUAAACAAUGUAUUUUUACAUUAGACGAUUUUUAGGGCGUGAACAAGCUCAAGGCUAGAUAUGUGCCAUCCUCUAAUAGCUAAUCAUUCACUCGAACCUAUGAUAGAUUAUAUAAUUUGUGAUAGACUCCUUGUCACGCCCGGAAUUUCUAUCCAAAAUUCCAAACGCUUACAUGUGUAUUAAACCCUCGUCCAGGAAUCAACCGAGGCACACAAUGACAAUUUGAUAAUAGAGUACAAAUAAAUAACUAUUUAAUACUCGCAAAAAUAAAAGAUUACAGAGGUAGAUAGUUCCUCUCAAAGAAUAACAUUCUACGCAGCGGAAAAAUAAAACGAUAACAAACUACGGAACAGCUAUGGCGACUCCACUCCACAGGCAUCUUAACCAAGAACAAGCUCAAUCCUCCAGAUCAUCACCUUCACUGAAAAACUCCUCUUCUGAUGAAUGAAUAUUGCAAGAAUGAGCAUAUGACAUACUCAACAAGCCACACAGCAAAUAUGCAAGUGCACAGGAUAACAAAGGAUGGCAUAAUAUAGCUCAUUUGCAGAAACAGCAUUUAAUAAAUAUUUAAGAGAAUAGUAAAAACAGUUGAAUAUUUAAUCAAUAUUAAAUAAACACCAUACAACACACCCAUGUUGCACAGGCCCAACCACAUUUGAACAACCAACCCCAGUUGAACAAAUUAAACCUCCAAACCAGGAAUUAUCCAUUCCAAACCAGGAGUCAAAUUAAUUAUCACAUUAUUAACAUUGAUGAGUAGUGUGAGACUAAUCACGAAAAACAUUGCUCAACUCACCCAUAACCGCGGGUACGGCUAUUCGAAUAGUUUAAGCUCUGAUCAGAGGUGUACCACUGUACCCACAAGACACAACCCCACAUGAUGUCACCAUGUGCCUCAAUACCACCACGGUACCUCGGAAAGGAGUUGUGACAAUACCCCUUGCACAACAUAACCCAUUACAGCGCACCUUUCCUGGAUCAUAAUCACCCCCUUAUAAACAAGGCCUGGACUCCCCAGCGACCCCCGUGGACUUCUCGCCACUUCUCAGUCUGGCGCACUAUAAUGAAUCACGCUAUACAAAAGAUAAAGCCGUUGCCCACGCUGGCUUGUGGCUGGCACGAUAAAUGUUUCACAACAGUAGCUCGCGAACCGGUCCUUAAUUGUCAUGAGCACAACCAUCAAAACCAUAUGCUCACAACCCACCUUAACCAGGUUUUAAUUAUCAAUUAAUUAACCUCACACGAUUAACCAUCGUGAGCUACCAUUUAAUAUAACCAUCAUUAAUAAAAAUAUAACAUAGUUUAUAAUUAAUCCCUUUAGUUAGCUAAUGUUUCUAAGCAUGGCUAAGCAAACAUAUAUAUAGCAUUUAGCUGGACCAAUCUAAUAUAUAAGGUUCAUGCUAAUCAAAUUAUAACCCAUAGGAAAAUAAAGUCAUCUUCGGCCAACAAUUAACUGGGAAAGGUUCACCACCCAAUGACAUUCGAAAAUAAUGCAUAAGUUGAAAUAAAAUAAUAGCUUUAAAUGGGUUCAACAUGCUCAAAGGGUUGUUUGGGAUCUGUGUGACUUGCCUUGGGCUUCCGCAAAUGCUUCGGAACCUUCCUCAAUGGAAACGCUCUCCUCCGGAACGACGGAAACUAAAGCAAUUAAACAAAAAUCAACAAAACAGUACAAAAACAAGCAUAAACAGUACAUGUGGAUAUUUUUAACAUGUAGAUUUUGAUUUUAGAAAAAUUUAGCAACUUGAACCACCUAAAACGGAUCUACGGUUAUUUAGUUAUGAUUUUCCGAAGUUUUAAUCUAUUAGAAAAUUGGAAAAAAGAAAAGAAAAGGAGAUGAUGACGUCAUGCUGACGUCACCCCACGGCAGCCGGCUAGGGUUUGCGACCUCGCCGGAGCUAGGGCGAUCGGCCGGGCAAUUGGAGGGCACCUACGCGUAGAGGACGACGAGGCGAACCCAACGGUACUCACCACAACGACAAACGACGAACGAUGACGGCCGGCGACGAGAGGAAGGCGGCGGCGGCUCGGGUUGGACGGCGACGGCGAGCUACGGCGGUCGGCGGCGAAGGGGAAGGGGCGGCCAAGGUUCCUCUCACCACGGCGCACCUAACGGCGGCGGCGGCAGACGGCGGCGACGGCGGAGGCGGCAGCGCGACGCGACCGAAGACGGCCGGCGGCGGCGGCGAACUUAAUGCGCGCGGCGGCGGCUCUACGAUGCACGAGAGAGGACGGAAGAGGGGGCAAACGAAAGGGGGCGAUGAGAUGGUCCUAUAUAUAACCUUGGAUUGAAGAGAUCGAACUUGUCACGCCCGGAAAUUCACUAGUAAUUUCCGAACUAAUUUGUGUAUAAAAUCCUCGUCCAGGAAUCAGCCGAGGUACACAAACUGACAAUUUAAUAUACAAAUCCAUCAUAAUAACGUUACAUACUUACAAAGAAAAGAAAACAGCAGCGGAAUUAACGGUCUAGCGAUGGCUUCAGCUCCACUCCCACAGGCAGCUCAACUGGGGUAUAAGCCAAACGUCUUCUCCUUCCGGAUCCUUUAUCUUCAACUGAGGUUUGAUGAUUAUUGCAAGAAUGAGCAUAUGACAUACUCAACAAGCCACACAGCAAAUAUGCAAGUGCACAAGGAUUCCAAAGGAUGGCAUAAUAUAGGCUCAUUUGCAAAAGCAGCAUUUAGCAAAGAUUUAAGAUAAGUAAAACAGUAGAGUAAUUAAUCACCAAUUUUAAUCAACACUGAACAGCACACCCAUGCUGCUCAGGCCCAACCAAACCUGAACAACCAACCCCGGUCAUACAGAUCAAACCUCCAAACCAGGAAUUAUCCAUUCCAAACCAGGAGUCAAAUUAAUUAUCACAUUAUUAAUAUUGAUGAGUAGUGUGAGACUAAUCACGAAAAACAUUGCUCAACUCGCCCAUAACCGCGGGCACGGCUAUUCGAAUAGUUUUACUCUGGCCAGAGGUGUACCACUGUACCCACAAGACACGAUUCCACACAUGUUGCCAUGCCCCGAAAUACCACCACGGCAUUGCAAAGGGGGAAAUCGUGACAAUACCCUUUGCACAACACAACUCAAAACAGUGCACCGUACCUGGAUCAUAAUCACCCCCUUAUAAACAAGGCAUGGACUCCCCAGCGAUCCCCAUGGAUGUCACGUCCUGAUAAAUUCAUCCCGAAAAUAAAAAUCAUUCUCUAAAAGGAAUAAUAGAAUUAAUUAAAAUUCGAAAAGAAAUUGGCAAACACUAAAAUACGUGCAAGAAAAAUUCAAAUGUGGCCCGGAGAAUUUUUGUUAAAUUCUCCUUGGUCUAAAAAUAAGCCCUCAAAUUUUACUUGAAUUUUCAGAGCACCGGAAAUAUUUAUUAAACAACAACAUUUAUCAAAGUUCAAUAAAAAGAAAACCUAAAAAUCCCUCCUCUUCCUCCUUUGGGCCAAGCCCAGCCCGAAGUCCUUCCCUCCUCCCUCUCUUUCUCUCCCUCUCCUUCUCUCCCUCCUCUUGGGCCUCCUCCCCUCUCGGCCCAGCUCCCUUUCCCCCCUCUCUCUCCCGGGCUGCCUCUUUCCCCCCCCCCUCCUUCCCGGCCUGCCUCGGCCCAGCCGCCCGGCCCAAGCCGCCUCCCCCUUCCCCCCCCCUCCUGGGCCGGCCGCCCGGCCCAACCCGAGCGGCGCCCUCCCGCCCGAGCGCGCACGUGCGCGCGCUGACCGCGCGCCCCGCGUGGGGCCCACGCGUCAGGCCGCCGUCGCCUUCUUCCUCCAGCCGCCGCCCGGCUUCCCUCUCCCCGUGCGAACCCUAGCUCACUCCCUCCUCCAAAUCCGCUUGAUUCGCUUGGUUAAUUCCAAAAUUAAAUAGGGGAAAUUAAUCCCCAUUGACUCCUCUUCAUUUCCCCCUAAUUUCCCCUUUGAAUGCCGCCCCCAAUCGCCGGGAACGGCCGCGCCAAGUCCGGCCGCCUUCCAUUGCCGCCGGCCGGCUUUUCCGCCGCCGUUCCGACCUCCCCCGUGGCCGGCUCCCUCUUCUCUCAUAUAAAAUAGAACCCCCUCUUUACGUUCUACCGUUUUAGCCUCUUCCCGAGCUCUCCCGUGGUCUCUAGCCACCUCCCCACCGUCGCCCUCUCUCUCCCACGUUGCCGGCCGGCCUCCAGCCGCCUCUCCCGCCUCGCCGGAGCGUCGUCCGGCCGCGCCGUCGCCUCCUCCAGCGUCGCCGCCACCUCCUCCACCCCGGCUUGCCCUCCGUUUCGCGAGGUGACCCCCGGAGCUGCCUCCCCGCCGUCGCCCUUCUCGUUUCUCCGCGCCGGCCGCCUCCAGUCGCCUCUCCCGCCUCGCCCGUGCGCCGUCCGGUCACGCCGUCUUCUCCCUCGGCCUCGCAGCCACCUCCUCUCCCUCGGUCAGCCCUCUGUUUCGCGGGGAAAACACCGGAGACGCGUCCUCGCCGGCGUCCAGUGGCGUCGCCACCACUUCUCCGCCUCCGGCCGCCUCUGCCGCGUCCCCGGUGCGCCGGCCGACGUCGCCACCACCUCUCCCGGCACCGGAGUGCCGUCCUCUCUCCCGGCCAGGCCACGGCGUCGCCCGAAUUUCGCCGGAACGCCGUCAUCUCCGCGCCGGCCUCUCCUUCCUCCUCGUCGGCUCGUCGCCCCGCUGCACCACCACCUUCACCAACAUCGCAGCGGCGUGUUCCACGCCAUCCCCUCCUCCGCUCAGCCGCUGCUGCCUGCCAUCAUCGUCAUCGUCGUCUCCGUUCGUCCUCGCCGAUCGACGUCCCAUCGGUUGCCCGGCUCGUCGUCUCGCGGCGCCGCCUCCGUCAUCGUCAUCGUAGCGGCGUGUUCCACGUCGUCCUCGUCCCCGUGCAGCUGCUGCUGGCUGCCCCUCGUCGCCCCCUCGCCGGUCCCGGUCGUCGUCGUCGUCGUCGUCCUCUCGUCGUUCCCGGUCGUCGUGGCGUUCGUCCCUCCGUCGAGCCGUUCUCGUCCGUCGUCCGCGUUCGUCAAGCGAGCCGCUGCAGCCCCGUCCUCGUCUCCGUCCUCGGCUCCGCGUCGUCAAGCCUCGUGCCGGCCGCGUCUCGCCUUUGUCCAAGGAUCGCCGCCGAAGUCGUUCCCUCGCCGUUCGCCUCCGUCGUCCCCGAGCUGUCCUCGCCGGUCCCGUUCGUCGUUGUCGUUCCCACGCCUCGUCGCGUGGUGGUAAGGAUCCGUCCUCUCGCUUCCCCGCCCUCGUCCUUCCGGUGUCGCCCCGUACCCGUUGUGCGGUCGUCGACCCCGGUACCCGUGUACCGGUGUCGGUAGUCGUUCACGUGUGCGGGUGGCGACCGUGUAGUGUCCGUGUUAGUGUGCCCGCUCGGUAGCCGCGUGGUUUCCACGUGUGCAACCCGUGUGGUGUCUAGUGGAGUCCGUUUGUCGGCCACUCGCCUCGGUUGACACACGGGGUCCGCUUCCGUCGACCCGUGGACCGUCUCUGUGUACCCGGUCUACCGUGGUCCUUUAGGUUGACAUGUGGGGUCCGCAUGUCAACGGCGCAGCCUUCCUGUCUUUUCCAGGCUAGCGCUUACACAUGUUUUAUAAUUGCAAAGCUUAAUUAUAAUAAUUCGCAAAUCUCCAUAUAACAGCAUUAAACUUCGGAUGAUCAUAUCCUGGUCAUACGAGCUCCGAAUCGACCCGUUCAAGUCUCUUAAUGUUUGUUAUAACCUAAAGAACCCUGUGCUUUGUUUUUAUGUAUUGUUAUUGCUUCUUUAUAGGCUUGUAGCUUUGUUUGUGUGCUUCGCGUAGCUUCUGUCGUUCCGGAGGUUCCCGAAGCGUGGUUCGUGGUCGUCGCCGAAGGUUCGGAAGGCCGUUCUCUCUGAGCAAGGCAAGUCACAUCAUCCUUGAACAUAUUGAAUCCCAGUUUGUAAAAUUAUGUUGAUUUAAAUUAUUGCAUUACCGCUUUAUUUAAAUUCCCGCGUUAUCACUGUUUUAUCUAGCCAUGCCUAUUUACCUUUGUUAUGACCUUAUUAUUGCUAUUGUUAUUAUUACCUUGUUCACCCUAGAGUAAACAAAACCUCAACUAGUGGACACUCUACUCGUGGUAUCCCUAGUUUAAAUUUAGGUAGAUGCUUCGCAAUUUAAUAGGACAACAUUAGUUAGAUUUUAUAACUUUAGACUUUGGGAAUUUCUCAUAUCAUUUGGACACUAUGGAAUUGUUGGAUUAUGGUGGAAUUGGACAUACACCUCUCUUCCUCUUUCAAAACCCCUAAAGCCUGUUUUCGGUGGGGUUUGGGUGCAUGCCAGUUAUGGGAAGUAGCACCCCGGCCACUAUAAGGAUUAAGCUCGGGCCUCUGUUGCAAAGCACUACCGUACUAACCACAUGUCUAAUGGGUAAGGCUUAACUCGGUGCUCAGUCUAGUCCUGAACAAAAGGACACGGAUUGGAGAUGGAUGAAGUCGGGUGUCGAUGGACAUUCUCCAGGGCAAAUGAAGGCUACACGAGCUGCGGCCCGGUAGUCGAGAUGUCGUAUGGCAGAGGGUUGGUGCCCUGCUGCUAGGGGCUCAGUUCUGCCUGCCUGUCCCGGGUAUCCCGGCCGUAGGUGGGAUUGGGUCGGUACUUUUGUUCACGGCUAGGAUGGGUGAAGGGUUAUGUCACAUCUUUACGACGGGUUCCAAGGCCAUGGAAUGCGGAGUAAAGAUGUGUCUUGUGGGUAAAGAUGUACACCUCUGAUCAGAGUAAAUCUAUUCGAAUAGCCGAGCCCUCGGAUAUGGGCAAGCCUAGCAAUGUACCCAAGUCAGUGUUUUAAUUCUUAAAAUUUGCUCAACAACUAAAAUAUGGAAUGGUUGGCCUGGGUUGGCUUGGGACGAGCUGGGACCCAGGGUCGGGUUGCCAGUUCGGUCCGAAUCAUCGUAGGCCUUGGGUUAAGGCAGGUUCGUGAGGGUUCACGGCCUUGAUUAAUAAUACUGUGUAGCUCUAGGAUCGUCUUUACAAAAUGGCUUUGGGCAACUAAGUGGCUUUUAAAUGCUGUUUACUGCAAAACUUAACCUCUAUGUUAUUAUCCCCUUGUACUCCUUUGCAUUAAUUGUGCAUCCCCGGUGUGGCUUGCUGAGUACUGUGGUUGUACUCAUUCUUGCUCAAUCUUUCCCCUCUUCAGUAAGAGAAGCUUUGGAGAAGAAGUCUUAGGUGGAGUCCUGGCUUAUACCCCAGUUGAGCGCCUGUGAAGAUGGAGCCGUAGGCCCGCUAGUCCGCUGCUGUUUAUUUUUGAUUGUCAGGCCUUAAGUGCCUUUGUAAUAAUGUAAAUAUUAUCGAUAUAAUAAAGAUGUGUCUUUUAUAUCAUGUUUGUGUGGUGUACCCCGGCUUUUCCUGGGACGGGGAUUAAUACACUAGCGUUCGGGAAAAGGCAAUUUUCCCGGUCGCGACAAGCUGGUAUCAGAGCCAUCUCGACUGUAGGAUAAGCCAAGUGGAUAAAACCUAAGGACAUAUGUUAUAAAUAAAACUAUUUGCGAAAGUUCCUUUUUUUCCUCCCCCUAAUGCUAUUUGCAAAAGGUUUACUCCCUUCUUCCUUCUUCGGAUUUCAACUAGUACUAGAUGGUCAGUUUUGCGAAGAAGAAGAUGUCGUCAGUUGUUUGCCGAAGCUCCGGAAGACUGCAGGAUCCGCUAGCAAAGUGUAGGAAGCAGUGAAGCCAGCCGUGAAGCUGAAGCUAAGAUCUUGGAGAACCAGUCGCAGAACCUAAGCCGCCCUAUAGGGUAGUGUUGUUAGUCGUGUGUUUCUUGCUUGUGUGUGUAGCGCGUGGUUUGCAUCGGUGGGAGGUGAUGUAACCAUGCUAGGUUGUUUGCUUAAUCAACCUGCAGAAUAAGCGAAACAAACAACACAUCAACAAAAAGAGUUAGUUCCUUUAAGGUCUUGUCCCUAGUUCUGGUCUAUUCUUUCCUUGUAUGCUUCCCCUCUCAACCUCUACCUUGUGACAGAUGGAUAACAUUGGUAACAAAGGCUACGGGAAUGAUGGAUCCGAUGACUCAAGAACCCAAGCCAAUGGGAAUGAGAAAAGCAUCAACGAAACCUCACCAGAGCUAAUCCAAAUUGUGGUUAACCAAACCGACAUGUUGGCAACAGCCUUUCAACUAUUACAGAAUCGGAACAAUCCAGCAGGGGCAACCAACGUUCAAGUACCUACAGUCCAGCAACAGUGCAAGUUAUCAGAAUUUCUCAAAACGGGGCCUCCAACCUUUGCCAUGGCCGUCGAUCCUAUGGAAGCCAGUGAUUGGUUGCGCACAGUCGAGAAGAAGCUAGGGUUGAUUCAGUGCACCGACCAGGAGCGGGUUGGCUUCGCAACUCAUCAGUUGGUUGGACCGGCUUCAGAGUGGUGGGAUAGCUACGAAGCAUCACGGCCAGAAGGACAUACCAUCACCUGGAACGAGUUUUCAUCUGUAUUCAAGAGAUCACAUGUUCCCGCAGGAAUGAUCACACUAAGAAAACGAGAGUUUCGCUACCUGAAGCAAGGAGAUUUGACCGUCACAGAGUACCUGCAUGAGUUCUAUCGUUUGGCUCACUAUGCACCAGAAGAUGUGGAAACGGAUGAAGACAAACAAGAGAAGUUUCUCCAGGGGUUAAAAGAUGAGCUUGCAGUGCAACUACUUCUAGAGGAUUAUGAAGAUUUUGAGAAACUUGUGGACAAAGCCAUGCAACUCGAAAGUGAGCAUAAUCGGAUGACGAACUGCAAGAGAAGGAUUGUCAACAUCCCAGUAUUUCCAGGUGGUAACCAAAGACAGCGCACUGAGCCACUUCAGAUCACCGGAUCUCCUGUUGUGCAUCAAGAGUUCCUACCCCAAGAAGAUGAAUGCAAUGCAGACAACAACACUAGCAAUACUAAUAAUGAUGAUACCACCAACAACCAUGGUUCUUGCCCCAUUAGUGACCACUCGAAUAAAGCGUGCAAUGUCAGUAGCAUUCACCAAGAUGUCAACGAUAGUAUCAAUGUUGGAACCCAGAAUGACAACCUUAGCAAUUUCGACACUGAGAAAGACUCCAAUGGUGAUAGCAACUAUGGUACCACUGAUGCCAAUGUUAGCAAGGAUUUCCAACCACCAAUUCCAACUCCAAGUCACAAUGAUCAUCCCCAGAUGGACAGCUCAGCAAAGAAGACGUUGAUUUGUUACAACUGCAAAGAACCAGGUCAUUUCUCUAGAGAUUGUCCACAGCCGAAGCGUAACCUGCGCCAUCACUCCGGCCAUUAUGCAAGAAGAAGACAGGUCACUCGCCUUGUGGUCACUGGAGCAAACGCCGUACCUGUGAGGCCUCAUGUUAAUUCUAACCCAUAGUGGAAACAAUGUACCGAUGUUAAGCACCUUCCCUUUUUGUUUAAGACAGUGCCUUGUAUUCAUGUAAUAAGGGAGACAUGUGUAAUAAAAACAAGUUCUAUGAGGAUUAUUUCGGAAGAGUACUUGGUUGACAACGUUCGAAAGGUGAUUGAUAAGAGAAAUCUAAAAAGAAUACGUCAGGGUUGAAUGUGUAAAGGAAUACUUUGAAUGCUAAAUAAUAACGACAUGAAGAGAAUAGUGGAAAGUGAAUCCGAGUUGCUUGUUCGUGAGAGCUAUUCCCAGUUAUGAACCAAGUGAUAUGUUCGAAGAUAGUCUACAGAGGUCAGACAACGAAGCUUCAGAUUUGGCAGGAUAACGAUCAAACAAUAAGAAGCCCAGCAGUAAAGCUAUUUAGGAAGACGUCAAAGCAUGUCAAGUGGGAUAAUUUGGUUCCCCUGGGAAACAUAAUUCAAAGGCAAAGUUAUCGACCCUUGCAUCGAAUAGCAGAAGUAGCCUGCACCCGGAGACCAGGAAGGCUAAUAUGAGGCAGUUGGUGGCAAGUUAGAAGUAAAUGACAAGCCAGUCGAAGUCAGCUAAAGGUUCAACCAAGGACAAGUCAGGUGAAGAGAAGACUCCAUCUGCAACAGGAGAUCGAGCCAAGCAGUCCAGAGUGGAGAAGUUGUGCUAGGCAAGUUUGUUAUAGAAGACGGAGCGGAAGAAGUCAGACAAGAAGAGAAGACCGCCCAACCUAUCUUCUUGCUAGCCUCCUCGAAUCUCGGGGACGAGAUUCCUGUAAGGGGGGUGGAUUUGUCACGUCCUGAUAAAUUCAUCCCGAAAAUAAAAAUCAUUCUCUAAAAGGAAUAAUAGAAUUAAUUAAAAUUCGAAAAGAAAUUGGCAAACACUAAAAUACGUGCAAGAAAAAUUCAAAUGUGGCCCGGAGAAUUUUUGUUAAAUUCUCCUUGGUCUAAAAAUAAGCCCUCAAAUUUUACUUGAAUUUUCAGAGCACCGGAAAUAUUUAUUAAACAACAACAUUUAUCAAAGUUCAAUAAAAAGAAAACCUAAAAAUCCCUCCUCUUCCUCCUUUGGGCCAAGCCCAGCCCGAAGUCCUUCCCUCCUCCCUCUCUUUCUCUCCCUCUCCUUCUCUCCCUCCUCUUGGGCCUCCUCCCCUCUCGGCCCAGCUCCCUUUCCCCCCUCUCUCUCCCGGGCUGCCUCUUUCCCCCCCCCUCCUUCCCGGCCUGCCUCGGCCCAGCCGCCCGGCCCAAGCCGCCUCCCCCUUCCCCCCCCCUCCUGGGCCGGCCGCCCGGCCCAACCCGAGCGGCGCCCUCCCGCCCGAGCGCGCACGUGCGCGCGCUGACCGCGCGCCCCGCGUGGGGCCCACGCGUCAGGCCGCCGUCGCCUUCUUCCUCCAGCCGCCGCCCGGCUUCCCUCUCCCCGUGCGAACCCUAGCUCACUCCCUCCUCCAAAUCCGCUUGAUUCGCUUGGUUAAUUCCAAAAUUAAAUAGGGGAAAUUAAUCCCCAUUGACUCCUCUUCAUUUCCCCCUAAUUUCCCCUUUGAAUGCCGCCCCCAAUCGCCGGGAACGGCCGCGCCAAGUCCGGCCGCCUUCCAUUGCCGCCGGCCGGCUUUUCCGCCGCCGUUCCGACCUCCCCCGUGGCCGGCUCCCUCUUCUCUCAUAUAAAAUAGAACCCCCUCUUUACGUUCUACCGUUUUAGCCUCUUCCCGAGCUCUCCCGUGGUCUCUAGCCACCUCCCCACCGUCGCCCUCUCUCUCCCACGUUGCCGGCCGGCCUCCAGCCGCCUCUCCCGCCUCGCCGGAGCGUCGUCCGGCCGCGCCGUCGCCUCCUCCAGCGUCGCCGCCACCUCCUCCACCCCGGCUUGCCCUCCGUUUCGCGAGGUGACCCCCGGAGCUGCCUCCCCGCCGUCGCCCUUCUCGUUUCUCCGCGCCGGCCGCCUCCAGUCGCCUCUCCCGCCUCGCCCGUGCGCCGUCCGGUCACGCCGUCUUCUCCCUCGGCCUCGCAGCCACCUCCUCUCCCUCGGUCAGCCCUCUGUUUCGCGGGGAAAACACCGGAGACGCGUCCUCGCCGGCGUCCAGUGGCGUCGCCACCACUUCUCCGCCUCCGGCCGCCUCUGCCGCGUCCCCGGUGCGCCGGCCGACGUCGCCACCACCUCUCCCGGCACCGGAGUGCCGUCCUCUCUCCCGGCCAGGCCACGGCGUCGCCCGAAUUUCGCCGGAACGCCGUCAUCUCCGCGCCGGCCUCUCCUUCCUCCUCGUCGGCUCGUCGCCCCGCUGCACCACCACCUUCACCAACAUCGCAGCGGCGUGUUCCACGCCAUCCCCUCCUCCGCUCAGCCGCUGCUGCCUGCCAUCAUCGUCAUCGUCGUCUCCGUUCGUCCUCGCCGAUCGACGUCCCAUCGGUUGCCCGGCUCGUCGUCUCGCGGCGCCGCCUCCGUCAUCGUCAUCGUAGCGGCGUGUUCCACGUCGUCCUCGUCCCCGUGCAGCUGCUGCUGGCUGCCCCUCGUCGCCCCCUCGCCGGUCCCGGUCGUCGUCGUCGUCGUCGUCCUCUCGUCGUUCCCGGUCGUCGUGGCGUUCGUCCCUCCGUCGAGCCGUUCUCGUCCGUCGUCCGCGUUCGUCAAGCGAGCCGCUGCAGCCCCGUCCUCGUCUCCGUCCUCGGCUCCGCGUCGUCAAGCCUCGUGCCGGCCGCGUCUCGCCUUUGUCCAAGGAUCGCCGCCGAAGUCGUUCCCUCGCCGUUCGCCUCCGUCGUCCCCGAGCUGUCCUCGCCGGUCCCGUUCGUCGUUGUCGUUCCCACGCCUCGUCGCGUGGUGGUAAGGAUCCGUCCUCUCGCUUCCCCGCCCUCGUCCUUCCGGUGUCGCCCCGUACCCGUUGUGCGGUCGUCGACCCCGGUACCCGUGUACCGGUGUCGGUAGUCGUUCACGUGUGCGGGUGGCGACCGUGUAGUGUCCGUGUUAGUGUGCCCGCUCGGUAGCCGCGUGGUUUCCACGUGUGCAACCCGUGUGGUGUCUAGUGGAGUCCGUUUGUCGGCCACUCGCCUCGGUUGACACACGGGGUCCGCUUCCGUCGACCCGUGGACCGUCUCUGUGUACCCGGUCUACCGUGGUCCUUUAGGUUGACAUGUGGGGUCCGCAUGUCAACGGCGCAGCCUUCCUGUCUUUUCCAGGCUAGCGCUUACACAUGUUUUAUAAUUGCAAAGCUUAAUUAUAAUAAUUCGCAAAUCUCCAUAUAACAGCAUUAAACUUCGGAUGAUCAUAUCCUGGUCAUACGAGCUCCGAAUCGACCCGUUCAAGUCUCUUAAUGUUUGUUAUAACCUAAAGAACCCUGUGCUUUGUUUUUAUGUAUUGUUAUUGCUUCUUUAUAGGCUUGUAGCUUUGUUUGUGUGCUUCGCGUAGCUUCUGUCGUUCCGGAGGUUCCCGAAGCGUGGUUCGUGGUCGUCGCCGAAGGUUCGGAAGGCCGUUCUCUCUGAGCAAGGCAAGUCACAUCAUCCUUGAACAUAUUGAAUCCCAGUUUGUAAAAUUAUGUUGAUUUAAAUUAUUGCAUUACCGCUUUAUUUAAAUUCCCGCGUUAUCACUGUUUUAUCUAGCCAUGCCUAUUUACCUUUGUUAUGACCUUAUUAUUGCUAUUGUUAUUAUUACCUUGUUCACCCUAGAGUAAACAAAACCUCAACUAGUGGACACUCUACUCGUGGUAUCCCUAGUUUAAAUUUAGGUAGAUGCUUCGCAAUUUAAUAGGACAACAUUAGUUAGAUUUUAUAACUUUAGACUUUGGGAAUUUCUCAUAUCAUUUGGACACUAUGGAAUUGUUGGAUUAUGGUGGAAUUGGACAUACACCUCUCUUCCUCUUUCAAAACCCCUAAAGCCUGUUUUCGGUGGGGUUUGGGUGCAUGCCAGUUAUGGGAAGUAGCACCCCGGCCACUAUAAGGAUUAAGCUCGGGCCUCUGUUGCAAAGCACUACCGUACUAACCACAUGUCUAAUGGGUAAGGCUUAACUCGGUGCUCAGUCUAGUCCUGAACAAAAGGACACGGAUUGGAGAUGGAUGAAGUCGGGUGUCGAUGGACAUUCUCCAGGGCAAAUGAAGGCUACACGAGCUGCGGCCCGGUAGUCGAGAUGUCGUAUGGCAGAGGGUUGGUGCCCUGCUGCUAGGGGCUCAGUUCUGCCUGCCUGUCCCGGGUAUCCCGGCCGUAGGUGGGAUUGGGUCGGUACUUUUGUUCACGGCUAGGAUGGGUGAAGGGUUAUGUCACAUCUUUACGACGGGUUCCAAGGCCAUGGAAUGCGGAGUAAAGAUGUGUCUUGUGGGUAAAGAUGUACACCUCUGAUCAGAGUAAAUCUAUUCGAAUAGCCGAGCCCUCGGAUAUGGGCAAGCCUAGCAAUGUACCCAAGUCAGUGUUUUAAUUCUUAAAAUUUGCUCAACAACUAAAAUAUGGAAUGGUUGGCCUGGGUUGGCUUGGGACGAGCUGGGACCCAGGGUCGGGUUGCCAGUUCGGUCCGAAUCAUCGUAGGCCUUGGGUUAAGGCAGGUUCGUGAGGGUUCACGGCCUUGAUUAAUAAUACUGUGUAGCUCUAGGAUCGUCUUUACAAAAUGGCUUUGGGCAACUAAGUGGCUUUUAAAUGCUGUUUACUGCAAAACUUAACCUCUAUAUUAUUAUCCCCUUGUACUCCUUUGCAUUAAUUGUGCAUCCCCGGUGUGGCUUGCUGAGUACUGUGGUUGUACUCAUUCUUGCUCAAUCUUUCCCCUCUUCAGUAAGAGAAGCUUUGGAGAAGAAGUCUUAGGUGGAGUCCUGGCUUAUACCCCAGUUGAGCGCCUGUGAAGAUGGAGCCGUAGGCCCGCUAGUCCGCUGCUGUUUAUUUUUGAUUGUCAGGCCUUAAGUGCCUUUGUAAUAAUGUAAAUAUUAUCGAUAUAAUAAAGAUGUGUCUUUUAUAUCAUGUUUGUGUGGUGUACCCCGGCUUUUCCUGGGACGGGGAUUAAUACACUAGCGUUCGGGAAAAGGCAAUUUUCCCGGUCGCGACAAUGGACUUCUCGCCACUUCUCAGUCUGGCGCACUAUAAUGAAUCAUGCUAUACAAAGGAUAAAGCCGUUGCCCACGCUGGCUUGUGGUUGGCACGAUAAAUGUUUCACAACAGUAGCUCGCGAACCGGUCCUUAAUUGCCAUGAGCACGACCUUCAAAACCAUGUGCUCACAACCCACCAUUAAUCAUAUUUUAAUUACCAAUUAAUUAUCAUAACACGAUUAACCAUCGUGAGCUACCAUUAAAUAUAACCAUAAUAAUAAUGUAGUAUAUAUGAUUCAUCCCAUUAGUGAGCUAAUGUUUCUAAACAUGGCUAAGCAAUUAUAUAUAUAUAACAUUUAGCUGAACCAAACCAAUACAUAAGGUUCAAGCUAAUCAAUUUAUUACCCAAGGUAUCAAGGAAUAGAGCAUUCAAUGCAAAUUGGCCAUAACAAAGGAAAAGGUUCACACCACCCGGUGACAUUCAAAAAUAAAUGCACAGUUGAAAUAAAUAGAGAAUUUAAAUAUAGGAUCAACAUGCUCAAAGGAUUGUGUUUAGGAUCUGUGUGACUUGCCUUGCAAUAAUCGAUCUUCAAUUAAUCUUCUUGAUCACUUCCGACGCACUCACGAACCUUCGCAACGACGGAAACGACAAGCUAACACGCAAAACGAAGAAAAAGACUAAUAAAAAACCAAAUAAACAGUACAUAAAAAGUAAACAAACAUGUAGAUCAUAAUUUUAGAUGAAUUAUGAGACUUGAACGGCCUCAUUCUGACUUCAAAUGAAUUUAUUAUGAAUUUUACAAGAUUAAAUCUAAUUAAAGCCCAUUUAAAAAGAAUUAAAUAAAUUUAAUUCAAUUUAUGGACAAUUUUAAUAUGUAGAUCUUUAUUUUAGAAAAAUUUAGCAACUUGAACUACAUUAAACUGAGUUACGAUGAUUUAGUUAUGAUUUUCCGAAGAUUUAAUCUAUUAAAAGAAAAGGAAAAAGAUGAGAUGAUGACGUCAGCAUGACGUCAUCCAUGGCCGGCGGCUCGGAUUGGCGACCUCGCCGGAGCUAGGAUGGUCGGCCGGGGAUUUGGAGGGCACCUACGCAUAGAGGACGACGAGAUGAACCCAACGGUACUCACCACGACGACAAACGACGAACGACGACGGCCGGCGACGAGAAGGGCGACGGCGGCGGCUCGGUUGAACGGCGACGGCGAGCUCCGGUGGCCGGCGGCAAAGAAGGACGGGCGGCCGAGCUUCUCCACCCCUUGGCGCACCUCUUGGCGAUGGCGGCAAGCGGCGGCGACGACGGAGGCGGCGGCGCGACGACGCCGAAGAUGGCCGGCGGCGGCGGCGAGCUAGACGCGCGUGGCGCGGCGGCUAGGAGGCACGGGAGACCACGGGAGAGAGAGCAAAUGAAAGAGGGCGACGAGGGGAUGCUAUAUAUAGCCUUGGAUUGAAGAGAUCGAACUCCAAACGAGAGGAAUCGACUCGGGAAAAAUCCAAACUCGGUUUUAGGGAUAAAAUCAAAACGAACUCGAUUCGGAUAAAAUACCCAACGAUUCGCUCCGAUUCUUGAGGGGAAAGAUAGAGGAGAAUGAGAGGAUAAAAUCCCCUCAAAAACCCGGAGGAAACGGGGUCGGAUUGGGUUGGAUUUGAGAGAAGAAAGGAGGCGCGGUCGGUCGGCAGCUCGGCUCGGCUUGGCCGGCCGGAGGUAGGGGAUGACCCCGACAUGUGGGCCCCACAUGUCGGUGGCUAGAGGAGGAGGGGCGGCGGCUGCUUGGCUGGGCCGACUUGGGCCGGUUCGGCCGCGCGGAGAAGAGAAGAGUUGGGCCGAAUUCGGCCCAACGGCUUAAAGGAGGGGUUUUUGAACUUUUUCAAUAAAAACAAUUUGUGAAAUGUUGUUUCAUUUAUUAAAAAUACUUCCCUUGCUCAAAUAAUUCCCAGAAAAAUCUAGAAAAUAGAGGAGCAAGCAUAGUAUUUAAUAAAAUUUUAUCUAGCUCAUUUUUAUAUUGAAAAUUUUCCUAGAAAAUUAGGGUUUAGCUUGUAGGUUUUUAAAAUAAUUUCUAAAAAAUUCCAAUUAAACAACAAUUUAUAUAUUUAGGAUUUUAAACAAGAAAAACUCUUAACAAUUAUAGUUAGAUCAUUUAAUGAUCAAAUAAUUACUAAACUGUUCUUUGUAUCAUUUAGGAAUUGAGCUCCGAAAAAUCCGAGAAAAUUCCAGAGAGUAUAAUUAACCAUGGAGAAUUUAAUAAAAAUUAAAUCCAUCCAUGCUUUAUAUUUAGGAAAUUUUAUUUCCCACAUUUAACUUCACUUGUAAAUUAAUGAACAUUUAAUAUAAAUUCUAUUAAUAAUUUACUAAAUUCUUUAUAAAUCUUGAAACGAAAAUCAGGCUGUGACAGAACUCCAAACGAGAGGAAUCGACUCGGGAAAAAUCCAAACUCGGUUUUAGGGAUAAAAUCGAAACGAACUCGAUUCGGAAAAAAUCCUCAACGAUUUGCUUCGAAACUUGGGAAAAGAUAGAGGAGAACGUGAGGAACAAAACCCCUCAAAAACCCGAAAGAAUCGGGGUCGGAUUGGAGCAGAAACGGAGGCGGAAAAGGGCGGCUCGGGCUUGCUAGGGCGGCCGGCCGGAGGUAGGGGAUGGAUCCGACAGGUGGGCCCCACCUGUCGGUCUCCUGAGAGGAGGGCACGGGCGGCUCGGCUGGGCCGGCUUGGGCCGCGCGGGAGAGAGAGAAUGUUGGGCCGAAUUCGGCCCAACGGCUAAGGAAGGGGAUUUUUGAACUUUUUUGAAUAAAAACAAUUUGUGAAAUGUUGUUUCAUUUAUUAAAAAUACUUCCCUUGCUCAAAUAAUUCCCAGAAAAAUCUAGAAAAUAGAGGAGCAAGCAUAGUAUUUAAUAAAAUUUUAUCUAGCUCAUUUUUAUGUUGAAAAUUUUCCUAGAAAAUUAGAGUUUAGCUUGUAGGCUUUUAAAAUAAUUUCUAAAAAUUCCAAUUAAACAACAGUUUAUACAUUUAGGAUUUUUAGGGCGUGACAAACCUACCCCCCUUAAACGGAAUCUCGUCCUCGAGAUUCAGAAGAACUGGCGAACAGAUGAGGAUGAGCUGACUUCAAUUCAUCUUCUCGCUCCCAAGUGGCUUCUUCUUCUGAAUGAUUGCUCCACUGAACCUUGCAGAACCGUAUAACGCGAUUCCUGGUAUUCCUCUCGCUUACUUCCAAAAUUCUGACGGGCUUCUCAACAUAAGUUAAAUCUUCUUGAAGCUCUAUACGAUCAGGAUCUGCUUCCUCCGUAGGUACACGUAAACAUUUCUUCAACUGAGACACAUGGAACACGUCAUGCAUUCCCGUCAUUGACGAAGGCAACUCUAACUGAUAAGCUACUUCACCUCUUCGACUCACAAUCUUAAAAGGUCCCACAAAGCGCGGUGCCAAUUUCCCUUUGGUUUGGAAACGAUGAACACCUCGUAACGGCGUAACCCGAAGGUAUACAUAAUCUCCUUCUUCGAAAGCCAAAUCUUUGCGACGAUUGUCGGCAUAGCUCUUCUGACGUGACUGAGCAACACGCAACCUUUCUUGGAUAAUCUUCACUUUUUCUUCUGCCUCUCGCAAUAUGUCUGUCCCAAAAACCUGACGUUCACCGGUUUGAUCCCAAAGAAGCGGCGUACGACACUUUCGACCAUAUAAUGCUUCAUACGGAGCCAUUUGCAAACUAGCUUGAUAACUAUUGUUAUAUGAGAAUUCCGCGUACGACAAAUUCUUAUCCCAACUUCCACCAAAAUCUAGAACACAGGCUCUCAACAUAUCUUCUAAAAUUUGGUUUACUCUUUCUGUCUGACCAUCUGUUUGAGGGUGAUAAGCGGUACUGAAAUUCAAACGGGUACCCAUCUCAACUUGUAAUUUCUGCCAAAACUUCGAAGUAAACUGGCUACCUCUAUCUGACACUAUCUUCUUAGGAACGCCAUGCAAACAUACCACUCUGGCCUUGUAUAACUCUGCAAGCUUAUUCCCCGUAUAGGUUGUUUUGACCGGUAUGAAAUGCGCGACUUUUGUCAACCUAUCAACCACUACCCAAAUAGAAUCAUGUCCUGCCGACGUUCUGGGUAGACCGGUUAUAAAAUCCAUUCCUAUUUCUUCCCACUUCCACUCUGGAAUCUUUAACGGUUGUAACAGAUCGGCUGGCUUCUGAUGUUCUGCCUUGACCCGCUGACAUACAUCACAUAGAGCCACAUAUUCUGCUAUCUCACGACGCAUACUGGCCCACCAGAAUUGUUGCUUUAAAUCUUGAUACAUCUUAGUGCUUCCAGGGUGAAUGGAAUACAAAGUUUCAUGAGCUUCUUUCAUGAUAGUAUCCUUCAACUCCUUAUUAUCUGGGACGCAAAUUCUUUCUCCUAACCACACAGUACCUUGCUCAUCUUCUACAAAACCGAUGGCUUUUCCUCUUCUCAUGUUUUUCUUUAUUUCUUGGAUAUCAGGAUCAUUCACUUGAGCUUCUCUAACUUGAUCAAACAGAGUAGGUUUAGCUUCUAAAGCGGCCAUAAAACCUUUGCUGACUAUUCCCAAGUUCAACUUUUCAAAUUCUUGGCAUAACUCCCGAGGUAAACGUCGACCUUCUGACAUAUUACAGUAGCUUUUCCUGCUAAGUGCAUCGGCUACAACAUUUGCUUUCCCCGGGUGAUAGUGGAUUUCCAUAUCAUAAUCUUUAAUCAACUCUAACCAUCUUCGCUGACGCAUGUUCAAAUCAGGUUGAGUGAAAAUAUACUUCAAACUUUUAUGAUCCGUAUAUACCUCUGUACAGUUACCGAAAAGAUAAUGACACCAAAUCUUCAAUGCAUGCACCACAGCAGCCAAUUCUAGGUCAUGCGUUGGGUAGUUAUUCUCAUGGGGACGUAAUUGCCUAGACGCAUAAGCAACCACCUUUCCUUCUUGCAUCAACACACAACCCAAACCGAGUCGGGAUGCAUCACAAUACACUUGGAAACCUUUCCUCGAAUCAGGCAAAACUAACACAGGCGCAGUCACUAGCCUUUUCUUCAAUUCUUGGAAACUUUGUUCACAAUCCUCUGUCCACUUGUACUUUACUUCCUUCUGAAGCAGACGAGUCAUUGGUCUGGCGAUCUUUGAAAAGUUCUCAAUAAACCUGCGGUAAUACCCAGCAAGUCCAAGGAAACUACGAAUUUCUGAAACCGUCUUGGGUUGCUUCCAACUUAACACUGACUCCACAUUGCUUGGAUCUACUGCCACUCCUCCGGACGAGAUGACAUGACCAAGAAACUUCACUUCGGACAACCAAAAUUCACAUUUACUGAACUUGGCAUAAAGCUGAUGCUCACGUAGUUUCUCUAAAGCUAGACGAAGAUGCUCUUCAUGUUCUUCCUUCGUCUUGGAGUAAAUAAGAAUGUCAUCAAUAAACACCACGACAAACUUAUCCAGAUAUUCCAUAAACACCUUGUUCAUCAGAUUCAUGAAAAAGGCUGGGGCAUUAGUGAGUCCAAAUGACAUAACGGUACAUUCGAACAUACCAUACCGAGUUGUGAAAGCGGUCUUUGGUAUAUCUUCCUCACGGAUUCGAAGUUGAUGAUAUCCAGAACGGAGAUCUAUCUUAGAGAAAACUGUAGCACCUUCCAGUUGAUCAAACAGGUCAUCAAUUCUGGGUAGAGGAUACUUAUUCUUGAUAAUCACCUCAUUCAACGCUCGAUAAUCCACGCACAUUCUCUGAGUAUGAUCUUUUGUCACGCCCGGAAUUUCUAUCCAAAAUUCCAAACGCUUACAUGUGUGUGAACCCUCGUCCAGGAAUCAGCCGAGGCACACAAUAACAAAUUGAUAAUAGAGUACAAUUAUUACUCUAAUUAAUAAGCGUAUAAAGUGUCAUUACAGAGGUAGAUAGUUCCUCUCAAACAAUAAAUAUCUAAGCAGCGGAAAAAGAAAUAAACGGCGCAGACGGCUCCACUCCACAGGCAGCUUGACCAAGGCUACACCUAAUCCUCCACUCCAUCAGCUUCACUGUAGAACUCUUCCUCUGAUGAAUGAUUGCAAGGUGAGUAUAUGACAUACUCAGCAAGCCACGCAGCAAAUAUGCAAGUGCACAGGAUAACAAAGGAUGGCAUAAUAGGGUUUCAUUUGCAAAAGCAGCAUUUAGCAAACAUUUGAGAAUUUAAUCAAACCGUUAAGUAAUAAUUAAACAAUAUUAAUCCAACGCUAUACAACAUACCCUGUUGUAUAGGCCCAACCAUUCUAAACAACCACCUCGGCUGCACAGUUCUAUCUCCAAACCAGGAAUAUACCAUUCCAAACCAGGAGCUAAUCAAAUUAUUACCAGUUAAAGCAUCAUUUACUAAGAUGAGAAGUGUGGGACUAAUCACGAAAGACAUUGUUAGACUCGCCCAUAACCGCGGGCACAGCUAUUCGAAUAGUUUUACUCUGAUCAGAGGUGUACCACUGUACCCACAAGACACAACCCCACAUCAUGUCACCAUGUGCCUCAAUACCACCACGGUACCUCGGAAAGGAGUUGUGACAAUACCCCUCAUACAACACAAUCCACUGCAGUGCACCUUCCUGGAUCAUAAUCACCCCCUUAUAAACAAGGCAUGGACUCCCCAGCGACCCCCGUGGGCUUAUCUCCGCCACUUCUCAGUCUGGUGCCCCGCAAUGAACCAUGCUAUACAAAGGAUAAAGCCGUUGCCCAUGCUGGCUUGUGGUUGGCACGAUUAAUGUUUCACAACCGAAACUCGUGAACCGGUCCUUAAUUGUCAUGAGCACGACCAUCAAAACCAUGUGCUCACAACCCACCAUUAUCAGGUUUUAGUUGGCACAUUAAUUAAUUAACCAAUCACGAUUGUCCAUCGUGAACUAUCAAUAAGCCAUCGUGAAAUAAUAGUGAAUCAUUAGUUAUCCCAUAAGUGUGCUAAUGUUUCUAAGCAGGGCUAAGCAAUUAUUUCUAAUAUCUAGUUGAACCAAUAAACAUAAAGCUCAACUAGUCCAAUUUUAAUAACCCGAGGUAUCAAGGAAUAAGGUAAUCAAGAACAAAAGGGCUAUAACAAACAAUAGGUUAAUUCCACCCAAUGACAUUCGAAAAUAAAUGCAAUAUUUGAAUAGAAACAAUAGCUUUAAAUAGGAUCAACCAUGCUCAAAGGGUUGUUUGGGAUCUGUGUGACUUGCCUUGCUGGCCUUGGAACUCUUCAAACUCUUCUCCGGCGAAAACGGACUCUCCGGAAACGACGGAAUCUAAGCAGAAAGAAGCAAAAACACCAAAACAGCACAUAAAUAAGCUUGAACAGUACAUGUGGAUAUUUUUAUUGUGUAGAUCUCAAUUUUAGAAAAAUUUAGAGACUUGAACCAACUAAAUCGGAGCUAAGAUGAAUUAGUUAUGAAUUUUUAAAGAUUAAAUCGGAUUAAAACACUUAAAUCGGUUAAAAUUGAAUUAUGACGCAAUAAUGAAUUAUUUUUGAAAAGGAAAAGAAGGUUUAUUGCGUCAGCGGCUAGGGUUUCGGUGGACCGGGCGCACGGGCGGCGGUUCACGCGAACGGACGGCCGAGAUCGAUCCAAUCCAAAACGGACGGCCGAGAUCGAACGGUCCACGACCGGCUCACGGCGGACGACCCCGAUGACGUUAGCGAUGACGUCACCGACAGCGGCGGCGGCUCGGCGGAGCAGACGGCUCGGACGGCGCACGCUCGCCGGCGAACGGCGGCACUACGGCACAAACGGAGGGCACCAGCACGUAGAGGACGACGCGGCGAACUCACCGGUGACCAAAACGGCGGCGGAGGAAGAACGGACGGCGACGGUGACGAGGUUGAAACGGCGGCGGAGAUCGGGUCGACGACGGCGACGAUGCUCCGGCGGUCUCCGACGGUGGCGAAGUGGCGGACGAGGACGACGACGACUUGGCGACCACGACGGCGGUCUUCCCGAGCGACGACGAUGACCGGAACGGCGGCGGCGCACGGCUGGAGCGACGGCGGCGACGGCGGCACUAGGGCACACGGUGCUAGAGCUCUUCCGGCGACGAGAGGCGAAGGCGAGGGUGGCGACGGGUAGAGGAGGCACCGGGGGUCCUUUUAAAUGGGCUCGGAGGCGGCGGCAAAGGCCCACGGCGACGGCAACGGCGAAGGAAAGCUCGGGUAGAACGAAUCCGAGACGAACUCGAAUCCAACUCUUUCCAAGACGAUUUGGCCAAAGAUUCCAAAGGAGAAAAGGUAGAGGAGAUCCCGAGGAUCAUUUCCCCUCUAUCAAUUCGGCCGGAGAAGGAAAGGAGCGGCCGGAUUGGAAAGCGGCGGCGGCGGCGCGAAACUAGGGUUUCGGCCCGAGGAAGACGACGACUCCGACAGGCGGGACCCACCUGUCAGCGACAGCGAGGGCGCGCGCGCGAGCGGCUGCGGCUGCGGACUGGGCCGGCUGGGCCGAGGAGAGAGAGAGGAGGUUUUGGGCCGACUUUCGGCCCAAAGCCAAAAGAAGACUUUUUAAAACCUUUUUCCAUUUAAAUUAUUUCUUAAAUGCAAUUCCAUUUAUUAAAAAUACUUUCUUAGCUCAAAUAAAUCCCAGAAAAAUCUAGGAAUUAUAGAAUUAAGCAAAGUAUUUAAUAAAAUUUUAUCUGGCCCCAUUUUAUAUUGGAAUUUAUUAAUUAAAACUAGAUCUUCCUUUCUAGGCUUUUAAAAUAUAUUCUAGAAAUUCCAAUUAAACAACAAUUUAUAAAUUUUGAAUUUUCAGGAUGUGACAAACCUACCCCCCUUAAACAGAAUCUCGUCCUCGAGAUUCGGAAGAACUGGCGAACAGAUGCGGAUGAGCUGACUUCAAUUCAUCUUCUCAUUCCCAAGUUGAUUCUUCUUCCGAGUGAUUACUCCAUUGGACUUUGCAAAAACGGAUAACUCGAUUCCUGGUUCUUCUCUUAUUUGUUUCCAAGAUACGGAUUGGUUUCUCCACAUAGGUCAGAUCCUCUUGGACUUCUAUCUAUUCAAGAUUAGCUUCUUCGGUAGGUACCCUUAAACACUUCUUCAAUUGCGACACAUGGAACACAUUAUGGACUCCUGCCAAGGAUUGAGGUAACUCUAACUGAUAAGCAACCUCUCCUCUUCUACUGACAAUCUUAUAAGGUCCCACAAAACGCGGUGCUAAUUUUCCUUUGGUAUGAAAACGAUGAACUCCUCGAAAAGGCGUGACACGAAGAUACACAUAAUCUCCUUCUUCAAAACUCAAAUCUCUACGGCGAUUGUCGGCAUAACUCUUAUGACGAGACUGAGCCACUCGCAAUCUUUCUUGAAUGAUUUUCACCUUUUCUUCUGCUUCUCUUAGAAUAUCCGUCCCGAAAACCUGACGUUCUCCCGUUUGAUCCCACAAAAGCGGAGUGCGGCACUUACGACCAUACAGUGCUUCGUAAGGAGCCAUCUGUAUACUAGCUUGAUAACUGUUGUUGUACGAAAAUUCUGCAUAAGGUAGAUUCUUAUCCCAACUUCCACCGAAAUCUAAAGCACAAGCUCUCAACAUGUCUUCCAAAAUCUGAUUCACCCUUUCGGUUUGUCCGUCUGUCUGCGGAUGAUAAGCAGUGCUAAAGUUCAGCUUAGAACCCAUCUCUUCCUGAAGUUUCUUCCAGAAAUUUGAGGUAAACUGACUGCCUCGAUCAGACACUAUUUUCUUAGGGACGCCAUGCGAACACACAAUCCUUGCCAUAUACAAUUCUGCCAACCGACUUCCGGAAUAAGUUGUCUUUACCGGAAUAAAAUGAGCCACUUUGGUAAGUCUAUCGACUAUUACCCAAAUAGAGUCAUGGCCUGAUGACGUUCUGGGUAAACCAGUGAUAAAAUCCAUACCGAUUUCUUCCCAUUUCCAUUCAGGAAUCUUCAAAGGCUGCAGCAAACCGGCAGGUUUCUGAUGUUCUGCCUUGACACGCUGACAAACAUCACAUACUGCUACGUAUUCUGCGAUUUCACGCUUCAUACUUGCCCACCAAAAUCUUUCUUUGAGAUCCUGGUACAUCUUAGUACUUCCAGGGUGAAUGGAGUAUAAAGUAUCAUGAGCUUCUUUCAGAAUUACAUCUUUCAAAUCUUUGUUGUCAGGGACACAGAUUCUCUCGCCCAACCAAACAGUUCCUUGCUCAUCCUCCAAGAAACCGAUAGCUUUUCCUCUUCUCAUAUUCUUCUUGAUCUCUUGAAUAUCAGGAUCAUUAAUUUGGGCUUCUCUAACUUGAUCAAUUAGAGUGGGCUUCGCUUCUAAAGCUGCAACGAAACCUCUACUGACAAUUCCCAAAUUUAAUCUUUCAAAUUCCUGGCAUAACUCCAAUGGCAACUGUCGUCCUUCGGUAGCAUUGCAAUAGCCUUUCCUGCUAAGAGCGUCGGCUACAACAUUUGCCUUUCCUGGGUGAUAAUGAAUUCCCAUGUCAUAAUCCUUAAUUAAUUCCAACCAUCUCCGUUGUCUCAUGUUCAGAUCCGGCUGAGUAAAGAUAUACUUUAAACUCUUGUGAUCGGUAUAUACCUCUGUACGAGUACCGAAAAGAUAAUGACGCCAAAUUUUCAACGCAUGAACUACUGCAGCUAACUCAAGAUCAUGAGUAGGGUAGUUCUUCUCAUGCGGACGUAACUGACGAGAUGCAUAGGCAACCACCUUCCCAUCUUGCAUCAGAACACAACCUAACCCAAGUUUGGAUGCAUCGCAAUAGACUUGGAAACCCUUCUUUGGAUCGGGUAAAAUCAAAAUAGGAGCUGAUAUCAAGCGAUUCUUCAACUCUUGAAAACUCUGCUCACAUUCUUCUGACCACUUGUACUUCACAUCUUUCUGUAGCAGUCGUGUCAUGGGCUUAGCAAUCUUGGAAAAAUUCUCUAUAAACCUCCGGUAAUAUCCUGCGAGGCCUAGAAAACUGCGAAUCUCUGAAACUGUCUUUGGUUGUUUCCAGUUGGUUACGGAUUCCACAUUACUGGGAUCGACGGCAACUCCUCCUGCUGAGAUGACGUGACCAAGGAACUUCACUUCAGACAACCAAAAUUCACACUUGCUAAACUUAGCAUACAGUUGAUGUUCUCGUAGCUUCUCCAAUGCAAGGCGAAGAUGUUCUUCAUGCUCUUCUUUGGUUCGGGAGUAGAUAAGAAUGUCAUCAAUAAAGACCACCACAAACUUGUCUAGGUAUUCCAUAAACACCUUAUUCAUCAAGUUCAUGAAGAAAGCAGGGGCAUUGGUAAGUCCAAAAGACAUAACAGUACAUUCGAACAACCCAUACCUAGUGGUAAAAGCUGUCUUAGGUAUAUCUUCCUCUUUGAUUCUCAACUGGUGAUAUCCUGAUCGAAGAUCUAUCUUGGAGAAUACAGUAGCACCUUUAAGCUGAUCAAACAAAUCAUCAAUUCUGGGCAGCGGAUACUUAUUCUUGAUAGUCACAUCGUUUAAUGCACGAUAGUCCACACACAUCCGCUGAGUAUGGUCUUUCUUUUCCACAAAAAUAACCGGAGCACCCCAUGGAGAUGAACUCGGUCUGAUGUACCCUUUCUGAAGCAAAUCGUCUACUUGCCUUUUGACUUCUGCCAACUCAUUGGCUGCCAUUCUAUAAGGUCUCUUAUGGAUCGGAGUUGUUCCUGGUACCAAAUCUAUUCUGAACUCUAUAUCCCUUUUGGGCGGCAUACCAGGUAAAUCAUCUGGGAACACAUCGGGAUACUCCCGGACUAUAGGAAUCUCUUCCAAAGUUAUCUGGUUCAGUCUUGACCUUAAAGACUCAGAUGACAAUGCAUGAACAGUUACAACUCGACCAUCAUUGCUGAUGAGAGUUACUUUUCUGUUAGCACAGUCUAUCACACCUUUAUGUCUGGCUAACCAGUCCAUCCCUAGGAUGACAUCAAGGUCUUUGGAUUCUAACAAGAUAAGAUUGGCCAGAAAUGGUACUCCUUGAAUUUCUAUUCUGACAGAGGGGCUACGUUGCAAAGAGAGUGCUUGAUUGCUUGGGGUACUAACCAUCAAAGGACGUCUAAGAUCUUCUACUUCCAUCCCAUGAUUUCCCGCAAAACUCAUAGAUAAGAAUGAAUGUGUAGCACCAGAAUCGAAAAGCACUGUUGCAGGAACUGAGUUAACAGAAAACGUACCCAAAAUCACAUCUGGAGCAUCUUGGGCUUCUGCAGCAGCAACAUGAUUGACACGGGCCUUUGAUGCUGGUGCGGUAGAGUUGCUCUGGGCAGGGACAACCUUCACGCGUCGGGGCUUCGGACACUUGUCAGCAUAAUGUCCUGGGUCUCCACAGUUGAAACACACCACGGGCUUGCUGCCUGGCUCCCUCUUGGCAGGUUGUUGCUGUGUUGGAGCUGCAACAGGACGUGGAGCUUGAUUGCGGAUGUUGUUGCCAGCAUUGUUGUUGAAAAACUGACGUUGCGGACGAACAACAGACGAAGAACCUCCCUGUGGCAUAGACUGGGGUCCUAAAGUAAGACGCGGCUUCUGAUUACUCCCCUGUUGUGCUUUGAAGUGAGCAAUCCGGCGUUUCUUCUGCUCCAUGCGGUUGUACUUGUCUUCCUGACGAAUAGCCUUAUCCAUUAAUUUCUGGAAAUCAGAAUAAUCUCCAGUCAUGAGUGGGUAAGAAAGCUCAUCAUUAAGUCCUUCCAAGAACUUCUCCUGGCGCUCUUCAUCAUUGCGCACAUCUUCCGGAGCAUAACGAGCAAGACGAUUGAACUCGUGCAGAUACUCCGUAACAGAGCGAGAUCCCUGGGUGAGCGACCUGAACUCCUUCUUCUUGAGAGACACCACUCCCGAUGGUAUAUGCGUCUUCCGGAAAGCAGCGGUGAAUUCAAGCCAAGUAAUAGGUUCAGCAGUAGUCCUAUUCAGGCGGAAGUGAUCCCACCAUUCAGAGGCAGGGCCAUGCAACUGAUGUGAUGCAAAUGAGACCUUCUCCUGAUCAGUGCACUGAAGCAAAUCCAACUUCUUCUCUAUGGCAUGCAGCCAAUCACCAGCUUCAACAGGAUUAGUGGUACUAGAGAAAACAGGCGGCCUCACACGAAGAAAUUCUGCUAACUUAUUCUGAGGAGGUGCAUGGUUAUUUCCUUGGUUCUGCUGAUUCUGGAGUUGCUGCAUCAUCAUGUUCAUGAGUUGUGUCUGUUGAGCAAGAACUUGGGCAAGAGUGGGAUUCUCUCCAUUAUUGUUGUUAUUGGGGUUGUUAGGGCCAUUCCCAUUGCUGCGAGUGUUCACCAUCUGGCAUGGACAGGGCACAAGAAGAGAAACCGGGGGAAACUACUUAGGAUAGAGAAUUACUUUAACUUUUAUUGAUCUUAACUGAGUUUUAUUACAAACUGAAGACUCUCACACCACUAAACUCACCAACUUCCUCACACUCAAAAGCAAACAAACGCAUGCACUUACAUCCCACCACUGAUGUAAAUCACAUGCGAGACACACACAAGCAAACUUAAAACAAGCAAACUAACACAACGAUCUAAGACCACGACUUAACAAGUCACUCUAGUUCUUCUGAGCAUCGGAGGUCGAUUGAAGGCUCGUUCGGCUCGUCUUCAUCAUCUUGAGUUGCUACCCACUCAAUCUUGGAAUGGGUGCGCUUGGAUUCUUCAUCUUCAUCACUACUUAUGAUAAUGACCGGAGGAUCUGCUGGGGCAACUUCUUUCUCCACCACACGAACCUUUGGCGCCAAUUGAUAGCGAGGGACAAAUAGAGCUCUCUUCCUUGCGGUAAGACGAAUCCUGGCCUUCUGCGGCGGAGCUUCUCCCUUCAAUGCGGCUAAUUCCUUCUCCAAACGAUCCACCUUGUCUUCGAGCUUGCAAAUCUUACCACGAUUCCGGUCUUCACGAUCUUGAGCUGCUAACACAGUCUCCGCACGACUUUCAUCCAUAGCCCACAACAUCUCAACCAAAUGCCUUGUGGUAGCAUCAUUCUCAAUUCCUUCAGUCUCAAGGUAACUGCCACGGUCACUUCCCUGUGGUUGACGAGGAUGAUAGCGAUACUCAGUGUCGGCCAACUGAUCACUGUAGCGAUCACGGAGCUCUCCUAUGGCGAUCCUUGCCACUUCCUGACAUGCAUGGAUGUAGUUUCUUCCUCCAGCUUCGAACAUUACUGAGGGGACCUCUUCACUAUUGCUGUUCAAAGUAACUUUGACUCGGCACUUCUCUUCAUGACGAUCAUGAGGAAUCUGGGCAUAAAAAGGGGCAGUCCCAAAUCCAAUGACAAAGGACAUCGUACGCAACUCCUGGACAAAACCCUCAACACCAAACAAGUACUCAGGCUUGUAGCGCGGCAUCUAAAGACAAGUGAAAGGAGGGAGUUAAGACAUCUAUCCAAUUAACAGCACAAGUUUUUGGAUUAAUUUGAAUAAAGUUUAGAAAUCAAAAUAAACCAAACCUGCAGGAUAAGUUGAAACAGUUGGAAACAAGGUUACAAGCUUUGUGCUUUUGAGUAACAGGUUUUAAAAGAAAUAAAAGAAAGUUAUAAAAUCAACUUGCUAAAUCUAUUUUAUUGCAGCAAGAUUAAAUAAAACAACAUUGUAAAACUUUUGCUGGUAAAUGAGCCAUUGGUACAGUAAUAAAUGUACGGUACUAAUAACACUGGAAUAAAUUUUGAAUGAGAACCAUUAAAAGAGAUUAUGAAGUGCAUGUGCCAUUAGUUUGGUUUAAUUAAAAGAGAAAGGGAGGAGAACAGUUCUACUUUUCCAAUAUUUUUAGAAGGCUUCUAUGGGUAACCAUUUGGCAUAACCUAGGGUCAAGGGGGCUCUGAUACCAACUUGUCACGCCCGGAAUUUCUAUCCAAAAUUCCAAACGCUUACAUGUGUGUGAACCCUCGUCCAGGAAUCAGCCGAGGCACACAAUAACAAAUUGAUAAUAGAGUACAAUUAUUACUCUAAUUAAUAAGCGUAUAAAGUGUCAUUACAGAGGUAGAUAGUUCCUCUCAAACAAUAAAUAUCUAAGCAGCGGAAAAAGAAAUAAACGGCGCAGACGGCUCCACUCCACAUACCGAGGUGCGAGCUUCCCUUUUGUCUGAAACCUGUGCACACCUCGCAAUGGCGUGACCCGAAGGUAUACAAAAUCACCCACUGCGAAUUCCAGGUCACGGCGACGGUUAUCUGCAUAACUUUUCUGCCGAGACUGUGCCACCUUUAGAUUAUCCCGAAUGAUUCUGACUUUAGCUUCAGCUUCUCUCAGGAUAUCAGUCCCGAACACUUGGCUUUCUCCAACUUGGUCCCACAAGAGCGGUGUCCGGCAUUUGCGCCCGUACAACGCUUCAUAAGGUGCCAUUUGUAUGCUGGCUUGAUAACUGUUAUUGUAGGAGAAUUCGGCAUAGGGGAGACUCUUAUCCCAGGUCUUCCCGAAAUCUAGUACACAUGCGCGGAGCAUAUCUUCUAGGAUCUGAUUUAGAUGCUCGGUCUGUCCAUCUGUCUGCGGGUGAUACGCGGUGCUGAAAUUUAAUCGGGUUCCCAACUCUUCUUGGAGUUUCUUCCAAAAAUGAGAGGUGAAUUGGCUUCCCCUAUCAGAUACAAUUUUCUUGGGAACGCCAUGGAGACUCACGAUCCUAGCGAAGUAGAGCUCGGCUAGUUUGUUCCCUCCAUAGGUGGUCUUCACAGGAAUAAAUCGAGCUACCUUGGUUAAUCGAUCCACAACUACCCAUAUAGAAUCAUAUCCACCUUGGGUUUUUGGAAGUCCGGUGAUGAAAUCCAUCCCAAUUUCAUCCCAUUUCCAUUCUGGUACUUGGAGAGGUUGGAGAAGUCCGGCCGGUCGUUGGUGCUCUGCCUUGACACGCUGGCACACAUCACAAAGGGCCACGAACUCUGCAAUUUCCCGCUUCAUACUAACCCACCAGUAUUUCUCCUUCAAGUCUAAGUACAUCUUUGUACUGCCCGGGUGAAUGGAAUAAGGGCUCUCGUGAGCUUCCUGAAGUAUCAGCUGUUUGAGUUCUCGGUUAUCUGGAACGCAUACCCGCUUUCCGUUCCAUAGGGUUCCGUGUUCAUCCUCUGUGAAACCAGCGGCUUUACCCUGUUUCAUAUUCUUGAGGAGUCCAUGCAUGUCCGGAUCAUUCUUCUGAGCCUUGCGGAUUUGAUCGAGCAAGGUAGGCUUGGCUUCUAGCGCAGCCAAGAAUCCGCGACCAACUAUGCUUAGGUUCAGGGCUUCCAUCUGUUGAUUAAGUUCGGGUGGAAUGCCACGGACGUUAAGAGUGUUGCAAUGGCCCUUUCGACUUAGAGCGUCGGCAACCACGUUGGCCUUACCAGGAUGAUAGUGAAUUCCCACAUCAUAGUCCUUGAUGAGUUCUAACCAUCUCCUUUGCCGAAGAUUCAGAUCCGACUGGGUGAAGAUGUAUUUCAAACUCUUAUGAUCGGUAUAUAUUUCACAGCGAUUCCCAAUGAGAUAGUGCCGCCAGAUUUUUAGAGCAUGAACCACCGCGGCUAACUCCAAAUCAUGUGUAGGGUAGUUGCCUUCAUGAGGUCGCAGCUGACGUGAGGCAUAGGCUACCACAUGACCGUCCUGCAUGAGCACGCACCCCAAUCCUUGGCGCGAAGCGUCACAAUACACCAGGAAGUCCUUGCGAGUAUCCGGCAAGAUUAACACCGGCGAGGAAACCAGCUUUUCCUUGAGAGUUUGGAACGCCUUCUCGCAUUGCGGGCUCCACACAAAUUUCUCUUCUUUCUUCAACAACUGUGUCAUGGGUCGAGCGAUUUUGGAGAAGUUCUCGAUGAAUCUCCGGUAGUAUCCUGCCAAACCUAAGAAACUGCGGACUUGAGUAACUGUCUUGGGUUGCUUCCAAUCGGUGACGGUGGUCACUGUUUCGGGGUCCACAGAAACUCCUUUAGCAGAUAUCACGUGUCCUAAGAAUUUGACUUCGGACAGCCAGAACUCACACUUGCUAAGUUUGGCAUACAAUUGAUGUUCCCGCAGCUUUCCCAACACCAGACGGAGAUGGUGCUGAUGGUCUUCCUCUGAUUGUGAGUAUACCAGAAUGUCAUCAAUGAAAACCACAACAAACUUAUCCAAGUAUUCCAUGAACACUUUGUUCAUUAAGUUCAUGAAGAAGGCAGGUGCAUUGGUUAGGCCGAAUGACAUCACCGUGAAUUCAUACAGCCCGUAUCGCGUGGUGAAUGCGGUCUUCGGAAUAUCUUCUUCACGAAUACGUAAUUGGUGAUAUCCGGAACGAAGAUCAAUCUUGGAGAAUACAGUGGCACCUUUAAGCUGAUCGAACAGAUCAUCGAUCCGGGGAAGAGGGUACUUGUUUUUGAUGGUGACUUCAUUGAGAGCUCUGUAGUCAACGCACAUCCUCUUAGUCUUGUCUUUCUUCUCCACAAAAAUCACAGGAGCACCCCAGGGGGAAGUACUCGGACGUAUAUACCCCUUUUCUUUCAACUCUUCCAACUGUUUCUUUACUUCGGCCAGUUCAUUUGCUGCCAUACGGUAGGGUCGCUUGUGCAGAGGAGUGGUUCCUGGAGCAAGAUCUAUCCGGAACUCAAUCUCUCGCUUGGGCGGCAUACCGGGUAGUUCUUCCGGAAACACAUCUCCGAACUCCCUGACGAUGGGGAUUUCUGACAGUCCUAUCUGAUGCAGUUCUGAACUACUGACAGAGGUUGGGGGUGCAAAGAAAACAACCGGUUGUUCCGGCCCUCGGUACAGAGUGACAGUGCGCCUCGCGCAAUCCACUACUCCUUGGAAUUGAGCCAACCAAUUCAUCCCAAGGAUCACAUCCAAGUUCUUGGUGUCUAGCAGAAUCAGAUCCGAGGGAAAAGGAAUCCCCUGAAUUUCUAUAGGGACGGCAGGGCUAUAAUACUUUGCUGUCAUAACCCCUCCAGGGGUGGUGAUGAGCAGAGGGUUCCUAAGCCUUUCUACCCCCAACUGAUUUCUCCCCACGAAUGGCACAGAUAUAAACCAGUGGGAAGCUCCAGAGUCGAACAAAAUGGUAGCAGGGAUGGAAUGAACGAGGAACGUACCAACGAUGACGUCUGGAGUUGUCAGCACGUCCUCGGCCGUCACGUGAUUCACACGACCCCGAAUGACAUCCUUCCCACCGUUGUUGGAGUGGGGAGGCGCUUGGCCUUGCUGACGCCUUGGCUUCGGGCAUUUAUCCGCAAAGUGCCCGGGCUCGAAGCAGUUGAAGCACAGACGCUGCUGACCUUGAGCGUCCCUGCGGCCUUGACCAGACUGCACGGUUGGCGUAGGAGGACGGGGCGCACGAGUCCCUUGCUGAUUCUGCUGCUGCUGCGGCUGUGGGACGCGCACCACGAAUUGAGGUCGCGGCGCGGAGCGAGGUUGCUGCUGCUGUUGUUGCUGUUGCGAGGAGGAUCCCCCUGGAUAGGGGUUGGUGUAGCGGACCCUUUGGUUAGCACCCUGUUGAUUGCGGAAAUUCGCCAAGCGGCGCUUGUGCGACUCCAGUUCCUUGUGCUUUGUCGCGUCCCAAAACGACUCUAAAAUACAUCCUCGAAAUUGUGCCGAGAAUAAUUAAAAUUCAUGUGAAAGCCUCCAACAAUUAAAAUGUGCAAAUAUAAAAGUCAAAUAAGGCUUGGAGGAUUUUUGUAUAUUUCCUAAAAGCCUAAAAUGCGUAAAUAAAUUUUAGUGGAAUUUUCAGAGCACAAAUAAUAAUUGAGAAGAAAUAAACAAAGUUAAAAAGGUUUUAUAAAAAGAAAAACCCUAAAAGAAGUCCUUUUCCCCCCCUUCCUCUCUUGGGCCGGCCCGGCCCAACUCCCUCCCUCUCUCUCCUCUCCCCCGCGGCCCAUCGGCCUCCUCCCCGCGCGCGCGCCGCUGACGGGCGGGCCCGCCCGCCACCCUCGCUGACGGGUGGGGCCCACCUGUCAUCGCCUACCUCGCGCCGCGCCCGCCGCCGCCCGUGCCCUAGCGCCGCCGCCGCCGCCGAAUCCGCCGCAUCCCGCCGUCCCCGCGCGCCAUAAAGAGGGGGAAAUCACUCCCCGUGAUUCCCUCCCUCUUUCCCCCCACUUUCCCCUCUCUCUCUCCCUCGGAUUCGCUCGGAUUUAAUCCCGCAAAGUUCGCCGGCGCAUCAAUGGAGCCCGAGAUCGCCGCGCCGGUUUCCUUCCUCCCCGGCCGCCCUCUCUCGCUCCCGUCCCUAUAUAAUUGUUCCCCGUGCCUCACUCCUCCGUUUCCGCCACUCGCCGCUCGCUCUUUCCGUCGGAUUCGUGCUCGCGCCGUUGUACUCUCUCUCCGCCGUCGCCGCCGAGCUCCGGUUCGCCGCCGUCGUCGCUCCGGACCUCCUCCCGUCUCGGCGUCACCUCCUUCGGCUUCGCCGCAUCCCCGUCAACCUCGUCCACCCCUUCGUUUCGCCCGCCGACCGUCGGAGCGCCGCCGUCCUCGUCGAUCCGAACCGCGCCGCCGUCUUCCUCCGCUCCGAUCGUCGUCUCCGCCGCCCUCGUCGUCCCGGGGUGAGCCGAGGACCGCCGUUCGCUUUCCCCCUUCCCUCCUCUCUCUCGGGUGCCGCUCCGCCGCGCCGUUGGUCGCCGGCGGCGACCAUCGGGGCGCGGGCGCGCCGCCUCCCGUCGGCCGUGCCGGCAAGGCCGCCUUCGGGCGCGCCCCGCAGCUGCCAGGUGGGGCCCGGCCGUCAGCCGCCCGCGCCCGCGGGUGCGGCUGACGCGUGGGACCCACGGCGCCGGCCGGCGUCAGCCGCGUGCGCCCGGUCCACCGUGGACCGAGAGGCUGACGCGUGGGCCCCACUCCCGUGGACCCGGUCCGCGCGCCCUCUCUCCCGGCUGACGCAAUAAAUCCGAUUUUUAAUUAAAAUUUAAAUGAAGAAAUUCGCAAAUAUCCAUUUAAAGAGCAUAUAAACUUCAAAUGGCCAUAACUUGGCCAUUUGAACUCGGAAUUGGACCGUUCAAGUCUCUAAUUUUUCCUUAAGAAGUCAAGAACCCAUUUUUGUGCUUUGUUUCUGCUGUUAUAUGGAGUUGAUUAGAGUAAAAGCCUUUUCUUUUCCGUUGGUCGUGUAGACGCUGCAGCUUCGGAAGAUCCGCUCUUCGUGGAAGUUGAAGCCGACGUUUGGGAAAGCGAGCAAGGCAAGUCACAUCAUCUUUGAACAUAUUGAAUCCCAGUUUAUAAAAUUAUGUUGAUUUAAAUUAUUGCAUUAUCGCUUUAUUUAAAUUCCCGCGUUAUCACUGUUUUAUUUAGCCAUGCCUAUUUACCUUUGUUAUGACCUUAUUAUUAUUGUUAUUGUUAUUAUUACCUUGUUCACCCUAGAACAAACAAAACCCCAACUAGUGGACACUCUACUCAUGGCACCACUAGUUUAGUUUUAGGUAGAUGCUUCGCAAUUUAAUUAGGUAACAUUAGGUGGUUUUUCAACUAUAGACUUUGGGAAAUAUUCAUAUCAUCUGGAUACUAUGGAAUGGUUUGGUUACUGUGGAAUUGGCUUCACACCGCUCCUUCUAUUCAAAAUCCCCAAAAUGGUUUUAGGCUGGGCUCGGGGUGCAUGGUUUUGAUAGUAGCACCUCGGCCAUAUAAGGACCGGUCUUCGGGCCUCUGUUGCAAAGCACUACCGUACUUCCACAUGUCUAGUGGGUAAGGCUUAGUUUGUGGCUCAGUCUGGUUAUAAACAAAAGUACACGGAUUGGAGAUGGAUGAAGUCGGGGGUCGAUAGACAUUCUCCAGGGCAAAUGAAGGCUACACGAGCUGCGGCCCGGUAGUCGAGAUGUCAUGGCACAGGGCCGGUGUCCUGCUGCUAGGGGCUCAGUCCUGCCUGCCUGUCCCGGGGGUUCCGGCCGUAGGUGGGAUUGGGUCGGUACUCUUGUCUAUGGCUAGGAUGGGUUGGAAACUAUGUCACGUCUUCCGUCUGUAUACCGUGGUGGUAUGUGGCACGUGGUUGCACGUGAGGAAGAUGUGUCUUGUGGGUAAAGAUGUACACCUCUGAUCAGAGUAUAAUCUAUUCGAAUAGCCGCGCCCUCGGUUAUGGGCAAGCCGAGCAAUGUACCCAAGUUAGUGUUUUAAUUCUUAAAACCUGCUUAUCAACUAAAAUGUGGAAUAGUUGGCCUGGGUUGUGUCACGUCCUGAUAAAUUCAUCCCGAAAUAAAAUUCAUUCGCUAAAAGGAAUAAUAGAAUUAAUUAAAAUUCGAAAAGAAAUUGGCAAACACUAAAAUACGUACAAGAAAAAUUCGAAUGUGGCCCGGAGAAUUUUUGUUAAAUUCUCCUUGGUCUAAAACGAGCCCUCAAAUUUUACUUGAAUUUUCAGAGCGCCGGAAAUAAUUAUUAAACAACAACAACAAUUAACAAAGUUUAUUAAAAAGAAAAUCUAAAAAUAACCCUCCUUCCUCCUUUGGGCCAAGCCCAGCCCAAAAGUCCUUCUCUCCUCCCUCUCUUUCUCUCCCUCCCCUUCUCUCCCUCUCUCUCCCGGGCCUCUCUUCCCCUCCCGGGCAGCCCACUCCCUCCUCUCCUCCUCCUUCUGGGCCGCCCCUCCCUCCUCUCCUUCCCGGCCCAUCUUCUCUCCCUCCCCUCCUCCUGGGCCGCCUCGGCUUCGCCCGGCCCAAGCCGAGCCGCGCUCCCACCCGUGCCGCGCACGUGCGCGUGCGUGCGCGCCGUUGCCGCGUGUCGGCCGCGCGCCCGACCGCGUGGGGCCCACGCGUCAGGCCGCCGUCGCCUUCUUCCUCCUCCGCCCGGCCACCUCUCUCUCUCUUCCCGUGGAACCCUAAUCCCUUCCUCCCUCAAAUCCACGCGAAUCAAUGCCCUUCUUUCCAAAUUGAAUAGGGGAAAUUAAACCCCAUUGAAUCCUCUUCAAUUCCCCCUUAAUUCCCCCUUGAACGGCGCCCCCAAUCGCCGGGAACGGACGCGCCAAGUCCGGCCGCCUUCCUUUGCCGCCGGCCGCCAUUCCCGUCGCCGUUCCCGCUCCUCCCGUGGCCGGCUCUCUCCCCCAUCCUAUAAAAUGGGAUCCUCAUCCCCCGUUCUACCGUUUUAGCCUCUUCCCGAGCUCUCCCGUGGUCUCUAGCCACCUCCCCACCGUCGCCCCCUCUCUCCCACGUUGCCGGCCGGCCUCCAGCCGCCUCUCCCGCCUCGCCGGAGCGUCUUCCGGCCGCGCCGUCGCCUCCUCCAGCAUCGCAGCCGCCUCCUCUCCCACGGCCUACCCUCCGUUUCGCGCGGUGACCGCCGGAGGCGCGUUCCCGCCGUCGCCCUCCCCUUUCCCUCGCGCCGGCCACCUCCAGCCGCCUUCCUCUCCUCGCCCGAGCGCCGCCCGGCCGCGCCGUCUUCUCCCUCGGCCUCGCAGCUGCCCCCUCUCCCUCGGUCAGCCCUCCGUUUCGCGGGGAAAUCACCGGAGACGCGCCCUCGCCGGCGUCCAGUGGCGUCGCCACCACUUCUCCGCCUCCGGCCGCCUCUGCCACGUCCCCGGAGCGCCGGCCGACGUCGCCACCACCUUCCUCGGCUCCACGACGCCGCUCUCAUCCCCGGCAUCACCUCCUCCUCGCCCGAACUUCGCCGGAACGCCGUCGUCUCCGCGCCGGCCUCUCCUUCCUCCUCGUCGGCUCGUCGCCCCGCUGCACCACCACCUUCACCAACGUCGCAGCGGCGUGUUCCACGCUGUCCCCUCCUCCUCUCAGCCGCUGCUGCCUGCCAUCAUCGUCGUCUCCGAUCGUUCUCGCCGUCGACGUCCCGUCGGUCGCCCGGCUCGUCGUCUCGCGGCGCCGCCUCCGUCAUCGUCAUCGUAGCGGCGUGUUCCACGCCAUCCUCACCGCCGUGCAGCCGCUGCUGGCUGCCCUCGUAGCCUCCUCGCCGGCCCCGGUCGUCGUCGUCCUCGUCCUCUCGUCGUUCCCGAUCGUCGGGGCGUUCGUCCCUCCGUCAAGCCGUUCUCGUUCGUCGUCCUCGCUUCGUCAAGGUCGCUGCAGCCCCCGUCAUCGUCUUCGUCCUCGCCUCCGCGUCGUCAAGCCUCGCGCCGGCCGCGUCUCGCCUUCGUCCAAGGAUCGCCGCCGAAGCCGUCCCCUCGCCGUUCGCCUCCGUUGUGCCCGUCUGUCUCCGCCGCGCCCGUUCGUCGUUGUCGUUCCCGCGCCUCGUCGCGUGGUGGUAAGGUUCCCUCUCCCUCGCUGCCCUGUCCUCGUCCUUUCGGUGUCGCCCAUGCCCGUUGUGCGGUUGUCGGCCCCGGUACCCGUGUAUCGGCGUCGGCAGUCGUUCGCGUGUGCGGGUGGUGACCGUGUGGUGUCUAGUGGAGUCCGUUUGUCGGCCACUCGCUUCGGUUGACACACGGGGUCCGCUUCCGUCGACCCGUGGACCGUCUCUGUGUACUCGGUCUGCCGCGGUCCUUUAGGUUGACAUGUGGGGUCCGCAUGUCAACGGCGCAGCCUUCCUGUCUUUUCCAGGCUAGCGCUUACACCUGUUUUAUAGUUGCAAAACUUGAUUAUAAUAAUCCGCAAAUCUCCAUAUAACAGCAUUAAACUUCGGAUGAUCAUAUCUCGGUCAUACGAACUCUGAAUCGACCCGUUCAAGUCUCCUAAUGUUUGUUAUAACCUAAAGAACCCUGUGCUUUCUUUUUAUGUAUUGUUAUUGCUUCUUUAUAGGCUUGUAGCUUUGCUUGUGUGCUUCGCGUAGCUUUCGUCGUUCCGGAGGUUCCCGAAGCGUGGUUCGUGGUCGUCGCCGAAGGUUCGGAAGGCCGUUCUCUCUGAGCAAGGCAAGUCACAUCAUCCUUGAGCAUAUUGAAUCCCAGUUUAUAAAAUUAUUUUGAUUUAAAUUAAUGCAUUAUCGCUUUAUUUAAAUUCCCGCGUUAUCACUGUUUUAUUUAGCCAAGCCUAUUUACCUUUGUUAUGACAUUAUUAUUGCUAUUGUUAUUAUUAUUACCUUGUUCACCCUAGAUUAAACAAAACCUCAACUAGUGGGUACUCUAUUCAUGGUUCCACUAGUAUAAAUUUAGGUAGAUGCUUCGCUGAAUAAUUAGGCAACAUUAGGUGGUUUUAUAACUUUAGACUUUGGGAGUUCUCAUAUCAUUUGGACACUAUGGAAUUGUUGAAUUAUGGUGGAAUUGGACACACACCUCUCUUCCUCUUUCAAAACCCCUAAAACCUGUUUUCGGUGGGGUUUGGGUGCAUGCCAGUUGUGGGAAGUAGCACCCCGGCCACUAUAAGGACUAAAGCUCGGGCCUCUGUUGCAAAGCACUACCGUACUUCCACAUGUCUAAUGGGUAAGGCUUAGUUUGUGGCUCAGUCUAGUCAUAAACAAAAGUACACGGAUUGGAGAUGGAUGAAGUCGGGCGUCGAUGGACAUUCUCCAGGGCAAAUGAAGGCUACACGAGCUGCGGCCCGGUAGUCGAGAUGUCAUACGGCGGAGGGUUGGUGCCCAAUGCUAGGGGCUCAGUUCUGCCUGCCUGUCCCGGGUAUCCCGGCCGUAGGUAGGAUUGGGUCGGUACUCUUGUCUAAGGCUAGGAUGGGUUGGAAACUAUGUCACAUCUUUACGACGGGUUCCAAGGCCAUGGAAUGCGGAGUAAAGAUGUGUCUUGUGGGUAAAGAUGUACACCUCUGAUCAGAGUAAAUCUAUUCGAAUAGCCGAGCCCUCGGAUAUGGGCAAGCCUAGCAAUGUACCCAAGUCAGUGUUUUAAUUCUUAAAAUUUGCUCAACAACUAAAAUAUGGAAUGGUUGGCCUGGGUUGGCUUGGGACGAGCUGGGACCCAGGGUCGGGUUGCCAGUUCGGUCUGAAUCAUCGUAGGCCUUGGGUUAAGGCAGGUUCGUGAGGGUUCACGGCCUUGUUUAAUAAUACUGUGUAGUUCUAUGAUCGUCUUUACAAAAUGGCUUUGGGCAACUAAGUGACUUUUAAAUGCUGUUUACUGCAAACCUUAAUCCCUAUAUUAUUAUUCCCUUGUACCUCCCUUGCAUUAAUUAUGCAUCUGCCGGUGUGGCUUGCUGAGUACUGUGGUUGUACUCAUUCUUGCUCAAUCUUUCCCCCCCUUCAGUAAGAGAAGCUUUGGAGAAGAUGUCUUAGGUGGAGUCCUGGCUUAUACCCCAGUUGAGCGCCUGUGAAGAUGGAGCCGUAGGCCGCUAGUCCGCUGCUGUUUAUUUUUGCUUGUCAGGCCUGAAGUGCCUUUGUAAUAAUGUAAAUAUUAUCGAUAUAAUAAAGAUGUGUCUUCUAUAUCAUGUUUGUGUGGUGUACCCCGGCUUUUCCUGGGACGGGGAUUAAUACACUGGCGUUCGGGAAAAGGCAAUUUUCCCGGUCGCGACAAGCUGGUAUCAGAGCCAUCUCGACUGUAGGAUAAGCCAAGUGGAUAAAACCCAAGGACAUAUUUUAUAAAUAAAAAUUAUUUGCGAAAGUUCCUUUUUCUCCUUCCCCUAAUGCUAUUUGCAAAAGGUUUACUCCGUUCUUCCUUCUUCGGAUUUUCAACUAGUACUAGAUGGUCAGCUUUGCGAGGAAGAAGAUGUCGUCAGUUGUUUGCCGAAGCUCCGGAAGACUGCAGGAUCCGCUAGCGAAGCGAAGGAAGCAAUGAAGCCAGCUGUGAAGGAGUGAAGAUCUUGGGAACCCGUCGCAGAACCUAAGCCACCCUAUAGGGUAGUGUUGUUAGUCGUGUGUUCCUUGCUUGUGUGUGUAGCGCGUGGUUUGCAUCGGUGGGUGGUGAUGUAACCAUGCUAGGUUGUUUGCUUAAUCAACUUGCAGAAUAAGUGAAACAAACAACACAUCAACAAAAAGAGUUAGUUCCUUUAAGGUCUUGUCCCUAGUUCUGGUCUAUUCUUUCCUUGUAUGCUUCCCCUCUCAACCCCUACCUUGUGACAGAUGGAUAAUACUGGUAACAAAGGCUAUGGGAAUGAUGGAUCCGAUGACGCAAGAACCCAAGCCAAUGGGAAUGAGAGAAGCACCAACGAAACCUCACCAGAGCUAAUCCAAGUUGUGGUUAACCAAACCAACAUGUUGGCAACAGCCUUUCAACUAUUACAGAAUUGGAGCAGCCCAGCAGGGACAACCAACGUUCAAGUGCCUACAGUCCGGCAACAGUGCAAGUUAUCAGAAUUUCUCAAAACUGAGCCUCCAACCUUUGCCAUUGCCGUCGAUCCUAUGGAAGCCAGUGAUUGGUUGCGCACAAUCGAGAAGAAGCUAGGGUUGAUUCAGUGCACCGACCAGGAGCGGGUUGGCUUCGCAACUCAUCAGUUGGUUGGACCGGCUUCAGAGUGGUGGGAUAGCUACGAAGCAUCACGGCCAGAAGGACAUACCAUCACCUGGAACGAGUUUUCAUCUGUAUUCAAGAGACCACAUGUUCCCGCAGGAAUGAUCACACUAAGAAAACGAGAGUUUCGCUACCUGAAGCAAGGAGAUUUGACCGUCACAGAGUACCUGCACGAGUUCUAUCGUUUGGCUCGCUAUGCACCAGAAGAUGUGGAAACGGAUGAAGACAAACAAGAGAAGUUUCUCCAGGGGUUAAAAGAUGAGCUUGCAGUGCAACUACUCCUAGAGGAUUAUGAAGAUUUUGAGAAACUUGUGGACAAAGCCAUGCAACUCGAAAGUGAGCAUAAUCGGAUGACGAACUGCAAGAGAAGGAUUGUCAACAUCCCAGUAAUUCCAUGUGGUAACCAAAGACAGCGCACUGAGCCACUUCAGAUCACCGGAUCUUCUGUUGUGCAUCAAGAGUUCCUGCCCCAAGAAGACGGACGCAAUACAGACAACAACCCUAGCAAUACUAAUGGUGAUGAUACCACCAACAACCAUGGUUCUUGCCCCAUUAGUGACCACUCGAAUCAAGCGUGCAAUUUUGACACUGAGAAAGACUCCAAUUGUGAUAGCAACUACGGUACCACUGAUGCCAAUGUUAGCAAGGAUUUCCAACCACCAAUUCCAACUCCUAGUCAGAACGAUCGUUCCCAGACGGACAACUCAGCAAAGAAGACGUUGAUUUGUUACAACUGCAAAGAACCAGGUCAUUUCUCCAGAGAUUGUCCACAGCCGAAGCGUAACCUGCGCCAUCACUCCGGCCAUUAUGCAAGAAGAAGACAAGUCACUCGCCUUGUGGUCACUGGAGCAAACGCCGUACCUGUGAGGCCUCAUGUUAAUUCUAACCCAUAGUAGAAACAAUGUACCGAUGUUAAGUACCGUCCCUUUUUGUUUAAGACAGUGCCUUGUAUUCAUGUAAUAUGGGAGAAAUUGGUAAUAAAAACAAGUUCUAAGAGGAUUCUUUCGGAAGAUGCGGAUAUGUGAUCAUGUGUAUAAUUGUUUACUGACAAAGGAGACCUAGGGUCUCGUGCCAGAGGAACUAUAUUCUAACCUCGAGCUAAUAACCAACCUGAGGAUGGAAAAGAAAAUCAGGUGAUUAACCAAAGAGACAUUUGUUUGGACUAAGAGUUUCAGAUGUGUCUUUUCCGGAUCAAAGGCAAUGACAGUCAGUGUAGCUUUUGGCGAAACACUUCAAGGUUUCACUGAAAGGUAGCAGACCAAAGGACCUCCUCGCCACCAGAAGCAUCCACAACUCUCGGAGUGAAGAGUACUUAGUGACCAAGGUCAAAAGAUGACUGAUAGAAGAUAUCGAAAAAGAUGUUUAUUACCAGGCAAAGAAGUAGGUCGAAAGGUGAUUAAUAAGAGAAAUCGGGAAAGAACACAUCAAGGGCAAAGGUGUAAAGGAAUACGUUGAAUGCUAAAUGAUGACAAGUUAUGACAAGCAUGGUAUCUUAGUAAAGACGAGCUGAUCUCGACGCAUGACAUGAAGUGGGUAACUUGUAUGAGGUUGACUCCAAAGAUAUGAACUAUGCAAAGUUCUGGAACUGAAGCCCCAUCUUCAAGUGCCGCAACCCAGUCGAAGUCAGCUAAAGGUUCAACCAGGGACAAGUCAGGUGAAGAGAAGAUUCCAUCUGCAACAGGAGAUCGAGCCAAGCAGUCCAGAGUGAAGAAGUGUUGUUAGGCAAGUUUGUUAUAGAAGACGGAGCGGAAGAAGUCAGACAAGAAGAGAAGACCGCCCAACCUAUCUUCUUGCUAGCCUCCUCGAAUCUCGGGGACGAGAUUCUUGUAAGGGGGGUGGAUUUGUCACGUCCUGAUAAAUUCAUCCCGAAAUAAAAUUCAUUCGCUAAAAGGAAUAAUAGAAUUAAUUAAAAUUCGAAAAGAAAUUGGCAAACACUAAAAUACGUACAAGAAAAAUUCGAAUGUGGCCCGGAGAAUUUUUGUUAAAUUCUCCUUGGUCUAAAACGAGCCCUCAAAUUUUACUUGAAUUUUCAGAGCGCCGGAAAUAAUUAUUAAACAACAACAACAAUUAACAAAGUUUAUUAAAAAGAAAAUCUAAAAAUAACCCUCCUUCCUCCUUUGGGCCAAGCCCAGCCCAAAAGUCCUUCUCUCCUCCCUCUCUUUCUCUCCCUCCCCUUCUCUCCCUCUCUCUCCCGGGCCUCUCUUCCCCUCCCGGGCAGCCCACUCCCUCCUCUCCUCCUCCUUCUGGGCCGCCCCUCCCUCCUCUCCUUCCCGGCCCAUCUUCUCUCCCUCCCCUCCUCCUGGGCCGCCUCGGCUUCGCCCGGCCCAAGCCGAGCCGCGCUCCCACCCGUGCCGCGCACGUGCGCGUGCGUGCGCGCCGUUGCCGCGUGUCGGCCGCGCGCCCGACCGCGUGGGGCCCACGCGUCAGGCCGCCGUCGCCUUCUUCCUCCUCCGCCCGGCCACCUCUCUCUCUCUUCCCGUGGAACCCUAAUCCCUUCCUCCCUCAAAUCCACGCGAAUCAAUGCCCUUCUUUCCAAAUUGAAUAGGGGAAAUUAAACCCCAUUGAAUCCUCUUCAAUUCCCCCUUAAUUCCCCCUUGAACGGCGCCCCCAAUCGCCGGGAACGGACGCGCCAAGUCCGGCCGCCUUCCUUUGCCGCCGGCCGCCAUUCCCGUCGCCGUUCCCGCUCCUCCCGUGGCCGGCUCUCUCCCCCAUCCUAUAAAAUGGGAUCCUCAUCCCCCGUUCUACCGUUUUAGCCUCUUCCCGAGCUCUCCCGUGGUCUCUAGCCACCUCCCCACCGUCGCCCCCUCUCUCCCACGUUGCCGGCCGGCCUCCAGCCGCCUCUCCCGCCUCGCCGGAGCGUCUUCCGGCCGCGCCGUCGCCUCCUCCAGCAUCGCAGCCGCCUCCUCUCCCACGGCCUACCCUCCGUUUCGCGCGGUGACCGCCGGAGGCGCGUUCCCGCCGUCGCCCUCCCCUUUCCCUCGCGCCGGCCACCUCCAGCCGCCUUCCUCUCCUCGCCCGAGCGCCGCCCGGCCGCGCCGUCUUCUCCCUCGGCCUCGCAGCUGCCCCCUCUCCCUCGGUCAGCCCUCCGUUUCGCGGGGAAAUCACCGGAGACGCGCCCUCGCCGGCGUCCAGUGGCGUCGCCACCACUUCUCCGCCUCUGGCCGCCUCUGCCACGUCCCCGGAGCGCCGGCCGACGUCGCCACCACCUUCCUCGGCUCCACGACGCCGCUCUCAUCCCCGGCAUCACCUCCUCCUCGCCCGAACUUCGCCGGAACGCCGUCGUCUCCGCGCCGGCCUCUCCUUCCUCCUCGUCGGCUCGUCGCCCCGCUGCACCACCACCUUCACCAACGUCGCAGCGGCGUGUUCCACGCUGUCCCCUCCUCCUCUCAGCCGCUGCUGCCUGCCAUCAUCGUCGUCUCCGAUCGUUCUCGCCGUCGACGUCCCGUCGGUCGCCCGGCUCGUCGUCUCGCGGCGCCGCCUCCGUCAUCGUCAUCGUAGCGGCGUGUUCCACGCCAUCCUCACCGCCGUGCAGCCGCUGCUGGCUGCCCUCGUAGCCUCCUCGCCGGCCCCGGUCGUCGUCGUCCUCGUCCUCUCGUCGUUCCCGAUCGUCGGGGCGUUCGUCCCUCCGUCAAGCCGUUCUCGUUCGUCGUCCUCGCUUCGUCAAGGUCGCUGCAGCCCCCGUCAUCGUCUUCGUCCUCGCCUCCGCGUCGUCAAGCCUCGCGCCGGCCGCGUCUCGCCUUCGUCCAAGGAUCGCCGCCGAAGCCGUCCCCUCGCCGUUCGCCUCCGUUGUGCCCGUCUGUCUCCGCCGCGCCCGUUCGUCGUUGUCGUUCCCGCGCCUCGUCGCGUGGUGGUAAGGUUCCCUCUCCCUCGCUGCCCUGUCCUCGUCCUUUCGGUGUCGCCCAUGCCCGUUGUGCGGUUGUCGGCCCCGGUACCCGUGUAUCGGCGUCGGCAGUCGUUCGCGUGUGCGGGUGGUGACCGUGUGGUGUCUAGUGGAGUCCGUUUGUCGGCCACUCGCUUCGGUUGACACACGGGGUCCGCUUCCGUCGACCCGUGGACCGUCUCUGUGUACUCGGUCUGCCGCGGUCCUUUAGGUUGACAUGUGGGGUCCGCAUGUCAACGGCGCAGCCUUCCUGUCUUUUCCAGGCUAGCGCUUACACCUGUUUUAUAGUUGCAAAACUUGAUUAUAAUAAUCCGCAAAUCUCCAUAUAACAGCAUUAAACUUCGGAUGAUCAUAUCUCGGUCAUACGAACUCUGAAUCGACCCGUUCAAGUCUCCUAAUGUUUGUUAUAACCUAAAGAACCCUGUGCUUUCUUUUUAUGUAUUGUUAUUGCUUCUUUAUAGGCUUGUAGCUUUGCUUGUGUGCUUCGCGUAGCUUUCGUCGUUCCGGAGGUUCCCGAAGCGUGGUUCGUGGUCGUCGCCGAAGGUUCGGAAGGCCGUUCUCUCUGAGCAAGGCAAGUCACAUCAUCCUUGAGCAUAUUGAAUCCCAGUUUAUAAAAUUAUUUUGAUUUAAAUUAAUGCAUUAUCGCUUUAUUUAAAUUCCCGCGUUAUCACUGUUUUAUUUAGCCAAGCCUAUUUACCUUUGUUAUGACAUUAUUAUUGCUAUUGUUAUUAUUAUUACCUUGUUCACCCUAGAUUAAACAAAACCUCAACUAGUGGGUACUCUAUUCAUGGUUCCACUAGUAUAAAUUUAGGUAGAUGCUUCGCUGAAUAAUUAGGCAACAUUAGGUGGUUUUAUAACUUUAGACUUUGGGAGUUCUCAUAUCAUUUGGACACUAUGGAAUUGUUGAAUUAUGGUGGAAUUGGACACACACCUCUCUUCCUCUUUCAAAACCCCUAAAACCUGUUUUCGGUGGGGUUUGGGUGCAUGCCAGUUGUGGGAAGUAGCACCCCGGCCACUAUAAGGACUAAAGCUCGGGCCUCUGUUGCAAAGCACUACCGUACUUCCACAUGUCUAAUGGGUAAGGCUUAGUUUGUGGCUCAGUCUAGUCAUAAACAAAAGUACACGGAUUGGAGAUGGAUGAAGUCGGGCGUCGAUGGACAUUCUCCAGGGCAAAUGAAGGCUACACGAGCUGCGGCCCGGUAGUCGAGAUGUCAUACGGCGGAGGGUUGGUGCCCAAUGCUAGGGGCUCAGUUCUGCCUGCCUGUCCCGGGUAUCCCGGCCGUAGGUAGGAUUGGGUCGGUACUCUUGUCUAAGGCUAGGAUGGGUUGGAAACUAUGUCACAUCUUUACGACGGGUUCCAAGGCCAUGGAAUGCGGAGUAAAGAUGUGUCUUGUGGGUAAAGAUGUACACCUCUGAUCAGAGUAAAUCUAUUCGAAUAGCCGAGCCCUCGGAUAUGGGCAAGCCUAGCAAUGUACCCAAGUCAGUGUUUUAAUUCUUAAAAUUUGCUCAACAACUAAAAUAUGGAAUGGUUGGCCUGGGUUGGCUUGGGACGAGCUGGGACCCAGGGUCGGGUUGCCAGUUCGGUCUGAAUCAUCGUAGGCCUUGGGUUAAGGCAGGUUCGUGAGGGUUCACGGCCUUGUUUAAUAAUACUGUGUAGUUCUAUGAUCGUCUUUACAAAAUGGCUUUGGGCAACUAAGUGACUUUUAAAUGCUGUUUACUGCAAACCUUAAUCCCUAUAUUAUUAUUCCCUUGUACCUCCCUUGCAUUAAUUAUGCAUCUGCCGGUGUGGCUUGCUGAGUACUGUGGUUGUACUCAUUCUUGCUCAAUCUUUCCCCCCCUUCAGUAAGAGAAGCUUUGGAGAAGAUGUCUUAGGUGGAGUCCUGGCUUAUACCCCAGUUGAGCGCCUGUGAAGAUGGAGCCGUAGGCCGCUAGUCCGCUGCUGUUUAUUUUUGCUUGUCAGGCCUGAAGUGCCUUUGUAAUAAUGUAAAUAUUAUCGAUAUAAUAAAGAUGUGUCUUCUAUAUCAUGUUUGUGUGGUGUACCCCGGCUUUUCCUGGGACGGGGAUUAAUACACUGGCGUUCGGGAAAAGGCAAUUUUCCCGGUCGCGACAAGCUGGUAUCAGAGCCAUCUCGACUGUAGGAUAAGCCAAGUGGAUAAAACCCAAGGACAUAUUUUAUAAAUAAAAAUUAUUUGCGAAAGUUCCUUUUUCUCCUUCCCCUAAUGCUAUUUGCAAAAGGUUUACUCCGUUCUUCCUUCUUCGGAUUUUCAACUAGUACUAGAUGGUCAGCUUUGCGAGGAAGAAGAUGUCGUCAGUUGUUUGCCGAAGCUCCGGAAGACUGCAGGAUCCGCUAGCGAAGCGAAGGAAGCAAUGAAGCCAGCUGUGAAGGAGUGAAGAUCUUGGGAACCCGUCGCAGAACCUAAGCCACCCUAUAGGGUAGUGUUGUUAGUCGUGUGUUCCUUGCUUGUGUGUGUAGCGCGUGGUUUGCAUCGGUGGGUGGUGAUGUAACCAUGCUAGGUUGUUUGCUUAAUCAACUUGCAGAAUAAGUGAAACAAACAACACAUCAACAAAAAGAGUUAGUUCCUUUAAGGUCUUGUCCCUAGUUCUGGUCUAUUCUUUCCUUGUAUGCUUCCCCUCUCAACCCCUACCUUGUGACAGAUGGAUAAUACUGGUAACAAAGGCUAUGGGAAUGAUGGAUCCGAUGACGCAAGAACCCAAGCCAAUGGGAAUGAGAGAAGCACCAACGAAACCUCACCAGAGCUAAUCCAAGUUGUGGUUAACCAAACCAACAUGUUGGCAACAGCCUUUCAACUAUUACAGAAUUGGAGCAGCCCAGCAGGGACAACCAACGUUCAAGUGCCUACAGUCCGGCAACAGUGCAAGUUAUCAGAAUUUCUCAAAACUGAGCCUCCAACCUUUGCCAUUGCCGUCGAUCCUAUGGAAGCCAGUGAUUGGUUGCGCACAAUCGAGAAGAAGCUAGGGUUGAUUCAGUGCACCGACCAGGAGCGGGUUGGCUUCGCAACUCAUCAGUUGGUUGGAACGGCUCCACCAGACGCGGCGACGCUUGGGGCGGCAGACCUCUCCCUGGGCGAUCUUGAGCUGAUGCAGCUGCGCCUCCACCGCGUCUAGGUCCUUCUUGAGCUGCAGGUUCUCCUGACGCAGCUCCAGGAUCUUCAUGUUGUUCUCGACCAUCCCACGGCGUACCAUCUGGUGGAAGUCGAUACGAGCCGCGUCGUACGCCUCCACCAUGCGCGCCAGGUGCACGAUGGUAGCGUCAUCCUCCGAGCUAGCAUCCCGGAAGGUGGCGUAGUCGCGGGCUCCUCCGCGACGAGGGUGGUAGCGGUAGGGCGAGUGCUGCAACUCGUCCGGGUAGCGCUGGUGAAGAGUGCCGAUAGCGAGGAGAGCGGCGUUCUGGCAAGCGGCGGGGAAGGAAUCUCCACCCGCGGUGACUGCCAGCGAAGUCCGCUCGGGAGAGCCAGACAGGAUCACUGCAGUGACCUCCCAACCAGCGUGGGGCUCUGCAUCGUCACCCUCCUGCUCCGGAAGCGGCCUGGCCUGGUAGUCCACUCCAUGUGGAUACCCCAAGACCACGCACAUGCCCCGCAGCUCCAAGACGAAGCCAGUCAUGUCCAAACCACGACGGGUGACGCUGCUGGCCAUCUACAAACAAAAACAAAAAGAAAAACAACAUUUUAAAGGUCAGAUUUUGGCGAUAAAUGAAGCAGCAAGACAGAGAGAGACUAGACAGUUUUCACAAAUAACAAAAGAUUUUUAUUUUUGAAAAUAUUGCUAAGGCUUGGGAUCUACGGCUCGUCCUAGGGUCAACGGUGGCUCUGAUACCAACUUGUCACGACCGGAAAUAACCCAACGGGCGUUCCUGACGUGCGUGCAUUAAUCCUUGUCCCAGGAGGCAAGGUACACCAAAAGUUGAUACAAUUCAGAGUUUAACAAGCGGAAGCGUAAAUAGUUAACUUAUUACAUGGGCAGCGAAGGCCCAGCACACACAGAGACAAACGAGAAACAGCGGAAGACUAGGGCGACGACCACAGGCGCUUGACGGCAGGCACGAGCUAGACACCAAAGCCUUCAUCUUCAAGGAGCUCCUCUUCUGGGCUUGGGAAAAAUUGAGCAAGACUGAGUACAACCACCGUACUCAACAAGACACACCCACAAAUGCAGAAUAAAUGCAAGGGAGUACAAAGGAAUUAUACUAUAAAGGGGUUAGGGUUGCAGUAAACAGCAUUUAAAGACGUUUAGUUGCUCAAAGCUAUUUUGUAAACGCGAUCCUAGAACUAUACAAUAUUAAUUAUCAAGGCCGUGAACCCACACGAACCUGCCUUAACCCAAGGCCUAUGAUGAUUCAGACCGAACUGGCAACCCGACCCUGGGUCCCAGCUCGUCCCAAGCCAACCCAGGCCAACCAUUCCACAUUUUAGUUGUUAAGCAGGUUUUAAGAAUUGAAACGCUAACUUGGGUACAUUGCUCGGCUUGCCCAUAACCGAGGGCGCGGCUAUUCGAAUAGAUUAUACUCUGAUCAGAGGUGUACAUCUUUACCCACAAGACACAUCUUCCUCACGUGCAACCACGUGCCACAUACCACCACGGUAUACAGACGGAAGCUGUGACAUAGUUUCCAACCCAUCCUAGCCAUAGACAAGAGUACCGACCCAAUCCCACCUACGGCCGGAACCCCCGGGACAGGCAGGCAGGACUGAGCCCCUAGCAGCAGGACACCGGCCCUGUGCCAUGACAUCUCGACUACCGGGCCGCAGCUCGUGUAGCCUUCAUUUGCCCUGGAGAAUGUCCAUCGACCCCCGACUUCAUCCAUCUCCAAUCCGUGUACUUUUGUUUAUAACCAGACUGAGCCACAAACUAAGCCUUACCCACUAGACAUGUGGAAGUACGGUAGUGCUUUGCAACAGAGGCCCGAAGACCGGUCCUUAUAUGGCCGAGGUGCUACUAUCAAAACCAUGCACCCCGAGCCCAGCCUAAAACCAUUUUGGGGAUUUUGAAUAGAAGGAGCGGUGUGAAGCCAAUUCCACAAUAACCAAACCAUUCUAAAGUGUCCAGGUGAUAAGAAUAUUUCCCAAAGUCUAUAGUUGAAAAACCACCUAAUGUUACCUAAUUAAAUUGCGAAGCAUCUACCUAAAACUAAACUAGUGGUGCCAUGAGUAGAGUGUCCACUAGUUGAGGUUUUGUUUAUUCUAGGGUGAACAAGGUAAUAAUAAUAAUAACAAUAAUAAUAAGGUCAUAACAAAGGUAAAUAGGCAUGGCUAAAUAAAACAGUGAUAACGCGGGAAUUUAAAUAAAGCGAUAAUGCAAUAAUUUAAAUCAACAUAAUUUUACAAACGGGGAUUCAAUAUGUUCAAAGAUGAUGUGACUUGCCUUGCUCGCUUUCCCAAACGUCGGCUUCAACUUCCACGAAGAGCGGAUCUUCCGAAGCUGCAGCGUCUACACGACCAACGGAAAAGAAAAGGCUUUUACUCUAAUAAACUCCAUAUAACAGCAGAAACAAAGCAUAAAAAUGGGUUCUUGGCUUCAUAAGGAAAAAUUAGAGACUUGAACGGUCCAAUUCCGAGUUCAAAUGGCCAAGUUAUGGCCAUUUGAAGUUUAUAUGCUCUUUAAAUGGAUAUUUGCGAAUUUCUUCAUUUAAAUUUUAAUUAAAAAUCGGAUUUAUUGCGUCAGCCGAGGGAGAGGGCGCGCGGACCGGGUCCACGGGAGUGGGGCCCACGCGUCAGCCUCUCGGUCCAUGGUGGACCGGGCGCACGCGGCUGACGCCGGCCGGCGUCGUGGGUCCCACGCGUCAGCCGCACCCGCGGGCGCGGGCGGCUGACGGCCGGGCCCCACCUGGCAGCCGCGGGACGCGCCCGAAGGCGGCCUUGCCGGCACGGCCGACGGGAGGCGGCGCGCCCGCGCCCCGAUGGUCGCCGGCGGCGACCUCCGGCGCGACGGAGCGGCGGCCGAGAGAGGGGAGGGAAGGGGGAAGUGAAACGGCGGUCCUUGGCUCACCCCGGGUCGACGGCGGUGACGGAAACGGCGACCGAAGCGGCGAGAGGCGGCGGCGCGGCUCGGGUUGACGAGGACGGCGGUGCUCCGACGGUCGGCGGGCGAAACGGAGGAGUGGACGAGGUCGACGAGGACGCGGCGAAGCCGAAGGAGGUGACGCCGAGACGGGAGGAGGUCCGGGGCGACGACGGCGGCGAACCGGAGCUCGGCGGCGACGGCGGAGAGAGAGGACGACAGCGCGGGCUUGAUUCCGACGGGGAGAGAAAGCGGCGAGCGGCGGAAACGGAGGAGAGAGGCUCGGGGAGCGAUUAUAUAGCGUCGGGAGGGGGAGAGAGCGGCCGGAGGGGAAGGAAUCGGCCGCGGAAAUCUCGGCCGCCAUUGAUGCGCCGGCGAAGAUCGCGGGAGUGAAUCCGGACGAAUCCGAGGGAGAGAGAGAGGGGAAAGUGGGGGGAAAGAGGGAGGGAAUCACGGGGAGUGAUUUCCCCCUCUUUAUGGCGCGCGGGGACGGCGGGAUGCGGCGGAUUCGGUGGCGGCGGCGGCGCUAGGGCACGGGCUGGCGGCGGGCGCGGCGCGAGGUAGGGGAUGACGGGUGGGCCCCACCCGUCAGCGAGGGUGGCGGGCGGGCCCGCCCGUCAGCGGCGCGCGCGCGGGGAGGAGGCCGAUGGGCCGCGGGGGAGAGGAGAGAGAGGGAGGGAGUUGGGCCGAGCCGGCCCAAGAGAGGAAGGGGGGGGGGGGAAAAGGACUUUUAGGGAUUUUUCUUUUUAUAAAACCCUUUUAACUUUGUUUAUUUCUUCUCAAUUAUUAUUUGUGCUCUGAAAAUUUCACUAAAAUUUAUUUACGCAUUUUAGGCUUUUAGGAAAUACACAAAAAUCCUCCAAGCCUUAUUUGACUUUUAUAUUUGCACAUUUUAAUUGUUGGAGGCUUUCACACGAAUUUUAAUUAUUCUCGGCACAAUUUCGAGGAUGUAUUUUAGAGUCGUUUUAGGACGCGACAGGGUCCCAGCUCGUCCCAAGCCAACCCAGGCCAACCAUUCCACAUUUUAGUUGUUAAGCAGGUUUUAAGAAUUUAAAACACUAACUUGGGUACAUUGCUAGGCUUGCCCAUAACCGAGGGCGCGGCUAUUCGAAUAGGUUAUACUCUGAUCAGAGGUGUACAUCUUUACCCACAAGACACAUCUUCCUCACGUGCAACCACGUGCCACAUACCACCACGGUAUACAGACGGAAGACGUGACAUAGUUUCCAACCCAUCCUAGCCAUAGACAAGAGUACCGACCCAAUCCCAACCUACGGCCGGAACCUCCGGGACAGGUAGGCAGGAUUGAGCCCCUAGCAGCAGGACACUAGCCCUGUGCCAUGACAUCUCGACUACCGGGCCGCAGCUCGUGUAGCCUUCAUUUGUCCUAGAGAUGUCCAUCGACCCCCGACUUCAUCCAUCUCCAUCCGUGUACUUUUGUUUAUAACCAGACUGAGCCACAAACUAAGCCUUACCCACUAGACAUGUGGAAGUACGGUAGUGCUUUGCAACAGAGGCCCGAGCUUAAUCCUUAUAUUGGCCGGGGUGCUACUUCCCACAACUGGCAUGCACCCAAACCCCACCGGAAAACAGGUUUUAGGGGUUUUGAAAGAGGAAGAGAGGGGUAUGUCCAAUUCCACCAUAAUCCAACAAUUCCAUAAUGUCCAAAUGAUAUGAGAUUUCCCAAAGUCUAAAGUUAUAAAACCACCUAAUGUUGCCUAAUUAAACAGCGAAGCAUCUACCUAAAUUCAUACUAGUGGAACCAUGAAUAGAGUGUCCACUAGUUGGGGUUUUGUUUAUUCUAGGGUGAACAAGGUAAUAAUAACAAUAGCAAUAAUAAUGUCUUAACAAAGGUAAAUAGGCAUGGCUAAAUAAAACAGUGAUAACGCGGGAAUUUAUAUAAAGCGAUAAUGCAUUAAUUUAAAUCAAAAUAAUUUUAUAAACUGGGAUUCAAUAUGCUCAAGGAUGAUGUGACUUGCCUUGCUCAGAGAGAACGGCCUUCCGAACCUUUGGCGACGACCGCGAACCACGCUUCUGGAACCUCCGGAACGACAGAAGCUACGCGAAGCACACAAGCAAAGCUACAAGCCUAUAAAGAAACAAUAACAAUACAUAAAAAGAAAGCAUACGGUUCUUUAGGUUAUAACAAACAUUAGGAGACUUGAACGGGUCGAUUCAGAGCUCGUAUGACCAAGAUAUGAUCAUCCAAAGUUUAAUGCUGUUAUAUGGAGAUUUGCGGAUUAUUAUAAUUAAACUUUGCAACUAUAAAACAUGUGUAAGCGCUAGCCUGGAAAGACAGGAAGGCUGCGCCGUUGACAUGCGGACCUCACAUGUCAACAAAAAGGACCGCGGUAGACCGCGUACACAGAGACGGUCCACGGGUCGACGGAAGCGGAUCCCGUGUGUCAACCGAGGCGAGUGGCCGACAAACGGACUCCACUAGACACCACACGGCCUGCACACGUGGAAACCACGCGGCUACCGAGCGGGCACACUAACACAGACACUACACGGUCACCACCCGCACGCGUGAACGACUACCGACACCGGUACACGGGUACCGGGGUCGACAACCGCACAACGGGUACGGGGUGACACUGAAAGGACGAGGACGGGGCAGCGAGAGGACGGAUCCUUACCACCACGCGACGAGGCGUGGGAACAACAACGACGAACGGGCGCGGCGGACGGCGAGGGAACGACUUCGGCGGCGAUCCUUGGACGAAGGCGAGACGCGGCCGGCAUGAGGCUUGACGACGCGGAGCCGAGGACAAAGACGACGACGGCUACAGCGACCUUGACGAAACACCGAGGACGGACGAGAACGGCUCGACAGAGGGACGAACGCCACGACGACCGGGAACGACGGGAGGACGACGACGACGACGACCGGGGCCGGCGAGGAGACGACGAGGGCAGCCGGCAGCGGCUGCACGGAGGCGAGGAUGGCGUGGAACACGCCGCUGCGAUGUCGACGACGGAGGCGGCGCCGCGAGAUGACGAGCCGGCGAGGAUGAACGGUGACGACGACGACGAACACCGGCGGGGUUCGGUCGAAGGGGAGGCGAGGCCGAGGGCGUCCUUGACGCUGCGAUGCCGGAGGUGGAGACGGCGACGUCGGCCGGCGCACUGGCACGGCGAAAGGGGCUGCCGGAGUGGGUGCCGACGAGACCGAGGAAGAGGCGGCGCGCGUGACGGCGGUGAGGGCUAGGGACCACGGGAGAUCGCGGGAGUGGGCUAAAACGAUAGAACGGAGCGAGGGGAUUCCGUUUUAUAGCGGAGGGAAGCGAGCCGGGCAUGGGAGAGGGCGGAACGGCGACGGGAAACACGGCCGGCAGCCAUGGAAGGCGGCCGGGAAUGGCGCGGCCGUUCCGGGCGAUUGGGGGCGCCAUUCAAGGGGAAAAACGGGGGAAAUCAAAGAGGAAUCAAUGGGGAUUAAUUCCCCCCAAUCAAUUUGGAAAGAGCCGGCUUGAAUGGAGCGGAUUUGGAGGAGGAACGGCGCUAGGGUUCACGGGAGAGAGAGGAAGGAGGCCGGCGGCUGGAGGCCGGGGACGCGCCUGACAGGCGGGACCCACGCGGGAGGCGCGCGGUCAACGCGCGGCAACGGCGCGCACGCACGCGCACGUGCGCGGCACGGGAGGGAGGCGCGGCUCGGCUUGGGCCGGGCGAAGCCGAGGCGGCCCAGGAGGAGAGGAGGGAGAGGCAGCCCGGGAGGGAGAGGGUGGAGGAGGGAGUGGGCCGAGAGGGGGAGGGGAAGAGUGGGCCGGGAGGAGGAGGAGAGGCCCGGGAGAGGAGGGAAAGAGAGGGAGGAGAGGGAGACUUUGGCCGCGGGCCAAGAGAGAGAGAGGAACCUUGGGCCAGACUUGGCCCAAAGGGAAGGAGAGGGUUAUUUUUAGGUUUUCGUUUUAUUAAACUUUGAUAAUUGUUUUUGUUGCUUAAUAAAUAUUUCCGGCGCUCUGAAAAUUCAAGUAAAAUUUGAGGGCUCCUUUUAGACCAAGGAGAAUUUAACAAAAAUUCUCCGGGCCACAUUCGAAUUUUUCUUGUACGUAUUUUAGUGUUUGCCAAUUUCUUUUCGAAUUUUAAUUAAUUCUAUUAUUCCUUUUAGAAAAUGAUUUUUAUUUUGGGAUGAAUUUAUCAGGACGUGACACCACAUCAUGUCACCAUGUGCCUCAAUACCACCACGGUACCUCGGAAAGGAGUUGUGACAAUAACCCUUGCACAACAUAACCCAUUACAGCGCACCUUUCCUGGAUCAUAAUCACCCCCUUAUAAACAAGGCCUGGUGUCGCGUCCCAAAACGGCUCUAAAAUACAUCCUCGAAAUUGUGCCGAGAAUAAUUAAAAUUCGUGUGAAAGCCUCCAACAAUUAAAAUGUGCAAAUAUAAAAGUCAAAUAAGGCUUGGAGGAUUUUUGUAUAUUUCCUAAAAGCCUAAAAUGCGUAAAUAAAUUUUAGUGAAAUUUUCAGAGCACAAAUAAUAAUUGAGAAGAAAUAAACAAAGUUAAAAAGGUUUUAUAAAAAGAAAAACCCUAAAAGAAGUCUUCUUUCCCCCCCCCUCCUCUCUUGGGCCGGCCCGGCCCAACUCCCUCCCUCUCUCUCCUCUCCCCCGCGGCCCAUCGGCCUCCUCCCCGCGCGCGUGCCGCUGACGGGCGGGCCCGCCCGCCACCCUCGCUGACGGGUGGGGCCCACCCGUCAUCCCCUACCUCGCGCCGCGCCCGCCGCCCGCCCGUGCCCUAGCGCCGCCGCCGCCGCCGAAUCCGCCGCAUCCCGCCGUCCCCGCGCGCCAUAAAGAGGGGGAAAUCACUCCCCGUGAUUCCCUCCCUCUUUCCCCCCACUUUCCCCUCUCUCUCUCCCUCGGAUUCGUCCGGAUUCACUCCCGCGAUCUUCGCCGGUGCAUCAAUGGCGGCCGAGAUUUCCGCGGCCGAUUCCUUCCCCUCCGGCCGCUCUCUCCCCCUCCCGACGCUAUAUAAUCGCUCCCCGAGCCUCUCUCCUCCGUUUCCGCCGCUCGCCGCUUUCUCUCCCCAUCGGAAUCGAGCCCGCGCCGUCGUCCUUUCUCUUCGCCGUCGCCGCCGAGCUCCGGUUCGCCGCCGUAGUCGCCCCGGACCUCCUCCCGUCUCGGCGUCACCUCCUUCGGCUUCGCCGCGUCCUCGUCGACCUCGUCCACUCCUCCGUUUCGCCCGCCGACCGUCGGAGCACCGCCGUCCUCGUCAACCCGAGCCGCGCCGCCGCCUCUCGCCGCUUCGGUCGCCGGUUCCGUCACCGCCGUCGACCCGGGGUGAGCCAAGGACCGCCGUUUCACUUCCCCCUUCCCUCCCCUCUCUCGGCCGCCGCUCCGUCGCGCCGGAGGUCGCCGCCGGCGACCAUCGGGGCGCGGGCGCGCCGCCUCCCGUCGGCCGUGCCGGCAAGGCCGCCUUCGGGCGCGUCCCGCGGCUGCCAGGUGGGUCCCGGCCGUCAGCCGCCCGCGCCCGCGGGUGCGGCUGACGCGUGGGACCCACGGCGCCGGCCGGCGUCAGCCGCGUGCGCCCGGUCCACCGUGGACCGAGAGGCUGACGCGUGGGCCCCACUCCCGUGGACCCAGUCCGCGCGCCCUCUCCCUCGGCUGACGCAAUAAAUCCGAUUUUUAAUUAAAAUUUAAAUGAAGAAAUUCGCAAAUAUCCAUUUAAAGAGCAUAUAAACUUCAAAUGGCCAUAACUUGGCCAUUUGAACUCGGAAUUGGACCGUUCAAGUCUCUAAUUUUUCCUUAUGAAGCCAAGAACCCAUUUUUAUGCUUUGUUUCUGCUGUUAUAUGGAGUUUAUUAGAGUAAAAGCCUUUUCUUUUCCGUUGGUCGUGUAGACGCUGCAGCUUCGGAAGAUCCGCUCUUCGUGGAAGUUGAAGCCGACGUUUGGGAAAGCGAGCAAGGCAAGUCACAUCAUCUUUGAGCAUAUUGAAUCCCAGUUUAUAAAAUUAUGUUGAUUUAAAUUAUUGCAUUAUCGCUUUAUUUAAAUUCCCGCGUUAUCACUGUUUUAUUUAGCCAUGCCUAUUUACGUUUGUUAUGACCUUAUUAUUAUUGUUAUUGUUAUUAUUACCUUGUUCACCCUAGAAUAAACAAAACCUCAACUAGUGGACACUCUACUCAUGGCACCACUAGUUUAGUUUUAGGUAGAUGCUUCGCAAUUUAAUUAGGUAACAUUAGGUGGUUUUUCAACUAUAGACUUUGGGAAAUAUUCAUAUCAUCUGGAUACUAUGGAAUGGUUUGGUUAUUGUGGAAUUGGCUUCACACCGCUCCUUCUAUUCAAAAUCCCCAAAAUGGUUUUAGGCUGGGCUCGGGGUGCAUGGUUUUGAUAGUAGCACCUCGGCCAUAUAAGGACCGGUCUUCGGGCCUCUGUUGCAAAGCACUACCGUACUUCCACAUGUCUAGUGGGUAAGGCUUAGUUUGUGGCUCAGUCUGGUUAUAAACAAAAGUACACGGAUUGGAGAUGGAUGAAGUCGGGGGUCGAUGGACAUUCUCCAGGGCAAAUGAAGGCUACACGAGCUGCGGCCCGGUAGUCGAGAUGUCAUGGCACAGGGCCGGUGUCCUGCUGCUAGGGGCUCAGUCCUGCCUGCCUGUCCCGGGGGUUCCGGCCGUAGGUGGGAUUGGGUCGGUACUCUUGUCUAUGGCUAGGAUGGGUUGGAAACUAUGUCACGUCUUCCGUCUGUAUACCGUGGUGGUAUGUGGCACGUGGUUGCACGUGAGGAAGAUGUGUCAUGUGGGUAAAGAUGUACACCUCUGAUCAGAGUAUAAUCUAUUCGAAUAGCCGCGCCCUCGGUUAUGGGCAAGCCGAGCAAUGUACCCAAGUUAGCGUUUCAAUUCUUAAAACCUGCUUAACAACUAAAAUGUGGAAUGGUUGGCCUGGGUUGGCUUGGGACGAGCUGGGACCUAGGGUCGGGUUGCCAGUUCGGUCUGAAUCAUCAUAGGCCUUGGGUUAAGGCAGGUUCGUGUGGGUUCACGGCCUUGAUAAUUAAUAUUGUAUAGUUCGAGAAUCGUGUUUACAAAAUAGCUUUGAGCAACUAAACGUCUUUAAAUGCUGUUUACUGCAACCCUAACCCCUUUAUAGUAUAAUUCCUUUGUACUCCCUUGCAUUUAUUCUGCAUUUGUGGGUGUGUCUUGUUGAGUACGGUGGUUGUACUCAGUCUUGCUCAAUUUUUCCCAAGCCCACAAGAGGAGCUCCUUGAAGAUGAAGGCUUUGGUGUCUAGCUCGUGCCUGCCGUCAAGCGCCUGUGGUCGUCGCCCUAGUCUUCCGCUGUUUCUCGUUUGUCUCUGUGUGUGCUGGGCCUUCGCUGCCCAUGUAAUAAGUUAACUAUUUACGCUUCCGCUUGUUGAACUCUGAAUUGUAUCAACUUUUGGUGUACCUUGCCUCCUGGGACAAGGAUUAAUGCACGCACGUCAGGAACGCCCGUUGGGUUAUUUCCGGUCGUGACACCUGGACUCCCCAGCGACCCCCGUGGACUUCUCGCCACUUCUCAGUCUGGCGCACUAUAAUGAAUCACGCUAUACAAAAGAUAAAGCCGUUGCCCACGCUGGCUUGUGGCUGGCACGAUAAAUGUUUCACAACAGUAGCUCGCGAACCGGUCCUUAAUUGUCAUGAGCACAACCAUCAAAACCAUAUGCUCACAACCCACCUUAACCAGGUUUUAAUUAUCAAUUAAUUAACCUCACACGAUUAACCAUCGUGAGCUACCAUUUAAUAUAACCAUCAUUAAUAAAAAUAUAACAUAGUUUAUAAUUAAUCCCUUUAGUUAGCUAAUGUUUCUAAGCAUGGCUAAGCAAACAUAUAUAUAGCAUUUAGCUGGACCAAUCCAUUAUAUAAGGUUCAUGCUAAUCAAAUUAUAACCCAUAGGAAAAUAAAGUCAUCUUCGGCCAACAAUUAACUGGGAAAGGUUCACCACCCAAUGACAUUCGAAAAUAAUGCAUAAGUUGAAAUAAAAUAAUAGCUUUAAACGGGUUCAACAUGCUCAAAGGGUUGUUUGGGAUCUGUGUGACUUGCCUUGGGCUUCCGCAAACGCUUCGGAACCUUCCUCAAUGGAAACGCUCUACUCCGGAACGACGGAGCUCAUUUUUAUGUUGAAAAUUUUCCUAGAAAAUUAGAGUUUAGCUUGUAGGCUUUUAAAAUAAUUUCUAACAAUUCCAAUUAAACAACAGUUUAUACAUUUAGGAUUUUUAGGGCGUGACACUCCUCAAUCACCUUUGGCAUGGCCAUGCACUCUAUAAUCUAUAACAUUGAGGGGCCCAGAGAUAUCUCUCCAUAGGAGGGGCAAAUCACACUAUGAUUAUUCAUAUCCCACUACAUGUUUCAUAGCAUACCCGAAAACUACUUUUAUAACUACCCAAUUAUGGGGUAGCGUUUAGCAGUCCCUAAGUAAGCUACUACAUAUGUUGGGAACCAUGAUAAUCUCAUGUCUAAGAAUUCAACACCAACACUAAAUGAAAUCACUGAUGACACAACACAUAUGGCUCUUGCAGUGUCUCGAGUUGGGUCUAUCCAACAACAAGUUCCCCAACGUGUGUCCACUGAUGAGAACAUAACUAGCUCGGUGUUGAUGUAAAAAAACGAGGCCUGGAAGAUCUGCUUAACUUCAGUGUAGGUCCAAAAAUCUUGCCUUUAGGUUAAUGAGCAUGCCAGUUGAUUUGAUCCUGCAAUCAACAAGAAAUAAAGACAAAGAAACCGCGGUUAAAUCCAUAAACGAUAGCCGAUCGGCUAAUUGCCGAUGACAUAUCAUUCAUCUUUGAGCCGAUGUCAUAUAUAGAUCGAUCGGCAAUCAUGAACAAGUAAGAAAAAAUUAAAUCUACUCGAUCGGCUAUAGAUAUUAACAAUAUAUAAUCCUUGUGUCGAUAUAUACUUAAAUCAAGUGAUUGGGACAGAUCGGUCGCCAUGCCGAGACAGUAUAAAUCACUUAGAUCGAAAUAUAUAUUAACAACAAGACUAUAUACGUUCAUAGCAUAGCCGAUCAGAUAGAUCUAGCAUGUAUCGGCUAAUACUCCAAUACCACUCUAUAUUGAGAUAUCAAAGCAAGUAAAAUAUAUCAAACGAAAGCCUAAUAUACUUAAAUGCAACAAGAUCUUAACAAAAAGGGCAAUUUAACAUGUCAAUCAAGCAUAUAAGAUAAAUGUAGUUAAAUUAGGUAAGAUCGACUGAAACCCCGAUGCUACACUAAUCGGCAACCAAAAGCAGGCUAGAGAUUGAGAUUCUAAUCAUGACUUACAAGGUCAAACUCAACUGAUGCAGCUAUAAGUAUGAAAAGAAGGAAAAUAUCUAGACAAUCAAGCCAUUGGAUGUUUCAUAGAGUGGUGGAUAUCCUAUAUAAUCCUAGUCAACGUUGGUAUUUAACCUAAUCGGCUGCCUUUUAGUAACAGACAUUAGCCAAUUGGGGGUUAGAUAACGAUAUUGCCGGAGAUUAUAUAGGAUAUAUGAUAACUCAACGAAUUACAUGAACAAGAUUAGAGUAUCAUAAAGAUGGAAGCCCUAAUUCCGAGAACGCAAGCCACCAUAACAAGUUUUACCUCUAGUUGAAGAUCGAAACCGAUGCAGCUCAACCCGAAAGCAAGAACUCGUCGAAACAAAAUGAAAGUAAAAGGGUGGCGGUGCGCUGAGAUUGUAUUGAACGUGUGUUAUCAUAUUACAUGGGGCUCGGGGUCUAUUUAUACCCAAGAUUUACAAAAUAUGCCCGUGUCGGACACGACUUUUAUCUCUAACAAACUAAGAUACCAUAAGUCUUUGCGGCAGACUUUUGCCCAAACAUAUCUCUAAGGAAAUUACAUAAAAUAUCCUAAUUAAUAGAUACAAUUGCCUUCUCAGGACUUAGUCCAUGCGUGGCAAUCCUCAUGAAGCACAUUAACUUAACCCGACAACAUGUACCUCACCAUAUUAUCGGACUCGGCUUAAUCAGCUAACCUUAUCCAAUUCGGACUCUGCCGAUCCCGGUCACAGCCGAUUCGGACUUUAGCCGAUUCUUGCUCUGUUUGCGGAACGAUCUCCAUCUUGGAUUCCGCUUCGACUUUAUCUCCAUCUCCGAUACUGAAAUUACCAAAUUUGGUUGUUAACACUCGGAUAUAACCAUGACUACCUUAGGUAUUAAUCAACCAAAUGUGCAUAUGUUCUAUAUUAGAUUUGCUUGUUAUAUACUUGAACAAACAUUUUCGUUUACAGAUGUACUUGCUUGGACGAAGGAAAAGAGGCCGAGCAUAACGAAUGCAUGGAUGAUCAAAGAAGUUGAUUCGGGACCUCACCUCCCACAUCAUCCACAUUAUCAAUUUGGUAUCUCUAUACCAUGAUCCAUGAGACAUGAUCAUCAACUAAUACAUGUGCUGAUCAUUUAAACAUAUUUGUUCCACAUAUGAUAUAUGAUCAGGGAUCCUUUAGAAAUAGUAACAUUCAACAUCAAGAGUCUCAUGAAAGAAUCAAACAUUUAUUAACCAAUAAUGAGUUAUCUAUUUCAAGGAACAAUGUCGGAUAAAUAUGUAAACAUAGUAUGUGAUACAGUCAUCUCUAUGAUUGCCUCUAGGGCAUAUCACCAACACUCAGCAAGUCAUGAGAAACGUGAGCAUGAAGACUUCGAAGGGAGGCUGGGUUUACUUCGCAACCAUUUCUUUUUAAAAGAACAUUUUGCGAACCACUAAGUGCCCUCAAUCAUGGGGUCAGAAAGAAGUUUUUGCUUAGAUACUGUUGGCAAAUUGCUUUACAACAACUCAAACGGACGAAGCAAAUUUUAGUUGGUUAACAUUAUUCUGCCAUCAAGCAGCUUCUAACUCCGUUCUCAACUAUCAGUUUCUUUUCACUUUCAAACCAUCGGGUAGCCCAUCUCAUCACUCAUCUCUUUGGCUCCAAGAGUUGUCCAUAAUCUCUAGCACACACUGCUUCCACUAGGGAAGCCUAAUCUAUAAUGCCAAUCGACACCCCGAUCUACACAAGAUCAUUUUCAGACCACGUAAUGGUCCUCUAUUACUCAUCAUGACUGAUUCUAGUAAUGGUUCCCAAUCCCACAAACACUUUUCACAAAGUAUAGGCAAACAAAUCUAUGCAAAGAGGAAUCACCUCACAUUUGCCCAUGACCAUGGUCACGGCCGUUCGAAUAGUUUGAUAAUCCUCUGCAGAGGGUGCAUGCUUUACCCACGAGACGUGAUCUUACUCCCUCACUAGCCAAGCGGGGAAGGUUCGUGACAAGGUCUUUCUGAAGCCAACCAGGGAUACCUCAUGCAACAUAGAAGGGUUCUCUCUGAACUUGAGAAUCAGGCAAAUCUCAGCCUUCAUCUACCUAGGCAUUGGGGAUGUCUCCAAUCAGUCGUGCUUUAGAUUCCUGUGAGCUACCAGGUGAUACUUGCGAGGUAUUAGGCGAUACACUUGAUAUCAGUUUUUGAUAAUGAUGUGUAUCGGAUGAUUACUAUGAGAUAUUAGGUAUACUUGCGAGGUACCAAGCAAUACUUGUAGAAAGAGCAUCUAUGCCCCUAGUGGGUUUUGGUUAAUUGAUGACAAACGAUUAAGGGAUUAAUGCACUUAUUGAAUGUAUAAGCAAGGGAUUUGUCCGAUGAAGAACCAAUGAAGAUGAUGAAGAAAAAUAUGCAAUACAACGAGGUUUCAUUGUCAUCCAAUUCUACAAGUGACGGAAAAUGGCAAGAGGUGGUGAAGGGUUGGCAAGACUUGCUACGCGAUGGACCAUGCAUGGGAGAAGAUCAAGCAAAUGUUUGGCGCAAAGGAACCGACGCAGUGGUGAAGGAGAAAAUGCCUUGCCAAACACCAAUGGACCGAUCGAGGCCAUAGGAAGUCAUAAGUUGCUAAGUAUCAACCAUAUUAGUAUCGAUAAAAGCAAAGAAAGAAGAUGGUGUGAAGGUGUUCAUAUUGGUACAACUUUUCUAUCUGCUUUUGAGUUUGGUGCUCAAAAAUCCUUUCGAAGUGUUUCUCAUUAUUGGAUUUUACAUUUUGGUGAUUUUCGGAAUUUCCGAAAGAUCUUUUCGGAAUUUUCAAAAUUGAUAAGGCCAGCAAAUUGCCCUCUGGUAUUUUUCAGAAUUUCCAAAAGUUGAUUUUGCUCUCUGGUGUUUUUAGGAUUUUUCCGAAAAUGGUUUUCGGAAUUUCCGAAAGUUGAUUUUGUUCUCUUGUGAUUUUUGGAUUUUUCUAAAAUAUUUUUGGUAUUUCCAAAAUGCUUUUUUCUCUGCUGAAUUAUGCACUUUUUGGAAUUUACAAAAAUUGCUGCUGAAAUGCAAUUGCCUUCUUGUGAUUUUCAGAAUUUUGGAAAAAUUUAAUCUUUGCCAUCAACGGGCAUAUCUGAGGCUGUGGCUAUAAAUAACCCCCUCCACCCACAAGCUAGGGCUGCUGGCUCUAUUUCUUAUUCUUUGCCCUGGGCUUGUGUUGAUUUGAGAUUCAGUUUGAGCCUUUGCCUUCUCACUUCUUCCUCUCCACCGAUCUUCAAUCUCAGAUUUCGUGUGUGUGCGUGAGUGGUUGAUUUGAGUUUGUUUGAGUGCUUGGUGUUGACUUCGUGAAGAUUUGUUGAGCACUCGAUUCAUCGCCAAGAAAUCUCUGUGGCAUUUGUUACUCUUGGUGGUUGAGGACACCUAGAUGGUUAGGAGUAAACCUCGAGAUACCGAUUUGUUUGUGGUGUGCCGAGGGAGUAUGUGAAGGUCGGAUCUUACCUCCGAAAGGGAAGAGCGAGGAUAGAGUUGGAAAAGACCCGGCCCAUUAUGGGCUCCUCAACAAAGUGUAGAAUCCCCCCAAGGAUUUGAUCUUUGGUAACACAUCAACUUGCAAGAAUCCUGAUGAUAUCUUUUUCUUACUCCUCUAGCUUUGCUAUUUGGUGCCGCUAGUAGUUUAGUCGUUGUUUGUGCAAACCCAUUAACUACCUGUUACACCAUCCCUUUUUGUUUGCCUUUCUAGCUUGCUAAAAAAUCUGAGAUUUUUGGAAUAUCCCAAAAUAUUUCAGAAUAUCGGAAAAUAUUCCAAAAUAUCCGAAAAUAUUCCAAAAUAUCCAAAAAGUUUAUCUUCUUCAUUGACUUACGAGUUUUAAACGCCUCUUCAACCUCCCCCCCCCCCCUCCGCAGGUGAUAUCAAGAUCCUUUCACUUGUGAUACCACGUUCUGAUACCUAUGGUUCUCAGAUGAUUCCUAUGGGGCAUCAUGUAAUACUUGUGAGGUAUUGCAACACUUGUGAUAUUAGGUUCUAACACCUACGUUGAAGCAUCGAGGCCCCCGGUGUUAAUUUUGGUAAUUAAUGACAAGCGCUAAUUGUGGACUAACCGUUGUCUUUGAGAUAAUAUUUUAAGUUAGGUCCACGUCAUGUGUGCACAUGGAUGACGAUCGAUGGAUUAAAAUUGACGGCGCAAGGCAAAGAGAAAGAAGACGGUAAAACUAGUGCUUUAAUUUAGAAUUGAUCAGGGUGUAGGGCGAUCAAAUUUGCUAGUUUAUUUCUAGUUUCGCCGUACUAUUAAGAGGGGUAAUGACCUAGCAAAGAGAUGAUUUUAAUUGCCACAUUAGGUCAUUGCAUUAUCACUUGUGCUCACUUUUUCAUCACACACAAACACAUUCACUGGGUUCGGCCUGACCAGGGGCGGUCAGACCGGCCACAUAGUGGCGGUCUCACCGGCGUGCCCUGCCCGGUGACCUCUCCGAGAAGAUUGUGGAGGAGGCCCGGUGCCGGUUUGUGAGUGGUUUGGAGUUCACCACCUUCGGAGUGAAGAAAGAACUAACCUAGUGAUCGAGGCUUGGGUAGUCCUCUCCAUGGGCCGGCUCCCGCCAUGCCCACCCCUUGACGAAGGGGGCGUGCGGAGGCUACGUGGUUGAGCGGUGGAGUUGGGCUCGCCUCAGCGGGGAGUAAGAAACCGACGAGUUUCCGAACCUCGGUGAAAAAUCUCUUGUCUCCUUGUCUCAUUUGAUUGUCGCAUUUACUUUUGUGCAAUUUACUUUUCUAGAGACAAACUUGAGAUCAUAUCACCCUAGGAUUGCUAAACAUUGACAUAGGAGUGUGAGUUACUUUCCUAGAGAUAUAAUUGAGCCUCUAUCACCCUAGGUUUGCAAAACCUAACUUAGUUGCAUAGUUAGAGUUGACCCUCACCAAGCCUAGCAACUUAGGUUAGUUUUGAUUAGGUGUCAUUUAGUUUUAAAUCGCCUAUUCACCCCCCUCUAGUCGACAUCUCGAUCUUACAAGUGGUAUCAGAGCUUGGUCUCUCCUGAUUGGGCUUCACCGCCUAGAGAGAAGAUGUCGAACGAGGUGAAACACGAAGGGAAGGCUCCCAUGUUUAAUGGCACAAACUAUUCCACUUGGAAAAUUAAAAUGUCUACUCACCUCAAAGCUAUGAGCUUCCAUAUUUGGAGUAUUGUGGAUGUAGGCUUUGCAAUCACCGGCACGCCCUUGAUGGAGAUUGAUCACCGCAACCUCCAACUCAAUGCCCAAGCCAUGAAUGCUUUGUUCAACUCUUUGAGCCAAGAGGAGUUUGAUAGAGUGAGCAACCUUGAGACCGCAUAUGAGAUUUGGAACAAGUUGGCGGAGAUCCAUGAGGGCACAAGUGAGUACAAGGAUGCCAAGCUUCACUUCCUCAAGAUCCAAUAUGAGACAUUCUCUAUGUUGCCUCAUGAGAGUGUGAAUGACAUGUAUGGGAGGCUCAAUGUCAUUGUGAAUGAUCUCAAGGGGCUUGGGGCAAACUACACCGAUCUUGAGGUUGCCCAAAAGAUGCUUAGGGCUCUACCAGAGAAGUAUGAGACCCUUGUCACCAUGCUCAUCAACUCCGACAUGUCAAGGAUGACACCGGCAAGCCUCUUGGGGAAGAUCAACACCAAUGACAUGUAUAAGUUGAAGAAAAAGGAAAUGGAGGAAGCCUCACCUUCCAAGAAGUGCAUUACUCUCUAAGCCGAAGUUGAAGACAAGGGCAAGGGCAAGGUGAAUGAAGUCAAUGAGAACUUGGAAGAAGAGAAUGCCCUUCUUGCUAGAAGGUUCAAUGAUUUCUUGGGAAGGAGAAAGGAGAGAGGAAAGGGCUCCAACUCAAAUAGGAGAAGAAAUAGAAGACCCAACAAGACUCUCUCCAACUUGAGGUGCUUUGAGUGUGGUGAGAAGGGACACUUUGCUUCCAAGUGCCCUUCCAAGGAUGAUGAUGGAGACAAGUCAUCCAAGAAGAAGAGUGGAGGCUACAAGCUCAUGAAGAAGCUCAAGAAGGAAGGCAAGAAGAUUGAGGCCUUCAUCGAGGAAUGGGACUCAAAUGAGGAGAGCUCGCCUCAUCCGGGUCCGAGGAAGAAGAUGGUGAUGAUGCAAGCUCCAGGAAGAAGAAGAUGGCCGUUGUUGCCAUCAAGGAGGCUCCAUCACUCUUCGCUCCACUUUGUCUCAUGGCAAAAGGCUCCUCUAAGGUAACAUCUCUUAGUGAUAGUGAGAGUGAUGAUGAUUGUGAUGAUGUUUCCUAUGAUGAGCUUGUGAGUAUGUUUGAGGAGCUCCAUGCUUAUAGUGAGAAGGAGAUUGUCAAGUUCAAGGCCCUAAAGAAGGAUCAUGCUUCUUUGGAGGUCUUGUAUGAGGAGCUAAAGACUUCUCAUGAGAGACUCACCAUUUCUCAUGAGAAGCUUAAGGAAGCUCAUGACAACCUCCUUUCCACUACUCAACAUGGAGCUCUAAUUGAUGUUGGCAUAUCUUGUGAUUUGCUUGAUGAUAGUGCUACUUUCCAUAUUGCUUAUGUUGCAUCAUCUAGCAUUUCUACCUCUUGUGAUGAUCUUGUGGAUAUGUCUAGCUCUAGCUCUAGCUCUUGUGUAUCUAUUUGUGAUGCCUCACUUGUUGUUGAGAACAAUGAGCUUAAGGAGCAAGUGGCUAAGCUCAACAAGAGGUUGGAGAGGUGCUUCAAGGGUAAGAACACUCUUGACAAGAUUUUGAGUGAGCAACGGUGCAUCCUUAACAAGGAGGGACUUGGAUUCAUUCCAAAGAAGGGUAAGAAACCUUCUCACCGUGCCACUCGUUUUGUCAAGAGCAAUGGUAAGUAUUGCCCCUAGUGUCGUGAGGUUGGGCAUUUGGUGAAUGAUUGCCCCGGUGGUAAGCCUCCUAAGACAUGCAUGUUUGAUUCUCAUUAUAUGCUUAGGAAGGCUCAUGAUGGUAGCAUUGUUCCUAGAUAUGUGGGUUCCCCUAUACUCGGUGGUAAAAAGAAUGACAUUUGGGUGCCCAAAGCUUUGGUCUCUAACCUCCAAGGACCCAAAUAAGUUUGGGUACCUAAAAGAGCUUGAUCUUCUUUUGUAGGUGAACUACCACACCGGUGGGAGCCAUUGGGUGCUUGAUAGUGGAUGCACUCAACACAUGACCGGUGAUAGGGCUAUGUUCACCACAUUUGAGGUAGGAAGGAAUGAACAAGAGAAAGUGACAUUUGGAGACAAUAGCAAAGGAAAGGUAAUUGGGUUAGGUAAAAUUGCUAUCUCCAAUGAUUUGUCAAUUGAUAAUGUCUCUCUUGUUAAAUCUCUAAAUUUCAAUUUGCUUUCGGUUGCUCAAAUUUGUGAUCUUAGCUUGUCAUGUGCUUUCUUCCCGCAAGAAGUUAUUGUUUCUAGCCUUCUUGACAAGUCUUGUGUGUUCAAAGGUUUUAGAUAUGGAAAUCUUUAUUUGGUUGAUUUCAAUUCUAGUGAAGCAAAUUUGAAAACUUGUUUAGUUGCAAAAACUUCUUUGGGUUGGCUUUGGCAUAGAAGGCUAGCCCAUGUUGGCAUGAAUCAAUUGAGCAAAUUUUCAAAACGUGAUCUAGUUAUGGGCUUGAAAGAUGUGAAGUUUGAGAAAGAUAAGCUUUGUAGUGCUUGUCAAGCCGGCAAGCAAGUUGCAUGUUCUCAUCCUACUAAGAGUAUCAUGUCCACAUCUAAACCAUUGGAGCUCUUGCAUAUGGAUUUGUUUGACCCAACAACCUAUAAGAGCAUUGGUGGUAAUAGUCAUUGUCUUGUGAUUGUUGAUGAUUAUUCUCGCUAUACUUGGGUGUUCUUUUUGCAUGAUAAGUCUAUUGUCGCCGACCUUUUCAAAAAGUUUGCAAAAAGGGCCCAAAAUGAAUUUAGUUGCACUCUUGUGAAAAUUAGAAGUAACAUUGGUUCCGAGUUUAAGAAUACCAAUAUCGAGGACUAUUGUGAUGAUCUUGGUAUUAAACAUGAACUUUUCGCUACCUACUCACCUCAACAAAAUGGUGUAGUGGAGAGGAAAAAUCGUACAUUGAUUGAGAUGGCAAGGACUAUGCUUGAUGAAUAUGGUGUUUCCGAUUCCUUUUGGGCGGAAGCCAUAAACACCGCUUGCCAUGCAACCAAUAGGCUUUAUUUGCAUCGUGUCUUGAAAAAGACUUCCUAUGAGGUAAUUGUUGGGAGGAAGCCUAAUAUUGCCUAUUUUCGAGUUUUUGGUUGUAAAUGUUAUAUUCAUCGAAAGGGUGUUAGACUAACCAAAUUUGAAAGUCGGUGUGAUGAAGGGUUUCUUCUAGGUUAUGCCUCAAAAAGCAAGGCAUACCGGGUCUACAACAAGAACAAAGGUAUUGUGGAAGAAACCGCCGAUGUUCAAUUUGAUGAGACUAAUGGCUCCCAAGAGGGGCACGAGAAUUUGGAUGAUGUAGGUGAUGAAGGCUUGAUGAGAGUUAUGAAGAACAUGUCAAUUGGAGAUGUCAAGCCUAUUGAAGUGGAAGACAAGCCAUCCACCUCCACUCAAGAUGAGCCAUCUACUUCCGCUAUGCCAAGUCAAGCUCAAGUUGAAGUGGAGGAGGAGAAGGCACAAGAACCACCUAUGCCACCAAGGAUACACACCGCUCUUUCCAAGGAUCACCCAAUUGACCAAGUGUUGGGUGACAUUAGUAAGGGUGUUCAAACUCGAUCUCGUGUCACUUCGAUUUGUGAACAUUACUCGUUUGUUUCUUGUCUUGAGCGAAAACAUGUAGAUGAAGCUCUUUGUGAUCCGGAUUGGAUGAAUGCUAUGCAUGAAGAGCUCAAAAACUUUGCAAGAAACAAGGUGUGGACUUUGGUUGAAAGACCUAGAGACCACAAUGUCAUAGGGACAAAGUGGGUCUUUAGGAACAAACAAGAUGAGAACGGGUUGGUGGUGAGAAACAAGGCAAGAUUGGUGGCACAAGGUUUCACACAAGUUGAAGGUUUGGACUUUGGUGAAACUUUUGCCCCCGUGGCAAGACUUGAGGCUAUUUGCAUCCUUCUUGCAUUUGCAUCAUGCUUUGAUAUAAAACUAUUUCAAAUGGAUGUGAAAAGUGCUUUUCUAAAUGGUGAAAUUGCCGAACUUGUCUUUGUUGAAUAACCUCCCGGUUUUGAAGAUACUAAAUAUCCUAACCAUGUUUACAAACUCUCAAAAGCUCUUUAUGGUUUAAGACAAGCUCCUAGGGCUUGGUAUGAAAGAUUGAGAGAUUUUCUUUUGUCAAAGGAUUUCAAAAUUGGAAAAGUUGACAUCACUCUUUUCACAAAAAUCAUUGGUGAUGAUUUCUUUGUGUAUCAAAUUUAUGUUGAUGACAUCAUAUUCGGUUCUACUAAUGAGGUAUUUUGCAAGGAAUUUGGUGAUAUGAUGUCUAGGGAAUUUGAAAUGUCCAUGAUUGGAGAGUUGAGCUUCUUCCUUGGACUUCAAAUCAAGCAACUCAAGAAUGGGACGUUCGUGAGCCAAACCAAGUACAUCAAGGAUCUACUCAAGAGGUUUGGCUUGGAGGAUGCGAAGCCCAUUAAGACACCUAUGGCAACCAACGGGCAUCUCGACCUUGAUGAGGGAGGUAAACCGGUAGAUUUAAAGCUUUAUCGUUCUAUGAUUGGUAGCUUGCUUUACCUUACCGUAUCUAGGCCGGAUAUCAUGUUUAGUGUUUGCAUGUGUGCACGGUUUCAAGCCGCUCCUAAGGAGUGUCACUUAGUGGCCGUGAAAAGGAUUCUAAGAUAUUUAAAGCAUUCCUCUACUAUUGGCUUGUGGUACCCAAAAGGUGCUAAAUUUAAGCUUGUUGGCUAUUCCGAUCCGGAUUAUGCCGGUUGCAAAGUGGAUAGAAAGAGCACAUCCAGUAGUUGCCAAAUGCUUGGUAGAUCCCUUGUGUCAUGGUCAUCCAAGAAACAAAACUCCGUAGCCCUCUCUACUGCCGAGACAGAAUAUGUUUCGGCGGGUAGUUGUUGUGCCCAAUUGCUUUGGAUGAAACAAACAUUGUUGGACUAUGGCAUAUCCUUCACCAAAACCCCACUCCUAUGUGACAAUGAUGGUGCCAUAAAGAUAGCCAAUAACCCGGUCCAACAUUCUAGAACCAAGCAUAUUGACAUACGCCAUCACUUCCUAAGAGACCAUGUUGCCAAGUGUGACAUAGUCAUUAGCCACAUAAGAACCGAGGAUCAACUAGCCGACAUCUUUACCAAGCCUCUUGAUGAAACCCGCUUUUGCAAGUUGAGGAAUGAGUUAAAUAUCAUAGACUUCUCUAAUGUGGCUUGAGAUGGUGCACCAUGGUUGCUUCUUUUCCAUAUUGUUUAUUUGCUCCUUUUUUGCUCUUAUGCUUUAGAUUUAUUGCCAUUUGGUUCUUCAUUGCGAAAAUGGAGCAUGUCACAUUAAGGGGGAGGUUUGCACUCUUGCAUGUGCUCCACUUCCUUUUAUAUGUGAGCAAAUCAACUAAAAGUGCUAGUAGUGUUUUCAAAAUGCCCAAGUCAACAUAAGUCAAAAUUUUUGCAAAAUUAAUGUAAUUUGAAAACUAUCUCUUGGAAAAUGUUUCAAAAGGUUCCCUAUAUGUUUUCCAACCUUCACUUUGCAAGAAAAAUGUUUUUUUAAUGAAAAUGCCAUUUUGGCCCUCUUUUGAAGAAACUAGAAUCUUGUUUUUGGCCAAAAUGAAAUUCAACCCCAAAAUGAGAUUGAGAAGGAAUUUGAGAAAAGUUUCAAAACAAAGUUGGUAGAGAAGAAGAUUUGAAAUGUUUUUGGUAUUCAAAUCAUAUUCAAAAUCCAAAUAUUUUAAAAGUUGUUUGAAAAUCAAAUUCGCCCAAAAACCCCUAUAGACCAUAAAUGGUCACCUCCUAGCACUCAAGUGAGUUUUGUUGCAAAUCUUCAUAAAUUUCAAAUAUUAUGAAUGGUUGGCAAUAUUUCAACUCACACAUUUCAAAAUUGCUCCAAAAUUCAAAUUUUUAUUGAAUUUUAUUGUGUGGGGGUAGCCGAACUAUGCAAGGGCAGUGCACAGUCGGCUGGGGGCCAGGCGGUCUGACCAGCGCUAUAUGCGCGGUCUGACCGGCCUGGUGGCGGCGGUCUGACCGGCCUCUAGGGCCCGGUCUGACCGGCUGCACCCUGGCGGUCUGACUGGCCAGGGAUGGAGGGCCCAGGACUUUGUCCUUUCUUCCUCCUCCUCCUUCUACCCGACCCGUCCUCAUCCCAUCUCAUCUCUUCACUUCUCCAACUCGAAAUUUCUUCUGCUCUCUCCUCUCCCAAACCCUAGCCACCUCCCUCCACCAAAUCCGUCCGGUUCAACCGUCAAAAUCACUCCGGUUACUCCGUAAGUGAAUCCCCUCCUCUUCCUCUCUCUAUUCCAUGGAUUGAUUUGAGUUUUUAUUGAGUUUGUGAUCCAUGGCAUGGAACCCUAGGUGAAGGAAGAGGUGUUCAUCGAUUUGCACCAAUAGAGGGUAGUUUCUUGGUGUGAUUCAACUCCUUCAACCGGUAAAUCCCUCUCCCUCUUGUGCAUUGCUCUCAAAUCGGUCUAUUUCAAUCUUUAGGGUUAAGGGUAGUUUCCCCAUUGCUUCAAUCUUGAUGAAAUAGACCUACACAAUGUCACGUCCCAAAACGACUCUAAAAUACAUCCUCUAAAUUAUGCCUAGAAUAAUUAAAAACCGUGUGAAAGCCUCCAACAAUUAAAAUGUGCAAAGUUAAAAGUCAAUUAAGGCUUAGAGGAUUUUUGUAUAUUUCCUAAAAGCCUAAAAUGUGUAAAUAAAUUUUAGUGGAAUUUUCAGAGCAUAAAUAAUAAUUAUUAAGAAAUAAACAAAGUUAAAAUGAUUUUAUAAAAAGAAAAACCCUAAAAUCUCCCCUCCCCCUCUCUCUCUCUCCCCUCCCCGCGGCCCAUCCGGCCUCUCCCCGCGCGCGCGCCGCUGACGAGCGUGCCCGCUCGCCACCCUCGCUGACGGGUGGGGCCCACCCGUCAUCCCCGACCUCCCGCUGCUCCCGCCGCCUCGCCCGUGCCCUAGCGCCGCCGCCGCCACGAAUCCCGCCGCCUCCCGUCGUCCCCGCGUGCAAUAAAGUGGGGGCAAUCACUCCCCGUGAUCCCCUCUCCCUUUCCCCCCAUUUUUCCCUCCCUCUCUCCCUUGGAUUCGUUUGGAAACCCCUCCCCAAAUCCCGCCGGCGCCAUUGAUGGAGCCCGAGAACGCCACGCCGGUUUCCUUCCUUCUCCGGCCGCCCUCUCUCGCCCCGGCCCUAUUUAAACUCUCCCCGCGCCUCCCCCGCCCGUUUCCGCCCCUUGCCGCACCGUCUCUCCGCCGGAAUCGAGCUCGCGCCGUCGCCCUCUCUCUCCUCCGUCGCCGACGACCACCGGCCGGCCUUCUCCGCUCGCCGGGACCGUCUCCCGCCCCGGCGUCGCCUCCUCCGGCUUCGCCGCACCGCCAUCGACCCCGUCCACCCCCUCGCCGGGUCCGCCGACCGCCGGAACGCCGUCGACCCCGUCGACCCGAGCCGCGCCGCCGCCUUCCUCCGCUCUGGCUGCCUUUUUCGUCGUUGCCGUCGACCUAGGGUGAGCCGUGGACCGCCGCCUCUUUUCCCCCUUCCCUUCCCCUCUCUCGGCCGCCGCUCCGCCGUGCCUAUGGCCGUCGCCGGCGACCAUAGGGGCGCGGGCGCCGCCUCCCGCCGGCCGCGCCGAGUGGCCGCCGUCGGGCGCGCCGAGUGGCUGCCGCGUGGGGUCCAGCCGUCAGCCGCCCGCGCCCUCGGGUGUGGCUGACACGUGGGGCCCACGGCGCCGGCCGGUGCGAGCCCGGGUGCGCCCGGUCCACCGUGGACCAUGAGGCUGCCGCGUGGGCCCUACUCCCGUGGACCCGGUCCGCGCGCCCCUCCCCCUCGGCUGACGCAAUAAACCCUUUUUAAAUUAAAAUUUAAAUGAAGAAAUUCGCAAAUAUUCAUUUAAAGAGCAUAUAAACUUCAAAUGGCCAUAACUUGGCCAUUUGAACUCGGAAUUGGACCGUUCAAGUCUCUAAUUUUUCCUUAAGAAGUCAAGAACCCAUUUUUGUGCUUUGUUCCUGCUUGUUAUAUGGAGUUUAUUAGAGUAAAAGCCUUUUCUUUUCUGUUGGUCGUGUAGACGCUGCAGCUUCGGAAGAUCCGCUCUUGGUGGAGGUUGAAGCCGACGUUUGGGAAAGCGAGCAAGGCAAGUUACAUCAUCCUUGAACAUAUUGAAACCCAGUUUAUAAAAUUAUUUUCAUUUAAAUUAUUGCAUUAUCGCUUUACUUAAAUUCCCGCGUUAUCACUGUUUUAUCUAGCCAUGCCUAUGUACCUUUGUUAUGACCUUAUUAUUAUUGUUAUUGAUAUUAUUACCUUGUUCACCCUAGAUUAAACAGAACCCCAACUAGUGGACACUCUACUCAUGGUACCACUAGUAUGAUUUUAGGUAAAUGCUUCGCUGGUUAAUUAGGCAACAUUAGGUGGUUUUACAACUCUAGACUUUGGGAAUAUUCUCAUCACCUGGACACUACGGAAUGGAUGGAUUAUUUUGGAAUUGGAUUCACACCUCCCCCUCUAUUCAAAACCCUCAAAAUGGUUUUUGGCUGGGCUCGGGGUGCAUGGUUUUGAUAGUAGCACCUCGGCCAUAUAAGGACCGGUCUUCGGGCCUCUGUUGCAAAACACUACCGUACUUCCACAUGUCUAGUGGGUAAGGCUUAGAUUGUGGCUCAGUCUGGUUAUAAACAAAAGUACACGGAUGGAGAUGGACGAAGUCGGGGGUCGAUGGACAUCUCUAGGGCAAAUGAAUGCUACACGAGCUGCGGCCCAGUAGUCGAGAUGUCAUGGCACAGGACCGGUGUCCUGCUGUUAGGGGCUCAGUCCUGCCUACCUGUCCCGGGGGUUCCGGGCGUAGGUGGGGUUGGGUCGGUACUCUUUUCUAUGGCUAGGAUGGGUUGGAAACUAUGUCACGUCUUCCGUCCGUAUACCGUGGUGGUAUGUGGCACGUGGUUACACGUGAGGAAGAUGUGUCUUGUGGGUAAAGAUGUACACCUCUGAUCAGAGUAUAACCUAUUCGAAUAGCCGCGCCCUCGGUUAUGGGCAAGCCGAGCAAUGUACCCAAGUUAGUGUUUUUAAUUCUUAAAACCUGCUUAACAACUAAAAUGUGGAAUGGUUGGCCUGGGUUGGCUUGGGACGAGCUGGGACCCAGGGUCGGGUUGCCAGUUCGGUCUGAAUCAUCGUAGGCCUUGGGUUAAGGCAGGUUCGUGUGGGUUCACGGCCUUGAUUAAUAAUAUUGUAUAGCUCUAGGACCAUGUUUACAAAAUAGCUUUGAGCAACUAAGUGUCUUUUAAUGCUAUUUACUGCAAACCCUAACCCCUAAUUUAUGGCUCCCUUGUACUCCCUUGCAUUUAUUCUGCACUUGUGGGUGUGUCUUGUUGAGUACGGUGGUUGUACUCAGUCUUGCUCAAUUUUUCCCAAACCCAGAAGAGGAGUUCCUGGAAGAUGAAGGCUUUGGUGUCUAGCUCGUGCCUGCCGUCAAGCGUCUGUGGUCGUCACCCUAGUCUUCCGCUGUUUUUCGUUUGUCUUCUUGUGUGCUGGGUCUUCGCCGCCCAUGUAAUAAUUAAUUAAUUGCGCUUCCGCUUGUUAAACUCUGAAUUGUAUCAACUUUUGGUGUACCUUGCCUCCUGGGACAAGGAAUAAUGCACGCACGUAAGGAACGCCCGUUGGGUUAUUUCCGGUCGUGACACACACCUUGAUGUUCUAGUUCCAAUCGUGUGCAACACUGUCCUAGCAAUUUUUAGAAUCAUUUAUGUGGAUUGUGGAAGGAUUUGGGUGUGCUCUUGUCAGUGGUGGUCUGACCAAAGGCGGUCUAACCAGCCAUUGGCCGUCGGUCUGACCGGCCGAGGGCACGCGGUCUGAUCGGCCGAGGGCCGGCGGUCUGACCGGCCGUGGCUCUCAGUCUGACCGCCCCUGAUAGGCAGCACUCGCCCUUCCUCCCACUUCACUAUGUGGUUUCUAAAAUUGUUGCUUAUCCAUCCUUUGCUCCUUGUUUUUCAGCUAUGCCUCCCCGCACCCGUCAUGGUCGUCGUGCGCCCACUCCUGAUCCCGUGAGUGAGGAGUCAAGCGGAGAUGAGUAUGCUCAAAGUGAUGAAGAGGUUGAGGCCAAUGUUGAGGGGGCUAGCGAGGGGGAAAGUGGAGAUGAUGACAGUGGAAGUGGAGAGGAUGAGGAUGAAGGAAGUGAUGAGAUGAAUAUUGAUCCCUCCAUCCAGUUUGUUGUAAACAUGAGGAAUCCAUCCCAAUAUACCAUCUUGAGGCACCACGAUCAGUUUUUGAGGCCUCGGGACACCCCGGAUCCCCGUUUUCAUACUGCUUUCCAGAAGAGUGUGUAUGAGCAAGUCUAUGCUGGGAAAGCUUUUGCAGAACAUAAGUUGAUCUCUUGGAGAGACAUUAAUGAGACUACCGAGUUUAAGGGCUUGCAGGAUCUCUUCAGGACUGUUGGCAUUGACCGGAUUUUAACUCUUAAGCAAGAUUACAAUGAAGAUUUGAUCCGGAAGUUUUAUGCUACAGUGUGGGUGGCCGGGGACUAUAGUGAGAUGAAGUGGAUGUCCGACACCCUUCAGUGCUCUAUCUCCAGGAGGCAAUUCCGGCGGCUCCUAAAUGUUCGCUUGGACUUUGGAGAUGACUUGCAUGAGGAGCACACCCAUAAUCCGCUCUCCAUCGACUACCUCUCUCAGUUUUAUGAAGUUGGAGCGCGGUACACACAUGGGAAGGUUGCCGGGUUGAGGACCAUCCCAAGUGUGGUCAACAGGAUUGUGAGAGCUAGCAUCCUCCCUCGCCUGGGUAACAAUGAUGACAUUAGGGGAGUGGCUUGGCACGUUAUCGAUGCCAUCAUUCAGGGCCGUCAGUUCGAUGUUGUUACUCUCAUGAUGCAAGAGAUUGCCAUCUCUAAGGGGACCUUCACUCAGGGUAUCUAUUAUGCCCCUUACAUCAUGAGAUUAAUUCAAGACAAGCUUGGGGCUGCUGGGCCAAAUUUGAAGAAGCACAAGUAGUACAAGCCCCGCCUACAGCUUGGAGCUCCCCGUGCUCCUAGGACGGCGCCCUCCUCUCAUCCUAGAGCUAGCUCAUGCUCUGCACCUCCGCCUCCUCAUGGGUAUGAUCCAAAUGCCUUCUUUCAUCCUCAGUAUGCCUAUUUUGGGAUGCAACCCAACGAGUACUUCAACCCGGUACUUGGGGCUAUUAAUACCCUAAGUGAAAGCAUUCAACGCUUGUCUACCGGGCAUGACGCUUUGCAUGAGGAUGUUCGUGGCUUGCGCACGGACGUUGGAGACUUGAAUGCUUCCGUGGGGAGAUUGCACACUCGAGUGGGUACAUUGGACUCUCGAGUCCAAAUGUUGGAGAGCUCCCAAGCAUUCGUGUAUCAUCGUCAUCGUGAUGCUUCUCAUCCUUCCACUUCGGCGCGUCCUCCUUUUUCUCCACAAGAGUGAAGACCUUUUUGGUGCUUGAUGCCAAAAGGGGGAGAAAAGUGUGUUUUUUGUUGGGUUGGGACUAGUAGUAGUGAGGAUAGUGCCCUCGUAUUUAAUAGGUUAAGGAGGAUUGAGCUAUAUUUUGUAUGGGUAUGGGCUAUUACUCUAUCUUGUGUGUUAUUUGUCGUUUUGUUAAACUCUUUAUGUCAUUUGGACCCUUCGUGGUCUUGUAAUAGCCUAUGCAUUUAUUUGUGAACCCUUUAUGUGGUCUUGAUGUGAACUUGUGCUAUGAUGGAUGGUUGGUGCUACAUUGAUAUACUUGUGACCAUCUUAUGCAUUCGGUUGAUUCAUAUGUGAAGUUCACAUAUAAUUUGCAUAUGUGUUGUGCUAUGUUGAAAUGUGAUAUUGUAAUGUGCAUUGGCUCCAUAUUUGCUAUUUGUGAUUUUUAUGCAUAUGUUUAGGGGGAGCCUUUGCUUUUCAAUGCAAUAAAUGUCCAUGUGCUCUAUGUUUGAUUAUAUAUCUAUUUGUGGAGUUUGUCAUCAAUUACCAAAAAGGGGGAGAUUGAAGCAUCUAGGCCCCCGGUGUUAAUUUUGGUAAUUAAUGACAAGCGCUAAUUGUGGACUAACCGUUGUCUUUGAAAUAAUAUUUUAAGUUAGGUCCACGUCAUGUGUGCACAUGGAUGACGAUCGAUGGAUUAAAAUUGACGGCGCAAGGCAAAGAGAAAGAAGACGGUAAAACUAGUGCUUUAAUUUAGAAUUGAUCGGGGUGUAGGGCGAUCAAAUUUGCUAGUUUAUUUCUAGUUUCGCCGUACUAUUAAGAGGGGUAAUGACCUAGCAAAGAGAUGAUUUUAAUUGCCACAUUAGGUCAUUGCAUUAUCACUUGUGCUCACUUUUUCAUCACACACACACACACAUUCACUGGGUUCGGCCUGACCAGGGCAGGUCUGACCGGCCACAAGUUGGCGGUCUGACCGGCCCAUAAUGUCGGUCUGACCGGCGGCACAUGCCCGGUCAGACCGGCCCCCUGGAGGCCGAAAUGGUGCUCCUCGGGACUGCCGAUACAGAGCCGACGGAGCCGUAGUCGGUCAGACCGAGCCGAUGGCGGUCUGACCGAGCCGACUCCGGUCUGACCGCCCAAUCAACUCCGGUCUGACCGGCCGGGCCGAUGGGGCCCUCUGACAGCGCUACAACUGCUAGUUUUCUAGCCGUUGCAGAGUAGCACAGUAUGACCGGCCACAUACCUCCGGUCAGACCGGCAGAGCACAAAGUUGGGGGAUUUCGCCCCCAACGGCUAGUUUUGGUGGGUGGGAGUAUAAAUACUCUCCCACCAGCAGCAAGGGGACUCUCUUGGCACCCAAUUCAAUUGCAUACACCCCUUGCACCUCUCUCACACUCACUUGAGCUUUGUGUUCAUCCAUCUAGUGUUAUAGGGUUGAUUAGCCAAGAGUCAAGUGCAUUUGCUUCCAUUGUAGAGCUAGUGUGGCACUUGAUCAUCUCCACGCCGGGUCAUUGCUUGUUACUCUUGGAGGAUGCCGCCUCCUAGACGGCUUGUGGAGAAGUUGCCCGGUGACCUCUCCGAGAAGAUUGUUGUCACACCCUGAAAAUUCAAAAUAUAUAAAUUGUUGUUUAAAUGAAAUUUUUAGAAUUUAUUUUAAAAGCCUAGAAGAGAAGAUCUAAUUUUAAUUAAUAAAUUCCAAUAUAAAAUGGGGCCAGAUAAAAUUUCAUUAAAUACUUUGCUUAAUUCUAUAAUUCCUAGAUUUUUCUGGGAUUUAUUUGAGCUAAGGAAGUAUUUUUAAUAAAUGGAAUUGCAUUUAAAAAAUAAUUUAAAUUGAAAAAGGUUUUGAAAAGUCUUCUUUUGGCUUUGGGCCGAAAGUCAGCCCAAAACCCUUCUCUCUCUCCUCGGCCCAAGUCGGCCCAGUCCGCAGCCGCAGCCGCCCGCGCGCGCGUCCUCGCUCGCUGACAGGUGGGGCCCGCCUGUCGGAGUCGUCGUCUUCCUCCGGCCGAAACCCUAGCGCCGCGCCGCCGCCGCCGCUUUCCAAAUCGGCCGAUCCUUUCCUUCUCCGGCCGAAUCAAAAGAGGGGAAAUGAUCUUCGGGAUUUCCUCUACCUUUUCUCCUUUGGAAACACCGGCUAAAAUCGUUUGGAAAUUCGUGGAUUCGAGUUUGUUUCGGAUUCGAUUUUCCCGAACUUUCCUUCUCGUCGCCGGCCGUCGUGGGCCUUCGCCGCUGCCUCCGAGCCCCUUUAAAAGGACCCCCGAGCUCUUCUCUACCCGCCGCCACCCUCGCCUUCGCCUCUCGUCGCCGGUAGCGCCCUAGCGUCGUGAGACCUCGAGCCGCCAUCGCCGCCGUCGCUCCAGCCGUGCGCCGCCGCCGUUCCGGUCGUCGUCAUCGCUCGGGAAGGCCACCGUCGGGAUCGCCAAGUCGUCGCCGUCCUCGUCCGCCCCUUCGCCACCGUCGGAGACCGCCGGAGCAUCGUCGCCGUCGUCGACCCGAUCUCCGCCGUCGCUUCUUCCUCGUCGCCGUCGCCGUCCGUUGGUCUUCCGCCGUCGCUUGGGUCGCCGGUGAGUUCGCCGUGCCGUCCGCUACCCGUUGGUGUCCACCGUUCUUGCCGAAGUGCCGCCGUUCACUGGCAAGCGUGCGCCGUCCGAGCCGUCCGAGCCGCCGAGCCGCCGCCGCCGGUGGUGACGUCAUCGCCGACGUCAUCGUCGCCCUCUUCCGUGAGCCGGUCGUGGACCGAUCGAUCUCGGUCGUCCGUUUUGGUCAUCGUCGCCCUCUUCCGUGAGCCGGUCGUGGACCGAUCGAUCUCGGUCGUCCGUUUUGGAUCAAGUCGAUCUCGGCCGUCCGUUCGCGUGAACUGCCGCCGUGCGCCCGGUCCACCGAAACCCUAGCCCGCUGACGCAAUAAAUCCCUUUUCCUUUUCAAAAAUAAUUCAUUAUUGCGUCAUAAUUCAAUUAAAAUCAAUAUAAGUGUUUUAAUCCGAUUUAAUCUUCAAAAAUUCAUAACUAAUUCAUCUUAGCUCCGAUUUAGUUGGUUCAAGUCUCUAAAUUUUUCUAAAAUUGAGAUCUACACAAUAAAAAUAUCCACAUGUACUGUUCAUGCUUGUUUAUGUGCUGUUUUGGUGAUUUUGCUCUUUUCUGCUUAGAUUCCGUCGUUUCCGGAGAGUCCGUUUUCGCAGGAGAAGAGUUUGAAGAGUUCCAAGGCCAGCAAGGCAAGUCACACAGAUCCCAAACAACCCUUUGAGCAUGUUGAUCCCGUUUAAAGCUAUUGUUUCUAUUCAACUAUUGCAUUUAUUUUCGAAUGUCAUUGGGUGGAAUUAACCUAUUGUUUGCUAUAGCCCUUUUGUUCUUGAUUACUUUAUUCCUUGAUACCUUGGGUUAUUAUAAUUUGACUAGUUGAGCUUUAUUUAUAUUGGUUCAACUAGAUAUUAGAUAUAAUUGCUUAGCCAUGCUUAGAAACAUUAGCACACUUUUGGGAUAACUUAUGAUUCACUAUUAUUUAAUGAUAGCUCACGAUGGUCAAUCGUGAUUGGUUAAUUAAUUAAUGUGCCAACUAAAACUUGGUAAUGGUGGGUUGUGAGCACAUGGUUUUGAUGGUCGUGCUCAUGACAAUUAAGGACCGGUUCACGAGUUUCGGUUGUGAAACAUUAACCGUGCCAACCACAAGCCAGCGUGGGCAACGGCUUUAUCUUUUGUAUAACAUGGUUCAUUGCAGGGCACCAGACUGAGAAGUGGCGGAGAUAAGCCCACGGGGGUCGCUGGGGAGUCCAUGCCUUGUUUAUAAGGGGGUGAUUAUGAUCCAGGAAGGUGCGCUGCAGUGGAUUGUGUUAUGCAAGGGGUAUUGUCACAACUCCUUUCCGAGGUACCGUGGUGGUAUUGAGGCACAUGGUGACAUGAUGUGGGGUUGUGUCUUAUGGGUACAGUGGUACACCUCUGAUCAGAGUAAAACUAUUCGAAUAGCCGUGCCCGCGGUUAUAGGCGGGUCUAACAAUGUCUUUCGUGAUUAGUCUCACCCUUCUCACCAUAGUAAAUGAUGCUAUAACUGGUAAUAAUUUGAUUAGCUCCUGGUUUGGAAUGGUAUAUUCCUGGUUUGGAGAUAGAACUGUGCAGCCGGGAUGGUUAUUCAGAAUGGGUGGGCCUAUACAACAGGGUAUGUUGUAUAGCGUUGGAUUAAUAUUGUUUAAUUAUUACUUAACUGUUUUAUUAAAUUCUCAAAUGUUUGCUAAAUGCUGCUUUUGCAAAAGAAACCCUAUUAUGCCAUCCUUUGUUAUCCUGUGCACUUGCAUAUUUGCUGCGUGGCUUGCUGAGUAUGUCAUAUACUCACCUUGCAAUCAUUCAUCAGAGGAAGAGUUCUACAAUGAUGCUGAUGGUGUGGAGGAUUAGGUGUAGCCUUGGUCAAGCUGCUUGUGGAGUGGAGCCGUCCGCGCCGUUUAUCUUAUUUUCCGCUGCUUAGAUCUUUAUUGAUUGAGAGGAACUAUCUACCUCUGUAAUGACAUUUUAUUCGCUUAUUAGUUAGAGUAAUAUUUGUACUCUAUUAUCAAUUUGUUAUUGUGUGCCUCGGCUGAUUCCUAGACGAGGGUUCCCACACAUGUAAGCGUUUGGAAUUUUGGAUAGAAAUUCCGGGCGUGACAAGUUGGUAUCAGAGCCUCCUUGACCUUAGGUUAUGCCAAAUGGUUACCCAUAGAAGCCCUCUAAAAAUAUUGGAAAAGUAGAACUGUUCUCCUCCCUUUCUCUUUUAAACCAAACUAAUGGCACAUGCACUUCAUAAUCUCUUUUAAUGGUUCUCAUUCAAAAUUUAUUUCAGUGUUAUUAGUACUGUACAUCUAUUACUGUACUAAUGACUCAUUUACCAGCAAAAGUUUUACAAUAUUGUUUUAUUUAAUCCUGCUGCAAUAAAAUAAAUUUAGCAUGUCGAUUUUAUAACUUUCUUUUAUUUCUGUUAAAACCUGAUGAUCAAAAGUACAAAAAUUUGUAACCUCGUUUUCAACUAUUUCAACUUAUCUUGCAAGCUUGGUUUACUUUAUUUACUUACCUUUUUACUUUGAUUUUCCAACUUUAUUCACAUUAAUCCAAAAACUUGUGCUAUUAAUUGGAUAAAUGUCUUAACUCCCUCCUUUCACUUGUCUUUAGAUGCCGCGCUACAAGCCUGAGUACUUGUUUGGUGUGGAGGGUUUUGUCCAGGAGUUGCGUACAAUGUCCUUUGUCAUUGGAUUUGGGACUGCCCCUUUUUAUGCCCAGAUUCCUCAUGAUCGUCAUGAAGAGAAGUGCCGAGUCAAAGUCACCUUGAACAGUAAUAGUGAAGAUAUUCCCUCAGUGAUGUUCGAAGCUGGAGGAAGAAACUACAUCCAUGCGUGUCAGGAGGUGGCAAGGAUCGCCAUAGGAGAGCUUCGCGAUCGCUACAGUGAUCAGUUGGCCGAUACGGAGUAUCGCUACCAUCCUCGUCAACCACAGGGAAGUGACCGUGGCAAUUACCUUGAGACUGAAGGAAUUGAGAAUGAUGCUACCACAAGGCAUUUGGUUGAGAUGCUGUGGGCUAUGGAUGAAAGUCGUGCGGAGACUGUAUUAGCGGCUCAAGAUCGUGAAGACCGGAAUCGUGGUAAGAUUUGCAAGCUAGAAGACAAGGUGGAUCGUUUGGAGAAGGAAUUAGCCGCAUUGAAGGGAGAAGCACCGCCGCAGAAGGCCAGGAUUCGUCUCACUGCAAUGAAGAGAGCUCUAUUUGUCCCUCGCUAUCAAUUGGCGCCAAAGGUUCGUGUGGUGGAGAAUGAAGUUGCCCCAACCCUAGCAGAUCCUCCGGUCAUCAUCAUAAGUGAUGAUGAAGAAGAAGAAUCCAAGCACACCCAUUCCAAGAUUGAGUGGGUAGUAACUCAAGAUGAUGAAGACGAGCCGAAUGAGCCUUCAAUCGACCUCCGAUGCUCGGAAGAACUAGAGUGACUUGUUAAGUCGUUGUCUUAGAUCGUUGUGUUAGUUUGCUUGCUUUAAGUUUGCUUGUGUGUGUCUCGCAUGUGAUUUACAUCAGUGGUGGGAUGUAAGUGCAUGCGUUUGUUUGCUUUUGAGUGUUAGGAAGUUGGUGAGUUUAGUGGUGUGAGAGUCUUCAGUUUGUAAUAAUGAAACUCAGUUAAGAUCAAUAAAAGUUAAAGUAAUUCCCUGUCCUAAGUAGUUUUGCCCGGUUUCUCUUCUUGUGCCCUGUCCAUGCCAGAUGGUGAACACUCGCAGCAAUGGGAAUGGCCCCAACAACAACAACAAUAACAACAACAACAGUGGAGAGAAUCCCACACUUGCCCAAGUCCUGGCUCAACAGACACAGCUUAUGAACAUGAUGAUGCAGCAACUCCAGAACCAGCAAAACCAAGGAAAUAACCAUGCACCUCCCCAGAACAAGUUAGCAGAAUUUCUGCGUGUGAGGCCGCCCACUUUUUCUAGCACCACUAAUCCUGUUGAAGCUGGUAACUGGCUGCACGCCAUAGAAAAGAAGUUGGAUUUGCUUCAGUGCACUGAUUAGGAGAAGGUCUCAUUUGCAUCACAUCAGUUGCAUGGCCCUGCCUCUGAAUGGUGGGAUCACUUUCGCCUGAACAGGAUUACUGCUGAACCUAUCACUUGGCUUGAAUUCACCGCUGCUUUCCGGAAGACGCAUAUACCAUCGGGAGUGGUGUCUCUCAAGAAGAAGGAGUUCAGGUCGCUCACUCAGGGAUCUCGCUCUGUUACGGAGUAUUUGCACGAGUUCAAUCGUUUGGCUCGUUAUGCUCCUGAAGAUGUGCGCAAUGAUGAAGAGCGUCAGGAGAAGUUCUUGGAAGGACUUAAUGAUGAGCUUUCUUACCCACUCAUGACUGGAGAUUAUCCUGAUUUCCAGAAGUUAGUGGAUAAGGCUAUUCGUCAGGAGGACAAAUACAACCGCAUGGAGCAGAAGAAGCGCCGGAUUGCUCAAUUCAAGACACAACAGGGGAAUAAUCAGAGGCCGCGUCUUACUUUAGGACCCCAGUCCGUGCCACAGGGAGGUUCUUCGUCUAUUGUUCGUCCGCAGCGUCAGUUCUUCAACAACAAUGCUGGCAACAACAUCCGUAAUCAAGUUCCACGUCCUGUUGCAGCUCCAACACAGCAACAACCUGCCAAGAGGGAGCAAGGCAGCAAACCCGUGGUGUGUUUCAACUGUGGAGACCCAGGACAUUACGCUGACAAGUGUCCGAAGCCCCGACGCGUGAAGGUUGUCCCUACUCAGAGCAACUCUACCGCACCAGCAUCAAAGGCCCGUGUCAAUCAUGUCGCUGCUGCAGAAGCUCAAGAUGCUCCAGAUGUGAUUUUGGGUACGUUCCUUGUUAACUUAGUUCCUGCCACAGUGCUUUUCGAUUCUGGUGCUACACAUUCAUUCUUAUCUAUGAGUUUUGCGGGAAAUCAUGGGAUGGAAGUAGAAGAUCUUAGACAUCCUUUGAUGGUUAGUACCCCAAGUAAUCAAGCACUCUCUUUGCAACGUAGCCCCUCUGUCAGAAUAGAAAUUAAAGGAGUACCAUUUCUGGCCAAUCUUAUCUUGUUAGAAUCCAAAGACCUUGAUGUCAUCCUAGGGAUGGACUGGUUAGCCAGACAUAAAGGUGUGAUAGACUGUGCUAACAGAAAAGUAACUCUCACCAGCAAUGAUGGUCGAGUUGUAACUGUUCAUGCAUUGUCUUCUGAGUCUUUAAGGUCAAGACUGAACCAAAUAACUUUGGAAGAGAUUCCUAUAGUCCAGGAGUAUCCCGAUGUGUUCCCAGAUGAUUUACCUGGUAUGCCGCCUAAAAGGGAUAUAGAGUUCAGAAUAGAUUUGGUACCAGGAACAACUCCGAUCCAUAAGAGACCUUAUAGAAUGGCAGCCAAUGAGUUGGCAGAAGUUAAGAGGCAAGUAGACGAUUUGCUUCAGAAAGGAUACAUCAGACCGAGUUCAUCACCAUGGGGAGCUCCGGUUAUUUUUGUGGAAAAGAAAGACCAUACCCAGAGGAUGUGUGUGGACUAUCGUGCACUAAAUGAUGUGACUAUCAAGAAUAAGUAUCCACUACCCAGAAUUGAUGAUUUGUUUGAUCAGCUUAAAGGUGCUACUGUUUUCUCCAAGAUAGAUCUUCGAUCAGGGUAUCACCAGUUGAGAAUCAAAGAGGAAGAUAUACCUAAGACAGCUUUUACCACUAGGUAUGGGUUGUUCGAAUGUACUGUUAUGUCUUUUGGACUUACCAAUGCCCCUGCUUUCUUCAUGAACUUGAUGAAUAAGGUGUGUAUGGAAUACCUAGACAAGUUCGUGGUGGUCUUUAUUGAUGAUAUUCUUAUCUACUCUCGAACCAAAGAAGAGCAUAAAGAACAUCUUCGCCUUGCACUAGAGAAGCUACGAGAACAUCAACUGUAUGCUAAGUUUAGCAAGUGUGAAUUUUGGUUGUCUGAAGUGAAGUUCCUUGGUCACGUCAUCUCAGCAGGAGGAGUUGCCGUCGAUCCUAGUAAUGUGGAAUCCGUAACCAACUGGAAACAACCAAAGACAGUUUCAGAAAUUCGCAGUUUCCUAGGCCUCGCAGGGUAUUAUCGGAGGUUUAUAGAGAAUUUUUCCAAGAUUGCUAAGCCCAUGACACGACUGCUUCAGAAAGAUGUGAAGUAUAAGUGGUCAGAAGAAUGUGAGCAGAGUUUCCAAGAGUUGAAGAAUCGCUUGAUAUCAGCUCCUAUUUUGAUUUUACCUGAUCCAAAGAAGGGUUUCCAAGUGUAUUGCGAUGCAUCUAAACUUGGGUUAGGUUGUGUUCUGAUGCAGGAUGGGAAGGUGGUUGCCUAUGCAUCUCGUCAGUUACGUCCGCAUGAAAAGAACUACCCUACUCAUGAUCUUCAAUUGGCCGCAGUAGUUCAUGCGUUGAAAAUUUGGCGUCAUUAUCUUUUCGGUACUCGUACAGAGGUAUAUACCGAUCACAAGAGUUUAAAGUAUAUCUUUACUCAGCCGGAUCUGAACAUGAGACAACGGAGGUGGUUGGAAUUAAUUAAGGACUAUGACAUGGGAAUUCAUUACCACCCAGGAAAGGCUAAUGUUGUAGCAGACGCUCUUAGCAGGAAAGGCUAUUGCAAUGCUACAGAAGGACGACAGUUGCCAUUGGAAUUAUGCAAGGAAUUUGAAAGAUUAAAUUUGGGAAUUGUCAGUAGAGGUUUCGUUGCAGCCUUAGAAGCGAAGCCCACUCUAAUUGAUCAAGUUAGAGAAGCCCAAAUUAAUGAUCCUGAUAUUCAAGAGAUCAAGAAGAAUAUGAGAAGAGGAAAAGCUAUCGGUUUCUUGGAGGAUGAGCACGGAACUGUAAGGUUGGGUGAGAGAAUCUGCGUCCCCGACAACAAAGAUUUAAAAGAUGCAAUUCUGAAAGAAGCUCACGAUACUUUAUACUCUAUUCACCCUGGUAGUACUAAGAUGUACCAGGAUCUCAAGGAAAGAUUUUGGUGGGCAAGUAUGAAACGUGAAAUAGCAGAAUAUGUAGCAGUAUGUGAUGUUUGUCAGCGAGUCAAGGCAGAACAUCAGAAACCUGCCAGUUUGCUGCAGCCUUUAAAGAUUCCUGAAUGGAAGUGGGAAGAAAUCGGUAUGGAUUUUAUCACUGGUUUACCCAGAACGUCAUCGGGUCAUGACUCUAUUUGGGUGAUAGUCGACAGACUUACCAAAGUAGCUCAUUUCAUUCCGGUAAAGACAACCUAUUCUGGAAGUCGGUUGGCGGAAUUGUACAUGGCAAGGAUCGUGUGUUUGCAUGGCGUCCCUAAGAAAAUAGUGUCUGAUCGAGGCAGUCAGUUUACUUCAAAUUUUUGGAAGAAACUUCAGGAAGAGAUGGGUUCUAAGCUGAACUUUAGUACUGCUUAUCAUCCGCAGACAGACGGACAAACCGAAAGGGUGAAUCAAAUUUUGGAAGACAUGUUGAGAGCUUGUGCUUUAGACUUCGGUGGAAGUUGGGAUAAGAGUCUACCUUAUGCAGAAUUUUCGUACAACAACAGUUAUCAAGCUAGUCUUCAGAUGGCUCCUUACGAAGCACUGUAUGGUCGGAAGUGCCGCACUCCACUUUUGUGGGAUCAAACGGGAGAACGUCAGGUUUUCGGGACGGAUAUCCUAAGAGAAGCAGAAGAAAAGGUGAAAAUCAUUCAAGAAAGAUUGCGAGUGGCUCAGUCUCGUCAUAAGAGUUAUGCCGACAAUCGCCGCAGAGAUUUGAGUUUUGAAGAAGGAGAUUAUGUGUAUCUUCGUGUCACGCCUCUUCGAGGAGUUCGUCGUUUUCAUAUCAAAGGAAAAUUGGCACCGCGUUUUGUGGGACCUUAUAAGAUUGUCAGUAGAAGAGGAGAGGUUGCUUAUCAGUGGAGUUACCUCAAUCUUUGGCAGGAGUCCAUAAUGUGUUCCAUGUGUCGCAAUUAAAAAAGUGUUUAAGGGUACCUACCGAAGAAGCUAAUCUUGAACAGAUAGAAGUCCAAGAGGAUCUGACCUAUGUUGAGAAAUGUCACGUCCUGAUAAAUUCAUCCCGAAAUAAAAAUCAUUUUCUAAAAGGAAUAAUAGAAUUAAUUAAAAUUCGAAAAGAAAUUGGCAAACACUAAAAUGCGUAUAAGAAAAAUUCAAAUGUGGCCCGGAGAAUUUUUGUUAAAUUCUCCUUGGUCUAAAAGGAGCCCUCAAAUUUUAGUGGAAUUUUCAGAGCACAAAUAAUAAUUGAGAAGAAAUAAACAAAGUUAGAAUGGUUUUAUAAAAAGAAAAAUCCUAAAAAAAGUCUUCUUUUCCCCCCCUUCCCUUACUGGGCCGGCUCGGCCCAGCUCCCUCCCUCUCUCUCCUCCUCCCCGCGGCCCACUCGGCCUCUCCCCGCGCGCGCGCCGCUGACGGGCGGGCCCGCCCGCCACCCUCGCUGACGGGUGGGGCCCACCUGUCAUCCCUAUCCUCGCGCCGCGCCCGCCGCCCGCCCGUGCCCUAGCGCCGCCGCCGCCGCGGAUUCCGCCGCAUCCCGCCAUCCCCGCGCGCCAUAAAGAGGGGGAAAUCACUCCCCGUGAUUCCCUCCCUCUUUUCCCCCUCUUUCCCCUCUCUCUCUCCCUCGGAUUCGUCCGGAUUCACUCCCGCAAAGUUCGCCGGCGCAUCAAUGGCGGCCGAGAUUUCCGCGGCCGAUUCCUUCCCCUCCGGCCGCUCUCUCCCUCUCCCGGCGCUAUAUAAUCGUCCCCCGUGCUUCGCUCUUCCGUUUCCGCCACUCGCCGCCUCUCCUCCCCGUCGGAAUCGAGCCCGCGCCGUCGCACCUUCUCUCCGCCGUCGCCGCCGAACUCCGGUUCACCGCCGUCGUCGCCCCGGACCUCCUCCCGCUUCGGCAUCGCCCCCUUCGGCUUCGCCGCGUCCUCGCCGACCCCGUCCGCUCCUCCGUUUCGCCCGCCGACCGCCGGAACGCCGCCGUCCUCGUCGACCCGAGCCGCGCCGCCGCCUUCCUCCGCUCCGGUCGUCGUUUCCGCCGUCCUCGUCGUCCCGGGGUGAGCCGUGGACCGCUCCUUUCGCUUCCCCCUUCCCUCCUCUCUCUCGGGUGCCGCUCCGCCGCGUCGGUGGUCGCCGGCGGUGACCAUCGGGGCGCGGGCGCGCCGCCUCCCGUCGGCCGUGCCGGCGAGGCCGCCUUCGGGCGCGCCCCGCGGCUGCCAGGUGGGGCCCGGCCGUCAGCCGCCCGCGCCCGCAGGUGCGGCUGACGCGUGGGACCCACGGCGCCGGCCGGCGUCUGCCGCGUGCGCCCGGUCCACCGUGGACCGAGAGGCUGACGCGUGGGCCCCACUCCCGUGGACCCGGUCCGCGCGCCCCUCCCCUCGGCUGACGCAAUAAAUCCGAUUUUUAAUUAAAAUUUAAAUGAAGAAAUUCGCAAAUAUCCAUUUAAAGAGCAUAUAAACUUCAAAUGGCCAUAACUUGGCCAUUUGAACUCGGAAUUGGACCGUUCAAGUCUCUAAUUUUUCCUUAAGAAGUCAAGAACCCAUUUUUGUGCUUUGUUUCUGCUGUUAUGUGGAGUUUAUUAGAGUAAAAGCCUUUUCUUUUCCGUUGGUCGUGUAGACGCUGCAGCUUCGGAAGAUCCGCUCUUCGUGGAAGUUGAAGCCGGUGUUUGGGAAAGCGAGCAAGGCAAGUCACAUCAUCCUUGAGCAUAUUGAAUCCCAGUUUAUAAAAUUAUUUUGAUUUAAAUUAAUGCAUUACCGCUUUAUUUCAAUUCCCGCGUUAUCACUGUUUUAUUUAGCCAUGCCUAUUUACCUUUGUUAAGACAUUAUUAUUGCUAUUGUUAUUAUUACCUUGUUCACCCUAGAAUAAACAAAACCCCAACUAGUGGGUACUCUAUUCCUGGUUCCACUAGUAUGAAUUUAGGUAGAUGCUUCGCUGAUUAAUUAGGCAAUAUUAGGUGGUUUUAUAACUUUAGACUUUGGGAAUUCUCAUAUCAUUUGGACACUAUGGAAUUGUUGGUUUAUGGUGGAAUUGGACAUACACCUCUCUUCCUCUUUCAAAACCCCUAAAACCUGUUUUCGGUGGGGUCUGGGUGCAUGCCAGUUGUGGGAAGUAGCACCCCGGCCACUAUAAGGAUUAAGCUCGGGCCUCUGUUGCAAAGCACUACCGUACUUCCACAUGUCUAGUGGGUAAUGCUUAGUUUGUGGCUCAGUCUGGUCAUAAACAAAAGUACACGGAUGGAGAUGGAUGAAGUCGGGGGUCGAUGGACAUUCUCUAGGACAAAUGAAGGCUACACGAGCUGCGGCCCGGUAGUCGAGAUGUCAUGGCACAGGGUUGGUGCCCUGCUGCUAGGGGCUCAGUCCUGCCUGCCUGUCCCGGGGGUUCCGGCCGUAGGUGGGAUUGGGUCGGUACUCUUGUCUAUGGCUAGGAUGGGUUGGAAACUAUGUCACAGCUUCCGUCUGUAUACCGUGGUGGUAUGUGGCACGUGGUUGCACGUGAGGAAGAUGUGUCUUGUGGGUAAAGAUGUACACCUCUGAUCAGAGUAUAAUCUAUUCGAAUAGCCGCGCCCUCGGUUAUGGGCAAGCCGAGCAAUGUACCCAAGUCAGUGUUUUAAUUCUUAAAAUUUGCUUACAACUAAAAUGUGGAAUGGUUGGCCUGGGUUGGCUUGGGACGAGCUGGGACCCAGGGUCGGGUUGCCAGUUCGGUCUGAAUCAUCGUAGGCCUUGGGUUAAGGCAGGUUCGUGAGGGUUCACGGCCUUGUUUAAUAAUACUGUGUAGCUCUAGGAUCGUCUUUAUAAAAUGGCUUUGGGCAACUAAGUGACUUUUAAAUGCUGCUUUUCUGCAAAACUUAACCCCUAUAUUAUUUACCCCUUGUACCCCCUUGCAUUAAUCGUGCAUCUACCGGUGUGACUUGCUGAGUACUGUGGUUGUACUCAUUCUUGCUCUAUCUUUCUCCCCCCUUCAGUAAGAGAAGCUUCAGAGAAGAUGUCUUAGGUGGAGUCCUGGCUUAUACCCCAGUUGAGCGCCUGUGAAGAUGGAGCCGUAGGCCCGCUAGUCCGCUGCUGUUUAUUUUUGUUUGUCAGGCCUGAAGCGCCUUUGUAAUAAUGUAAAUAUUAUCGAUAUAAUAAAGAUGUGUCUUUUAUAUCAUGUUUGUAUGGUGUACCCCGGCUUUUCCUGGGACGGGGAUUAAUACACUGGCGUUCGGGAAAAGGCAAUUUUCCCGGUCGCGACAAGAUGGUAUCAGAGCCAUCUCGACUGUAGGAUAAGCCAAGUGGAUAAAACCUAAGGACAUAUUUUAUAAAUAAAACUAUUUGCGAAAGUUCCUUUUUUUCUCCUUUCCCCUAUGCUAUUUGCAAAAGGGUUUACUCCCUUCUUCCUUCUUCGGAUUUCAACUAGUACUAGAUGGUCAGGUCAGUGAAGAAGAAGACAUCGUCAGUUGUUUGCCGAAGCUCCGGAAGACUGCAGGAUCCGCUAGCGAAGUGGAGGAAGCAGUGAAGCCAGCUGUAAAGCAGGAGUGAAGAUCUUGGAGAACCCGUCGCAGAACCUAAGCCACCCUCUAGUGUUUCGUUUGUCGUGUGUUUCCUUGCUUGUGUGUGUAGCGCGUGGUUUGCAUCAGUGGAUUGUGAUGUAACCAUGCUAGGUUGUUUGCUUAAUCAACUUGCAGAAUAAGUGAAACAAAGAACACAUCAACAAGAAGAGUUAGUUCCUUUAAGGUCCUAUCUCUAGUUCUGGUCUAUUCUUUCCUGGCUUGUUUCCUCUCUCACCUCAAUCCCUGUAACAGAUGUUUAACAGAGAAAAAGGAAAGAAUGUCAGCGGGUAUGACUCAAGUAACUCAAGUUUUCAACUCAAUCUGCCACUGGCCUCAAGAGAGUUAACCAGGGCACACCCUUGGUCCAUUCCAAGCAUGCUGCUUAGUUCACAGCUACCAUUGGUUGGAAGUCAAGACCAAAAUCAGUAUGUGUUUGAUCGAGCCUUUGCCACCCAGGUCAAUGAGCUUCCAAUGCCAGAAGAGCAGGUUCCCUUUUGUCAUGAUUGUAGAGAGCAAGGACACUAUGCCCUGAAUUGUCCAUGGGUAUAUGUCAAAGAAGCCCCUUCCCUUGGUUUAGCAGGGCGGACAUCGCUAAACCAGCCUCCUCACACCAAGUCAAGCUUGCAGCCUAGUGUGCAAAGUAGAGAGCUCAACGGAGAGAAUCCAUUGAAUCCCGGGAAAUGCUUUCCUCCUAGCCUCUCGUACCACGUGGGGUCACAUACUAAGCAAGCCAAAGGCAAGAAGAGUAAGAAUCAGAAGAGAAAAGCACCGAUGCGAACUGAAGAAGAAGUACGUAAGAUGACUAUUACCAGCACCGAAUGGCCUCCAGCAGGGAUAACUAUUCCUAGACGUCAAAGAGGAAAUACCUUCCGAGGUGCACGACAGUUGACCCAGCACCUCCUAAGCCGUGGUGGCAGAGUAUCUGAUAGUGAAGGGUCAGAUCAAGUCUCCUCGGAUGAAGAAGAUGAGUCUCCCCGACAUCUCGGCGAGGAAGAGAUGGAAUCCAAAGCAUGCCCCCGUUGUGGAGAAAUUGGACACGUUGCUAGCAUGUGUCUCACACUCUGCCCUCAUUGUGAGGAAGACCAUCCACCAGGUGAAUGUCCCACCCGCAAGGUCACAUGUUUUCUGUGCGAAGGUACAAACCAUGUGCCCAAGGAUUGCCAACUCAGUGUGUUGUUGACCAAGACCGCAGAAAUCCAACGAACAACCCUACGAUUGUCUCAUCAGCUAGUCAGCUCCAACAGCAACAUCGACGAUAUCAUCCACAGCACCAAUGCUCCUCCCGCUGCACCUGACUCUGCAAUAAAUCAUAGCGAUAAUACCUUCAGCACCAACCAUUCUCUGCACCGACAGCCUCAACAAAGAAUUGUCAUCGAUGGAAGAAGUUGUGUCUCUCCCCGACCUACUCCAGGCCGAGCCAAGGGCAAUCAACCUCCGGAGGGCGAUACCAAGCAGAAGACCGUUAUUCGCCUCAACCAGCAACCAGAAGGAAACUUCUCCUGUGAAUGAUAGCAAUAUGCAGUCCUAUCACAUCAUCACAGAACCAAUCAAGGAUGCAGUCACUAGAACAAUGCCAGCUAUGUAUCCAUGUUUGUGAUUUUCAGUUCGCUACUUAUCACUGUAAUCGGGAGUUUGCAGCAAUCAUGUAAUAAAUAAACAUAUUCAUGAUUAUAAACAAUGAGUUUGUUAUGUUUAUGGAUGAUUCAUGUUGAGGAUACAAUGUACCGAUGAUAAGCACCUUCCCUUUUUGUUUAAGGCAGUGCCUUGUAUUCGUGUAAUAAGGGAGAAAUGUGUAAUACAGACAAGUUCUGAGAGGAUUCUUUUGGAAGAUGCGGAUAUGUGAUCAUGUGUAUAAUUGUUUACUGACAAAGGAGACCUAGGGUCUCGUGUCAGAGGAACUAUAUUCUAACCUCGAGUUAAUAACCAACCUGUGGAUGGAAAAGAAAACCAAUUAAACUGUGUUGGGUUAAAAAGCCAAUGAGACAGUAGUUGGGGAUAGGAGUUUGGAUACGCCUCUUACAGAUCAAGAUAAGGAUUGUUGGAUGAAACCCAUAAGGGUACCCGCCAUGCCUCUACAUUGAUAAGUUCGGAUAUUCCUGCAAACAGUUAAGAAGAUCCAGGAGACAUCAAUAUUUGAGAACAUAAUAGUCGAUGGUUGGUAAUUAGUCUAUCAGGUAUCAGAAAAGGGUCAAAGGUGAUAUGGCAGAAGAACAAUAUGGAUGCUCCCCAUCUCGAGGAAGCACUAAAGAUGAUCAUCGGCAAUUAAACCCUAGUGGCAUAGAUACAGAUAGCAAGCAAUGUAUUUCCCUGAAGGUGGUCAGUGCAGCUUCUUGACAAACCACAUCAAGGUUUCACUGAAAGGCAGCAAGCCAAAGGACCUCAUCGUCCCCAGAAGCGUCCGCAAUCCACAUUAAAGAAUACCACAUGUUAAAGAUAAGCCGAAAGAUGAUUGAUAAAAGAGAUUGGCAAAGAUGUUCUCCAGCAUGAAAGAAGUAGGCCGGAAGGUGAUUGAUAAACAGAAACAUGCUCUGCAUCGCUCAAGGAAGACCCCUGAUAGUAAUUGCCCCGCAACAGUCACCUUGUCAUUAAGUAAGCAAGAUGACCUAGGUAAAAGUGUUUCUAUGAAGGCAAGGAGUGAAAUCUUCAACUCGGUAUCAGAUGCUACACGGAGUGAAAAGUGCAAGCACCGGUUACCAGGUAAUGCCAUGUCUUGGGAGAUGAUCCAAUGGGAAGGAACACAUCAAGGUUAAAAGGUGUAAAGGAAUACGUUGAAUGCUAACCGAGGACAACCUGAAGAUAAUAGUGGAAAGUAAACUGAACAUAAAGAAAGUGAAUCCGAGUUGCUUGUUCGUGAGAGCUAUUCCCAGUUAUGAAUCAAGUGAUAUGUUCAAAGAUAAUCUACAGAGGUCAGAUUAAAAUCACAUCUAACAACGAAGCCUCAGAUUUGGCAGGAUAAUGAUUAGACAGUAACAAAUCCAGCAAUAAAGCCAUUUGGGAAGACGUCAAAGUAUGUCAAGUGGGAUAAGUUGGUUCUCUUGGGAAGCAUAAUUCAAAGGCAAAGUUAGCGACCCUUGCAUCAAAUAGCAGAAGUACCUAGCACCGGAGACCAGGAAAGCUAAUAUGAGACAGUUCAUGUUGUCAAUCAUGGUAUCCUUAGUAAGCGGGAUAUCAUAGUCUAAAGCAUAUGGUGGUAAGCUGGAAGGAAACGCCAAGCAUGGUAUUCUCAUGAUGACAAGCAUGGUAUCCUAGUAAUGACAAGCAGGUUACGAGACAUGACAUGAAGUUGAUAACUUGUGAGGUUGACGCCGAAGAUAUGAAUCGUGAGAAGUUCUGGAUCUGAAGCCCCAUCUUCAAGUGCCGCAACCUAGUCUGAGUCAGCUAAAAGGUGCACCCUGGUUCAAGUCAGGUGAAGAGAAGAUUCCAUCCGCAGCAGGAGGUCAAGCCAAGCAGUUCCGAGUGGUGAAGUUUUGCUGAAAGUUUGUGAGGACGGAGCGGAAGAAGUCAAACAAGAAGAGAAGACCGCCCAACCUAUCUUCUUGCUAGCCUCCUCGAAUCUCGGGGACGAGAUUCUUGUAAGGGGGGUGGAUUUGUCACGUCCUGAUAAAUUCAUCCCGAAAUAAAAAUCAUUUUCUAAAAGGAAUAAUAGAAUUAAUUAAAAUUCGAAAAGAAAUUGGCAAACACUAAAAUGCGUAUAAGAAAAAUUCAAAUGUGGCCCGGAGAAUUUUUGUUAAAUUCUCCUUGGUCUAAAAGGCGCCCUCAAAUUUUAGUGGAAUUUUCAGAGCACAAAUAAUAAUUGAGAAGAAAUAAACAAAGUUAGAAUGGUUUUAUAAAAAGAAAAAUCCUAAAAAAAGUCUUCUUUCCCCCCCCUUCCCUUACUGGGCCAGCUCGGCCCAGCUCCCUCCCUCUCUCUCCUCCUCCCCGCGGCCCACUCGGCCUCUCCCCGCGCGUGCGCCGCUGACGGGCGGGCCCGCCCGCCACCCUCGCUGACGGGUGGGGCCCACCUGUCAUCCCUAUCCUCGCGCCGCGCCCGCCGCCCGCCCGUGCCCUAGCGCCGCCGCCGCCGCGGAUUCCGCCGCAUCCCGCCGUCCCCGCGCGCCAUAAAGAGGGGGAAAUCACUCCCCGUGAUUCCCUCCCUCUUUUCCCCCUCUUUCCCCUCUCUCUCUCCCUCGGAUUCGUCCGGAUUCACUCCCGCAAAGUUCGCCGGCGCAUCAAUGGCGGCCGAGAUUUCCGCGGCCGAUUCCUUCCCCUCCGGCCGCUCUCUCCCUCUCCCGGCGCUAUAUAAUCGUCCCCCGUGCUUCGCUCUUCCGUUUCCGCCACUCGCCGCCUCUCCUCCCCGUCGGAAUCGAGCCCGCGCCGUCGCACCUUCUCUCCGCCGUCGCCGCCGAACUCCGGUUCACCGCCGUCGUCGCCCCGGACCUCCUCCCGCUUCCGCAUCGCCCCCUUCGGCUUCGCCGCGUCCUCGCCGACCCCGUCCGCUCCUCCGUUUCGCCCGCCGACCGCCGGAACGCCGCCGUCCUCGUCGACCCGAGCCGCGCCGCCGCCUUCCUCCGCUCCGGUCGUCGUUUCCGCCGUCCUCGUCGUCCCGGGGUGAGCCGUGGACCGCUCCUUUCGCUUCCCCCUUCCCUCCUCUCUCUCGGGUGCCGCUCCGCCGCGUCGGUGGUCGCCGGCGGUGACCAUCGGGGCGCGGGCGCGCCGCCUCCCGUCGGCCGUGCCGGCGAGGCCGCCUUCGGGCGCGCCCCGCGGCUGCCAGGUGGGGCCCGGCCGUCAGCCGCCCGCGCCCGCGGGUGCGGCUGACGCGUGGGACCCACGGCGCCGGCCGGCGUCUGCCGCGUGCGCCCGGUCCACCGUGGACCGAGAGGCUGACGCGUGGGCCCCACUCCCAUGGACCCGGUCCGCGCGCCCCUCCCCUCGGCUGACGCAAUAAAUCCGAUUUUUAAUUAAAAUUUAAAUGAAGAAAUUCGCAAAUAUCCAUUUAAAGAGCAUAUAAACUUCAAAUGGCCAUAACUUGGCCAUUUGAACUCGGAAUUGGACCGUUCAAGUCUCUAAUUUUUCCUUAAGAAGUCAAGAACCCAUUUUUGUGCUUUGUUUCUGCUGUUAUGUGGAGUUUAUUAGAGUAAAAGCCUUUUCUUUUCCGUUGGUCGUGUAGACGCUGCAGCUUCGGAAGAUCCGCUCUUCGUGGAAGUUGAAGCCGGUGUUUGGGAAAGCGAGCAAGGCAAGUCACAUCAUCCUUGAGCAUAUUGAAUCCCAGUUUAUAAAAUUAUUUUGAUUUAAAUUAAUGCAUUACCGCUUUAUUUCAAUUCCCGCGUUAUCACUGUUUUAUUUAGCCAUGCCUAUUUACCUUUGUUAAGACAUUAUUAUUGCUAUUGUUAUUAUUACCUUGUUCACCCUAGAAUAAACAAAACCCCAACUAGUGGGUACUCUAUUCCUGGUUCCACUAGUAUGAAUUUAGGUAGAUGCUUCGCUGAUUAAUUAGGCAAUAUUAGGUGGUUUUAUAACUUUAGACUUUGGGAAUUCUCAUAUCAUUUGGACACUAUGGAAUUGUUGGUUUAUGGUGGAAUUGGACAUACACCUCUCUUCCUCUUUCAAAACCCCUAAAACCUGUUUUCGGUGGGGUCUGGGUGCAUGCCAGUUGUGGGAAGUAGCACCCCGGCCACUAUAAGGAUUAAGCUCGGGCCUCUGUUGCAAAGCACUACCGUACUUCCACAUGUCUAGUGGGUAAGGCUUAGUUUGUGGCUCAGUCUGGUCAUAAACAAAAGUACACGGAUGGAGAUGGAUGAAGUCGGGGGUCGAUGGACAUUCUCUAGGACAAAUGAAGGCUACACGAGCUGCGGCCCGGUAGUCGAGAUGUCAUGGCACAGGGUUGGUGCCCUGCUGCUAGGGGCUCAGUCCUGCCUGCCUGUCCCGGGGGUUCCGGCCGUAGGUGGGAUUGGGUCGGUACUCUUGUCUAUGGCUAGGAUGGGUUGGAAACUAUGUCACAGCUUCCGUCUGUAUACCGUGGUGGUAUGUGGCACGUGGUUGCACGUGAGGAAGAUGUGUCUUGUGGGUAAAGAUGUACACCUCUGAUCAGAGUAUAAUCUAUUCGAAUAGCCGCGCCCUCGGUUAUGGGCAAGCCGAGCAAUGUACCCAAGUCAGUGUUUUAAUUCUUAAAAUUUGCUUACAACUAAAAUGUGGAAUGGUUCGCCUGGGUUGGCUUGGGACGAGCUGGGACCCAGGGUCGGGUUGCCAGUUCGGUCUGAAUCAUCGUAGGCCUUGGGUUAAGGCAGGUUCGUGAGGGUUCACGGCCUUGUUUAAUAAUACUGUGUAGCUCUAGGAUCGUCUUUAUAAAAUGGCUUUGGGCAACUAAGUGACUUUUAAAUGCUGCUUUUCUGCAAAACUUAACCCCUAUAUUAUUUACCCCUUGUACCCCCUUGCAUUAAUCGUGCAUCUGCCGGUGUGACUUGCUGAGUACUGUGGUUGUACUCAUUCUUGCUCUAUCUUUCUCCCCCCUUCAGUAAGAGAAGCUUCAGAGAAGAUGUCUUAGGUGGAGUCCUGGCUUAUACCCCAGUUGAGCGCCUGUGAAGAUGGAGCCGUAGGCCCGCUAGUCCGCUGCUGUUUAUUUUUGUUUGUCAGGCCUGAAGCGCCUUUGUAAUAAUGUAAAUAUUAUCGAUAUAAUAAAGAUGUGUCUUUUAUAUCAUGUUUGUAUGGUGUACCCCGGCUUUUCCUGGGACGGGGAUUAAUACACUGGCGUUCGGGAAAAGGCAAUUUUCCCGGUCGCGACAAGAAACCAAUCCGUAUCUUGGAAAUAGAUGAGAGAAGAACCAGGAAUCGAGUUAUCCGUUUUUGCAAAGUUCAAUGGAGUAAUCACUCGGAAGAAGAAUCAACUUGGGAACGAGAAGAUGAAUUGAAGUCAACUCAUCCGCAUCUGUUCGCCAGUUCUUCCGAAUCUCGAGGACGAGAUUCUGUUUAAGGGGGUAGGUUUGUCACACCCUGAAAAUUCAAAAUAUAUAAAUUGUUGUUUAAAUGGAAUUUUUAGAAUUUAUUUUAAAAGCCUAGAAGAGAAGAUCUAAUUUUAAUUAAUAAAUUCCAAUAUAAAAUGGGGCCAGAUAAAAUUUCAUUAAAUACUUUGCUUAAUUCUAUAAUUCCUAGAUUUUUCUGGGAUUUAUUUGAGCUAAGGAAGUAUUUUUAAUAAAUGGAAUUGCAUUUAAAAAAUAAUUUAAAUUGAAAAAGGUUUUGAAAAGUCUUCUUUUGGCUUUGGGCCGAAAGUCGGCCCAAAACCCUUCUCUCUCUCCUCGGCCCAAGUCGGCCCAGUCCGCAGCCGCAGCCGCCCGCGCGCGCGUCCUCGCUCGCUGACAGGUGGGGCCCGCCUGUCGGAGUCGUCGUCUUCCUCCGGCCGAAACCUUAGCGCCGCGCCGCCGCCGCCGCUUUCCAAAUCGGCCGAUCCUUUCCUUCUCCGGCCGAAUCAAAAGAGGGGAAAUGAUCUUCGGGAUUUCCUCUACCUUUUCUCCUUUGGAAACACCGGCUAAAAUCGUUUGGAAAUUCGUGGAUUCGAGUUUGUUUCGGAUUCGAUUUUCCCGAACUUUCCUUCUCGUCGCCGGCCGUCGUGGGCCUUCGCCGCUGCCUCCGAGCCCCUUUAAAAGGACCCCCGAGCUCUUCUCUACCCGCCGCCACCCUCGCCUUCGCCUCUCGUCACCGGUAGCGCCCUAGCGUCGUGAGACCUCGAGCCGCCGUCGCCGCCGUCGCUCCAGCCCUGCGCCGCCGCCGUUCCGGUCAUCGUCAUCGCUCAGGAAGGCCACCGUCGGGAUCGCCAAGUCGUCGCCGUCCUCGUCCGCCCCUUCGCCACCGUCGGAGACCGCCGGAGCAUCGUCGCCGUUGUCGACCCGAUCUCCGCCGUCGCUUCUUCCUCGUCGCCGUCGCCGUCCGUUGGUCUUCCGCCGUCGCUUGGGUCGCCGGUGAGUUCGCCGUGCCGUCCGCUACCCGUUGGUGUCCUCCGUUCUUGCCGAAGUGCCGCCGUUCGCUGGCAAGCGUGCGCCGUCCGAGCCGUCCGAGCCGCCGAGCCGCCGCCGCCGGUGGUGACGUCAUCGCCGACGUCAUCGUCGCCCUCUUCCAUGAGCCGGUCGUGGACCGAUCGAUCUCGGCCGUCCGUUUUGGAUCAAGUCGAUCUCGGCCGUCCGUUCGCGUGAACCGCCGCCGUGCGCCCGGUCCACCGAAACCCUAGCCCGCUGACGCAAUAAAUCCCUUUUCCUUUUCAAAAAUAAUUCAUUAUUGCGUCAUAAUUCAAUUAAAAUCAAUAUAAGUGUUUUAAUCCGAUUUAAUCUUCAAAAAUUCAUAACUAAUUCAUCUUAGCUCCGAUUUAGUUGGUUCAAGUCUCUAAAUUUUUCUAAAAUUGAGAUCUACACAAUAAAAAUAUCCACAUGUACUGUUCAUGCUUGUUUAUGUGCUGUUUUGGUGAUUUUGCUCUUUUCUGCUUAGAUUCCGUCGUUUCCGGAGAGUCCGUUUUCGCAGGAGAAGAGUUUGAAGAGUUCCAAGGCCAGCAAGGCAAGUCACACAGAUCCCAAACAACCCUUUGAGCAUGUUGAUCCCGUUUAAAGCUAUUGUUUCUAUUCAACUAUUGCAUUUAUUUUCGAAUGUCAUUGGGUGGAAUUAACCUAUUGUUUGCUAUAGCCCUUUUGUUCUUGAUUACUUUAUUCCUUGAUACCUUGGGUUAUUAUAAUUUGACUAGUUGAGCUUUAUUUAUAUUGGUUCAACUAGAUAUUAGAUAUAAUUGCUUAGCCAUGCUUAGAAACAUUAGCACACUUUUGGGAUAACUUAUGAUUCACUAUUAUUUAAUGAUAGCUCACGAUGGUCAAUUGUGAUUGGUUAAUUAAUUAAUGUGCCAACUAAAACCUGGUAAUGGUGGGUUGUGAGCACAUGGUUUUGAUGGUCGUGCUCAUGACAAUUAAGGACCGGUUCACGAGUUUCGGUUGUGAAACAUUAACCGUGCCAACCACAAGCCAGCGUGGGCAACGGCUUUAUCUUUUGUAUAACAUGGUUCAUUGCGGGGCACCAGACUGAGAAGUGGCGGAGAUAAGCCCACGGGGGUCGCUGGGGAGUCCAUGCCUUGUUUAUAAGGGGGUGAUUAUGAUCCAGGAAGGUGCGCUGCAGUGGAUUGUGUUAUGCAAGGGGUAUUGUCACAACUCCUUUCCGAGGUACCGUGGUGGUAUUGAGGCACAUGGUGACAUGAUGUGGGGUUGUGUCUUGUGGGUACAGUGGUACACCUCUGAUCAGAGUAAAACUAUUCGAAUAGCCGUGCCCGCGGUUAUGGGCGGGUCUAACAAUGUCUUUCGUGAUUAGUCUCACCCUUCUCACCAUAGUAAAUGAUGCUAUAACUGGUAAUAAUUUGAUUAGCUCCUGGUUUGGAAUGGUAUAUUCCUGGUUUGGAGAUAGAACUGUGCAGCCGGGAUGGUUGUUCAGAAUGGUUGGGCCUAUACAACAGGGUAUGUUGUAUAGCGUUGGAUUAAUAUUGUUUAAUUAUUACUUAACUGUUUUAUUAAAUUCUCAAAUGUUUGCUAAAUGCUGCUUUUGCAAAAGAAACCCUAUUAUGCCAUCCUUUGUUAUCCUGUGCACUUGCAUAUUUGCUGCGUGGCUUGCUGAGUAUGUCAUAUACUCACCUUGCAAUCAUUCAUCAGAGGAAGAGUUCUACAAUGAUGCUGAUGGUGUGGAGGAUUAGGUGUAGCCUUGGUCAAGCUGCUUGUGGAGUGGAGCCGUCCGCGCCGUUUAUCUUAUUUUCCGCUGCUUAGAUCUUUAUUGAUUGAGAGGAACUAUCUACCUCUGUAAUGACAUUUUAUUCGCUUAUUAGUUAGAGUAAUAUUUGUACUCUAUUAUCAAUUUGUUAUUGUGUGCCUCGGCUGAUUCCUGGACGAGGGUUCCCACACAUGUAAGCGUUUGGAAUUUUGGAUAGAAAUUCCGGGCGUGAUAAUUGUGGAGGAGGCCCGGUGCCGGUUUGUGAGUGGUUUGGAGUUCACCACCUUCGGAGAGAAGAAAGAACUACCCUAGUGAUCGAGGCUUGGGUAGUCCUCUCCGUGGGCUGGCUCCCGCCUUGCCCACCCCUUGACGAAGAGGGCGUGCGGAGGCUUCGUGGUUGAGUGGUGGAGUUGGGCUCGCCUCAACGGGGAGUAGGAAACCAGCGAGUUUCCGAACCUCGAUGAAAAAUCUCUUGUCUCCUUGUCUCAUUUGAUUGUCGCAUUUACCUUUGUGCAAUUUACUUUUCUAGAGACAAACUUGAGAUCAUAUCACCCUAGGAUUGCUAAACAUUGACAUAGGAGUGUGAUUUACUUUCGUAGAGAUAUAAUUGAGCCUCUAUCACCCUAGAUUUGCAAAACAUAACUUAGUUGCUUAGUUAGAGUUGACCCUCACCAAGCCUAGCAACUUAGGUUAGUUUUGAUUUGGUGUCAUUUAGUUUUAAAUCGCCUAUUCACCCCCCUCUAGUCGACAUCUCGAUCUUACAUACGUGUAUCGGAUGAUUCUUGUGAAGUAUUAGGCGAUACUUAUGAGGUACCAGACGAUUCUUGUGAGGGAUUAGCUCAUACCCAUCCCAGCGCAACGGCAUCGAUCUUGCUCCACCGAUUCCCCAUCACGGCCAUGCAGCUCCAGGACCAGUAGCUGCUCCUGCUCCGUCAUGCUCCAGGACCAGUAGUUCAGCCACAAUAGUCUAUAGCUCUUCCUGGGCCUCUUAAGCCCUGCACUAACUUGAUCUAAUAAGCGAUUGAUGGAUCAAUAUAUCCAUCGGAGAAGAAAGAGAAAUAGAAAGAGAGAAAUCAAAAGCAUACCGACACAGCAAGUGAGUGCGUUAUAGCGGCCCUCCCUUUGGGUGGCAAUGUCGUUAAUGAGGAGCAGGUCCUCGACCGUCCACGGCCCACGCUAGAGGUCGGUGGUGGCGACCACGUCCUCCAUAUUGAGCAGGUCCUCCACCAUCCACGCCCCACGCUGAAGGUCGUUGCCGGCAGCCACGUCCUCCUCGCUGAGCAGGUCGUCCUCCAUGGCCCGCAUUACAGGUCAUCAGUGGUGGGCCGCCUCCUUGCCACUGCUCAGCUCUCGCUCCUCCUCGCGACAUCCUUGGAUAGGCCGGGGAUCCUUACUUUCAAUAAAUUUUAGUUUCCAUAUUUUAAAAUCAAAAUUUUCAGGGUGUUACAGUAAUAUCCUAGUUGCCACUUUCAUGAAGGCGUCACAUCGGAGGUUCCCUAUUAGUGGGGCGUCCUUGUGGCGGUGUUCCUACCAGUUGGGUUCGAUUGCAAUGGUGGUGGCAUGGACUAGACGAAUGAUUGAUUAUAGCUUAGUUACUCUCUGAUGUUAUGUCAUGCUUUGGUUUGAGGUUAGCACUGGUAGUGCCUGGAGCGAAAUUUGAUCGACAAGGAUCAGCCGCUGAUUUCAAAGGUUUUUUCUUUUCUUAUUUGAGGAAGAUAAGGACUACAUUUAACUUGUAAACCGUUGGUAGAAACAAUGACUAUACAUACUCUUGCCAACCAUAGAUGGAAAUAUUUGUCUUUAAAGUGGUAUACUAUGUAGUUUUCUUAUUUUUAAUCGAGCUGUAAUUUUGUAAUUUGCACUCAUUUGUCCUGCAACCUCCGUAAUAACUGGUUGUAGUUUUUCUUUAAGCAAAAGCCGGAAUGAAUUUCAUUAUAAAAAAAAACUACUUCAAGGGUCACUGAUCUUGCCGAUGCAAAAAAAAAAAUGUUCCUAUGAUCAAUCGAUGAGUAAAUAAGUAAAUAAGAACAACAUAAAAACAAUCUGAAUUAGAAAUACGAAAAAACACAUACGAUAAGUUAGGUUCCAAAGAUGGGAAAACAACUAUCUAACUGUUCACAGCUUCAUACAUUAAAUUAGCAAUAAUAAUGAUUUAAAAACCCAAGACACCCUGAAGUAAUACAUAGCUAUUGGAAGAGGUGGGAUGAUAUCCAAGACGUCCCUGCUACCUAGGAACAUCCUCCAUCAGAACAUGGUCUCACUUUGGCCAUGGUCACAGAUGAAGUUGCAAGACCAAACAACCAUUAAGGUCACGUGGCAUCUUGUUUGUUAAAUUGCUGACACCUCGAUCUAAAUAUUAAUACAAAGUCGAAUCCGUUGGAAAGUGGACAACACACCUACCGCACUGUAACCAUACCAUGUCAGUGUUUAUAAACAAUUGGACAAAAUUUUACCUCUGCAUUGCACUGACCAUUACAGAUAAAAGGUUAUCUAUUAACUUUUUUUUUUGAGUAGUGAAUACACCACAGUUAUUCACCAUUUACAAAUUAUUAGGAGCAAACUUUUGUUACCAGGAAAGAUUCAGGAUAAGUAAUUCCAUUGUUUGCAAUAACUCACAUCGACACAAAAUUACAAAAUUAUGUAAAAAAAAGGAGUUACAAUAUCGUCAUUUCAAACCAAUAUAGAUGGCCCAUAGAUUUUCUACAUUAAAUUCACCUCACCUGGAGAGAAACUUCAGUGAUCUCUUUUUGCCUACUCAACUCAGGGUUGCUAGACCAUGCGUAGCUGCUAGUGGUGUUGCUGCUGUACCCACCACCCCUAAGCUGCCACUCAGUGAUGUAGCUUGGCUUGGUGACCACCUUAGCCACAUCGACAUCUCCAGUCAACAUUGUCACGACCUUCGACAUUGGCGGUCGCUGGUGCGGAGAGCCCUGAGUGCAGACAAGUGCAACAUAUAUGACUCUAAAAGCUUCAUCCUUGUCAAAUUCCUUGAGACUUGGGUCAACAAUUCCAAGUGCUUGAUCCAUUUCAUACAGGCCCCAUGCCUUUUGAUAAACAUAGUUUGAGUAAGCAAAAGGCAAUUUACAAUGAAUUGAAGUUUUCUAGUAUGGGAAGAACAUAGACCAGCAUACCCAUUCAAGGAGACAGAUCUUGCUUUCCUCGAGGGAGUUGUCGGUGUUUGGUCUCCCAGCGACAGUCUCCAACAUGACCACUCCGAAUGCAAAAAUAUCAGCCUUUUCUGACAAAUGGCCUCUCAUUGCAUACUCAGGAGCUAGAUAGCCCCUUAAAAAUGAUAAGACAAGUUAAUAGUAGCAUUCAUAUUGAUGUUAUAAUCAUAAGAAGAUAAGUGGUAAAACAUUCUUACAAUGUGCCUGCAAUUCUAGUGCUCACAUGAGUUUGAUUCUCAUCGUAGAGUUUGGCAAGUCCAAAGUCCGAGAUCUUUGGGAUGAGAUUAGUGUCAAGUAGAACAUUACUAGCUUUGAUGUCCCUAUGCACAAUGCGUACACUUGACUCCUCAUGAAGAUAAGUUAGCCCUCUUGCUAUUCCUAAAAUGAUCUCGAAGCGCAUUACCCAGUCUAGGUUUAAGUUACUGUCACCUUUACAAGCAGAAAUAGCUCAGUUAUCAUCAGGAAUGCCAAUUAUAACAAAGAUGCAGAAAAGAAAAAUCCUUAAUUAUUAGUCACGAAGCAAUGAGUUUUAUUUGUGUAGAAAGAAAAUACAAUUCUAUAAGUGCCGAGGGCGGCAAUUUUACAGAAGUGAACUCACCAAAGAUUGCUCGAUCUAAGCUUCCAUUUUCAAGGUACUCAUAAACCAACAAGGGUGUUUUACUAUCAAUGCAGCAUCCAUGCAAUAUCACAAGAUUUCGAUGUUGCACAGCGGAAAUUGUCGCAACCUCUGUCACAAACUGGCUUGUUCCCUGAUGAGAUGAUUGUGAAAGUUGCUUCACAGCUAUAACUCUUUCAUCAGGUAGCUUACCCUGCCAAGGUUUUUACAUGUGUAUUUUGAGCAUAGACAAAUGUUGCUAAAACACAGCACUUCAAUGCCAAAUCAGAUAAAUUUAUAACCAGCUGCAGUUGUACAUAAUUAAUUAUGGAAAUAAAGAACCUUAUACACUGGCCCGAAUCCACCUUCGCCUAGAAUAUUUUGAGAACUGAAAUUGUCUGUGGCUAGCUUUAGCUCAGCAUAACUAAAAACGUCAGGUCGUCCAACCAGGUUGUAUAGUUCUGCAUGUUAUUUUUAGCACAGAUGAGAAGAGUAAACCAGAUAAUUUUGAUGUUUGAAUUAUAUAUGUCCUGAUAUAUAAUACCUUCUUUCUGUUGUGCCAAUGCUCUCCGCUUCUUUACUAGUGUAAACACUCCAAAUAAUGCUGCUAAUACUAAAACUAUUGCACCAAUCAAUAUUCCGGAAAUUGCACCUGCUUUACUUUUCCUUUUUGGUAUGCCGUUUCGAACGGUAGGAGUAAAAUCUGCAAAGGAAAAAUAUUAUUUAUCGGCAGCGAAUAUAACACUUCCUGCUGUUGUUUUAGUGUGGUGCUUACUUGGAGUGACGCUCAAUGCUGAGAUCAUUGGCCCAUAGUAAUUAUCUUUAGUAGGUAUGUCAACAGUGCCCUUGCCAGCCCAGAAUAGAUGGAUCUCAAGGAAGUUUUUAGACACAGUUACCAUGAAACUCCUAUUAACUACGGUAAAAGAUUUUCCACCUGCUGUUUUCCUUAUAUCGAAAUCCUUUUGUUUUAGAGCACCCUAUGUAAAUAUCAGUAAUACUUUUAGAUAAAUAUUGGUAAGAUUCAGUAGAAAAACAUUAUAUAAAAUGCACAAAAUUUCUACCUGGAUAUAUAUGUCAAAAACUCUUCUCCCUAAGCUUAGCCAAGUCUGUGAGUCUGGAAAAGCUAAUUCUGCGAAUUGGAGCAAAACAGUGUAAUUUCCAUUCUCAAGUCCAAGUCCAUAGUACCUCAGAGAUGAUGAUGACAUCCUUGCAGUUUCAAACAACUCUGAAUCAACUACAUUUUGAAAAGGUUGGGAGCUAUAUAUAAUAUUCUUUGCAUCUAUGGCGUUCCCUACACUACUGACACCCCAUCUUGUUUGACCGGUAACAUAAUAUGUUGCAGCUCCAAGAUUUGUAGGAUCUGCUUCAUAAAUAGUGUCAUCUGAGCCUCUUAUGGAUGCAUUACUGCCACAGUCAACUGCGAAGGAAUAAUCUGCAAUUAAGAUUAAAAAAAUUGUAGCCAUCAUUCAAAUUCGUAAGUUCAUGUUACUGUUUAGUUUUAUGAAGAAUGAGAAAUAUACAUUCUGGAGAUCCACGGAAACAAGGGGUGUCUUGUUGGAGGCAGUUUAUUCCCCAAGGUAGCGUACUGUGCACAAUUUGAAUUGAAAAUUUAAAGUUACCAGCAAGAUUUUCAUAUAGUUCACUCGCCAAAUUAGAACUAAAUGUCACAAGUACCUUUCACUGGUGGUAUCGAGUAAGAAGUUGUUUGCCACCAAAUUCCUUUCAAAAAACAGAAUAUUAGUAUUUAUAUUUUUUCUCAGCGACACAAAUAUCACACUUUUACACUUACAACUGUAAAUUGUUUUGUCUAGCCCAAGAAGGAAUGCUCCCAGUGAGUUGGUUGUACGAAAAAUCUCUGUCAACAUUCCAGAAUUAUGUUAUACAAAAUUAGUGCGUACUAUUAUGAAUGUAGUUUGUGCUAUACUGCCAUGUCAAUUGUAUUUGACAUACAUCACUUUUAAUGAAGAGCUUAUACCAUCCGGCAACUUUCCUGUAAGGCUAUUGUUCCCAAGAAACCUGAAUUGGGCACAGUUCAAGAUUAUAAAAUAUACUCAUCUGCUUAAUACAGGCUCGUAUGAACAAAUUGAUGUAAAGAAAGAAUUUCUUACAAAGAAUUGAGAUUUCCCAAAUUCAAGAUGGAUUGAGGAACUUCUCCUGUGAUAUUGUUAAAACUCAAGUCCCUGUGCCACAUGACUAUCAUAUUACUUGAACAUAUGGUACACAACAUGAGGAAAUGAGUAAUAACGUCAUCAGUUGGCACCAUGGCCUGUAAUUGAAAACUUACAGCAAUUUUAACUGUUUAAACAUGGAAAAUUCUACUGCUCCGAGAUCACUAGAUAUCUUGCAGUUCCUCAAUAUUCUGUAACGAGGAAAUACAACCUUGGUAACUUGCAACUAGACAAUACUGUAAGCUUUAUAGCUAAAAGCAUCACAUACAGUGUGCUCAGGGAUGCCAUAUUACUGAUAAAUGCCAACGGAGAGACCCCAUUUAUAAUAUCUCCAAUCCAUCUGCUCAUUUGAGUUUUUCAUAAAUUAGUUAUCAGCCUUGACAUUGUCAACCUUCAAGAGUUCAUGCCACAAAAAGAGUAUACUUACAAUCUUGUUAAUUUGGUCAGAUUAGACAGACUUUCUGGGACUGGUCCUUCAAAGGAGUUUCCGUGGAAAGCACUACAAGCUCAUUAUUUUAGAAAAAAAGUUAGGGACAUUCAACCUUUAUAAAGUAAGAAAAAAAAUCUCUGUGUGAGCAUUCUUAAUAAGAUCUCUAGGUAUGAACAUGCCAUGUGGACCGCUUACUGUGAUGCAGAUAUCUGCAUUUAUAUUGAGUGAGGACUGAAAUGUGAAAAAAUGCUUUUGUUUAAGUCUGAAUGGAGAUAAUGUGAUAUACAGACAGUAAUUUAUCUUGCACAGAUUCAUCUAUCUCUGAACAGUAAGAACGAAUGAUAUCUUAACAAGCUUACAUGUCUUCCAAAUUAGUCAUUGUGCCCAAAUAAGCAGGUAUUUUCCCUUUGAAUACAUUAUCUGAUGCACUCCUGCAAGCAGACCAAAAUAUCAUUUAGCAUGAAAACAUGACGAAUAUAAUAAUUGAGGCUAUGUUUUUGACUAUACAAGAACUUCAGGUUCUGAAGUUUUGAGAACGAUGAAGGGAACGGACCACUGAAUCCAGAACUAUCAAAGUACCUGUUAUUGAAAGUUUGAAAUAUUAUCAUGUUUGACAAUAGAUAUGACCAUUCCAAAUUUAGUUCUUUUACAAGUAGAAAUAAGAAGUUAGAAAUCAAUGGGGUAUCUUACAAUUGCUGAAGUUUGGUCAAGUUACCCAGUUCUUCUGGAAGACUUCCUGUAAAAUUGUCUGAGCUAAUGCCCCUAAAUGAAAAAUGAAAUAUUUCAGGACUGACAAAAAAUUUUUGUCAUCAACUAAUAGCAAAAGGGGCAUAGUUUUCCUGAUGUGCCAUUGGACCCACAAUAUUCAUCAUUACAAUAUGUUCAAGUAUUUGCUGUUCAAUCUUACUUGAUCAUAUGAAGCACCACAUGAGCAGGAGUUACACUGACAUGCCUAUUACAUCCUAUUUAGUAGUAGUUUUGAUCUUUUUUAUCACUCCCUCCGUCCCAUUAUAAGUGCAACCAUAAGUGUUUCUGUAUCAAACGUUUGACCGUUCGUCUUAUUUGAAAAAAUUAUGAUUGUUUUUAAAAAAAUAAGUCAUGCAUAAACUACUAUUCAUAUUUUAUCAUCUAAUAACAAUUAGAAUACUAUUUAUAAAAAUAUUUCAAAUAAAACGGACGGUCAAAUGUUGAGCACUAAAACCCACAACUGCACUUAUUAUGGGACGGGGGAAGUAGAACUUAUGCGAUUGCUAUUUCAUGUAUUAUUAUAUUAGUUCGUGCAGUCCAAAUAUAUACUCCACUCAUUUCAUAUUAUCUGUCAUUCUACUUUUGUUGUAAGUCAAACAUUAUAUUUCUAACCAUCCAUUUUUACAUAUUUAUAUAGUUUAACAUUUAGAUUCAACAUGAGAAAUAAUUUCAUAAUUUAUAGUUCGUACUCCCUCCGUAAAAAAAAAUACAACUUCUAGCUAACAAUUUACACAUAAGCUAUGCUCAGAUUCGUAGUCAUAAGUUCAACUCUCUCUCUAUAUAUAUGUGCGCGCACGCGCGUGAAAACUGCUAGGAAUUGACAGUUAAAGCUGAAAGGAUGAGUGGUUUGUAGCAGAGGGAGCAGUGGAAGAUUAAUCCACAUGUGAGAAAAGAUUUCUUACAAUGAAAGAAGAUUGGUGAGGUUUCCUAGUUCCUUUGGAAGUAGUCCAGAUAGUGGAUUGAAAGAUAAUGACCUUGAGAUGAUUAGCAAUAAUUAAAAAAAAACAACGACCAAUAGAUGGAACAUGAUCUAGAACAAACAUGUAACUCAUACAAGUAUUGCAUUGAAGUAAAUUUUCCGAUGAACGACGGAAUGGGACCAGUCAAGUAAUUACGGAAUAAGUUCCUGAAAAGAUCACAAAAAUAAACUAGAACAAUUAGCCAACACAAAAAUAAUGAUGAAUACCUGACAAGCAUUUGUUGGUGUUCACAGAAAGAACCAUGGGAUUGAAUUUAUAUUUUGUGCAAACCCUUGAUCUAUAAAUUAUUAGUACAAGACUCUUUAGUAGUGCCACACCCUGAUUUUGUUUCAGGAAUUUAUAAAUUAUUUAAUAAAAUACUUCUAGAAUUUAUAUUAAAGUGUACAUUAAUUAAGAAAAUGAAUUAAAGUGGGAAAUAAAGUUUCCUAAAUAAAACAUUGCUGGAUUUAAUUUUUAUUAUAUUCUCCAUGAUUAGUUUACACUCUCUAGAAUUUUUUCGGAUUUUUCAGAGCUCAAUUACUAAUUUUAACAAUACAAACAUCAAUUCAAUGGUUAUUUAAAUAUAAAAUAAAUUAGAAACCCCUCCAAAGUUCUGGGUCGAAUUGAGCCCAUGUCUCUCUCUCCGCGCUCAGCGCAGCUAGCGCUAGGCCGCUAGCCUAAGUCACCAGCCCACCGCCUCCCUCCUCUCACUCCUGCCAACAUGUGGGAUCUGGUCCCACAUGUUAGUGUUGUCCCCAGCAUCCAGCCAGAAUCACACUGUCUGCGUUCCUCUCCAAAUCCAGCCGCCUCUCUAGAUCUUUUCCAAAAUUAGUUGAGGCCGUUUGUUCCCUAUCUCCUCUUUCCUUUCCCCAUGAAAUCCCCAAAAAUAUCUAAGUAAAUCGUGUGGAAUCGAGCUCGAACUCGGACACUCUCUAUCCGGUAGAACCCUAGUUUUUCCCAGCGCUGCCAUAGCCGUCUUAGGCCCGGAUACAUUAUCUCGUGGCUACAAACAGGAUCCCCCUCCCUCUCCUCUUUCCGCUGCCACCCUCGCCUGCACAAAUCGGAGCCUGUAGCCCUAGCUUCGCCGCUAGCCCAUAGCAUCAGCACUGCUGCCACCUUCCAGUCGGAUCACGUCGUUGCUCUACUCGUCGCCGCUCUACUUGUCGCCUUCGCCCACUGUCACCUUCGCCGGGUGCGCAAGGAGGAGGCGCAUUUCAUCUGCCGGUCCUCCAUCACCCUAUACUGCCAGAACACCGCUAUUGACGAUGACCCGAGCUACACCGUCAUUUCCACCUCGUCGCCUUCACCGUCCGUCGUCGCAACGCCUCUCGAUGAGUUCGGCUCGUCACACUCAACCUCUCGGUACCCUCCGUUCAUGCUGCCGUGCCUGAUUCGCCGGCGAUCUUUGGGUUCCGAGCAGGUCGUCGCCGGUGAGGUGACAUCAUCACCACGCCAUUGCUAUUGUGUUAUCACCAAAAGUUGGUAAGGUUCCUUAGUGGAUUUGGUUGAAGGACAAAUUUGAUCAACCAAUGGAAGUCUAUCCAGAAGAUACCGAAUUCAAAAAGGAUUGUGAAGACCAUGGCAUGGCAUAUUAAUUCUAUCUGUUGAUUUAGUAACUUUCCUUUAAUCUUUAGGAAGUUUUAUCUAAUGUCUGAUUAAGACUUGUAUUUUUUCCUUUUAUGUUUAGCAAACCUAUGUCUUGUCUGAUUAGGACUUGCAUCAACCUGAGGAGAUAAAUAUGUACCACAGGGUCUUUGUAAACUUUCUCCACAUAUUAAUACAAUUACUUUCGGCGCAUUGCAACCUUUUGUUCUAGCAAGUUCUUACUUUGAGUUGGGCUGCAUUGGUUUUGAUCUCCAAUGAGGAAGUAAUUUCUAUCAACUUUUCAUGUAUCGCCGUGGCAAGAACUUUCUCGAUUAAGUCAGGUAUUCUUUUUGGGUUGACGCAAGCAUUACAUAUCCGAUAUAUUGAUUCUAUCUUUAACUGCAUUGCCGUUUAGAGUUGCAUCGACUUAGUUAGGACUUUCUUGGUUAGGUCCGAUAUUCUGAUUUAGUUGAUAUUUCUCUAAUUAUACUAUUGUUUUAGAUAGAUUUGUUAUAUCCAUCACGUCUGUGUAGAUUUAUCGGAUAAAUAGGUUUUUUAGGGGCAAUUGCUUAUUUGACCAUGUUUAAAAGCAUAACUACUAAUUUGACCCUACAAUUUUCAGUUUGCUUAUUUGACCCUGUUCAUCAAAAUCAAAUGAACCGUCUGACCCUGUUCCGUUAAGGCGGGUUAACACUGUUAAAUAAGAGGCAAAUAGUCCCUUUUGCCCUUGCUUAUUUGGCCCUCUUGUAUCCAAACAUUCAUACAAAUGGAUCUUUUAACAAAUCAGAAUCAAUUUGACAAAUUUAAUACACAGUAGCUGGAGGUUGAUGCUGGGUGCCGCCGCCGACCACCCUUUGCACGCCACUGCUCCCCGCGACAGCGCCGCUGCGGACAAACCGAUGCCUCCACAAGCGAAUUAAACGGCCCAUCGAAUGAACUCGCGAGGGAAUUCUUAUACUCUUGCAUGCCCCCUUCACUUGUAGAGAAACGUCUAGGCGCAGCAAAUUAAUCAAGUGCUCUGAUAAUCAAUAUCUCAUCAAGGUUAUCCAAGUAGUAGCCAGAUCAAUAUCUCGAUAAUAAUCCGGAACACGUUCACCAUGGUCGUCGGCGCACCCACCGUGGCGUUCUUCUUGAGAGACCUGAGUAGGUCGUCAACGAAACGCUCCAUCCUCCUCCACUUCUGCCGCGGUCGGCCGCUGAUGCGACACGGGAAUUCCGAGAUACCUACACGCAUCGCGUGAUGCCGCGGCCGCUCCGUCGCGCAAUGGCGUUUGCGCCGACCUCCCUAUCCGUGCGGCAGCCGCCGCUUCCCCAUGCGCUGCCGACGCUGCUGCUCCCUACCUCCACGCAUCGGCGGUGCUGCUAGCCACUCCCUCGACGCACCGCCGCCACCGCAGAUCCAUUUCUCCAUGUGCCGCUUGUAAGAGAUGAGAGAGACAAGGUGGGAUGGAUAGGGUUGAAGUGCCUUGAUGGUAUUUUGGUCAGUUUAAAUAGUAAAUAGAUUUUUUUUCUUUUUCUAGAAGAAACCCUAAUGAUGUAGUGGAAAGAGGGUCAGACGGAGUGUUCAAUUUAAAAAAGUCAAAUAAGCAAACUAAGAAAAACAUAGUCAGAUUAGAAGUUAGGCUUCAAAACAGGGUCAAAUAAGCAAUUAUCCCAUUUUUUAUCAUCUUCAAUCUUAUACUGUCUCGUUUAGGUUUGAUUUAUUAGAUUGUUGCUAAUAUGUAAUUAUAUUCUACUAAGCCGAUAAGUUUUUAUGCAACAUUUUAUUAGAGUUCUAGCCAAUUAGUUAUCUUGUUACUACUUCUAAGUGUUGUAUCGUCUUAUACUCAAACUUGUAUAAUCAAUAGUUAAAUAUCUCUUUAUCAACUUCAAUAUCAUACCGUCUCGAUUAAUUAGGUCUGAUCUAUCAAGAUUAUCUUUGAUUAGGAAUGGUUUAUUGACGAUUGAUGAAAACCUUAUAUACAUCGGCUAGCCUUGCUACAUCACAUCAGCCUAUUGGCUGAUCGGCUCUUUGAUCUUAUACAAUCCAUCUAUCUAUCUUCUUAAUUGUACGAUCAAACUAACCGCCACGCCCUACACCCGAUUGAUACGACGAGCUAUGUGGAUCUCUCAGGCCUUCGUGUGCGACAAAUUUCACGUCAACAUGUUGCCACGUGGUUCCAUCUAAACCCUAGAUUGAAUCGGUUUGAGCCGUCAGAUCUUGGUUAACUCUUGGUUAACUCUUGGUCAAGAUCAAUCUCGGUUGUCCAUCUCAGUGAACAUGUGGUCAAUCUCUGUGGACCUACUCUACGGUGGACUGAUUGCUGAUGACAUCAUAAUUUAUCUUUUUCUUCUUUAAAAUAAUUAUAAAUUAUGUAAUAAAUCUAUUUAAUCCUUUUAAAUAGGCUUUAGUUGAAUUAAAUCUUGUAAAAUUCAUUACUAAUUCAUAUGAAGUCGAAAUGAGGCAGUUCAUAAUUCAUCUAAAAUAAAGCUCUAAAUGUUUGUUUACUUUUUAUGUAUUGUUUAUUUGGUUUUUAUUAGUCUUUUUUCUCGUUUUGCAUGUUAGCUUGUAGUUUCCAUCCUUUUUAUAUAUUGUUUAAUUGAUUAUUGUAAGGCAUGUCACACAUGUCCCAAACAAUCCCUUUGAGCAUGUUGAUAAAAUAUUUAAAUUCUUCUUUUAUUUUAAAUGUGCAUUUAAUUUCGAAUGUCAUUAGGUGGUGGGAACCUUUCCUUUGAAUAGCUAGUUUGUAUUGAUAAUCCUGUUCCUUGAUAUCUUGGGAUAUAAUUUGACUAGCUUGAGCCAUAUAUAUUGGUUCGACUAGAUAUUAGUGUAAUUGCUUAGCCAUGCUAAGAAACAUUAGUAUCAUUUUACAUGCAAUAACUAAUGAUUCACUCAUGAUUAAUGAUGGUUAAUUAAUGGUAUGUUGUGAUGUUUGGUCAUGGUUGAUUAAUAAUAUGCUAACUAAAACUUGACUAAUGGUAGGUUUUGAGCACAUGGAUGUGAUGAUCAUGCUCAUCACAAUUAAGGACCGGUUUUGUAUAGCAUGAUUCAUCAUGGAGCACCACACUAAGAAGUGGUAGAGAUAGGCCCAUGUGGGUCACUGCGGAGUCUAUUCCGGGCUAUGGAAAGACGAUGAUCCGGGAACGGUGAACUACUUUGAGUUGAGCUAUGCGAAGAGUCACAAUUUUGCACGUGGUGACAUAUUAAGCGUGGGCACACGAUAACAUGGUGACAUGUUGUGGAAUUGUCUUGUGGGUAUAUUGGUACACAUCUGACUAGAGUAAAACUUUUCAAAUAGCCAUACAUGCGGUUAUUGGCAAGCCUAGCAAUGUUUUUUUGGUGAUUAGUCACACACUACUCAUUAAUCAUAAAUAAAUUGGUCAUAACAAUUUGUUUGCAUUUUGUAUGGACUUUAGAUCUGUGUAGUCGGGUUUGGUUGUUUAGAGAUGGUUGGGCCUACGCAGCAUAGGUAUGCUAUUCAGAGUUGAUUUUAAAUUGAUUAAUUACUCUCAACUAUUUACUGAAUGUUGCUUUUGCAAAUGAACCCUACUAUACCUUCCUUUGUAUCCCCAUGCACCUGCAUUUUUUCUAUGUGGCUUACGGAGUAUUCUAUUUACUCACCUUGCAAUAAUCAUCAAAUCUCAGUUGAAGAAAGUUUUCGAAGGAGAAGACAUGUGGCUUAUACCUCAGUUGAACUGUCUGUGAGAGUGGAGCUGAAGCUAAUGUUAGAUUGUUUGUUACCUGUUGUUUUCUUUUCAUUUAUAAGUAAUAUCUAACGUAAUUAUAAUAUUGGAUCUGUAUAUUCAAUUGUCAAUUUUAGUAUCUCAGCUAAUUAGUAGAUGAGUGUAUUAUAUGCACAACUUAGUUCGGAAAUUACUAGUGAAUUUCCGAAUGUGACAGGUAGCAAGAUAAAUUAAGAAGAGAAGUCUUCGAUACCGUACAGGUCCACUAGAUGGGUGAGAUUCUGUAGCUCCGCAGGUAUUUGACCAACUACAUCCAAAUAAGUUACCCUCCUACAUAACAAACAAGUAAUAAUUCUGAUAAGAGAACUAUGUUCAGGAUACAUAUAUACAGCCGGAGGACCAAAUGAAUACCUCCGUUUGGGUCCAGCAGAUAUGUACAAUUUUUCUUUAGGGAAGAUCUGUACCAAAUUUAGGAUAGACUUUUCUGAUUCCUCUAUAUGCAGCCUUGGAGAUACUAAUUAAUAUCAAUAAUCUGGUGUGUGUCUAUAUAUAUAUACACAUAUAUAUGUAUGUAUGUGUGUGUGUGUCUAUAUAUAUAUAUAUAUAUAUAUAUAUAUAUAUAUAUAUAUAUAUAUAUAUAUAUAUAUAUAUAUAUAUAUAUAUAUAUAUAUAUAUAUAUAUAUAUAUAUAUAUAUAUAUAUAUCUUAAUUUGCAUACUUGCAUAUACGUGUAUAUGGGCUAGCACACACGAUGAAACCACGAUAAAGAUAAAGAGAGUGUGCGUACAGUCUCGUAAUGUGGCAGAGGGUGUUGUUGUUGAAUGUGCAAUCGCACUUGAUGAACGGGUUGAUGUCGCGGUAGUUAUCCCAAUCGGUUUUAUCAGCUGCGAAACCGCUGCAGAGCUCACCGCUGAUGUUCCACUCCGGUGAUGCCUUCUUGCCCCAUCUCCCUAGUAUCGUGUUCAGAGCAGCCGCUGCAUGGUUAAUUUAUUAACUCACCAUUAGUAAUCAUGCGGAUGAAAGCUACGCAAUAGUGAAAUCAGACUUCAUGAAACUCACGGGUUGCUGCGUAAGUUUUAUACAGUAAUAAUAGAAAUAACAUAUAAUCAGUAGGCAUAACAUUAUAUAAUUUCAUCUUUAUCGACUGCAGAAAAAAAACUAUAUACAAUUAGGAUGUUAUUUAUAAUAAUUUAAACUAGAUUGGCCAUUUAAAAUCACAACAAUAGUGAUGUGGCUAAGUACAUCAUCUUAAAUAUAAAACAAAGGUGAUACGGCUUAAUAACAAAAGAAAACGUGAGAGAUAAUUUGAACAAUAUACCUAUCUCAACUAUCAUAGGGAUAAAGAAACAAUUUAGAUGAUGUGGCUUAAUAAGAAAAGAUAUAAAUAGCAUUAAUAACCACUGUAGAAAUGAACUUUAUAUAAAUAUAUAGGAUUUCUCUAACUCUUUGGUUUCAACGCGGCAAGAGCGGACACACUAUCAAAGUUAUUAUCAACCACAAAUUAGUACUCCUGCGAUCAAAGUACAUGGAGGGAAACCAAACAAGAGAGACAUGCAUGCGUGGAAGCCUGCCAAUGGUUUGAAAUCCAAUCCACAACCAGCCCAAACCAAAGCAGUAAGCUACACAAGUCCAAACCACUCUAAUUCAUUUGUCUUCUCUUAGAAUCCAAACCAAUCCAACCCAUAUCAUAUUUCAACCCAAAUCAACCCAACCCAUUUCAUCUAUAUGGAUUCAGUUCACUUUUCCAGUCCAUUUCACCCCAUUCCAAAUCGACACCAACCACAUGUCGGCGACGAGGUGGGCGAGGAGCAUCGGCGGCGAGCCGAGGAAGUCGCAGCGCGACUCCGAGCAGGAGCAGGGCGCGUGCGGGCAGGCGCGCUGGUGGCCGGCGACGUCGUAAUAGGCGACGUAGCUCCAGCAGCCGAACAGGUCGUUGGGGCACAGGAUCUUGGCGGCGCCGCCGCACGCGUGGCACUGCUUGCCGGGACGUCGCCAUGGCAGCUGCUGCACGCCAAGUGCCCCGCCGCGGACUGCACGCCAAGAAAUUGCCACUAGCCGAGCCCUCACGAAUCGAAUGAAAGAACAACAACAAGAAGAAGAAUGUCAGAUGGAUUGGAUGAACAGCUAGGAAGGAGGCAGAUAGGGCAACGGAGCACGGCCAAGUCGAUCCGCUUUUCUUCUUCUUCUCCGGCUCCGGCUGCAGCUCCCUCGCCGCGCGCCGCUUCCACCGCCUUUUCUCGCUUCACUUGGCCGUUGGGCGACACCACCCACGCCGCCUUCUUGGCGCCGCUCUGCUCGUCGUGCUGCCUGUACGCCGCACUGUUCGCGCUCAACUUGGCCACGUGGUUCGGCGACGGCGUGGACGGCGAGCUCGUCGGCGCCAUGCGCGCCGUGCAGCAGGAGUUCCCUCCGCUUCCUCCCCCGCGCCCGCGUCUUCUCCACCUUCCAGAAGGCGGCGGGCGGCGGCGGCGGAAGCUCUCCGACGGCGAACCUAGUGCGGCGGCCGGACAUCCAAACGCGGCUGCGCGGCGAGGUCGAGGCGGCCGAGGGCGGUGGUGAUGGAGUGCCUCUGUGUCUGAGACGACAUCAUCUGCUAUUUGGGGAUGAAUCCAAUUGAAAUCCAUGGACUCCAUCCAUUUUAGACCCAAAAAUUAUGACUAAAAACCAAUCCAAUCCAACCCAACCAUCCCUCAUCCAAGCUGCUCCAAUCCAUUAGUUAUCUCAACCCGUUUACACCCAUACCAAGUGAAUCCAAAUUGAAAACCAAUCCAUUAGACCCAUUCCAAUCCAACCCAUUGGCAGGCUACAUAUACGUACGCGUGCAUUCUUAAUUACCUUCGACUGGAUCAGUUUUUGGUGCUUGUUGAUCCUGAGCAGCUGCAACCCGCCAUGAGCACAAAAUUAGCACCAGCCACGCCAGAUGGUGGCGAAUGACACCUCUGAUGCUGCAAGAACGCAUAUCUCUCCCUCUCUCUCUCUCUAUCUAAACAACACUGUGUGCAUGCCAAAGAGAUGUAUAUCUGUAGGUAUAUAUGUACGUGCCACUAAACAUUAAAAAAUUUGGUCAAAUGUGUACUCAGCUUCAACAACGACCCUCGUGCUUUGGUUAAUCUUAUCCGUCAUGGUUGAUAACGAUAUGGAUUACUCUAUCCGUCCCAAAAAACUCAACUUAUAGAGUUUAAAUUUAUCCAAAAAAAAAAUCAACUUCUACCACUUUACCUACCUCCUCUAGCAUAUAAAAUGAGAAGUUUUAUCUCUUAAAUAUCAUUUACCUACUUAUCACCAUUACUACCUUUACUACUAUUGAUGAGGGUUAUUUUUGUCAUUUUUACUCCUCACUAAAUUUGUUUUGGGAUGCUAGGAAUCUCACUAAAUUUAUUUUGGGAUGCUAGGAAUCCUCUUUUAGCAAGCAAGUGUUUUGGUCAAAUUAAAGAUGACAUUAACAAGAGCAUGAGGAUGACCAACUAGUGUAUGCCCGGUGAGUUCUUAAUUAAAGAUUAGUUAUUUUUCAUAUAUAUCUAAAUUCAAGAAAACAGCUUGAAAAAUUCUUUUUAGUUUUUGCACUUUGCGUCCUUUUAUUCAGUUUUACUUCGUUAAAGUUUUGUCCCAUAUGAGUACUUGUUUAAUGCUAUCUUAGGUUACGUUCAGCGACAAUACACAGAGAGAAAAAUUACCUUCUCUUUCAAAAGCAUACGCUUACCGAAAUACUAGACAAUAUUUUUUUACAAAAGAAAUUACAAAAAGUUGUAUUUUUAAUUUUUAAGUUUAAAAUAAUUAAUAUUAAUUAUCUUAUUUUGUGAGUAUGUUUUAAUUUUUUUUUCUUUCGUCAACUCUCAAUCAUAAUGUUAAAAAAAACUCUCAACUAGUAUGUUUUAAAGUUUUAUGGUGUUAGUCGUGUCAAAAACAUUGACUUGUCCACCCGCCGUUGUUUUGACUGCCUGCCGCGGGAAGGGAAAAACUUGCCGUGGAAAUCUGAUGCUGCCACGGCAUCCUUUGCGUCAGGACGGCGUUCCCCGUUCUUCAAUUUUUUGUCGAUCAGCUCUGUUGAAUCGUAUGAUUCAUAUGCUAGCUGUGUCUAUAGGAUUUGGUGCUUGCAGAAUGUAUUCUUUUCACCAAAGUGCAUAUACACACACCUAGUUGCAUACAUGCAAUCUAGAUAGCUAUAUAAAAUUUUUAAAAUUUUCACAAAACGAGUCCUCCUGGUAGAUAUGUGAGCGUUUGCACGAUUGUGUUGUGUGUGCGUUAGACUUGUACUGACAAAAAAAAAGAAAUAUUAAAUUGAUAAGAUAGAUCAUGAAGAUGUAAAUUACUAAACAAAUAGAUCUAAACUUAGUCUAUACUCACUACUGCAGAAAAACCCAUAGAGGUGCACCCUUUUUUAUUUUUAUAGGUGCUAAAAAAACAUGAAAAAAUAUUUGGUAUUUUUAUUACUUCCCUAUAACGUCACACUUCGCUUCCCACAUAUCACAUGAUUUUUGCAACCCAUAUUCAUAGACAUGCUUCUAAAGAUUCUUACCAUGCUAUUGUUUUGUGAUUAUUGUUAUCCAAAUUUAUAAUGCUCAACUGAAAAUUUUAGCGACUACAAAAUUGUAGACGUCAUCUAUACCUACAACGUUCAUAUAUGUUUUGUCUCCAUCCGAGAUCAUUUAGAAAUUUUAAAUAUUCACUUAUGUAAAUAGAUCUGAAACAUUAUAACACAUUUUCGGACAUCAGAAAAACAUUAAAUAAAAAAUUCAUCACCUACAAAGUUAUAUGUCUCGUCAACUACAAAUUUGAUAUAAAGUUUAUCUUCAUCCAACUUUAUAUGAAAAUGUUAGAUAGAAAAUAUUGUGUCAUUAUUGGUGCCGAUUUUAGUUGUAAACCAACAUCUAUGAGCUCAUAAGUACUAGUUUUUAUUAAGAAUCAACACAUAUAUGAUGCCUAUAAGUAUAGUUUUUAUUAAGAACCAACACAUAUAUGAUGCCUAUAAGUAACGGUUCAUGAUAAAAACCAGUACAUAUGCUUAUAGAGGUGCCAUUUUAUUAUAAGAAUCAUCGACACCUAUGUGUUGUUUAUAGGUAUGUACCAGUUUGUUAUAGCCUGAUAGAAACCGACACCUAUGAUUUGAUAGAUUAUUGGUGCUGACUUUUGUUACAAACCAAUACCAAUAAGUGAUUAUAAGUACCGGUUCUUAAUUUUAUACUGGAAAAAGGUGGAGAAAGCUUCAUAGGCGCCAGUUUUAGGCAAACCGUCAUAUGUAAGUCCAGUCUUUAUGUGCUGUUUUAUAAUAGUGGCUGGAUAAAUAUAAAUAGCUAGCAAACUGUAUUGAUGUGCACUUAUUCAUAGUUGUAGCAUUUUAUUAUUUUAGAAUGUUCAGGCAUAUGGCUGUGUUCGUUGGGUAGGUUGGGAACUCAUUCCCUCCACACGGAAAACGGAGCGGUCCACUAGCGUGUGAUUAAUUAAGUAUUAGCUAUUUUUUUAAAAUAAAUAGAUCAAUAUGAUUUUUUAAACAACAUUCAUAUAGAAGCUUUUUUCAAAAAAAACACACCGUUUAGCAGUUUGAAAAAUGUGCACGUGGAACACAAGGAAGAGGGGUUAGGAACCCUGAGGAAAUAACACAGCCUAUAGAAUACAUGAGAAAGUCCAGAGCAAGUAACCAGCUAAACUAUUAAAAACAAUUAACUUUACUCCCUAAUGGCAUUUGUAUGUUUUUUUCUCCUUAGGCACUAAAAUUUAGGACUAUCAUAUAUGUAUUACAACUUAUAUCUUAAUAUUCUCAAUAUUUUUUUAGAUUUUUUUAUAGUUAUUUACAUAGGUUAGAAGCAUUUAAGACUGAAUCAAAUAUCAAGAUCUCAAAGUUAAGCAAACACUUCUGAAAAUAUUGAAAAUAUUUUCGAACUUUGAUAAUGGUGUAUCUAUGGCUAUAAAAAGUGCAACUUAAAAUAUAGAGCUUAUAUAAAGAAGAAAAAAAAGGUGAAAUGUCACCCGAGUACCAUUUUCAAUAUGCUUUAUGGAGUCAAAUGAGUAAAGAAAAGGUUUAGGGGUUGAUCUAAUGAAAUAGUUUGAGAGAUUAAAAAUUUAGUCUUGAAUGUUUCUAUAUAUAAUUAAUCUAAACUUAUUAUUAUACCACAAUCAGUAUUACUAUUUUGCAAACUUUACGCAACUUAUUUGUUAGGUGCACGCCUGGGUGGAGCACCUAUGCUGUGAUGUCACGCCCAUAAAUUCACAAGUAAUUUCCAAACUAAUUUGUGCAUUAAAACCCUCGUCCAGGAAUCAGCCGAGGUACACAAACUGACAAUUUAAUAUACAAAUUCAUCAAAAUAACUAAAACGAUAAAUACUUACAUAAGAGGCACUUAGUCCUCACCAUGAAGAAAACUGCAGCGGAAAGUAAAAUCUAGCGAAGCUUCAGCUCCACUCCCACAGGCAGCUCAACUGGGAUCUAAGCCAAAGGUCUUCUCAUUCUGGAUCCUUUUCUUCAACUGAGGUUUGAUGAUUAUUGCAAGAAUGAGCAUAUGACAUACUCAACAAGCCACACAGCAAAUAUGCAAGUGCACAAGGAUACCAAAGGAUGGCAUAAUAUAGGGUUCAUUUACGAAAGCAGCAUUUAGCAAAGAGUUGAGAAUUUGUAAAACAGUAGAGUAAUUAAUCAUCAAUAUUAAUCAACACUGAAUAGCACACCCAUACUGCUCAGGCCCAACCAAACCUGAACAACCAACCCCGGUCGUACAGAUCAAACCUCCAAACCAGGAAUUAUCCAUUCCAAACCAUAAGUCAAAUUAAUUAUCACAUUAUUAUCAUUAAUGAGUAGUGUGGGACUAAUCACGAAAAACAUUGUUAGACCCGCCCAUAACCACGGGCACGGCUAUUCGAAUAGUUUUACUCUGGCCAGAGAUGUACCACUGUACCCACAAGACACGAUUCCACACAUGCUGCCAUGCCCCGAAGUACCACCACGGCACUGCUAAGGGGGAAAUCGUGACAGUACCCUUCACACAACACAACUCACCACAGUGUACUAUUUCUGGAUCAUAAUCACCCCCUCAAUAACCAGAGGCAUGGACUCCCCAGCGACCCCCCACGGACUUCUCGCCGCUUCACAGUCUGGCACACCAUAAUGAAUCAUGCUAUACAAAAGAUAAAGUCGUUGCCCACGCUGGCUUGUGGUUGGCAUGAUUAAUGUCUCACAACAGUAGCUCGCGAACCGGUCCUUAAUUGUCAUGAGCACGACCUUCAAAACCAUGUGCUCACAACCCACCAUUAAUCAUAUUUUAAUUAUCAAUUAAUUAUCAUAACACGUUUGACCAUCGUGAGCUACCAUUAACUAUAACCAUAAAUAAUAAUGUAGUAUAUAUGAUUCAUCCCAUUAAUGAGCUAAUGUUUCUAAGCAUGGCUAAGCAAUUAUAUAUAUAUAUAGCAUUUAGCUGAACCAAACCAAUAUAUAAGGUUCAAGCUAAUCAAUUUAUUAUCCAUAGGAAAUUAAAGUCAUCUUUGGCCAUAAUCAAAUGGGAAGGCUCGCCACCCAAUGACAUUCUAAAGUAAUGCAUAAGUUGAAAUAAAACAAUAGCUUUAAAUGGGUUCAACAUGCUCAAAGGAUUGUUUGGGAUCUGUGUGACUUGCCUUGCAAACAAGCGUCUUCAAUUCGUCUUCAGGAAUUUCUCCAACGAACGAACGAUCCUCCGAAACAACGGAAAACUAAACCUAGAACGCAAAACAAGGAAAGAAACUAAUAAAAACCAAAUAAACAGUACAAUUAAAGUUCAUAAAUAGGUAGAGCUUGAAUUUAGAUGAAUUAUGAGACUUGAACGACCUCAUUCCGAGUUCGUAUGAAUUAGAUAUGAAUUUUACAAGAUUUAAUUCCAAUUAAACCUAUUAAAGAAAAGACUAUUCCAAAUUGAUUAAACAAUUUACAAAUGACUUAUAGCUGAGACAAAAGAUUAAAACAUCCUCCGGAAAUAGAUUAGAUCAUAUUUGGUAGAUGACAUAUAUUAAAAAGGAAUAAUAUGCCAUUGAAAAGAAAGAACGGAUUUAUAUCGAUUUUGGACGGCUGAGAUUAAUCUCGACCGAGUCGACCAAGAUCGGAUGGCUUGGAUUGACACACGGCAGCGGCACAACAGCGGUUGCGGUGGCACACAUACAGCAGCAGCGCGACGGCGACGUACAGCGGCUAAACAGCGACACGGCGGCAACAAGGCAGCUAGCGCAGCGGCGACGCUAGGGCAGCAGCUAGUGACACAGCAACGGCUACGCUAGGGUUAGAGCAACAGCGGCGGUGACACGACCGAGGGAUUGAAACCUAACCCGAGGGGACACGGAUAGAAGUCUCACCGAACCAAAGCGACCGGAGAGGGAGGGUCGACGAUGACGAUCCGGCGACACACACGGAAACGAUGACGACGCUAGGGCCAAACAACAGAUUAGAUUAGAUUAGAUUAGAUUAAAUCCCUAGGGAUAAACUACACCGGUAAAUGACAUGGGAGAGAGGAGAGCUCACCGGAGAAGACGACGGCGACGACCAAGACGACGACGGCGACGACCAAGAUGACGACGGCGACGGGUGACGGCUAGCGGCAGCGGCGAGCUAGGGCAGCGGCGGCUAGGGUAUUGGAGAAGGCGGCUAAACAGGAGGAGGAGGAGGCUAGGGGCGGCUGAAAAAAAACAGGAAAAAGAUGGGGAGGGGUUGGUUUAAAUAGGGGAAGAUUGAAUAGGAUUAGGUGGGGCCAAAGGAGGCACGGCAGAGGGGGAGAGGGAGGGACUCGGAGGGGAGAGGGCAGGGGAGGCGUGCGCGGCUGGGAGAGAGGAGAGGCGCACGGCUGGGAGGAGGCCGAGAGGGGGAGGGGAAAAAGAUACGGGAGGAGGGGUUGCCUAGAAAGGAAAGGAGGGGGAAACAGAUGCGGUGCCGUUUUGGGAAAAGAAGAGGAAACGGAACCAGAAAGAGAAUAGGACUCGGCUCGUCAUACAAAAUGAAACCGCGGUGGCAAAAGAGGUCGGUGGAUACAACGAACCGCAGACAGGGAGAGUGAACCGGGAAUGAUUCACAACCAAAGGAGGAAAAAGAAAGAAUUAUUAAUUACUUUUCUAAUUAAAUUAAUCACUGAAUGAUCUUUCAUUUAUUAAAAAUACUUCCUAUCCUGAAAUAAUUCUGGGAAAAAUCCAGAAAAUACUUGGACAUUAAAAAUAUUUAAUACAAUUUUAUCUAUAUCAACUUAAUGUUCAAAAUUUUCAUAGAUUUUAUUCACACACUUACUUUAAUUAUUAAGUAAUUUCUAAAAAUUCCUUUUUCACAACGAUUUAUAAUUUAGCGAUUUUCAGGGUGUGACAUGUGAUAUCUCGCAGCACCUAUCAUAAACAGUUGAGCAAAUCGGUCGAUCUGCAUUAUCCUUUAGUUUGUGCCACAGCCAACAGGGAAAGCGGUGGUAAACCAUUUGCAUGACAAGUGGAACUGUGGACCAGUCUAUUUUUUUCUUACCCAAAAUUUUUACUUCAAAAAUAAAAAGUUUGACCCAAGCCCGUACACUUGUGAAAAAUGGACAUGUGAAGUGACAGAUCGCUUCGCUUAUCCUAACACUACUGGAGAAACCCUCAAACCGGGAGAGAAUCCGAGACUAAAUAUGUGUGUGUAUGUAUGUACGUACAUACGUACGUACGUAUGCAUGCAUGUAUGUGUGUGUUUAAAUACAUAUUAUAUGGAUGUAUCUACACAGCUAGUGGUAGCUGGUUUGUCUAAAACAGCUACCACUCUAUCUAUAAUAGGGACCAUCCACCUAUACUUCAAAUACAAUUUUCUCUUAAACUACUCAUCCGAUUUUCGAUCCGAUUACACCGUUGUGUUCACAACAAUUAAAUCUUUACAACAAGAUCUCACAUGAUUAUAUUUUGAUGAAAAAUCACAAAUUACUUUUAUGAUAUGUCUAAAUUACUUUUAGAUUUCACUAAGUUACUUCUUAAAUAUAAAAAAGUAAUUUACAUAUAUUAUAGAAGUAACUUAGAACAAAACGAAGGUAACUUUAGCAUGUCAUUUGAAGUAAAUCCGUUUUAGAGAUAAAAACAUGACUCUAUCUAGAAAUUAAAUUAAUCAGCACAAAUUAUGGAAUUAACUAAAAAAAUAAUAAAAGUAAUCACCUCAGAGCAUUAUGAAUGUAUAGGAAGUAUUUUAAUAAAAUCUGAAAGUAAAUUAUAUAUAUAUAUAUAUAUAUAUAUAUAUAUAUUGAAUCUAUUCUACACCCUCUCCCAUGGGUCAAACCCACCACCCCACCCUCCCUUGGGCCCAAAACCCCUCUCCCACCUCGGUCAAAGCGUCCUCCCGCCGGUCAAACCCGCUCACCACUCCUUCCCCCACCCACCACUUUGCUGCUCUCGUCUUGCAGGAAUUGUGCAAUAACAGAACGGUCAUCGUGCAGUAACAAGACAAUAUUAUCGCAGUAACAACGUCAAAAAGUAGUCAUGAUGGAUCUAGUUUCGUUAAGCGUUUUUUUAUGAACUUCAUGUUGCAAACGGAUUGGAAAUACAAGAUAUGAUGUGAGAGAUAUUGCUCUCUAAUGAUUGAGAUUUAUCUCUUUUUUAGUCCUUGUCUCACAGGAACAGCGUAGUAACACGAUGGGCAAUAUGCAGUAACAUGUCUGCUUUUCGUAGUAACAACGUUAAAAAAUAGUUAUGAUGGUUCUAGUUUCGUUAAGCACUUUUUUUUUACGAACGCCAUGAUGCAAAUGGGUUAGAAAAAUAAGACAUGACAUGCACGUUAUUACUCUCUAAAGAUUGAGAUUUAAAAUACUCUAGAUCUAAAAAACAUUACUAUAGGGCCACUGUUACUAUGCAUGUUCUCUUUUACUGUAAAUUUCGUCAUAUUGUUAUUGCAAAAAGUGCAGUAACAACCUAUAAAGUUUGCAGUAACAACCUAUACAUUUUUGCAGUAACAUCAUACCCUUCUGAGAUAAUGUUACUACCGAAUCAUAGUAACAAGGUAUGAUUGUCACAGGUACAUAAUUGAUUUGUUCACAAAUCAUCAUAUGGUUAUUUGGUUAGAAGUGCUCGCCAUGAACCAUGAGAUCAUAGGUUCAAGUCUUGAAUCCACUAAUUUAUUUUUAUUUUUUCUAAAAAAGACAGAAGAAGGAGGGAGAGAAGAAAAAAAGAAGAAAAGGAGAGAUUGGGGGGGGGUGGGGGGGAUGAGAGAUCGAGACUUCGGGAGGAGGGGGAGGAGCGACAGGAGGGAGAGAGGAAGGGGCGCGACGGGAGGGAGAGAGGAAGGGGCGCGGGAGGGAGGGAGGGAGGUGGGGACGGAUGGAAGGUGGGAGGGGGGUGUAGAAUAGUUAUUCUAAGGGAGGGGUGUAUAAUAGAGCUACUCGUAUAUGUAUGUAUGUAUGUACAUAUAUGUAUACAUAUAUAUACAUACAUGUAUACAUAUAUACAUACAUACAUAUAUACAUACACACACACACACACACACACACACACACACACACAUAUAUAUAUAUAUAUAUAUAUAUAUAUAUAUAUAUAUAUAUAUAUAGAGAGAGAGAGAGAGAGAAAAACUAUUCUACACCUGGGUAUAGAUUAGCUAUUCUAUACCCCCUCCUCUCCCAAGGGCCAAACCCACCUCCCACCUCAGUCAAAGGUCGGUUAAAAGCAUCCCACGUUAGUCAAACCACGGUCAAACCACCUGCUAACUCCUCCCACCACCCACCUCUUCUCAGCUUUGUCUCGCGGAACGAUGCAGUAACGCGACGGUCAACGUGCAGUAACACUACGUCUUAUGCAUAGUAACAGCGCUCAAAUAUUGUUAAAAUAUAGUCAUGAUGGAUCUAGUUUUGAUAAGCGUUUUUUUCUAGCAUCAUGGUGCAAACGAUUUUAAAAAAUAGUACAUCAUGUGAGAGAUAAUGUUCUUCAAAUGUUGGCUUUUCUAGAAUUUGACUCUCCACAAGUAGUAAUGCUAUAACAUUACUUGUUACUAUUGUCAGUUGCACGUUACUACAAUCCCAUCGCAUCGUUACUUUAAGAGUGCAGUAAAAAUUAUAAGUUUUUGCAGUAACUGUGUUUUACUACAUUUUUUCGAUAGUGUUACUGCAUAAACAUAUGGUAACGUGUACCUGCCUUUGUAGUAACAUUCCACUUUUGUGUAGUAACAAAUAUAUUUAGCAUGUGAGACAUUAACCCAUAUAUCCUUCACAUGCAGUAACACUAUAGCAUCCCUGUGAAAACGGUUUUAAAAAUAAUACAUAUCUUGUGAGAUAUUGCUUUUUAAAUAUUGGUAUUUUGAACUUUAACACUCCAUAUGCAGUAAUAGAAUAUGUAAUUUGCAGUAACAUGGGUAUAUACAUGCAGUAACAUGGUUUUACCAAAUGUAUAAAAUUGUUCAAAACACUUGUACAUCAAUCAGACCUCACUCAAAGCCACCUACAAACUUUACCUAUAGCCCACCUAUUCGAUCUUCAUCUCGUAAAACUGACGUAGUAAAAUUACGAUUAUCGUGCAGUAACAUAACUACUUGGAAGUGGUAACAUGCACCUAUUAUGUAGUAACACUUCUACUUUUGUGCAGUAACAAAUAUAUGGCUAGCAUGUGAGGCUUUAACCCAUAUAUUUUUGUUUUGAUUCCUGGUCUACUACAAUUUUACUACGACGUUACUACCAAAAGUGCAGUAACGUCCUAUGUGUUCUACAGUAACGUCACGUGUUACUAUACUUUUACAACAAUGUUACUACUGGAGCAUAGUAACAUGUUAUGAGUUUCGGUAGUGAAAGAUAUUAGAAUUAAUAAUCAUAUUACUUUCUCAUAAAAUUCUUAAAACAAAUAGCAUCAUUAGAUGAAUUGGUUAGAAGAAUGUGCUUUGAACUACGAGGUCAUGGGUUCAAGUCUUGAAUUUAGCAAUUUAUUUUUAAUUUUUCUAGAAAAGAGAAAAAAUAUUUCAGGGAGAAAAAAACGGAAAAGAAAAAGAAAGAGAGAGAGAUGGGAGGAGGGAGGGGGAGCGACGGGAGGGGGAGGGGAAGCGAAAAACAGGAAAAGAAAGAGAGAGAGAUGGGAGGAGGGAGGGGAAGCGAAAAACAGAAAAAAUUUUCUAGAAAAGAGAAAAAAUAUUUCAGGGAGAAAAAAAACGGAAAAGAAAAAGAAAGAGAGAGAGAUGGGAGGAGGGUGGGGGAAGGGAAGCGAAAAACAGGAAAAGAAAAAGAAAGAGAGAGAGAUGGGAGGAGGGAGGGGGAGGGGAAGCGAAAAACAGGAAAAGAAAAAGAAAGAGAGAGAGAUGGGAGGAGGGAGGGGAAGCGAAAAACAGAAAAAAUUUUCUAGAAAAGAGAAAAAAUAUUUCAGGGAGAAAAAAAAGGAAAAGAAAAAGAAAGAGAGAGAGAUGGGAGGAGGGAGGGGGAGGGGAAGCGAAAAACAGAAAAAAGAAAGAUCAGGAGGGAGGGGGAGCGAUGGGAUGGGGAGGAGAGGGGGGAACAGGAGGGAGGGGGUGUAGAAUAGUCUUAUACAUAUAUAUAUAUAUAUAUAUACACGUAUAUAUAUAUACAUGUAUAAAUGUAUACGUAUACAUAUAAAUGUAUUUGGGGGUGUAGAAUAGUCUUAUACAUAUAUAUAUAUAUAUAUAUAUAUAUAUAUGUAUAUAUAUAUAUAUGCAUGUAUACAAAUACAUUUAUAUGUAUACGUAUACAUUUAUACAUGUAUAUAUAUAUAUACGUAUAUAUGUAUAUAUAUAUAUAUAUAUAUAUAUAUAUAUAUAUAUAUAUGUAUAUAUAUAUAUAUAUAUAUAUAUAUAUAUAUAUAUAUGAGUUGGAUAAUAUGAACCAAGGUUCAUAUGCACCUCAAUCCCCGGAGUGACACGUGUACACAACCCCCCAUGCAUCCGCAGUCCCCAUGCUUGCUGAUCAGCAUGGAAGUUGUACCUGCCUUGUUUGAGCUGCUAUAUAGGCCAUGCAUUCAGCUGUUGGCUAGGUACAUGUUACUAUGUUAGGUUGUCCGUUUUACCCCUCUCAUGUACGUGUGAUUCAGUAAGAAAAAAAUGAAUGCACAUACUAGUAGCAAUCUUUGUCCGCGCAUGGUGGCCAACUAGCCAUAGCUCAGUUGGUUCAACAGGCCUUCAUACCAAAAAUAUAUUCCUAAUCUCCACUUUGCAAGUGUACUUUCUCAUUAUUCAAUCUCGUUUUUAUUUACCAAUAAUCCCCAAUAAGAUUGGACUUUGGGUGCAGCUAGCAGAUUGAAUUUAGAACAUAAAAUUAUUGUUAUUUUACAAAAUAAAAUUAUUAUUUUUAUCCCAAAAUAUAAGAGAUUUUACCUAUAUAGUUACAUAUGAAAAAAAAUAUAAAACAUAUUUCCGUGUAGUAAUAUGGAUCAAAUCCUUAUAUUUGGAUAUGGAGGUAGCUCAUAUAGUUACAUGAGUAAAAUUCUUUACAUUUUGGUGGUAUGUACUUUUAAUUUAUAAUUUACUCUCGCCAUUCUAAAACAUAAGACACAAUAACUGCUUAAAGAGAAAAAUAAAAUUAUUAUCACAUUCUAGUUUAGAUCAUCGUAAUAAAUACAAUGUAUAUACCCAAUAAGAUUAUGGAUUUUGAGAGUGGAGGAUUUAAGAAAACAAAUUUUAAAAAAAAAUGUACGAAAAGCCAAAUUGUGGUCCUUAUUGUUUGACUAGGCAUGACACUAAAAAUAUUAUUUCCAAAAUAUAACAACAUUUAUCUCUUAGAAUUUAUUUUAAAAUAUAAUAAUUUCUCCACCUACAUUAUUUUCCCAACCAAUCACAACCCUUUACCAUUUACUUUUUUCACCAAUCAUAUCCUCUCCACAUUUAAUCCUACCUACUUUCUUAAUAAUUAUGUCCAACUUUAAAAAUUUUUAUAUACUUACGAACAUCAUUUGUAACUUUUUACUCAUUUGUAAAAAUGUGCUCUCAUUUGUUGCGUAUGGUUGCAGUGAACUCAUCAGAGGGGGGAAUAAAUGGCUGAAAAAAUGUGUUGUCACAUCGCUUUAAAAGAGAUGAGCAGCUGCAAGGGGCGUCUCGGGCGAAGGGUGCAAGGCGAAGACUAUCUGCCGAAGGAAGACGACUUCGCCAUAGCAAGUUCGCCCCCGCAAGGGCCAAGGAAGCCUUUCCAGCCCAUCAAGCCUAAGGGCCGGCGAUCGCUAGACGGCCCAUUAGGGGCCCAUGAGACCCUAUAACAUUAUGUACCCCUGUAAAUGUCCCUUUCAUAAGGGUAAUUAUAUAAAUUCCCCUGUACAACCUAGAUCCUAGUAGAAAGAGCCUGCAAUAGGGCUAUAAAUAGCCCCCUAGGGCUAUGUAACGGGGGAUCCCAAGUGAAAUUAAAAAUUUAGUACACUUCAUUUUCCCAACCACUGUUGAGUAACCACGUCCUUCGACGUAUACAGUUGUUGUUUCGACAACAGCUGGCGCCGACCGUGGGGACUCCGAGCGAAACCACUGAGAGCGAAUGCCACGAAGAGGGUCGUGAAGGAGAAGGUUGUCAGGCGGAAGGAGAGCGACGCCGGACCGGACAUGGCCGCCGAGGAAGGAGCAGAGCCUUCGGCGUCUGUGGCCGAAGAUGGAGAAGGACAAGCGCCAUCACAGCCGCCUUCGGCCCCCGCGCCAUCACAACCGUCUUCGGCCUCCGCAACCUCAGUGCAAGUGCCGAACAAGGCCGACGUGGCGAAGGCGGCUGCGGCGGCAAGGGCACUCCAGACCAGGGCAGAGAUCCUUUCGACAAACCAACUGGUGGUGCCUCAAGCCGCCCCAUCACAGCCGGCGGCACCAACUGCGCUCGCCGUUGUAUAGGCCCAAAUCAGCCUGGACCCCGAAGCGCAAGCCGAAGCCGACAUGGAAGCCAUGCGGCAGAAUAUGACACGGCUCCAAGACAUGCUUCGCCAAAUGCAAGAACAACAACAAGCAUACGAGGCGACAAGGCCGACCAAGGCCACGUCGGCUCCAAUCCUUCAGUAUUCGGCAGGCUAUGCCCCACCUCAAGUCCGGCCGCAAGUGGUGACCUAGCCCUCUCCGCCACUAGCCGCACAGCCGCCGGUGUACUUCGCCGGGCAGCAUCAACCACCUGGCCAAGCGCCACAACCAGUGGUGGAAUGGGCUUCGGCUCUGCAGGCGCAACUCCAAGCUUUCCUUUAGCAACUCAACCAACCCCACUACAUUUCAAGCACAACCCCAUCGGCUCACCCGGUAGGGAAUACAAGUCAAGGAGCGCCCAAUGGGUUGCCACCAAUUCAGCCAGGCUCGGGACCUUCGCCGUGGAGUCAAUGACAGCAGUUCGACUUCGGCAACACUGCUCAGGUGCCAACCGUUCGGCAGCAAGUGCCAACCCCAGGCUUCGGAACAAACCAAGUACCAAUCUGUCACGCCCGGAAUUUCUAUCCAAAAUUCCAAACGCUUACAUGUGUGUUAAACCCUCGUCCAGGAAUCAACCGAGGCACACAAUAACAAAUUGAUAAUAGAGUACAAAUGAACAACUAUAGAAUAUUCGCAAAUAAUAAAAUAUUACAGAGGUAGAUAGUUCCUCUCAAAGAAUAUCCUUCUACGCAGCGAAAAAAAAUAAAUCUAUAACAAACUACGGAACAGCUAUGGCGACUCCACUCCACAGGCAACUUAACCAGAACAAGCCUAAUCCUCCAGAUCAUCACCUUCACUGAGAUACUCCUCUUCUGAUGAUUGAAUAUUGCAAGAAUGAGCAUAUGACAUACUCAACAAGUCACACAGCAAAUAUGCAAGUGCACAGGAUAACAAAGGAUGGCAUAAUAUAGCUCAUUUGCAGAAACAGCAUUAAAUAAAUAUUUAAGAGAAUAGUAAAACAGUUGUAUAAUUAAUCAAUAUUAAAUAACACCAUACAACACACCCGUGUUGCAUAGGCCCAACCUCAUAUGAACAACCAACCCCGGUUGUACAAAUCUAACCUCCAUACCAGGAACGUACCAUUCCAACCAGGAGUCAAAUUGAUUAUCACAAUUACCAUUAAUGAAUAACAUGGGACUAAUCACGAAAAACAUUGCUCAACUCACCCAUAACCGCGGGUACGGCUAUUCGAAUAGAUUAAACUCUGAUCAGAGGUGUACCACUGUACCCACAAGACACAAUCCCACAACAUGUUACCAUGCGCCUUAGUACCACCACGAUACCUCGGAAAGGAACUGUGACAAUACCCCUUGCAUAACACAACUCACCACAGUGCACCGUACCUGGAUCAUAAUCACCCCCUCUACAACCAGAGGCAUGGACUCCCCAGCGACCCCCACGGACUUCUCGCCGCUUCUCAGUCUGGCACCCCAUAAUGAAUCAUGCUAUACAAAAGGUAAAGCCGUUGCCCACGCUGGCUUGUGGUUGGCACGGUAAAAGUUUCACAACAGUAGCUCGCGAACCGGUCCUUAAUUGUCAUGAGCACAACCAUCAAUACCAUAUGCUCACAACCCACCUUAACCAGGUUUUAAUUAUCAAUUAAUUAACCUCACACGAUCAACCAUCGUGAGCUACCAUUAAUGUAACCAUAAUUAAAAUAAUAAUGUAACAUAGUUUAUAAUUAAUCCCUUUAGUUAGCUAUUGUUUCUAAGCACGGCUAAGCAAACUUACAUAUAGCAUUUAGCUGAACCAAUCCAACAUAUAAGGUUCAUGCUAAUCAAAUUAUAACCCAUAGGAAAAUAAGAUCAUCUUCGGCCGUUAAUUAAUUGGGAAGGUUCACCACCCGAUGACAUUCGAAAACAAUGCAUAGUUGAAAUAAAAUAAUAGCUUUAAACGGGUUCAACAUGCUCAAAGAGUUGUUUGGGAUCUGUGUGACUUGCCUUGGGCUUCCGCAAACGCUUCGGAGCCUUCCUCAACGGAAACGCUCUCCUCCGGAACGUCGGAAACUAAAGCAAUUAAACAAAAAUCAACAAAACAGUACAAAAACAAGCAUAAACAGUACAUGUGGAUAUUUUUAACAUGUAGACCUUGAUUUUAGAAAAAUUUAGCAACUUGAACCACCUGAAACGGAUCUACGGUUAUUUAGUUAUGAUUUUCCGAAGAUUUAAUCUAUUAAAAGAAAUUGGAAAAAAGGAGAUGACGACGUCAGCAUGAUGUCAUCAAUGGCGGCCGGCUCGAGUUGGUGACCUCGCCGGAGCUAGAGUAGUCGGCCGGGAUUUUGGAGGGCAUCCACACGUAGAGAACGACGAGACGAACGCAACGGUACUCACCAAUGCGUCCAACGACGACCGAUGGUGGCCGGCGACGAGAGGAGGCGGCGCGGCGGCUCGGUCGACGGCGGCGACGGGUCUCCGGCGACCGGCGACAGCGGGGAGAGGGCGGCCGAGGUUCCUCACCUCCGUGCGCACCUAACGGCGGCGAGAGGAAGCGGCGGCGACGGCGAAAUCGAAGGCGCGGCGCGGCUGGAGAUCACCGGUGGCGACGGCGAGACAAGGCGGCGUCGGCGGUGAGCUACGGGGCACGGGAGAGGACGGGAAAAGGGGCAAACGAAAGAGGGGAACUAGGGGGUCCUAUUUAUAGCCUUGGAUUGAAGAGAUCGGACUCCAAACGAGAGGAAUCGAAACCGGAAAAUCUUCGGGUUAGUUUGGAGAGAUAAAAUCAAAACGAGGUUGAUUCGGACAAGAUACUCAACGAUUUGCUCCGAUUUUUGCGGGUAAAGAUAGAGGAGGAUACGGGGAUUAAAACCCCUCUAAUAUCCGGACUCGGGGUGGCCGGAUUGGGGCGGAUUUGAGGGCGCAAGGUGGCGGCUCGGGCUCGUCAUGCACGGCUCGGCCGGCUGCUAGAGGAAGGGGAAGGAUCCGACAUGUGGGGCCCACAUGUCGGUCUCCCGAGAGGAGGGGGCGGCGGCGACGGGUUGGACCGGUUUUGGGCCGGCUCAGCCGCGGGAGAGGGGAAGGAUGUUGGGCCAAAAACGGCCCAACGGCUUUAGGGAGGGGUUUCAGAACUUUUUAAUUAAAUAUAAUUUGUGAAAUGUUGUUUCAUUUAUUAAAAAUACUUCCCUUGCUCAAAUAAUUCCCAGAAAAUUCUAGAAAAUAGAGGAACAAUCAAAGUAUUUAAUAAAAUUUUAUCUAGCUCAAUUUUACGUUGAAAAUUUUCCUAGACAAUUAGGGUUUAGCUUGUAGGCUUUUAAUUUUAAUUUCUAAAAAUGAUUUAAACAAUGUAUUUUUAAUUUAGGCGAUUUUUAGGGCGUGACAAACCUACCCCCCUUAAACGGAAUCUCGUCCUCGAGAUUCAGAAGAACUGGCGAAGAGAUGAGGAUGAGCUGACUUCAAUUCAUCUUCUCGCUCCCAAGUGGCUUCUUCUUCUGAAUGAUUGCUCCACUGAACCUUGCAGAACCGUAUAACACGAUUCCUGGUAUUCCUCUCGCUUACUUCCAAGAUUCUGACUGGCUUCUCAACAUAAGUUAAAUCUUCUUGAAGCUCUAUACGAUCAGGAUCUGCUUCCUCCGUAGGUACACGUAAACAUUUCUUCAACUGAGACACGUGGAACACGUCAUGUAUUCCCGCCAUUGACGGAGGCAAUUCCAACUGAUAAGCUACCUCACCUCUUCGACUCACAAUCUUAAAAGGUCCCACGAAACGCGGUGCCAAUUUCUCUUUGGUCUGGAAACGAUGAACACCUCGUAACGGCGUAACCCGAAGGUAUACAUAAUCUCCUUCUUCGAAAGCCAAAUCUCUGCGACGAUUGUCGGCAUAGCUCUUCUGACGUGACUGAGCAACGCGCAACCUUUCUUGGAUAAUCUUCACUUUUUCUUCUGCCUCUCGCAAUAUGUCCGUCCCAAAAACUUGACGUUCACCGGUUUGAUCCCAAAGGAGCGGCGUACGGCACUUUCGGCCAUAUAAUGCUUCAUACGGAGCCAUUUGCAUACUAGCUUGAUAACUGUUGUUAUAUGAGAAUUCCGCGUACGGCAAAUUCUUAUCCCAACUUCCACCAAAAUCUAGAACACAGGCUCUCAACAUAUCUUCUAAAAUUUGGUUUACUCUUUCCGUCUGACCAUCUGUUUGCGGGUGAUAAGCGGUACUGAAAUUCAAACGGGUACCCAUCUCUACUUGUAAUUUCUGCCAAAACUUCGAAGUAAACUAGCUACCUCUAUCUGACACUAUCUUCUUAGGAACGCCAUGCAAACAUACCACUCUGGCCAUGUAUAACUCUGCAAGCUUAUUCCCCGUGUAGGUUGUUUUGACCGGUAUGAAGUGAGCGACUUUUGUCAACCUAUCAACCACUACCCAAAUAGAAUCAUGUCCUGCCGACGUUCUGGGUAGGCCGGUUAUAAAAUCCAUUCCUAUUUCUUCCCACUUCCACUCUGGAAUCUUCAACGGUUGUAACAGACCGGCUGGCUUCUGAUGUUCUGCCUUGACCCGCUGACAUACAUCACAUAGAGCCACAUAUUCUGCUAUCUCACGUCGCAUACUGGCCCACCAGAAUUGUUGCUUUAGGUCUUGGUACAUCUUAGUGCUUCCAGGGUGAAUGGAAUACAAAGUUUCAUGAGCUUCUUUCAUGAUGGUAUCCUUCAACUCCUUAUUUUCUGGGACGCAAAUUCUUUCUCCCAACCACACAGUACCUUGCUCAUCUUCUACAUAACCGAUGGCUUUUCCUCUUCUCAUGUUCUUCUUUAUUUCUUGGAUAUCAGGAUCAUUCACUUGAGCCUCUCUAACUUGAUCAAACAGAGUAGGUUUAGCUUCCAAAGCGGCCACAAAACCAUUGCUGACUAUUCCCAAGUUCAACUUUUCAAAUUCUUGGCAUAACUCCCAAGGUAAACGUCGACCUUCUGACAUAUUACAGUAGCUUUUCCUGCUAAGAGCAUCGGCUACAACAUUUGCUUUCCCCGGGUGAUAGUAGAUUUCCAUAUCAUAAUCUUUAAUCAACUCUAACCAUCUUCGCUGACGCAUGUUCAAAUCAGGUUGAGUGAAAAUGUACUUCAAACUUUUAUGAUCCGUAUACACCUCUGUACGGUUACCGAAAAGAUAAUGACGCCAAAUCUUCAAUGCAUGCACCACAGCUGCCAACUCUAGGUCAUGCGUUGGGUAGUUAUUCUCAUGAGGACGUAAUUGCCUAGAUGCAUAGGCAACCACCUUUCCUUCUUGCAUCAACACACAACCCAAACCGAGUCGAGAUGCAUCACAAUACACUUGGAAACCUUUCCUCGAAUCAGGCAAAAUUAACACCAGCGCAGUCGCUAGCCUUUUCUUCAGUUCUUGGAAACUUUGUUCACAAUCCUCUGUCCACUUGUACUUCACUUCCUUCUGAAGCAGACGAGUCAUUGGUCUGGCGAUCUUUGAAAAGUUCUCAAUAAACCUGCGGUAAUACCCCGCAAGUCCAAGGAAACUACGAAUUUCUGAAACCGUCUUGGGUUGCUUCCAACUUAACACUGACUCCACAUUGCUUGGAUCUACUGCCACUCCUCCAGACGAGAUGACAUGACCAAGAAACUUCACUUCGGACAACCAAAAUUCACAUUUACUGAACUUGGCAUAAAGCUGAUGUUCACGUAGUUUCUCUAAAGCUAGACGAAGAUGCUCUUCAUGUUCUUCCUUCGUCUUGGAGUAAAUAAGAAUGUCAUCAAUAAACACCACGACUAACUUAUCCAGAUAUUCCAUAAACACCUUGUUCAUCAGAUUCAUGAAAAAGGCUGGGGCAUUAGUGAGUCCAAAUGACAUAACGGUACAUUCGAACAAACCAUACCGAGUUGUGAAGGCGGUCUUUGGUAUAUCUUCCUCACGGAUUCGAAGUUGAUGAUAUCCAGAACGGAGAUCUAUCUUGGAGAAAACUGUAGCACCUUCCAAUUGAUCAAAUAGGUCAUCAAUUCUGGGUAGAGGAUACUUAUUCUUGAUAGUAACCUCAUUCAACGCUCGAUAAUCCACGCACAUUCUCUGAGUAUGAUCUUUCUUCUCCACAAAGAUGACUGGUGCUCCCCAUGGCGAAGUACUGGGUCUGAUGUAUCCUUUCUGAAGCAAAUCUUCCACCUGUCUCUUCACCUCAACUAACUCAUUAGCUGCCAUUCUGUAUGGUCUCUUAUGGAUAGGGUUGGUUCCAGGUACCAAGUCUAUCCGAAACUCUAUCUCUCUCUUAGGUGGCAUGCCUGGCAAAUCCUCGGGAAACACGUCUGGGUAGUCUUGUACUAUGGGGAUCUCUUGUAGAGCAACUUGGUUUAAGAUCACACCAUGAGAUUUAGGAGAGGACAUAAAGAAAGAAACUGUUUCCCCAUUGCUACUGGUUAAAGUCACCUUACGGUUGGCACAAUCUAUAACUCCUCUGUGACAAGAUAACCAAUCCAUCCCUAAGAUAACAUCUAGAUCUUUGGAUUCUAGCAAGAUAAGCGAGGAUGGGAAAGGAACUUCUUCUAUUUCUAUAGUAGCGGAAGGACAAUACUGUGUCGAAAAUACUUGAUUGCCUGGGGUAUUAACUAGUAAAGGUCUCUCGAGACUAAUAACUUCCAUCCCAUGAUUGCUCGUAAAACUUUUAGACAAAAAGGAAUGUGUAGCACCGGAAUCAAAAAGCACAGUUGCGGGUAUAGAGUUAACAGGGAACGUACCCAAAACCACAUCUGGUGCAUUCUGAGCUUCUGCUGCUGCAACAUGAUUAACACGUGCCUUUGGUGCUGGAACAUUGGAGUUGUUCGGGGCUGGAGCGUUCUUCACGCGCCGAGGCUUAGGACACUUAUCAGCAUAAUGUCCUGGAUCACCGCAAUUGAAGCAUAUCACUGGCUUGCUUCCCUGUUCCUUCCUGACAGGCUGGUUCUGAGCUGAAGUUGCUGCAGGACGAGCAACCACGUUGCGGUUGUCAUUGCCACGAUUACUAGUAUUGUUGUUGUAGAACUGGCGUUGGGGACGGACAACUGAUGAAGAUCCUCCUUGAGGGUACGAUGGAACUUGAGGUCCAGUAACGAGACGCGGCCUCUGGUUACUGCCCUGUUGUGCCUUGAAUUGGGCAGCCCUGCGCUUCUUCUGCUCCAUCCGGUUAUACUUGUCUUCCUGACGAAUCGCCUUGUCCACCAACUGCUGGAAAUCCCGGAAAUCCGUAGACAUCAAAGCAUAAGACAACUCAUCAUUCAGUCCCUCCAAGAAUUUCUCCUGACGCUCUUCAUCGGUGCGAACAUCUUCCGGAGCAUAACGAGCUAAACGGUUGAAAUCAUGGAGGUACUCGGUGACCGAUCGAGAUCCCUGGUUGAGUGCCCUAAAUUCUCUCUUCUUUAGAGCUACAACACCCGACGGUAUGUGUGUCUUCCUGAAAGCGGCCGUGAAUUCCUGCCACGUAAUAGGCUCUCCUUCAGCCCUGCCUUGGCGAAAAUGAUCCCACCAUUCAGCAGCAGGACCAUGCAGUUGAUGCGAAGCAAAAGAAACUUUCUCCUGCUCAGUACACUGGAUCAAAUCCAACUUCUUCUCCACCGCAUGCAGCCAAUCUCCUGCUUCUACUGGAUUGGUGGUGCUGGAAAAGGUAGGGGGUCUCACGCGUAAGAAAUCUGCCAGCUUGUUUUGGGGAGGUGGGGGUGGAUUCUGGUUCUGAUUGUUUGCCUGCUGAUUCUGUGCCUGCUGCACUAACAGAUUGAUCAGUUGUGUUUGUUGGGCCAGAAUCUGAGCUAGCGUGGGAUCUCCUCCAUUGUUAGUAGCUCCACUUCCACUUCCACUUCCACUUCCGGUGCGCGUGUUCACCAUCUGACGAUAAGCAGAGACUCAUGCUGUUACAUCCCACCAAUGAUGUAAGCAACAACUAAAACCCACACACUCACAAGCAAACUUAAACAAGCAAUCUAACACAGCGAUCUACGGCAACGAUCUAACUAAGCGACUAAACCCGCCUUGUGUCGGAACGAAGCGAUGGAUCUUCUUCCUCUGGAGUAGCUGGCUCUCUUUCUUCAGGGUCUUCCUCCUCUUCCUCAUCACUUAUGAUGUCGAUGACAGGUUCAGCACGAUCGGGCACAGCUUCACCCAUCACGCGAAUCUUCGAAGCUAACUGGAGACGAGGUGGCGGACAGGUUCUUUUUCUUUGAGUGAGGCGAUGCUUGGGUGUUGGCGGCGGCGUUUCUCCUUUAAGUUCAGCUAAUUCCUUUUGUAGACGGUACACCUUGCUCUCCAACUUGCAAAUCUUGCCUCGAUUCCAGUUUUCCCUGUCAUGAGCUGCUUUGUCUCGCUCCACACUUACUGCAUCCAUAGCACUAAGCAUAUGCACCGCAUGCAUCAGAGUGGCACUCUCUUCACCGUCAGGACAGGUAUAGGUUCCAUAGUCUUGACCAUGAGGCUUGUGAGGAUGAUACUGGAAAGCUGAUGAAUCCAACUCUUCUUCAAAGCGUUGACGCAACUCUCCAAUGGCCACCAAAGCUGCCUCUUGACAAGCAUGGCUGUACGAUCUUCCUCCAGCUUCGAACUUAAAAGACGGAAGGUCAUCACUAUCACUAGCCAACGUCACACGAACACGACACUUCUCCUCGUCGGGGUCAUGGGAAAUUUGGCGAUACUCGGGAGCAACUUCAUAGCCUACCUCAAAAGCCAUCAACCUCAGCUCCCUGACGAACCCUAACACCUUGAUCAAAUUUCUCGGUGAAUGGGGUGGCAUCUAAAGAAACAUAGAAGGGAAGAAUUAAUGCAUAUUUUUAAGUUAGCUGCACCAACUAGACUUAACUGAUUUAGACCAAAAAGGAAGAAAAUAAAAGAAAAGACACAUACAAAGCUACUUUAUAUAUUUUUCUUUUUGAAUUUAACUUUUGAACAGAGACAAAUCAGUUUGAACAAGUGAAUAAAAUAAAACCAAAAUACUUAAGACCUACUAUAAGCACGGUACAAUGUCACCAUUAAAAGGGAUGAGUAGUACUAGUGCCAACAUGAUUAAAUCGAUACCAUAAUAGAUGUACAGUGCCGACCAAUCCAUAAGAUUUAGUAAAGAGAAAAAGAAACAUUUUGAGAAGAACAACUUUUUGCUUUUUAAAAGAAAAGAAAUUGAAUUAAAUGAAUUUUGUGCAUAACCUUGCAUGUGCUGCCAACUUAUUUAAUUUGUAAGAGAAUAGAGAAGAGCAGUUCUAUUUUUUUUUCAAAAAUAUUUUGAAGGCUACUUAAGGUUUACCAUUUGGCUUAUCCUAAGGUCAAGGUGGCUCUGAUACCAACUUGUCACGCCCGGAAUUUCUAUCCAAAAUUCCAAACGCUUACAUGUGUGUUAAACCCUCGUCCAGGAAUCAACCGAGGCACACAAUGACAAUUUGAUAAUAGAGUACAAAUAAAUAACUAUUUAAUACUCGCAAAUAACAAAAGAUUACAGAGGUAGAUAGUUCCUCUCAAAAAAUAACAUUCUACGCAGCGGAAAAAAAACUAUAACAAACUACGGAACAGCUAUGGCGACUCCACUCCACAGGCAUCUUAACCAAGAACAAGCUCAAUCCUCCAGAUCAUCACCUUCACUGAGAUACUCCUCUUCUGAUGAAUGAAUAUUGCAAGAAUGAGCAUAUGACAUACUCAACAAGUCACACAGCAAAUAUGCAAGUGCACAGGAUAACGAAGGAUGGCAUAAUAUAGCUCAUUUGCAGAAACAGCAUUUAAUAAAUAUUUAAGAGAAUGAUAAAAACAGUUGAAUAAUUAAUCAGUAUUAAAUAAACACCAUACAACACACCCAUGUUGCAUAGGCCCAACCACAUUUGAACAACCAACCCCAGUUGAACAAAUUAAACCUCCAAACCAGGAAUUAUCCAUUCCAAACCAGGAGUCAAAUUAAUUACCACAUUAUAACCAUUAAUGAGUAGUGUGAGACUAAUCACGAAAAACAUUGCUCAACUCACCCAUAACCGCGGGUACGGCUAUUCGAAUAGUUUAAACUCUGAUCAGAGGUGUACCACUGUACCCACAAGACACAACCCCACAUCAUGUCACCAUGUGCCUCAAUACCACCACGGUACCUCGGAAAGGAGUUGUGAUAAUACCCCUUGCACAACAUAACCCAUUACAGCGCACCUUUCCUGGAUCAUAAUCACCCCCUUAUAAACAAGGCAUGGACUCCCCAGCGACCCCCGUGGACUUCUCGCCACUUCUCAGUCUGGCGCACUAUAAUGAAUCACGCUAUACAAAAGAUAAAGCCGUUGCCCACGCUGGCUUGUGGCUGGCACGAUAAAUGUUUCACAACAGUAGCUCGCGAACCGGUCCUUAAUUGUCAUGAGCACAACCAUCAAAACCAUAUGCUCACAACCCACCUUAACCAGGUUUUAAUUAUCAAUUAAUUAACAUCACACGAUUUACCAUCGUGAGCUACCAUUUAAUAUAAUCAUCAUUAUUAAUAAUAAUAUAACAUAGUUUAUAAUUAAUCCCUUUAGUUAGCUAAUGUUUCUAAGCAUGGCUAAGCAAACCUAUAUAUAGCAUUUAGCUGAACCAAACCAAUAUAUAAGGUUCAUGCUAGUCAAAUUAUAACCCCUAGGAAAAUAAAGUCAUCUUCGGCCAAUAAUUAACUGGGAAAGGUUCACCACCCGAUGACAUUCGAAAACAAUGCAUAGUUGAAAUAAAAUAAUAGCUUUAAACGGGUUCAACAUGCUCAAAGGGUUGUUUGGGAUCUGUGUGACUUGCCUUGAGCUUCCGCAAACGCUUCGGAACCUUCCUCAACGGAAACGCUCUCCUCCGGAACGUCGGAAACUAAAGCAAUUAAACAAAAAUCAACAAAACAGUACAAAAACAAGCAUAAACAGUACAUGUGGAUAUUUUUAACAUGUAGAUCUUGAUUUUAGAAAAAUUUAGCAACUUGAACCACCUGAAACGGAUCUACGGUUAUUUAGUUAUGAUUUUCCAAAGUUUUAAUCUAUUAGAAAAUUGGAAAAAAAGAAAAAAGAAGGAGAUGAUGACGUCAGCAUGACGUCACCCCACGGCAGCCGGCUAGGGUUUGCGAGCUCGCCGGAGAUAGAGACCUUGGCCGGGGAUUUGGAGGGCAUGUACACGUAGAGGACGACGAGGCGAACCCAACGGUACUCACCACAACGACAAACGACGAACGAUGAUGGCCGGCGACGAAGAGGACGGCGGCGGCGGCUCGGCUUGACGGCGACGGCGGAGCUCCGGUGGUCGGCGGCGAAGGGGGACGGGCGGCCGAGGUUCCCCUCACCACGGCGCACCUAACGGCGGCGACGGCAAGCGGCGGCGACGGCGGAGGCGGCGCGGCGGCGCGGCUGGAGAAGGCCGACGGCGGCGGCGAGCUAAAGCAACGCGGCGGCGGCGCUACGGUGCACGGGAGAGGACGAGAGAGGGGCAAACGAAAGAGGGCGACGAUGUGGUCCUAUAUAUAGCAUUGGAUUGAAGAGAUCGAACUCCAAACGAGAGGAAUCGACUCGGGAAAAAUCCAAACUCGGUUUUAGGGAUAAACUCGAAAACGAGUUUGAUUCGAACAAGAUACUCAACGGAUUGCUCCGUUUCUUGAGGGGAAAGAUAGAGGAGAACGAGAGGAACAAAACCCCUCAAAAACCCGGAAGAAUCGGGGUCGGAUUGGAGCGGAAUCGGAGGCGGAAAAGGGCGGCUCGGGCUCGGCUUCGGCCGGCUGGAGGUAGGAGAUGGAUCCGACAUGUGGGCCCCACAUGUCGGUCUCCCGAGAGGAGGGCACGGGCGGCUCGGCUGGGCCGGCUUGGGCCGCGCGGGAGAGAGAGAGUGUUGGGCCGAAUUCGGCCCAACGGCUUAAAGGAGGGGAUUUUUGAACUUUUUAAAAUAAAAACAAUUUGUGAAAUGUUGUUUCAAUUAUUAAAAAUACUUCCCUUGCUCAAAUAAUUCCCAGAAAAAUCUAGAAAAUAGAGGAGCAAGCAUAGUAUUUAAUAAAAUUUUAUCUAGCUCAUUUUUAUGUUGAAAAUUUUCCUAGAAAAUUAGGGUUUAGUUUGUAGGCUUUUAAAAAUAAUUUCUAAAAAUUCCAAUUAAACAUCAGUUUAUAUAUUUAGGAUUUUUAGGGCGUGACAUCACGCCCGGAAUUUCUAUCCAAAAUUCCAAACGCUUACAUGUGUGUUAAACCCUCGUCCAGGAAUCAACCGAGGCACACAAUAACAAAUUGAUAAUAGAGUACAAAUGAACAACUAUAGAAUAUUCGCAAAUAAUAAAAUAUUACAGAGGUAGAUAGUUCCUCUCAAAGAAUAUCCUUCUACGCAGCGAAAAAAAAUAAAUCUAUAACAAACUACGGAACAGCUAUGGCGACUCCACUCCACAGGCAACUUAACCAGAACAAGCCUAAUCCUCCAGAUCAUCACCUUCACUGAGAUACUCCUCUUCUGAUGAUUGAAUAUUGCAAGAAUGAGCAUAUGACAUACUCAACAAGUCACACAGCAAAUAUGCAAGUGCACAGGAUAACAAAGGAUGACAUAAUAUAGCUCAUUUGCAGAAACAGCAUUAAAUAAAUAUUUAAGAGAAUAGUAAAACAGUUGUAUAAUUAAUCAAUAUUAAAUAACACCAUACAACACACCCGUGUUGCAUAGGCCCAACCUCAUAUGAACAACCAACCCCGGUUGUACAAAUCUAACCUCCAUACCAGGAACGUACCAUUCCAACCAGGAGUCAAAUUGAUUAUCACAAUUACCAUUAAUGAAUAACAUGGGACUAAUCACGAAAAACAUUGCUCAACUCACCCAUUACCGCGGGUACGGCUAUUCGAAUAGAUUAAACUCUGAUCAGAGGUGUACCACUGUACCCACAAGACACAAUCCCACAACAUGUUACCAUGCGCCUUAGUACCACCACGAUACCUCGGAAAGGAACUGUGACAAUACCCCUUGCAUAACACAACUCACCACAGUGCACCGUACCUGGAUCAUAAUCACCCCCUCUACAACCAGAGGCAUGGACUCCCCAGCGACCCCCACGGACUUCUCGCCGCUUCUCAGUCUGGCACCCCAUAAUGAAUCAUGCUAUACAAAAGGUAAAGCCGUUGCCCACGCUGGCUUGUGGUUGGCACGGUAAAAGUUUCACAACAGUAGCUCGCGAACCGGUCCUUAAUUGUCAUGAGCACAACCAUCAAUACCAUAUGCUCACAACCCACCUUAACCAGGUUUUAAUUAUCAAUUAAUUAACCUCACACGAUCAACCAUCGUGAGCUACCAUUAAUGUAACCAUAAUUAAAAUAAUAAUGUAACAUAGUUUAUAAUUAAUCCCUUUAGUUAGCUAUUGUUUCUAAGCACGGCUAAGCAAACUUACAUAUAGCAUUUAGCUGAACCAAUCCAACAUAUAAGGUUCAUGCUAAUCAAAUUAUAACCCAUAGGAAAAUAAGAUCAUCUUCGGCCGUUAAUUAAUUGGGAAGGUUCACCACCCGAUGACAUUCGAAAACAAUGCAUAGUUAAAAUAAAAUAAUAGCUUUAAACGGGUUCAACAUGCUCAAAGAGUUGUUUGGGAUCUGUGUGACUUGCCUUGGGCUUCCGCAAACGCUUCGGAGCCUUCCUUAACGGAAACGCUCUCCUCCGGAACGUCGGAAACUAAAGCAAUUAAACAAAAAUCAACAAAACAGUACAAAAACAAGCAUAAACAGUACAUGUGGAUAUUUUUAACAUGUAGACCUUGAUUUUAGAAAAAUUUAGCAACUUGAACCACCUGAAACGGAUCUACGGUUAUUUAGUUAUGAUUUUCCGAAGAUUUAAUCUAUUAAAAGAAAUUGGAAAAAAGGAGAUGAUGACGUCAGCAUGAUGUCAUCAAUGGCGGCCGGCUCGAGUUGGUGACCUCGCCGGAGCUAGAGUGGUCGGCCGGGAUUUUGGAGGGCAUCUACACGUAGAGAACGACGAGACGAACGCAACGGUACUCACCAAUGCGUCCAACGACGACCGAUGGUGGCCGGCGACGAGAGGAGGCGGCGCGGCGGCUCGGUCGACGGCGGCGACGGGUCUCCGGCGACCGGCGACAGCGGGGAGAGGGCGGCCGAGGUUCCUCACCUCCGUGCGCACCUAACGGCGGCGAAAGGAAGCGGCGGCGACGGCGAAAUCGAAGGCGCGGCGCGGCUGGAGAUCACCGGUGGCGACGGCGAGACAAGGCGGCGUCGGCGGCGAGCUACGGGGCACGGGAGAGGACGGGAAAAGGGGCAAACGAAAGAGGGGAACUAGGGGGUCCUAUUUAUAGCCUUGGAUUGAAGAGAUCGGACUCCAAACGAGAGGAAUCGAAACCGGAAAAUCUUCGGGUUAGUUUGGAGAGAUAAAAUCAAAACGAGUUUGAUUCGGACAAGAUACUCAACGAUUUGCUCCGAUUUUUGCGGGUAAAGAUAGAGGAGGAUAUGGGGAUUAAAACCCCUCUAAUAUCCGGACUCGGGGUGGCCGGAUUGGGGCGGAUUUGAGGGCGCAAGGUGGCGGCUCGGGCUCGGCAUGCACGGCUCGGCCGGCUGCUAGAGGAAGGGGAAGGAUCCGACAUGUGGGGCCCACAUGUCGGUCUCCCGAGAGGAGGGGGCGGUGGCGACGGGUUGGGCCGGUUUUGGGCCGGCUCGGCCGCGGGAGAGGGGAAGGAUGUUGGGCCAAAAACGGCCCAAUGGCUUUAGGGAGGGGUUUCAGAACUUUUUAAUUAAAUAUAAUUUGUGAAAUGUUGUUUCAUUUAUUAAAAAUACUUCCCUUGCUCAAAUAAUUCCCAGAAAAUUCUAGAAAAUAGAGGAACAAGCAAAGUAUUUAAUAAAAUUUUAUCUAGCUCAAUUUUACGUUGAAAAUUUUCCUAGACAAUUAGGGUUUAGCUUGUAGGCUUUUAAUUUUAAUUUCUAAAAAUGAUUUAAACAAUGUAUUUUUAAUUUAGGCGAUUUUUAGGGCGUGACACAAUCCAAGCUGCCAUGAUGUGGUCGCAGCCAAUCUUUGACCCAUCCAUAGCGGCCCAGCAAGUACCACCAGUUGGAGCCGGGCAAUCGAAUGCCGUGGCCCAACUCCACGCACAAGCCGCGAUUUCGCCCUUCGCCACACCGUACCCGCAGCAAGGUGCGGUAAACAGGGCGGGAGGCGAAAAGGGGCUGCCGCUGAGUGGGGGAAUCAAGACUCGUCCAAUCCCACCCCAGUUGAAGUUCCCACCUGUCCCGCGUUAUUCGGGCGAAACUGACCCGAAGGAGUUCCUCUCCAUCUACGAGUCAACGAUCGAAGCGACUCAUGGUGAUGAAAAUACCAAGGCGAAGGUAAUACAUCUCGCUCUAGACGGUAUCGCCCGUUCUUGGUAUUUCAAUUUACCAGCCAAUAGCAUUUACUCAUGGGAGCAAUUGCGCGAUGUUUUUGUCCUUAACUUUCGAGGCACCUAUGAGGAGCCGAAGACGCAACAACACCUUCUUGGCAUUCGCCAAAGGCCGGGGGAGUCGAUAAGGGAGUACAUGCGUCGCUUCUCGCAAGCCUGGUGCCAAGUUCAAGACAUAACCGAGGCGUCGGUUAUAAACGCCACUUCGGCCGGUCUGCUUGAGGGCGAACUAACAAGAAAAAUCGCCAACAAGGAGCCGCAGACGCUCGAGCACCACUUCGCAUCAUUGACGGGUUCGCAAGGGGCGAGGAGGAUUCUAAGCGACGACAAGCUAUACAAGUUGAGUACGAUAAAGCCUCCGUCGCCGCUGCUCAAGCUCAAGCACAAGUUCAAAUUGCCGAACCACCUCCCCUCUCUGUUCGCCAGUCUCAGCCGGCGAUCCAGGGACAGCCGCCAAGGCAAAGCCAAGCCCCCAUGACUUGGAGAAAGUUCAGAACAGAUCGGGCGGGCAAGGCUGUGAUGGCUGUCGAAGAAGUGCAAGCCCUCCGCAAGGAGUUCGACGCCCAGCAAGCAAGCAACCAUCAGCAGCCAGCCCGCAGAAGGUCCGAAAAGACCUCUACUGCGCCUUUCACGGACGCUCUUCGCACACCACGGAACAAUGCCGAAACAUUAGGCAACGUGGCAACGCGCAAGACCCAAGGCCGCAGCAAGGAACAACUGUCGAAACACCCCGUGAAGCAGUUCAGGAGCAAAUACCCCCAGCCGAACAACGCCAAUAUACACAACAAAGGAUAAUCCAAGUGAUUACAAGAGCUGACCCGCCAAGCCAGUUGUCGAAACGGCAGAGGAAGAUGCAGAUCCGUACGGUCCACAUCAUCACUUCGGCAGGUGAGGGGGCGCCACAGUACGUGAACCAGCUGAUCCCUUUCGGGCCAGAAGACGCCGAAGGAGUCCUGUUCCCGCAUCAAGAUCCACUAGUAAUCUCAGCUGAGAUAGCCGGUUUUGAAGUCCGACGAAUCCUGGUCGAUGGAGGGAGUUCGGCUGACGUGAUCUUCGCCGAAGCAUAUGCUAAGAUGGGCUUGCCAACCCAAGCUCUUGCACCGGCACCAACGUCGCUCCGGGGGUUCGGCGGAGAGGCAGUGCAAGUUCUUGGCCAAGCACUUUUGCUGAUAGCUUUCGGCUCGGGAGAAAACAGGCGCGAAGAGCAAAUACCGUUCGACGUCGUCGACAUCCCAUACAACUACAACGCUAUCUUCGGCCGUGCAACCCUGAACAAGUUCGAAGCCAUUUCCCACCACAAUUAUCUCAAGCUCAAGAUGCCUGGCCCAACAGGAGUGAUAGUAGUCAAGGGGCUUCAGCCUUCGGCCGCUUCAAAACGCGAUCUAGCCAUAAUCAACAGAGCAGUGCACAAUGUUGAGGCCGAACCGCAUGAGCGGCCCAAGCACACGCCGAAGCCCACCCCUCACGGCAAGAUAACAAUAGUGCAGAUUGAUGAUGCCGACCCCACAAAGCUCGUAUCACUGGGGGGCGACAUGGGCGAAGAAGAAGUUGAGAGCAUCCUAGAGGUACUCAAAAAGAACAUCGAUAUCUUCGCCUGGAGCCCUGAUGAGGUGGGGGGCGUCCCGGCGGAUCUCAUCAUGCAUCACUUAGCAGUCAAGCCGAAUAUUAAGCCAAGAAAGCAAAAGUUGCGCAAGAUGUCUGUCGAUCGCCAAGAAGCGGCGAAGACCGAAGUACAAAAAUUACUCCGAGCGGGGGUUAUUCAAGAGAUUGACCAUCCGGAGUGGUUGGCUAAUCCAGUGCUGGUGCGGAAGUCAAAUGGCAAAUGGCGCAUGUGUGUCGAUUUCACAGACCUGAACAAGGCAUGUCCGAAAGACGAUUUCCCCUUGCCGCGAAUCGACCAGCUCGUGGAUGCGAGCUCAUGAGUUUCCUGGAUGCAUAUUCCAGUUACCACCAGAUCCACAUGAACCCGCUCGACAUCCCCAAAACAUCCUUCAUCACUCCAUUCGGCACAUUUUGUCACCUUAGGAUGCCUUUCGGCUUAAGGAACGCAGGAGCAACCUUCGCCAGGCUGGUGUACAAGGUCCUUGGCAAGCAGUUGGGGCGAAACGUGGAAGCUUACGUCGACGACAUCGUCGUAAAAAGCCGCAAGGCUUUCGACCAUGUGUUCGACCUGCAAGAGACGUUCGACAGCUUGCGCGCGGCAGGCAUAAAGCUGAAUCCGGAGAAGUGCGUAUUCGGCGUCCGCGCAGGCAAGUUGUUGGGUUUCCUUGUUUCCGAAAGGGGCAUCGAGGCGAAUCCCGAGAAAAUCGAUGCCAUCCAGCAAAUGAAGCCUCCGUCAAGCGUACAUGAAGUACAAAAGCUUACAGGCCGAAUUGCAGCACUCAGUUGAUUCCUCUCAAAGGCGGCCGAAAGAGGUUUGCCCUUCUUCAAGACCCUCCGGGGCGCGGGAAAGUUUAAUUGGACACCAGAGUGCCAAGCAGCAUUCGACGAGCUAAAGCAAUACCUACAAAGCCCACCAGCUCUGAUAUGCAAUGGUUCGCCACAUCUAGCGAACACCAAAAGAAAACUAUGAAAAUUUAAGAGAAGGGCGGAGAGCCUCACACCUCUGGGUGGUCCCGGGCAUCGCCUCCACCCCCUCCGGCCGCCAUGCCUUCAUCUUCACAAAGGUCCGCCGCCUCUGCUUUCGCCAGCUGCGCCAAAAGGCGCGCCUUAGCGGCGGAGCGGCCGUCCUUCUGCCAAAAUUGUUUUCGCCAUGCACGAAGCGCGGGCGAAAUGUCUUGCGCACUGAUUUCCCAAUCCCCCUUCGCGUACUUGGGGAACUCGGCGAUGUGCUCGCAGCCGAACUGCUGCAGGAGGCCCAUGGUAAAGGCCGCUCAUACGCGUGCACAGCAAUCGCCGUAUGCGGUGGCGCAGUCGGAAACCGAACCACCAGCCUGUUGGGUCCAUUCGGAGAAGUCGAAGGCUGAUGCAUCUUCGGAGGGGACACCCCGCACUUUCGUGCCCAUGUCAGUAAGGGUGAGGCGAAGCGUUUGGCACGCUGUCCGCGAGGACUCGGUGGUUUUCCCCAUCUCCCGUGAAAACCGCCGCGACUCCUCUGCAGCACUUGCUUCAGCCUUGUGAACCUCCUGCCGAAGAGCCUCCAUCUUCGGCUCGGUGAGGUUGUAAUAAUCUAUGAGCACGGCGGUGUGGGCUUUCUCCUUCUCCAGUUCGGCCUUCAAGCGAUCAACUUCGGCCCUGGCUUCUUUCCCUUUCUCCAGUUCCGAUUGGAGCCGCUUGUUUUCAGCCUUCGCCUCCUUAAGGGAGUUGGCAAGGGCCUCCGUCUCCAAAUUUUUGUGGCCCAGUUCGUCAUCCUUUGGCCCGAAGACGGCUUUUGAACCCAUCAAGUCGAGCUCGCACGGUUCGCUCCGUUGAGCAGUGAGCCGCGAGGAUCUGGGCGCAGAAUACGAGCGGCGAAGAGAACAAGUGUCAAAUGUAAAAACAAGAUAGAGGAAGAAUAAAGAUAAAAAAAGGGGGGGAAAAAAACGUACCCGAACAGCCAGGCGAGCACCCCUCGUCGAACUCAUUCAGUUCGGUGAACAUGCUUGGGGCACUGGCGGGCAGUACAAGAUUGCUUACCCCCUCCACAAAAGGAAGGAGGUCCGCUCGCGUCUCGAAGUCGCCAGGGGCGAAGCGGGGUACCGAGAGCGAAUAUUCCAAAGCGGACGUCUCAGCGACCGCUCUCUUUCCCUUCGCCUCCAUCAGCGGCGAUGCAACCGGCUGAUGCGGAGGAUUGCCGAAUACUUUCGCCGCGGCCGUCACAAUCCUUUACGCAGAAGCCGAAGCCCCAGCGGCGGUACUACCAUCCACUCCAGCGGCGCCAAUUGGCGGAAUGGGGGCGGCCGAAAGAUCCAGGCUGCGACCAGUGGGCGAAGUCGGAGUCCCGUCGGAGGACUCGUUGUCGCUAAAAACGCGAGCGACAUCGACGAGUCCUUUCGUUUUAGCCACCUUUUUGAUAGGACCUCCCUUCGCCGCCGCGCCCGAAGAGAACGCAACUAGGGCCUUCGCCCCUUCCAAAUCCUUCCGACGAAGGGGGGAGCUGUUCGACUCCACCCCGGUUUCGUUGUUACCAGGACUUGGGGUAGGAGUGUACCCUGGGGUGUCGGCGCGGUUUCGACCGCCUCACCCGCGGCCUUAUCAGCCACAGCCUCCACCUCCUCCUCUUCCUCUCCUUCCUCCUCGCCAUCACAUUCUUCGGCAUCAUCCUCGUCGUCGGCGUCGGAGUCAGACGAAGCAGGAACCCUUCGCUUCUUGGGGGCAAGCUUCACUUGUCCACGCAUCCGCUUUCGCGAAGGCCCUGCCUCGUCAUUGGCCUUUUGGGGAUUCGCCCGGGGAGGCAGUUCGCCAUUGUAAACCCGGUUCGCCCGCCCAGCCGCUUGACGCGUUAACAGCUGACUAUACUCGACAACCGAAACAUCGCCGAUCAUCCUGCGGGCUUCGGCUUCGGCCUGAUCGAGGGUCAACACUGUAAAAGUAAAGCGUGAAGCUACGUCAAAAGUCAAAUAAGGCGAAAUAACAAAGCACAGCAGUAUAUAGCAAAAGAACAGUCUUACUGUUCACCCCCUCAGGAAGUAUCAGGUUCGGCAAACCGUCGACUUCUUUGCCUUGUUCAACCGCGACUUGCCAUGACUGGGAGAGGGGAAAAAUGCGAAGCAUACAAAAUUCCUCCACCAAGUCACGACAGCUAAGGCGGGAGCAAACCUUCCGCAGUAGAACGAACCGCGCCUCCAUGGCGCCGUUCACAGCAAUAUUGGGUCUCCGAUUCGGCGUAAUCGCCCUACGCCGACACCGGAGGGAUUUCGCUGAUUCAGAACCAGCCUUGAAGGGGAUGGUGUGGUAGAACCACCUCGCCAUCCAAUGGCGGUCCCACUUCGACAUAGCAGCGUUCACCAGCCAGAGAUCGGACCGCUCGGGGCGAACAUUGAAGUUCACGCUCCCGAACACGGUUUUUUUCGUUCCAGCCGGGGUAAUCACCGUCUUCGAGUUCACGGUGGCGAAAAAUAUGGCGCCAAAGAGCUCGGCGUUGGGCUCAAACCCAAAAGUCCGGCACGCCCAGUCGAAGAUAGCGAUCCGAACAAGCGCCGAUGGGCUCAGCUGCGGAAGUUCCACCUGGAAGAGGCGAAGGAUCUCCGGCAACAACACGUUGUAGGGAAACCGUAGCCCUGCCUCAAAAAAUACGGCGAACACCACCGUCCGGUUGUCGACAGGUUUCGUGUCACGUCCCAAAAUGACUCUAAAAUACAUCCUCUAAAUUAUGCCUAGAAUAAUUAAAAUCCAUGUGAAAGCCUCCAAAAAUUAAAAUGUGCAAAGUUAAAAGUCAAAUAAGGCUUGGAGGAUUUUUGUAUAUUUCCUAAAAGCCUAAAAUGUGUAAAUAAAUUUUAGUGGAAUUUUCAGAGCACAAAUAAUAAUUAUGAAGAAAUAAACAAAGUUAAAAUAAUUUUAUAAAAAGAAAAACCCUAAAAAGUCCCCCUUCCCUCCCUUGGGCCGGCCCGGCCCAUCUCUCCAUCUCCCUCCCCCUCUCUCUCCUCUCCCCGUGGCCCAUUCGGCCUCCCUCCCCGCGCGCGCGCCGCUGACGGGCGGGCCCGCCCGCCACCCUCGCUGACGCGUGGGGCCCACCCGUCAUCCCCGACCUCCCACCGCUCCCGCCGCCUCCCCCGAGCCCUAGCGCCGCCGCCGCCGCGAAUCCCGCCGCCUCCCGCCGUCCCCGCGUGCAAUAAAGUGGGGGGAAUCACUCCCCGUGAUCCCCUCUCCCUUUCCCCCCAUUUUUCCCUCCCUCUCUCCCUUGGAUUCGUUUGGAAACCCCUCCCCUAAUCCCGCCAGCGCCAUUGAUGGAGCCCGAGAACGCCGCGCCGGUUUCCUUCCUUCUCCGACCGCCCUCUCUCGCCCCGGCCCUAUUUAAACCCUCCCCGCGCCUCCCUCGCCCGUUUCCGCCCCUUGCCGCACCGUCUCUCCGCCGGAAUCGAGCUCGCGACGUCGCUCUCUCUCUCCGCCGUCGCCGCCGAGCUCCGGUCCGCCGCCGUCGUCGCCCCGGACAGCCUCCCACCUCGGCGCCGCCUCCUCCGGCAUCGCCGCACCGCCGUCGACCCCGUCCACCCCCUCGCCGGGUCCGCCGACCGCCGGAACGCCGUCGACCCCGUCGACCCGAGCCGCGCCGCCGCCUUCCUCCGCUCCGGCUGCCUAGGGUGAGCCGUCGCUCCGCCGUGCCUAUGGCCGCUCUCUCUCGGCCUCCCGUGCCUAUUUCCCCCUUCCCUUCCCCUCUCUCGGCCGCCGCUCCGCCGUGCCUAUGGCCGUCGCCGGAGACCAUAGGGGCGCGGGCACCGCCUCCCGCCGGCCGCGCCGAGUGGCCGCCUUCGUGCGCACCGAGUGGCCGCCGCGUGGGGCCCGGCCGUCAGCCGCCCGCGCCCUCGGGUGCGGCUGACGCGUGGGGCCCACGGCGCCGGCCGGUGCGAGCCCGGGUGCGCCCGGUCCACCGUGGACCGUGAGGCUGCCGUGUGGGCCCCACUCCCGUGGACCCGGUACGCGCGCCCCCUCCCCUCGGCUGACGCAAUAAACCCUUUUUAAAUUAAAUUUUAAAUGAAGAAAUUCGCAAAUAUUCAUUUAAAGAGCAUAUAAACUUCAAAUGGCCAUAACUUGGCCAUUUGAACUCAGAAUUGGACCGUUCAAGUCUCUAAUUUUUCCUUAAGAAGUCAAGAACCCAAUUUUGUGCUUUGUUCCUACUUGUUAUAUGGAGUUUAUUAGAGUAAAAGCCUUUUCUUUUCCGUUGGUCGUGUAGACGCUGCAGCUUCGGAAGAUCCGCUCUUCGUGGAGGUUGAAGCCGACGUUUGGGAAAGCGAGCAAGACAAGUCACAUCAUCCUUGAACAUAUUGAAUCCCAGUUUAUAAAAUUAUUUUGAUUUAAAUUAUUGCAUUAUCGCUUUGUUUAAAUUCCCACGUUAUCACUGUUUUAUCUAGCCAUGCCUAUUUACCUUUGUUAUGACCUUAUUAAUGUUAUUGUUAUUAUUACCUUGUUCACCCUAGAAUAAACAAAACCCCAACUAGUGGACAACUCUAGACUUUGGGAAUAUUCUCAUCACCUGGACACUAUGGAAUGGAUGGAUUAUUGUGGAAUUGGAUUCACACCUCCCCCUCUAUUCAAAACCCUCAAAAUGGUUUUAGGCUGGGCUCGGGGUGUAUGGUUUUGAUAGUAGCACCUCGGCCAUAUAAGGACCGGUCUUCGGGCCUCUGUUGCAAAGCACUACCGUACUUCCACAUGUCUAGUGGGUAAGGCUUAGUUUGUGGCUCAGUCUGGUUAUAAACAAAAGUACACGGAUGGAGAUGGACGAAGUCGGGGGUCGAUGGACAUCUCUAGGGCAAAUGAAGGCUACACGAGCUGCGUCUCGGUAGUCGAAAUGUCAUGGCACAGGACCGGUGUCCUGCUGCUAGGGGCUCAGUCCUGCCUACCUGUCCCGGGGGUUCCGGCCGUAGGUGGGGUUGGGUCGGUACUCUUGUCUAUGGCUAGGAUGGGUUGGAAACUAUGUCACGUCUUCCGUCCGUAUACCAUGGUGGUAUGUGGCAUGUGGUUACACGUGAGGAAGAUGUGUCUUGUGGGUAAAGAUGUACACCUCUGAUCAGAGUAUAACCUAUUCGAAUAGCUGCGCCCUCGGUUAUGGGCAAGCCGAGCAAUGUACCCAAGUUAGUGUUUUUAAUUCUUAAAACCUGCUUAACAACUAAAAUGUGGAAUGGUUGGCCUGGGUUGGCUUGGGACGAGCUGGGACCCAGGGUCGGGUUGCCAGUUCGGUCUGAAUCAUCGUAGGCCUUGGGUUAAGGCAGGUUCGUGUGGGUUCACGGCCUUGAUUAAUAAUAUUGUAUAGCUCUAGGACCGUGUUUACAAAAUAGCUUUGAGCAACUAAGUGUCUUUUAAUGCUGUUUACUGCAAACCCUAACCCCCUAAUUUAUGGCUCCCUUGUACUCCCUUGCAUUUAUUCUGCACUUGUGGGUGUGUCUUGUUGAGUACGGUGGUUGUACUCAGUCUUGCUCAAUUUUUCCCAAACCCAGAAGAGGAGUUCCUGGAAGAUGAAGGCUUUGGUGUCUAGCUCGUGCCUGCCAUCAAGCGCCUGUGGUCGUCGCCCUAGUCUUCCGCUGUUUUUCGUUUGUCUUCUUGUGUGCUGGGUCUUCGCCGCCCAUGUAAUUAAUUAAUUAGGCUUCCGCUUGUUAAACUCUGAAUUGUAUCAACUUUUGGUGUACCUUGCCUCCUGGGACAAGGAAUAAUGCACGCACUUAAGGAACGCCCGUUGGGUUAUUUCCGGUCGUGACAUUUCGGCACCACGGUUUUCCCUGGGGCGAAAGCCUGCCCCUCAACCAACGCUCCGGAGCUGACCAGCUUCGCCAGCUCGACGUCAUCCACAAGAGAGACCCCCAGAAAGGCGGUGCUGUCAUCAUCGACUCGGCUAGGAUCUGGCCCUUUCGCCGAAGUAGGGUUUGGCUAACGUGGGGCCAUGGCGAACGGUGCGUUUGCGGUGGCGAAAAGAGAGAUUCGGCGAAACGCCUGAAGGGUCGAAAGAUGCUGUGAAAGGAAGAGACGGAGAAAGAGAGCGCGCACGGUAAAAUGGCAAGUGUGGCGGUGAAAAGGAAAGAGCAACGGGAAUAUAUAGCCCGCCCAAGCGACCGUUUGCCUACCCACCAGUAAUAAAGCGCCACGUGUCGCAAGGGUAGGCGAAACGGUAAAUUCCCGUCGACCGAGCGGCACAGUAAAAAGCCCAAGAAAGGAAGGCCCAAUACUGUUCCGUUCGGCCCAGGAAAAAAGAAUAUAUAUAACCAUCAAUCGCACGAGGCGAAGCGCGGCAAAAUAAUACUAGCCGCACAAGUAACAAACUUCAUUUGCAGGAAUAAUGUAGGUUUCGCCAGGAGCAUCGGUCGAAAGGGGGCGCCACAUACCAUACCACAUAUUUUACACGGUCUCGGCCGAAGCUCCAAUCUCACCCGUGCCCGUGAGGGGCUUGUUGGCGGAUGGCAUGAGGCUCUUCGACCAGAUCUGCCGAAACCUGUGGCGAAGGCUAUGGAGCAAGAACGGCGUGAGGCGAAGAGUCGCGCGAGGGCCUUGUCAGGCCAGGGGCAUCUCGGGCGAAGGGUGCAAGGCGAAGACUAUCUGCCGAAGGAAGACGACUUCGCCAUGGCAAGUUCGCCCUCGCAAGGGCCAAGGAAGCCUUUCCGGCCCAUCAAGCCUAAGGGCCGGCGAUCGCUAGACGGCCCAUCAGGGGCCCAUGAGACCCUAUAACAUUAUGUACCCCUGUAAAUGUCCCUUUCAUAAGGGUAAUCAUGUAAAUUCCCCUGUACAACCUAGAUCCUAGUACUAAGAGCCUGCAACAGGGCUAUAAAUAGCCCCCUAGGGCCAUGUAACGGGGGAUCCCAAGUGAAAUUAAAAAUUUAGUACACUUCAUUUUCCCAACCACUGUUGAGUAACCACGUCCUUCGACGUAUGCAGUUGUCGUUUCGACAACAGGAAUGGACGGCUAGGAAUCAAGGAGAAAAUGUACCUUGGUUCAUUAUAUAUAUAUAUAUAUAUAUAUAUAUAUAUAUAUAUGAUAAUUUGUUCAAUGAAAAAAGGGUUACUUUAUUUUGUUAUAAGUUACUUCUAUAAUAUAUGUAAAUUACUUUUAGGCUUUACUGAAUUUACUUUUAUAUGUCUAAGAAGUAACUUCGUGAAAUCUAAAAGUAAUUUAGACAUAUCAUAAAAGUAAUUUGUGAUUUUUCAUCAAAAUAUAAUCAUGUGAGAUUUUGUUGUAAAGAUUUAAUUAUUACGAACACAAUGGUAUAAUCGGAUUGUAAAUCGGAUGAGUAAUUUAAGAGAAAAUUUUAUUUGAAGCAUAGAUGAUAGGAAUAUUUCCCCUACUUGCUCAAUGGAUUAAUAGCAACCAAAACUCCUAAAGUUCUAGCACGUGGGUGUCUCUGGUUAAGACUAAUUGGAGAGGCCUCUCCAAUUAGAUUUACCGAUAUUAUAUGCAUAUGCAUAUAUUACAAUUCUUUCGGACUUUAUAUUUAUUGUUUCUGUCGUAUACUGCUUCAUCUCAGAAGAAGAAGGACCGGCUUGAAGAAGAGACUUUCCGUCGUAAUAGAAUUCUCCCGCGGGAUCAAUAAGCUGCACAUUGAUGAAUCUCAUCAGUUGUUCUUGAACAGCCAUUAUGAAAUCUGCGUGAGUGAGGUCUUCCCUCAUGUAAAUCACCUAUCAUUUGAAAAAAUAAGAUAUAAAUAUAUGAAAUCAAUAAGCUAAUGGAGACAUAAUUAAUGUAUGAAUAAUUUUACAUACUUCCAGGUCCCUGUCAGUGCUGAUUUGGUGUGCUAGGCAGUGGAUAUACUUGCAGACGUAGUUGCCGCAUAAGUUAGUCCUCUGAUCCUGCUUUGCACACUAAAAAAGAAAUGACAAGAGAUUUAAUAUACAUUUCUAUUUUAGAACAAAUUAAUGAUUCAAUAUAAUAUUGGAGCAUUUACUCACUAGAAAAGUAAACCUUUCAUGGAAGAACCCAUUCCCCCAAGAAACAACACCACGUGGCUUGUUAAUUAAACAUAUGACGUGUACGUGUACAAGUAAACGUUAAAAAUUAUGGUCAACUAACUUUGCGCACACAACUUCAGUAACCCCUCGUGCGAACAUGAUAACGAUAUGUAAACAAUUUAAUCAGUUGCUAGACGACCUUUCAAAUUAAUACGUGCUUUUAUAAAUCGUUUUGUAUCUAACUUACAAAAAAUGAGGUAUAAUGCCAUGAAGUAUUUGGCUAAUGCUUCUAUACCGACGGUACCGUCACAACUCACUACCAGAACCCAAAAUUUAGUUUUGCUCCACAGUAACAAGGGUGCUAUGAUUUAAACUCUAAAAUAUGUAGGCGUUAAAUCUAUAAAUUUAUGAUAAAUUUAGUGUUAAAUAUAUGUAGUUUUCUAAUAGUUUGAUCAAAAUGCCUAUAGAUUAGGGAAAUUUAACGACAACACAAUGAUAUAAUUUUUUUGAGAGGAAUAUACAAUGAUAUAAUUGAUCAAAGAUUGGAUAAAAAAUUUAGGAAAAAGAACAAUUGAAGAGCUAGCAUUUUAGCUAUUUAAUGUUGUAUAUUUGUUUUCAUUGCUGUGUGGUUAUCUUGUUAUCCUACACCCAAACAUAUAUAUGAGUUAUACUAUUAGGUGAAGUAAUAUUACAAGCAAAGUGGAUUAAAGACCAAACCAUGCGGGCAAAACGGCAAUUAAAAAGCAAAUGUUUAAUAGUUUCCUCUUCGUGAUAGAAAGAACAAGUCUUUCUUCCUCUCUAAUUCAUUUUUAUCAUGAUAUCUUUUGUUAAAACUGCUACCGGACAUAAGUACCAUAAAAAGAUAUUAAUCUUUAGGGGCCUUUGAUCUUCUAAAUUCUUUUCCUUCUUUUGGGAACACUGGUCUGCACCAAUGCAAGAUCAAGAGAUUUAACCGAGAAUCUCCCAUCAUUGGUUAGAUUCCAUUUAAACUCGUUGGUCGUGAGAUAAUAUAAUAUUAGCGAUACAUGAGAGAAGAUGAUUCAAUGCUACUAACUUAGAGCGAGUAAGGUUCCUAUGCCAAGAAAAAAUUAGACGACUAGUAUGAAAAAAUUUUGUAAUAGACACAAGGGUAUUGUUCUCCUAUACAUGCAGUCUAUUUAGGGAGUUUUUAUGGUCCAUCAACUAGUACCUCCAGGUACUGGUACCGCUAGGUACCAAAUGAAAUCCAACCGUUAAAUCAAGAGGGGUAUGAUUGGGAAAAAAAAAGAAAGGAAGUAGUGGUGGGGAACAUUGUUAGUGAUAUGCCCUAGAGGCAAUCAUAGUGAUGAUUGUGUCACAUACUAUGUUUACAUAUUUAUCCGACAUUGUUUAGAUAACUCCUUAUUGGUUAAUGAAUAUGUGAUUCUUUCAUGAGACUCUUUAUGUUGUUUGUUACUAUUUCUAAAGGAUUCCUGAUCAAAUAUCAUAUGUGGAACAAAUAUGUUUAUAUGAUCAGCACAUCUAUUAAUUGAUGAUCAUGUCUCAUGGAUCAUGGUAUAGAGAUACCAAAUUAAUAAUGUGGACACAUGUUGGUGAACAUGUUGUUGGAUAGACCCAACAUAAGACACUACAAAAGCCAUAUGUGUUGUGUCAUCAUUGAUCUCAUUGAGUAUUGGUGUUGAAUCCUUAGACCUAAGAUUAUCAUGAUUCUCAACAUGUGUAGUAGCUUACUUAGGGACUGCUAAAAGCUACUCCGUAAUUGGGUAGUUCUAAAAGUAGUUUUCGGGUAUGCUAUGAAACAUGUAGUGGGAUAUGAAUAAUCAAGAUGGGAUUUGUCGCGUCCCAAAACAACUCUAAAAUACAUCCUCGAAAUUGUGCCGAGAAUAAUUAAAAUUCGUGUGAAAGCCUCCAACAAUUAAAAUGUGCAAAUUUAAAAGUCAAAUAAGGCUUGGAGGAUUUUUGUAUAUUUCCUAAAAGCCUAAAAUGCGUAAAUAAAUUUUAGUGGAAUUUUCAGAGCACAAAUAAUAAUUGAGAAGAAAUAAACAAAGUUAAAAAGGUUUAUAAAAAGAAAAACCCUAAAAGAAGUCCUUUUCCCCCCCCCUUUCCCUCUUGGGCCGGCUCGGCCCAAUUCCCUCCCUCUCUCUCCUCUCCCCCGCGGCCCAUCGGCUCUCUCCCCGCGCGCGCGCCGCUGACAGGCGGGCCCGCCCGCCACCCUCGCUGACGGGUGGGGCCCACCCGUCAUCCCCUACCUCGCGCCGCAGCCGCCGCCCCGUCCGUGCCCUAGCGCCGCCGCCGCCGCGGAUUCCGCCGCAUCCCGCCGUCCCCGCGCGCCAUAAAGAGGGGGAAAUCACUCCCCGUGAUUCCCUCCCUCUUUUCCCCCUCUUUCCCCUCUCUCUCUCCCUCGGAUUCGUCCGGAUUCAAUCCCGCAAUCGUCGCCGGCGUCAUCAAUGGCGGCCGAGAUCUCCGCGCCGGUUUCCUUCCUCCCCGGCCGCCCUCUCUCACUCCCGUCCCUUUAUAAUCGCUCCCCGAGCCUCUCUCCUCCGUUUCCGCCACUCGCCGCUCGCUCUUUCCGUCGGAUUCGUGCUCGCGCCGUCGCACCUUCUCUCCGCCGUCGCCGCCGAGCUCCGGUCAGCCGCCGUCGUCGCUCCGGACUUCCUCCCGACUCGGCGUCACCUCCAUCGGCUUCGCCGCGUCGUCGUCGACCUCGUCCGCUCCUCCGUUUCGCCCGCCGACCGCCGGAGCACCGUCGUCCUCGCCGUCCCGAACCGCGCCGCCGUCUUCCUCCGCUCCGAUCGUCGUUUCCGCCGCCCUCGUCGUUCCGGGGUGAGCCGUGGACCGCUCCGUUCGUUUCCCCCUCCCCUCCUCUCUCUCGGGUGCCGCUCCGCCGCGCCGUUGGUCGCCGGCGGCGCCCAUCGGGGUGCGGGUGCGCCGCCUCCCGUCGGCCGUGCCGGCGAGGCCGCCUUCGGGCGCGCCCCGCGGCUGCCAGGUGGGCCCGGCCGUCAGCCGCCCGCGCCCGCGGGUGCGGCUGACGCGUGGGACCCACGGCGCCGGUCGGCGUCCGCCGCGUGCGCCCGGUCCACCGUGGACCGAGAGGCUGACGCGUGGGCCCCACUCCCGUGGACCCGGUCCGCGCGCCCUCUCUCUCGGCUGACGCAAUAAAUCCGGUUUUUAAUUAAAAUUUAAAUGAAGAAAUUCGCAAAUAUCCAUUUAAAGAGCAUAUAAACUUCAAAUGGCCAUAACUUGGCCAUUUGAACUCGGAAUUGGACCGUUCAAGUCUCUAAUUUUUCCUUAAGAAGUCAAGAACCCAUUUUUAUGCUUUGUUUCUGCUGUUAUGUGGAGUUUAUUAGAGUAAAAGCCUUUUCUUUUCCGUUGGUCGUGUAGACGCUGCAGCUUCGGAAGACCCGCUCUUCGUGGAAGUUGAAGCCGACGUUUGGGAAAGCGAGCAAGGCAAGUCACAUCAUCUUUGAGCAUAUUGAAUCCCAGUUUAUAAAAUUAUGUUGAUUUAAAUUAUUGCAUUAUCGCUUUAUUUAAAUUCCCGCGUUAUCACUGUUUUAUUUAGCCAUGCCUAUUUACCUUUGUUAUGACCUUAUUAUUAUUGUUAUUGUUAUUAUUACCUUGUUCAACCUAGAAUAAACAAAACCUCAACUAGUGGACACUCUACUUAUGGUAUCCCUAGUAUGAUUUUAGGUAGAUGCUUCGCAAUUUAAUUAGGUAACAUUAGGUGGUUUUUCAACUAUAGACUUUGGGAAAUAUUCAUAUCACUUGGACACUAUGGAAUGGUUUGGUUACUGUGGAAUUGGCUUCACACCGCUCCUUCUAUUCAAAAUCCCCAAAAUGGUUUUAGGCUGGGCUCGGGGUGCAUGGUUUUGAUAGUAGCACCUCGGCCAUAUAAGGACCGGUCUUCGGGCCUCUGUUGCAAAGCAUUACCGUACUUCCACAUGUCUAGUGGGUAAGGCUUAGUUUGUGGCUCAGUCUGGUUAUAAACAAAAGUACACGGAUGGAGGUGGAUGAAGUCGGGGGUCGAUGGACAUUCUCCAGGGCAAAUGAAGGCUACACGAGCUGCGGCCCGGUAGUCGAGAUGUCAUGGCACAGGGCCGGUGUCCUGCUGCUAGGGGCUCAGUCCUGCCUGCCUGUCCCGGGGGUUCCGGCCGUAGGUGGGAUUGGGUCGGUACUCUUGUCUAUGGCUAGGAUGGGUUGGAAACUAUGUCACAGCUUCCGUCUGUAUACCGUGGUGGUAUGUGGCACGUGGUUGCACGUGAGGAAGAUGUGUCUUGUGGGUAAAGAUGUACACCUCUGAUCAGAGUAUAAUCUAUUCGAAUAGCCGCGCCCUCGGUUAUGGGCAAGCCGAGCAAUGUACCCAAGUUAGUGUUUCAAUUCUUAAAACCUGCUUAACAACUAAAAUGUGGAAUGGUUGGCCUGGGUUGGCUUGGGACGAGCUGGGACCCAGGGUCGGGUUGCCAGUUCGGUCUGAAUCAUCGUAGGCCUUGGGUUAAGGCAGGUUCGUGUGGGUUCACGGCCUUGUUUAAUAACAUUGUAUAGUUCCAGGAUUGUGUUUACAAAAUAGCUUUGAGCAACUAAAUGUCUUUAAAUGCUGUUUACUGCAACCCUAACCCUUUAUGGUAUAAUUCCCUUGUACUCCCUUGCAUUUAUUCUGCAUUUGUGGGUGUGUCUUGUUGAGUACGGUGGUUGUACUCAGUCUUGCUCAAUUUUUCCCAAGCCCAGAAGAGGAGCUCCUUGAAGAUGAAGGCUUUGGUGUCUAGCUCGUGCCUGCCGUCAAGCGCCUGUGGUCGUCGCCCUAGUCUUCCGCUGUUUCUCGUUUGUCUCUGUGUGUGCUGGGCCUUUGCUGCCCAUGUAAUAAGUUAACUAUUUACGCUUCCGCUUGUUAAACUCUGAAUUGUAUCAACUUUUGGUGUACCUUGCCUCCUGGGACAAGGAUUAAUGCACGCACGUCAGGAACGCCCGUUGGGUUAUUUCCGGUCGUGACAGGAUUUGCCUCUCCUAUGGAGAGAUAUCUUUGGGCCCCUCGAUGUUGUAGAUUAUGGAAGUGCAUGGCCAUGACAAAGGUGAUUGAGGAGUCAAUCACAAGUUAUAUAAUCUAUCAACAGGUUCGAGUGAAUGUUAGAGGAUGGCACAUAUCUAGCCUUGAGCUUAAUCGAUAUCGUGAGGCAAAGGGGUUUAUACAAGUAUACACAAGAAGUUCAGCCGAUAUGGUCUUUACGUAUGCCCGGUGGGUCAAUACGUUCUUCUAGGAGCCGCUGUUGAUGUGUGGACCGAAAUGGAGUUUUCGGGUUACAGCCUAGUAUAUAUGAACCUACAGGGUCGCACGCUUAAUGGGGCGGAAUAAGGGGAUUGGAUAGAGAUCCAAUAUGAGCUUAAUUCAGAUAGGGAUCCGAAUAGGAGUUCUACGGGCCUUGGAGGCCCGAGUGAUGGAUCUUAUAUAUUCGUGAGGGGUGUGACCGGUGGAGCUAUUGCAUCACGUGAGAAACCCUAGCCGUCACUUCCCUCCCCGAGCAAAACCAUAGCCGCGCGCAGGUGCUAACACAUCAGCGCGUGGCGUUCCGUCCCUGUACGUGUGGAUACCGGUAGAGGCACAGCUGGUUUGCGGUGCUGAUCGGUGUGGGAGUACGGCGAGGAGAAUGCACGAGGAGGAGAAGGUCGAGCCGGUGCGAUCAACUACUUCCUCUAUAUCGACGCGCGCUACUUCGCGAGAGUUCCUUCGACUUCUCAGCAUCUUCUUCCGCUGCGCAGCGCGUCGAGUGGUAACGAUCUAUGAUCUAAUAAAUGCAUGGUUCCUGGUUUACGCGAUAGAAAAUUUUGAUUAAUGCUAUCGUAGCCUGCGCGUAUCCCAACAGUGGUAUCAGAGCCGCCUUGUAUAGUUUAUGAUCUAGAUCAUUGCAUAUAAUUGAUAUGCGAAUGUAGUAGAUGAGAUCUAUUAUGUUGUAUAUGAGUUCUUAGGUGAUCGGAACAUGAGAUGAACCGAUAGCUGCAUGGGUUGAUGAGAUCAAUCGGUAUGUGUGUUGGUGACUUCACUGGAAUGUCUAGUACUCACCAAGGCCGAGCGCGAUUGUGUUCAUCGGAUAGUCCGAUGUCCACUGGAACCGCACGCCAAUGAGAAAAUCGAGCCAAUGAGAUUGACUCGGUUUCGGCAUAAUUUGAUUACGCCGUUAAGGUUUUCACAUGGCGAAUCGUAGAUGAGAUCUAUGUACCCCGUGUUCGUUGCCCCUUAGAUUUCGCUUGGGGUUUUUAUGUCUAUCUUACUAUAUUGCUGUUAUAUAUUUGAUAUGACAUGGUAGGAUAGAUUCCCUUAGAAAAAUUAAGUGUAAUUUAUGCUCUUCCAAUAAUUGCACCUCUUACGGUUGUGAUCAUAAGUGAUGGGUUUGCCAUAGCAAAGUGUCACUUUUUAUCAUGAUAAAAUAGGAUAGAUGUCGGACAUCUAUAUGCGGAGAUUAUUGGUUUACUUGACAAGGUUAUCAAAACAGUUUUGGACCUUGGGGUAUAGGUUGAGUUGGACAUGGAGAUGUCACCCCAACAGCACAAGAGUCACAUAUGAUGUGAUUAGUAAGGUGUUUCUUACCUAUUUUGAUAGUUUUCUAGCUGUGAUGCCAAAGCUCACUAGACACUAAUAAAAUGAGGAUCUUGACUCACUAUGUUACUAGAGGGAAUUUUGUUUCACAAUACAUAGUGGGAGUAUCUUUUGUUAAAUUGUUUAAUGAAAGGUUAAAUGUAAACAUGGUGCUGCUUUUGCAUACACAUAUUUCUAUUGUAGAUCAUGGCAGCUCCUGCACCAUCCAAUUUUAACUUGCGGUCUAUUCUUGAGAAAGAGAAGUUGACUGGAACAAACUUUCAUGUAUUGGUAUCGCAACCUGAGAAUUGUUCUCAGGCAAGAGCACAAAGAGUUUGUGCUUGCACAGCCUUUUCCAGCUGACUUGCCCAACAAUGCUCCUGCUACUCAACAUAGAGAGCAUGAAAGGCGAUGCAAUCAAUACCUUGAUAUAAGCUGUCUCAUGCUUGCUACUAUGUCCCCUGAGCUUCAAAGGCAAUAUGAGGCAUUGGAUGCUCAUACGAUAAUCAUGGGACUACGUAACAUGUUUGAGGACCAAGCAAGAGCUGAGAGGUUUAAUACCUCAAAGUCCUUGUUUGCAUGCAGGCUUGCAGAAGGUAAUCCAAUGAGCCCACAUGUGAUCAAAAUGAUUGGUUACACCGAGAGUCUAGAUAAGCUUGGCUUUCCCCUUAGCCGAGAGUUGGCUACUGAUUUGAUUCUCCAGUCGCUCCCUCCCAGCUUUGAGCCAUUCAUAAUGUAUUUCAGCAUGAACAAUCUGAAUAGGACCUUCGCAGAAUUGCAUGGGAUGAUAAAGACUUGUCACGUCCUGAUAAAUUCAUCCCGAAAUAAAAAUCAUUUUCUAAAAGGAAUAAUAGAAUUAAUUAAAAUUUGAAAAGAAAUUGGCAAACACUAAAAUACGUACAAGAAAAUUUCGAAUGUGGCCCGGAGAAUUUUUGUUAAAUUCUCCUUGGUCUAAAAUGAGCCCUCAAAUUUUACUUGAAUUUUCAGAGCACCGGAAAUAUUUAUUAAGCAACAACAACUAUGAUCAAAGUUUAUUAAAAAGAAAACUUAAAAAUAAUCCUCCUUCCUCCUUUGGGCCAAGCCCAGCCCAAAGUCUCCCUCUCCUCCCUCUCUUUCCCUCCUCUCCCGGGCCUCUCCUCCUCCUCCCGGCCCACCUCUUCCCUCCCCCUCCCGGCCCAGCUCCCUCCCCUCCCCUCUCUCUCCCAGGCCUGCCUCUCCCUCCUCUCCUCAUGGGCCGCCUCUGGGCCCAAGCUGAGCGGCGCCCUCCCGCCCAUGCCGCGCACGUGCGUGUGCUGACCGCGUGGGGCCCACGCGCCGGUCGUCUUCCUCCUCCCGCACAGCCUCUUCUCUCUCCCGUGCAAACCUAGCGCCGUUCCUCCUCCAAAUUCGCCCCAAUCAAGCCGGCUCUUUCCAAAUUAAUUGGGGGGUUUUAAUCCCCAUUGAUUCCUCUUCAAUUCCCCCCAAUUUCCCCCUUGAAUCGUGCCCCCAAUCGCCGGGAACGGACGCGCCAACCCCGGCCACCUUCCAUGGCCGCCGGGCGCCUAUUCCGCCGCCGUUCCCCGCCUCUCCCGUGGCCGGCUCCCUCUCCUCCCCUAUAAAAUGGAAUCCCCAUCCUCCGUUCUAUCGUUUUAGCCCCCUCCCGCAUAUUCCCGUGGCCUCACCACCCCUUCCCGCCGUCGCCCUUCUCUUUCCCCCGCGCCGGCCACCUCCAGCCGCCUCUCCCUCCUCGCCCUAGCGCCGUCCGGCCGUGCCGUCGCCUUCCCCGGCGUCGCAGCCGCGUCCUCUUCCCCGGCGCUGCCUCCGAUCCGUGGGGAAAUCACCGGAGACGCGCCCCCGCCGGCGUCCAGUGGCGUCGCCGCCACUACACCGUCUCCGGCCGGCUGCUGUUCAUCGCCGGUACGCCGACCGACGUCGCCGUCUCCUCCGUCGACGUCGCAGCAUCGUCCUCUCCUCCGGCUGCUCCUCGGUUUCGCCGGAACACCGCCGCCGCCGCGCCGGCCCCUCCUUUCUCCUCGUCGACGUCGCCUUCGGUAGCCCCUUCCGCCGUGCCCGUGCGCCGGCCGACGUUGCCAUCUCCACCUCCGGCAUCACAGCGGCAAGGUCGUCCUCGGCCUCGCCUCCCCUCCACCCGAACACCGCCGGUGUCCGUCGUCGUCUUCACCGUUCAUCCUCGCCGGCUCGUCGUCUCGCGGCGCCGCCUCCGUCGUCGGCAUCGCAGCGGCGUGUUCCACGCCGUCCUCGUCUCCGUGCAGCCGCUGCCGGCUGCCAUCGUCGUCUCCUCGCCAGCCCCGGUCAUCGUCGUCGUCAUCCUCUCGUCGUUCCCAGUUUCGCUCGUCGUGGCGUUGGUCCCUCCGUCAAGCCGAUCGCGUUCGCCGCCCGUGGUUCAUCAAGCGAGCCGCUGCAGCCCCGUCGUCUUCGUCCUCACCUCCGCGUCGCCAAGCGUUGCGCCGGCCGCGUCUCGCCUUCGUCCAAGGAUCGCCGCCGAAGUCGCUCCCUCGCCGUUCGCCUCCGUCGUCUCCGAGCCAUCUCCGCCGCGCCCGUUCACCGUCGUCGUUCCCACGCCUCGUCGCGUGGUGGUAAGGAUCCGUCCUCUCGCUGCCCCGUCCUAGUCCUUUCGGUGUCGCCCGUGCCCGUUGUGCGGUUGUCGACCCCGGUACCCGUGUACUGGUGUCGGUAGUCGUUCGCUUGUGCGUGUAGUGUCCGUGUUAGUGUGUGUCGCGACCGGGAGAAUUGCCUUUUCCCGAACGCUAGUGUAUUAAUCCCCGUCCCAGGAAAAGCCGGGGUACACCACACAAACAUGAUAUAAGAGACACAUCUUUAUUAUAUCGAUAAUAUUUACAUUAUAACAAAGGCGCUUCAGGCCUGGCGAUCAAAAAUAAACAGCAGCGGACUAGCGGGCCUACGGCUCCAUCUUCACAGGCGCUCAACUGGGGUAUAAGCCAAGACUCCACCUAAGACUUCUUCUCCAAAACUUCUCUUACUGAGGGGGGAGAAAGAUAGAGCAAGAAUGAGUACAACCACAGUACUCAGCAAGCCACAUCGGAGAUGCAUAAUUAAUGCAAGCGGGGGUACAAGGGGAUAAUAAUAUAGGGGUUAAGUUUUGCGGAAAACAGCAUUUAAAAGCCACUUAGUUGACCAAAGCCAUUUAUAAAGACGAUCCUAGCGCUACACAAUAUUAUUAAUCAAGGCCGUGAACCUUCACGAACCUGCCUUAACCCAAGGCCUACGAUGAUUCAGACCGAACUGGCAACCCGACCCUGGGUCCCAGCUCGUCCCAAGCCAACCCAGGCCAACCAUUCCACAUUUUAGUUGUUGAGCAAAUUUUAAGAAUUAAAACACUGACUUGGGUACAUUGCUCGGCUUGCCCAUAACCGAGGGCGCGGCUAUUCGAAUAGAUUAUACUCUGAUCAGAGGUGUACAUCUUUACCCACAAGACACAUCUUCCUCACGUGCAACCACGUGCCACAUACCACCACGGUAUACAGACGGAAGACGUGACAUAGUUUCCAACCCAUCCUAGCCAUAGACAAGAGUACCGACCCAACCCCACCUACGGCCGGAACCCCCGGGACAGGUAGGCAGGACUGAGCCGCUAGCAGCAGGACACCGGCCCUGUGCCAUGACAUCUCGACUACCGGGCCGCAGCUCGUGUAGCCUUCAUUUGCCCUGGAGAAUGUCCAUCGACCCCCGACUUCAUCCAUCUCCAAUCCGUGUACUUUUGUUUAUAACCAGACUGAGCCACAAACUAAGCCUUACCCACUAGACAUGUGGAAGUACGGUAGUGCUUUGCAACAGAGGCCCGAGCUUAAUCCUUAUAGUGGCCGGGGUGCUACUUCCCACAACUGGCAUGCACCCAAACCCCACCGGAAAACAGGUUUUAGGGGUUUUGAAAGAGGAAGAGAGGUGUAUGUCCAAUUCCACCAUAAUCCAACAAUUCCAUAGUGUCCAGGUGAUAUGAGUAUUCCCAAGGUCUAGAGUUAUAAAACCACCUAAUGUUGCCUAAUUAAUCCGCGAAGCAUCUACCUAAAUUCAUACUAGUGGAACCAUGAAUAGAGUACCCACUAGUUGGGGUUUUGCUUAAUCUAGGGUGAACAAGGUAAUAAUAUCAAUAACAAUAAUAUUAAGGUUAUAACAAAGGUAAAUAGGCAUGGCUAAAUAAAACAGUGAUCACGCGGGAAUUUAAAUAAAGCGAUAAUGCAAUAAUUUAAAUCAAAAUAAUUUUAUGAACUGGGAUUCAACAUGUUCAAGGAUGAUGUGACUUGCCUUGCUUAGAGAGAACGGCCUUCCGAACCUUCGGCGACGACCGCGAACCACGCUUCGGGAACCUCCAGAACGACGAAGCUACGCGAGGCACACAAGCAAAGCUACAAGCCUAUAAAGAAGCAAUAACAAUACAUAAAAAGGAAGCACACGGUUCUUUAGGUUAUAACAAACAUUAAGAGACUUGAACGGGUCGAUUCGGAGUUCGUAUGACCAAGAUAUGAUCAUCCGAAGUUUAAUGCUGUUAUAUGGGGAUUUGCGGAUUAUUAUAAUUAAGCUUUGCAACUAUAAAACAUGUGCAAGCGCUAGCCUGGAAAAGACAGGAAGGCUGCGCCGUUGACAUGCGGACCCCACAUGUCAACCUAAAGGACCGCGGUAGACCGGGUACACAGAGACGGUCCACGGGUCGACGGAAGCGGACCCCGUGUGUCAACCGAGGCGAGUGGCCGACAAACGGACUCCACUAGACACCACACGGCCUGCACACGUGGAAACCACGCGGCUACCGAGCGGGCACACUAACGCGGACACUACACGGUCACCACCCGCACGCGUGAACGACUACCGACACCGGUACACGGCUACCGGGGCCGACAACCGCACAACGAGCACGGGCGACACCGAAAGGACGAGGACGGGGCAGCGAGGGAGAGGGAUCCUUACCACCACGCGACGAGGCGUGGGGACGACAACGACGAACGGGCGCGGCGGAGACAGACGGGCGCAACGGAGACGAACAGCGAGGGGACGGCUUCGGCGGCGAUCCUUGGACGAAGGCGAGACGCGGCCGGCACGAGGCUUGACGACGCGGAGCCGAGGACGAAGACGAGGACGGGGCUGCAGCGGCUCGCUUGACGAACGCGGACGACGGACGAGAACGGCUCGACGGAGGGACGAACGCCACGACGACCGGGAACGACGAGAGGACGACGACGACGACGACGACCGGGACCGGCGAGGAGGCGACGAGGACAGCCGGCAGCGGCUGCACGGGGACGAGGACGGCGUGGAACACGCCGCAGCGAUGAUGAUGACGGAGGCGGCGCCGCGAGACGAUGAGCCGGGCGACCGACGGGACGUCGAUCGGCGAGGACGAACGGUGACGAGGAAACGAUGAUGGCAGGCAGCAGCGGCUGAGCGGAGGAGGGGACGGCGUGGAACGCGCUGCUGCGAUGUUGGAGAAGGUGGUGGUGCAGCGGGGCGACGAGCCGACGAGGAGGAAUGGGUGGUUGGCGCGGCGGCGGCGUUCCGGCGAACUUCGGGCGAGGAGGAGGUGAUGCCGGGGAUGAGGGCGGCGUCGCGGAGCCGAGGGAGGUGGUGGCGACGUCGGCCGGCGCACGGGAAACGCGACAGUGGCGGCCGGAGGUGGAACAGUGGCGGCAACGCCACUGUUUUGCCGGCGAGGACGCGUCUCCGGUGCUUCCCCCGCGAAACGGAGGGCUGACCGAGGGAGAGGAGGUGGCUGCGAGGCCGAGGGAGAAGACGGCGCGGCCGGACGGCGCUCCGGUGAGGAGGGAGAGGCGGCUGGAGGCGGCCGGCGCGGAGGAAAGAGAAGGGCGACGGCGGGAACGCGCCUCCGGCGGUCACCGCGCGAAACGGAGGGCAGGCCGGGGUGGAGGAGGUGGCGGCGACGCUGGAGGAGGCGACGGCGCGGCCGGCCGGCGCACGGUCGAGGCGGCACAGGCGGCUGGAGGCGGCCGGCGGCGUGGGAGAGAGAGGAGGGCGGCGGGGAGAGGGCUAGGGACCACGGGGAGGCUCGGGAUGGGGUUAAAACGAUAGAACGGAGUGAGGGGAUCCCAUUUUAUAGGGUGGGGGCGGGAGCCGGGCUCGGGAGAGGGCGGAACGGCGGCGGGAAUAACGGCCGACGGCCAUGGAAAGCGGCCGGACUUGGCGCGUCCGUUCCUGGGGAUUGAAGGAACGAAUCAAGGGGGAAUUUGGGGGCAAUUGAAGAGGAUUCAAUGGGGAUUAAAACCCCCCAAUUAAUUUUGGAAUUGGCCAAUUGAAUCAAGCGGAUUUGGAGGAGGGAGCGAGCUAGGGUUCGCACGGGAGAGAGAGAAGCCGGGCGGGAGGAAGACGACGCGCCUGGCGCGUGGGCCCCACGCGGUCGGGCGCGCGGUCAGCGCGCGGCAACGGCGCGCACGCGCGCGCACGUGCGCGGCACGGGCGGGAGGGCGCCGCUCGGGUUGGGCCGAGCGGCCGGCCCAGGAGGAGAGGAGGGGGAGGCGGCCUGGGCCGGGCAGGCCGGGAGGGGGGGGGACGGCCCGAGAGAGAGAGGGGAGGGGGAGGGAGCUGGGCCGAGGGGAAGGGGGGCCCAAGAGGAGGGAGAGAAGGAGAGGGAGAGAAAGAGAGGGAGGAAAGGGAGACUUCGGCCGCGGGCCGAGGGGAGAGAGGGAGGACUUUGGGCCAGACUUGGCCCAAAGGAGUGUCACGUCCUGAUAAAUUCUUCUCGAAAUAUAAAUCAUUUUCUAAAAGGAAUAAUAGAAUUAAUUAAAAUUCGAAAAGAAAUUGGCAAACACUAAAAUACGUGCAAGAAAAAUUCGAAUGUGGCCCGGAGAAUUUUUGUUAAAUUCUCCUUGGUCUAAAAAGAGCCCUCAAAUUUUACUUGAAUUUUCAAAGCACCGGAAAUAAUUAUUAAACAACAAAAACAAUUAUCAAAGUUUAAUAAAAAGAAAAAUCUAAAAAUAAUCCUCCUUUUCUUUUGGGCCAAUUUUGGCCCAAAGUCCUCCCUCUCUCCCCUCGGCCCGCGGCCGAAGUCUCCUUUUCCUCCCUCUCUUUCUCUCCCACUCCUUCUCUCCCUCCUCUUGGGCCCCCCUUCCCCUCGGCCCAGCUCCCUCCCCCCUCUCUCUCCCGGGCUGCCUCUUCCCCCCCCUCCCCUCCCGGCCUGCCCGGCCCAGGCCGCCUCCCCCUCCUCUCCUCCUGGGCCGGCCGCCCGGCCCAACCCGAGCGGCGCCCUCCCGCCCAUGCCGCGCACGUGCGCGCGCGUGCGCGCCGUUGCCGCGCGCUGAGCGCGCGCCCCGCGUGGGACCCGCCUGCCAGGCCGGUCAUCUUCCUCCUCCCGCACGGCCCUCUCUCUCCCGUGAAAACCCUACUUAGUUCCUCCCUCGAAUCCGCGCGAUUUAAGCGUUGGAUUCCAAAAUUAAUUGGGGGGUUUUAAUCCCCAUUGAAUCCUCUUCAAUUGCCCCCAAAUUCCCCCUUGAUUCGUGCCUUCAAUCGUCGGGAACGCCGCGCCUUCCUCGGCUGCCUCCCAUGGCCGCCGGCCGCCAUUCCCGUCGCCGUUCCGCCCCCUCCCGAGCCCGGCUCCCGCCCCCAUCCUAUAAAAUGGAACCCCCUCUUUGCGUUCUAUUGUUUUAGCCCUUUCUCGAGCUCCCCCGCGGCCACAGCACCCCUCCCCGCCGUCGCCCUCUCUCUCCCGUGCCGCUGGACGCCUCCAGCCGCCCCUACCGCCUUGCCUGAGCGCCGCCCGGCCGUGCCGUCGCCUUCCUCGGCCUCGCAGCCACCUCCUCUCCCUCGGUCAGCCCUCUGUUUCGCGGGGAAAGCACCGGAGACGCGUCCUCGCCGGCAAAACAGUGGCGUUGCCGCCACUGUUCCACCUCCGGCCGCCACUGUCGCGUUUCCCGUGCGCCGGCCGACGUCGCCACCACCUCCCUCGGCUCCGCGACGCCGCCCUCAUCCCCGGCAUCACCUCCUCCUCGCCCGAAGCUCGCCGGAGUGGCCUCCUCGUCGGCGUCCAGUACCUCCCCGCCUCCGGCCGGCUCCUGUACGUCGCCGGUACGCCGAUCGACGUCGCCGCGUUGUCCUCUCCUCCAGCUGCUCCUCUGUUUCGCCGGAACACCGUCGCCCGUGCUGGCCUCUCCAUCCUCAUCGUCGCCGACGUCCCUUCGGCCGCCCGUUCAUCCUCGCCGGCUCGUCGUCUCGCGGUGCCGCCUCCGUCGUCGGAUUCGCAGCGGCGCGUUCCACGUCGUCCCCGUCUCCGUGCAGCUGCCGCCGGCUGCCCUCGUCGUCUCCUCGCUGGCCCCGGUCGUCGUCGUCGUCGUCCUCCCGUCGUUCCCGGUCGUCGUGGCGUUCGUCCCUCCGUCAAGCCGUUCUCGUCCGUCGUCCGCGUUUGUCAAGUGUGCCGCUGCAGCCCCGUCGUCGUCUUCGUCCUCGACUCCGCGUCGUCACGCCUCGUGCCGGCCGCGUCUCGCCUUCGUCCAAGGAUCGCCGCCGAAGUCGUCCCCUCGCCGUUCGUCCCCGUAGUUCCCGGCCGCCUCCGCCGCGCCCGUUCGUCGUUGUCGUUCCCACGCCUCGUCGCGUGGUGGUAAGGAUCCCUCCCCCUCGCUGCCCUGUCCUCGUCCUUUCGGUGUCGCCCGUGCCCGUUGUGCGGUUGUCGGCCCCGGUACCCGUGUAUCGGUGUCGGCAGUCGUUCGCUUGUGCGCGUGGUGACCGUGUUAGUGUGUCCGCUCGGUAGCCGCGUGGUUUCCACGUGUGCAACCCGUGUGGUGUUUAGUGGAGUCCGUUUGUCAGCCACUCGCCUCAGUUGACACACGGGAUCCGCUUCCGUCGACCCGUGGACCGUCUCUGUGCACUCGGUCUACCGCGGUCCUUUAGGUUGACAUGUGGGGUCCGCAUGUCAACAGCGCAGCCUUCCUGUCUUUUCUAGGCUAGCGCUUACACAUGUUUUAUAGUUGCAAAGCUUAAUUAUAAUAAUCCGCAAAUCUCCAUGUAACAGCAUUAAACUUCGGAUGAUCAUAUCUUGGUCAUACGAACUCUGAAUCGACCCGUUCAAGUCUCCUAAUGUUUGUUAUAACCUAAAGAACCCUGUGUUUUCUUUUUAUGUAUUGUUAUUGCUUCUUUAUAGGCUUGUAGCUUUGCUUGUGUGCUUCGCGUAGCUUCUGUCGUUCCGGAGGUUCCCGAAGCGUGGUUCGUGGUCGUCGCCAAAGGUUCGGAAGGCCGUUCUCUCUGAGCAAGGCAAGUCACAUCAUCCUUGAGCAUAUUGAAUCCCAGUUUAUAAAAUUAUUUUAAUUUAAAUUAAUGCAUUAUCGCUUUAUUUAAAUUCCCGCGUUAUCACUGUUUUAUUUAGCCAUGCCUAUUUACCUUUGUUAUGACCUUAUUAUUAUUGCUAUUGUUAUUAUUACCUUGUUCACCCUAGGAUAAACAAAACCCCAACUAGUGGGUACUCUAUUCAUGGUUCCACUAGUAUGAAUUUAGGUAGAUGCUUCGCUGAUUAAUUAGGCAACAUUAGGUGGUUUUAUAACUUUAGACUUUGGGAAUUCUCAUAUCAUUUGGACACUAUGGAAUUGUUGGUUUAUGGUGGAAUUGGACAUACACCUCUCUUCCUCUUUCAAAACCCCUAAAACCUGUUUUCGGUGGGGUUUGGGUGCAUGCCAGUUGUGGGAAGUAGCACCCCGACCACUAUAAGGAUUAAGCUCGGGCCUCUGUUGCAAAGCACUACCGUACUUCCACAUGUCUAGUGGGUAAGGCUUAGUUUGUGGCUCAGUCUGGUCAUAAACAAAAGUACACGGAUGGAGAUGGAUGAAGUCGGGGGUCGAUGGACAUUCUCUAGGACAAAUGAAGGCUACACGAGCUGCGGCCCGGUAGUCGAGAUGUCAUGGCACAGGGUUGGUGCCCUGCUGCUAGGGGCUCAGUCCUGCCUGCCUGUCCCGGAGGUUCCGGCCGUAGGUGGGAUUGGGUCGGUACUCUUGUUUAUGGCUAGGAUGGGUUGGGAACUAUGUCACGUCUUCCGUCCGUAUACCGUGGUGGUAUGUGGCACGUGGUUACACGUGAGGAAGAUGUGUCUUGUGGGUAAAGAUGUACACCUCUGAUUAGAGUAUAAUCUAUUCGAAUAGCCGCGCCCUCGGUUAUGGGCAAGCCGAGCAAUGUACCCAAGUCAGUGUUUUAAUUCUUAAAAUUUGCUCAACAACUAAAAUGUGGAAUGGUUGGCCUGGGUUGGCUUGGGACGAGCUGGGACCCAGGGUCGGGUUGCCAGUUCGGUCUGAAUCAUCGUAGGCCUUGGGUCAAGGCAGGUUCGUGUGGGUUCACGGCCUUGGUUAAUAAUACUGUGUAGCUCUAGGAUCGUCUUUAUAAAAUGGCUUUGGGCAACUAAGUGACUUUUAAAUGCUGUUUACUGCAAAACUUAACCCCUAUAUUAUUACCCCUUGUACUCCCUUGCAUUAAUUAUGCAUCUCCGGUGUGGCUUGCUGAGUACUGUGGUUGUACUCAUUCUUGCUCAAUCUUUCCCCUCUUCAGUAAGAGAAUGUUUGGAGAAGAUGUCUUGGGUGGAGUCCUGGCUUAUACCCCAGUUGAGCGCCUGUGAAGAUGGAGCCGUAGGCCCGCUAGUCCGCUGCUGUUUAUUUUUGAUUGUCAGGCCUUAAGUGCCUUUGUAAUAAUGUAAAUAUUAUCGAUAUAAUAAAGAUGUGUCUUUUAUAUCAUGUUUGUGUGGUGUACCCCGGCUUUUCCUGGGACGGGGAUUAAUACACUAGCGUUCGGGAAAAUGAAAUUUUCCCGGUCGCGACAAGAUGGUAUCAGAGCCAUCUCGACUGUAGGAUAAGCCAAGUGGAUAAAACCUAAGGACAUAUUUUAUAAAUAAAACUAUUUGUGAAAGUCCCUUUUUCCUCCUUUCCCCUGUGCUAUUUGCAAAAUGUUUAUUCUCUUUUCUUCCUCCUUCGGAUUUUCAACUAGUACUAGAUGGUCAGGUCAGUGAAGAAGAAGACAUCGUCAGUUGUCUGCCGAAGCUCCAGAAGACUGCAGGAUCCGCUAGCGAAGUGGAGGAAGCAGUGAAGCCAGCUAUGAAGCAGGAGUGAAGAUCUUGGGAACCCGUCGCAGAACCUAAGCCACCCUAUAGGGUAGUGUUGUUAGUCGCGUGUUCCUUGCUUGUGUGUGUAGCGCGUGGUUUGCAUCGGGGGGUUGUGAUGUAACCAUGCUAGGUUGUUUGCUUAAUCAACUUGCAGAAUAAGUGAAACAAACAGCACAUCAACAAGAAGAGUUAGUUCCUUUAAGGUCCUAUCCCUAGUUCUGGUCUAUUCUUUCCUGGCUUGUUUCCUCUCUCACCUGAAUCCCUGUAACAGAUGUUUAACAGAGAAAAAGGAAAGAAUGUCAGCGGGUAUACCUCAAGUAACUCAAGUUUUCAACUCAAUCCACCACUGGCCCCCAGAGAGUUAACAAGGGCACACCCUUGGUCCAUUCCGAGCAUGCUGUUUAGUUCACAGCUACCAUUGGUUGGAAGUCAAGACCAAAAUCAGUAUGUGUUUGAUCGAGCCUUUGCCACCCAAGUCAAUGAGCUUCCAAUGCCAGAAGAGCAGGUCCCCUUUUGUCAUGAUUGUAGAGAGCAAGGACACUAUGCCCUGAAUUGUCCAUGGGUAUAUGUCAAAGAAGCCCCUUCCCUUGGUUUAGCAGGGCAGACAUCGCUAAACCAGCCUCCUCACACCAAGUCAAGCUUGCAGCCUAGUGUGCAAAGUAGAGAGCUCAACGGAGAGAAUCCAUUGAAUCCCGGGAAAUGCUUUCCUCCUAGCCUCUCGUACCACGUGGGGUCACAUACUAAGCAAGCCAAAGGCAAGAAGAGUAAGAAUCAGAAGAGAAAAGCACCGAUGCGAACUGAAGAAGAAGUACGUAAGAUGACUAUUACCAGCACCGAAUGGCCUCCAGCAGGGAUAACUAUUCCUAGACGUCAAAGAGGAAAUACUUUCCGAGGUGCACGACAGUUGACCCAGCACCUCUUAAGCCAUGGUGGCAGAGUAUCUGAUAGUGAAGGGUCAGAUCAAGUCUCCUCGGAUGAUGAAGAUGAGUCUCCCCGACAUCUCGGCGAGGAAGAGAUGGAAUCAAAGGCAUGCACCCGUUGCGGGGAAAUUGAACACGUUGCUAGCGUGUGUCUCACACUCUGCACUCAUUGUGAAGAAGACCAUCCACCAGGGGAGUGUCCCACCCGCAAGGUCACAUGUUUUCUGUGCGAAGGUACAAACCAUGUGCCCAAGGAUUGCCAACUCAGUGUGUUGUUGACCAAGACCGCAGAAAUCCAACGAACAACCCUACGAUUGUCUCAUCAGCUAGUCAGCUCCAACAGCAACAUCGACGAUAUCAUCCACAGCACCAAUGCUCCUCUCGCUGCACCUGACUCUGCAGUAAGUCAUAGCGAUAAUACCUUCAGCACCAACCAUUCUCUGCACCGACCGCCUCAGCAAAGAAUUGUCAUCGAUGGAAGAAGUUGUGUCUCUCCCCGACCUACUCCAGGCCGAGCCAAGGACAAUCAACCUCCGGAGGGCGAUACCAAGCAGAAGACCGUUAUUCGCCUCAACCAGCAAUCAGAAGGAAACUUCUCCUGUGAAUGAUAGCAAUAUGCAGUCCUAUCACAUCAUCACAGAACCAAUCAAGGAUGCAGUCACUAGAACAAUGCUAGCUAUGUAUCCAUGUUUGUGAUUUUCAGUUCGCUACUUAUCACUGUAAUCGGGAGUUUGCGGCAAUCAUGUAAUAAAUAAAUAUAUUCAUGAUUAUAAACAAUGAGUUUGUUAUGUUUAUGGAAGAUUCAUGUUGAGGAUGCAAUGUACCAAUGCUAAGCACCUUUCCUUUUAGGCAAUGCUUAGUAUUCAUGUAAUGAGGGAGAAAUGUGUAAUACAGACAAGUUCUAUGAGGAUUCUUUUGGAAGAUGCGGAUAUGUGAUUAUGUGUAUAAUUGCUUACUGAUAAAGGAGACCUAGGGUCUCAUUCCAGAGGAACUAUGUUCUAACCUCGAGUUAAUAACCAACCUGAUGAUGGAAAUGAAAAUCAAGCGAUUAACCAAAGAGACAUUUGUUUGGACAAGAGUUUCAGAUGUGUCUUUUUCGGAUGUCAGGGUUGAAUGUGUAAAGGAAUACUUUGAAUGCUAAAUAAUGACAACAUGAAGGGAAUAGUGGGAAGUAAACUGAAUGUAAAGAAAGUGAAUCCGAGUUGCCUGUUCGUGGGAACUAUUCCCAGUUAUGAACCAAGUGAAAUGUUCGAAGAUAGUCUAUAGAGGUCAGAUUAAAAUUGCAUCUAACAACAAAGCUUCAGAUUUGGCAGGAAAACGAUCAGACAAUAACAAGUUCAGCAGUAAAGUCAUUUAGGAAGACGUCAAAGCAUGUCAAGUGGGAUAAGUUGGUUCUGUUGAGAAACAUAAUUCAAAGGCAAAGUUAUCGACCCUCGCAUCGAAUAGCAGAAGUAGCUAGCACCCGGAGACCAGGAAAACUAAUAUGAGGCAGUUUGUGGCAAGAUAGAAGUAAAUGACAAGCAUGAUAUUCUUAUGAUGACGAACAUGGUAUCCUAGUAAUGACCAGCUAGUGUUGACGCAUGACAUGAAGUGGUAACUUGUAUGAGGUUGACGCCAAAGAUAUGAACUAUGAGAAGUUCUGGAUCUGAAGCCCCAUCAUCAAGUGCCACAACCCAGUCGAAGUCAGCUAAAGGUUCAACCAGGGACAAGUCGGGUGAAGAGAAGAUUCUAUCCGCAACAGGAGAUCGAGACAAGCAGUACAGAGUGGAGAAGUUUUGCUAGGCAAGUUUGUUAUAAAAGACGCGAUGGAAGAAGUCAGACAAGAAGAGAAGACCGCCCAACCUAUCUUCAUGCUAGCCUCCUCGAAUCUCGGGGACGAGAUUCUUGUAAGGGGGGUGGAUUUGUCACGUCCUGAUAAAUUCAUCCCGAAAUAAAAAUCAUUUUCUAAAAGGAAUAAUAGAAUUAAUUAAAAUUCGAAAAGAAAUUGGCAAACACUAAAAUACGUGCAAGAAAAAUUCGAAUGUGGCCCGGAGAAUUUUUGUUAAAUUCUCCUUGGUCUAAAAAGAGCCCUCAAAUUUUACUUGAAUUUUCAGAGCACCGGAAAUAAUUAUUAAACAACAAAAACAAUUAUCAAAGUUUAAUAAAAAGAAAAAUCUAAAAAUAAUCCUCCUUUUCUUUUGGGCCAAUUUUGGCCCAAAGUCCUUCCUCUCUCCCCUCGGCCCGCGGCCGAAGUCUCCCUUUCCUCCCUCUCUUUCUCUCCCUCUCCUUCUCUCCCUCCUCUUGGGCCCCCCUUCCCCUCGGCCCAGCUCCCUCCCCCCUCUCUCUCCCGGGCUGCCUCUUCCCCCCCCCUCCCCUCCCGGCCUGCCCGGCCCAGGCCGCCUCCCCCUCCUCUCCUCCUGGGCCGGCCGCCCGGCCCAACCCGAGCGGCGCCCUCCCGCCCGUGCCGCGCACGUGCGCGCGCCUGCGCGCCGUUGCCGCGCGCUGAGCGCGCGCCCCGCGUGGGACCCGCCUGCCAGGCCGGUCAUCUUCCUCCUCCCGCACGGCCCUCUCUCUCUCCCGUGAAAACCCUACUUAGUUCCUCCCUCGAAUCCGCGCGAUUUAAGCGUUGGAUUCCAAAAUUAAUUGGGGGGUUUUAAUCCCCAUUGAAUCCUCUUCAAUUGCCCCCAAAUUCCCCCUUGAUUCGUGCCUUCAAUCGUCGGGAACGCCGCGCCUUCCUCGGCUGCCUCCCAUGGCCGCCGGCCGCCAUUCCCGUCGCCGUUCCGCCCCCUCCCGAGCCCGGCUCCCGCCCCCAUCCUAUAAAAUGGAACCCCCUCUUUGCGUUCUAUUGUUUUAGCCCUUUCUCGAGCUCCCCCGCGGCCGCAGCACCCCUCCCCGCCGUCGCCCUCUCUCUCCCGUGCCGCUGGACGCCUCCAGCCGCCCCUACCGCCUUGCCUGAGCGCCGCCCGGCCGUGCCGUCGCCUUCCUCGGCCUCGCAGCCACCUCCUCUCCCUCGGUCAGCCCUCUGUUUCGCGGGGAAAGCACCGGAGACGCGUCCUCGCCGGCAAAACAGUGGCGUUGCCGCCACUGUUCCACCUCCGGCCGCCACUGUCGCGUUUCCCGUGCGCCGGCCGACGUCGCCACCACCUCCCUCGGCUCCGCGACGCCGCCUUCAUCCCCGGCAUCACCUCCUCCUCGCCCGAAGCUCGCCGGAGUGGCCUCCUCGUCGGCGUCCAGUACCUCCCCGCCUCCGGCCGGCUCCUGUACGUCGCCGGUACGCCGAUCGACGUCGCCGCGUUGUCCUCUCCUCCAGCUGCUCCUCUGUUUCGCCGGAACACCGUCGCCCGUGCUGGCCUCUCCAUCCUCAUCGUCGCCGACGUCCCUUCGGCCGCCCGUUCAUCCUCGCCGGCUCGUCGUCUCGCGGUGCCGCCUCCGUCGUCGGAUUCGCAGCGGCGCGUUCCACGUCGUCCCCGUCUCCGUGCAGCUGCCGCCGGCUGCCCUCGUCGUCUCCUCGCCGGCCCCGGUCGUCGUCGUCGUCGUCCUCCCGUCGUUCCCGGUCGUCGUGGCGUUCGUCCCUCCGUCAAGCCGUUCUCGUCCGUCGUCCGCGUUCGUCAAGUGUGCCGCUGCAGCCCCGUCGUCGUCUUCGUCCUCGACUCCGCGUCGUCACGCCUCGUGCCGGCCGCGUCUCGCCUUCGUCCAAGGAUCGCCGCCGAAGUCGUCCCCUCGCCGUUCGUCCCCGUAGUUCCCGGCCGCCUCCGCCGCGCCCGUUCGUCGUUGUCGUUCCCACGCCUCGUCGCGUGGUGGUAAGGAUCCCUCCCCCUCGCUGCCCUGUCCUCGUCCUUUCGGUGUCGCCCGUGCCCGUUGUGCGGUUGUCGGCCCCGGUACCCGUGUAUCGGUGUCGGCAGUCGUUCGCUUGUGCGCGUGGUGACCGUGUUAGUGUGUCCGCUCGGUAGCCGCGUGGUUUCCACGUGUGCAACCCGUGUGGUGUUUAGUGGAGUCCGUUUGUCAGCCACUCGCCUCAGUUGACACACGGGAUCCGCUUCCGUCGACCCGUGGACCGUCUCUGUGCACUCGGUCUACCGCGGUCCUUUAGGUUGACAUGUGGGGUCCGCAUGUCAACAGCGCAGCCUUCCUGUCUUUUCUAGGCUAGCGCUUACACAUGUUUUAUAGUUGCAAAGCUUAAUUAUAAUAAUCCGCAAAUCUCCAUGUAACAGCAUUAAACUUCGGAUGAUCAUAUCUUGGUCAUACGAACUCUGAAUCGACCCGUUCAAGUCUCCUAAUGUUUGUUAUAACCUAAAGAACCCUGUGUUUUCUUUUUAUGUAUUGUUAUUGCUUCUUUAUAGGCUUGUAGCUUUGCUUGUGUGCUUCGCGUAGCUUCUGUCGUUCCGGAGGUUCCCGAAGCGUGGUUCGUGGUCGUCGCCAAAGGUUCGGAAGGCCGUUCUCUCUGAGCAAGGCAAGUCACAUCAUCCUUGAGCAUAUUGAAUCCCAGUUUAUAAAAUUAUUUUAAUUUAAAUUAAUGCAUUAUCGCUUUAUUUAAAUUCCCGCGUUAUCACUGUUUUAUUUAGCCAUGCCUAUUUACCUUUGUUAUGACCUUAUUAUUAUUGCUAUUGUUAUUAUUACCUUGUUCACCCUAGGAUAAACAAAACCCCAACUAGUGGGUACUCUAUUCAUGGUUCCACUAGUAUGAAUUUAGGUAGAUGCUUCGCUGAUUAAUUAGGCAACAUUAGGUGGUUUUAUAACUUUAGACUUUGGGAAUUCUCAUAUCAUUUGGACACUAUGGAAUUGUUGGUUUAUGGUGGAAUUGGACAUACACCUCUCUUCCUCUUUCAAAACCCCUAAAACCUGUUUUCGGUGGGGUUUGGGUGCAUGCCAGUUGUGGGAAGUAGCACCCCGACCACUAUAAGGAUUAAGCUCGGGCCUCUGUUGCAAAGCACUACCGUACUUCCACAUGUCUAGUGGGUAAGGCUUAGUUUGUGGCUUAGUCUGGUCAUAAACAAAAGUACACGGAUGGAGAUGGAUGAAGUCGGGGGUCGAUGGACAUUCUCUAGGACAAAUGAAGGCUACACGAGCUGCGGCCCGGUAGUCGAGAUGUCAUGGCACAGGGUUGGUGCCCUGCUGCUAGGGGCUCAGUCCUGCCUGCCUGUCCCGGAGGUUCCGGCCGUAGGUGGGAUUGGGUCGGUACUCUUGUUUAUGGCUAGGAUGGGUUGGGAACUAUGUCACGUCUUCCGUCCGUAUACCGUGGUGGUAUGUGGCACGUGGUUACACGUGAGGAAGAUGUGUCUUGUGGGUAAAGAUGUACACCUCUGAUCAGAGUAUAAUCUAUUCGAAUAGCCGCGCCCUCGGUUAUGGGCAAGCCGAGCAAUGUACCCAAGUCAGUGUUUUAAUUCUUAAAAUUUGCUCAACAACUAAAAUGUGGAAUGGUUGGCCUGGGUUGGCUUGGGACGAGCUGGGACCCAGGGUCGGGUUGCCAGUUCGGUCUGAAUCAUCGUAGGCCUUGGGUCAAGGCAGGUUCGUGUGGGUUCACGGCCUUGGUUAAUAAUACUGUGUAGCUCUAGGAUCGUCUUUAUAAAAUGGCUUUGGGCAACUAAGUGACUUUUAAAUGCUGUUUACUGCAAAACUUAACCCCUAUAUUAUUACCCCUUGUACUCCCUUGCAUUAAUUAUGCAUCUCCGGUGUGGCUUGCUGAGUACUGUGGUUGUACUCAUUCUUGCUCAAUCUUUCCCCUCUUCAGUAAGAGAAUGUUUGGAGAAGAUGUCUUGGGUGGAGUCCUGACUUAUACCCCAGUUGAGCGCCUGUGAAGAUGGAGCCGUAGGCCCGCUAGUCCGCUGCUGUUUAUUUUUGAUUGUCAGGCCUUAAGUGCCUUUGUAAUAAUGUAAAUAUUAUCGAUAUAAUAAAGAUGUGUCUUUUAUAUCAUGUUUGUGUGGUGUACCCCGGCUUUUCCUGGGACGGGGAUUAAUACACUAGCGUUCGGGAAAAUGAAAUUUUCCCGGUCGCGACAAGGAGGAAGGAGGGUUAUUUUUAGGUUUUUUCUUUUUAAUAAACUUUGAUAAUUGUUUUUGUCGCUUAAUAAUUAUUUCCGGUGCUCUGAAAAUUCAAGUAAAAUUUGAGGGCUCCUUUUAGGCCAAGGAGAAUUUAACAAAAAUUCUCCGGGCCACAUUCGAAUUUUUCUUGUACGUAUUUUUAGUGUUUGCCAAUUUCUUUUCGAAUUUUAAUUAAUUCUAUUAUUCCUUUUAGAGAAUGAUUUUUAAUUCGGGAUGAAUUUAUCAGGACGUGACAAAUCCACCCCCCUUACAAGAAUCUCGUCCCCGAGAUUUGAGGAGGCUAGCAAGAAGAUAGGUUGGGCGGUCCUCUCUUCUUGUCUGACUUCUCCCGCUCCGUCUUUUAUAACAAACUUGCCUAGCACAACUUCUCCACUCUGGACUGCUCGGCUCGAUCUCCUGUUGCAGAUGGAAUCUUCUCUUCACCUGACUUGUCCCUGGUUGAACCUUUAGCUGACUUCGACUGGGUUGCGGCACUUGAAGAUGGGGCCUCAGUUCUAGAACUUCGCAUAGUUCAUAUCUUUGGAGUCAACCUCAUACAAGUUACCCACUUCAUGUCAUGCGUCGAGAUCAGCUCGUCAUUACUAGGAUACCAUGUUUGUCAUCAUAAGAAUAUCAUGCUUGUCAUUUGCUUCUAACUUGCUACCAACUGCCUCAUAUUAACUUUCCUGGUCUCCGGGUGCUAGCUACUUCUGUUAUUUGACGCCAGGGUCGAUAACUUUGCCUUUAAAUUAUGUUUCUCAACAGAACCAACUUAUCCCACUUGACAUGCUUUGACGUCUUCCCAAAUGGCUUUACUGCUGGACUUCUUAUUGUUUGAUCGUUAUCCUGCCAAAUCUGAAGCUUCGUUGUUAGGUGUGAUUUUAAUCUGACCUCUAUAGACUAUCUUCGAACAUAUCACUUGGUUCAUAACUGGGAAUAGCUCCCACGAACAGACAACUCGGAUUCACCUUCUUUUCAUUCGGUUUACUUCCCACUAUUCUCUUCAUGUUGUCAUCAUUUAGCAUUCAAAGUAUUCCUUUACACAUUCAACCCUGACGUAUUCUUUUCAGAUUUCUCUUAUCAAUCACCUUUCGACCUACUUCUUUGCCUGAUAGUAAACACCUUUGCUGGUAUCUUCUAUCAAUAACCUCUUGAACUUUGUCAACCAAGUAAUCUUCACUCCGAGAGUUGUGGAUGCUUCUGGUGACGAUGUGGUCCUUUGGUCUGCUGCCUUUCAGUGAAACCUUGAAGUGUUUUGCCAAAAGCUGUACUGACUGUCUUUGUCUUUGAUCCGAAAAAGACACAUCUGAAACUCUUAGUCCAAACAAAUGUCUCUUUGGUUAAACGCUUGAUUUUCUUUUCCAUCAUCAGGUUGGUUAUUAACUCGAGGUUAGAACAUAGUCCCUCUGAAAUGAGACCCUAGGUUUCCUUCGACAGUAAACAAUUAUACACCUAAUCCCAUAUCGGCAUCUUCUGAAAGAGUCCUCAUAGAACUUGUUUUUAUUACACAUUUCUCCCAUAUUACAUGAAUACGAGGCACUGCCUUAAACAAAAAGGGAAGGUGCUUAACAUCGGUACAUUGCAUCCUCAACAUGAAUCUUCCAUAAACAUAACAAACUCAUUGUUUAUAAUCAUGAAUAUAUUUAUUUAUUACAUGAUUGCUGCAAACUCCCGAUUACAGUGAUAAGUAGCGAACUGAAAAUCACAAACAUGGAUACAUAGCUGGCAUUGUUCUAGUGACUGCAUCCUUGAUUGGUUCUGUGAUGAUGUGAUAGGACUGCAUAUUGCUAUCAUUCACAGGAGAAGCUUCCUUCUGAUUGCUGGUUGAAGCGAAUAACGGUCUUCUGCUUGGUAUCGCCCUCCUGAGGUUGAUUGCCCUUCGCUCGGCCUGGAGUAGGUCGGGGAGAGACACAACUUCUUCCAUCGACGACAAUUCUUUGCUGAGGCUGUCGGUGCAGAGAAUGGUUGGUGCUGAAGGUAUUAUUGCUAUGAUUCAUUGCAGAGUCAGGUGCAGCAGGAGGAGCAUUGGUGCUGGGGAUGAUAUCGUCGAUGUUGCUGUUGGAGCUGACUAGCUGAUGAGACAAUCGUAGGGUUGUUCGUUGGAUUUCUGCGGUCUUGGUCAACAACACACUGAGUUGGCAAUCCUUGGGUACAUGGUUUGUACCUUCGCACAGAAAACAUGUGACCUUGCGGGUGGGACACUCCCCUGGUGGAUGGUCUUCUUCACAAUGAGUGCAGAGUGUGAGACACAUGCUAGCAACGUGUCCAAUUUCCCCGCAACGGGUGCAUGCCUUUGAUUCCAUCUCUUCCUCGCCGAGAUGUCGGGGAGACUCAUCUUCAUCAUCCGAGGAGACUUGAUCUGACCCUUCACUAUCAGAUACUCUGCCACCAUGACUUAGGAGGUGCUGGGUCAACUGUCGUGCACCUCGGAAAGUAUUUCCUCUUUGACGUCUAGGAAUAGUUAUCCCUGCUGGAGGCCAUUCGGUGCUGGUAAUAGUCAUCUUACGUACUUCUUCUUCAGUUCGCAUCGGUGCUUUUCUCUUCUGAUUCUUACUCUUCUUGCCUUUGGCUUGCUUAGUAUGUGACCCCACGUGGUACGAGAGGCUAGGAGGAAAGCAUUUCCCGGGAUUCAAUGGAUUCUCUCCGUUGAGCUCUCUACUUUGCACACUAGGCUGCAAGCUUGACUUGGUGUGAGGAGGCUGGUUUAGCGAUGUCUGCCCUGCUAAACCAAGGGAAGGGGCUUCUUUGACAUAUACCCAUGGACAAUUCAGGGCAUAGUGUCCUUGCUCUCUACAAUCAUGACAAAAGGGGACCUGCUCUUCUGGCAUUGGAAGCUCAUUGACCUGGGUGGCAAAGGCUCGAUCAAACACAUACUGAUUUUGGUCUUGACUUCCAACCAAUGGUAGCUGUGAACUAAGCAGCAUGCUUGGAAUGGACCAAGGGUGUGCCCUGGUUAACUCUCUUGAGGCCAGUGGUGGAUUGAGUUGGAAACUUAAGUUACUUGAGGCAUACCCGCUGACAUUCUUUCCUUUUUCUCUGUUAUACAUCUGUUACAGGGAUUGAGGUGAGAGAGGAAACAAGCCAGGAAAGAAUAGACCAGAACUAGGGACCAGACCUUAAAAGAACUAACUCUUCUUAUUGAUGUAUUGUUUGUUUCACUUAUUCUGCAAGUUGAUUAAGCAAACAACCUAACAUGGUUACAUCACAACCCACCGAUGCAAACCACGCGCUACACACACAAGCAAGGAACACACGACUAACAACACUACCCUACAGGGUGGCUUAGGUUCUGCGACGGGUUCUCCAAGAUCUUCACUGCUUCCUCCACUUCGCUAGCAGACCCUGCGGUCUUCCGGAGCUUCGGCAGACAAUUGACGACAUCUUCUUCUCCGCAAAGCUGACCAUCUAGUACUAGUUGAAAUUUGAAGAAGGAAGAAAGAGUAAAUAUUUUGCAAAUAGCACAGGGGAAAGGAGGAAAAAGGGACUUUCGGAAAUAGUUUCAUUUAUAAAAUAUGUCCUUAGGUUUUAUCCACUUGGCUUAUCCUACAGUCGAGAUGGCUCUGAUACCAGCUUGUCGCGACCGGGAGAAUUGCCUUUUCCCGAACGCUAGUGUAUUAAUCCCCGUCCCAGGAAAAGCCGGGGUACACCACACAAACAUGAUAUAAAAGACACAUCUUUAUUAUAUCGAUAAUAUUUACAUUAUUACAAAGGCGCUUCAGGCCUGGCGAUCAAAAAUAAACAGCAGCGGACUAGCGGGCCUACGGCUCCAUCUUCACAGGCGCUCAACUGGGGUAUAAGCCAAGACUCCACCUAAGACUUCUUCUCCAAAACUUCUCUUACUGAGGGGGGAGAAAGAUAGAGCAAGAAUGAGUACAACCACAGUACUCAGCAAGCCACACCGGAGAAGCAUAAUUAAUGCAAGGGGGGGGUACAAGGGGAUAAUAAUAUAGGGGUUAAGUUUUGCAGAAAACAGCAUUUAAAAGCCACUUAGUUGCCCAAAGCCAUUUAUAAAGACGAUCCUAGCGCUACACAAUAUUAUUAAUCAAGGCCGUGAACCUUCACGAACCUGCCUUAACCCAAGGCCUACGAUUAUUCAGACCGAACUGGCAACCCGACCCUGGGUCCCAGCUCGUCCCAAGCCAACCCAGGCCAACCAUUCCACAUUUUAGUUGUUGAGCAAAUUUUAAGAAUUAAAACACUGACUUGGGUACAUUGCUCGGCUUGCCCAUAACCGAGGGCGCGGCUAUUCGAAUAGAUUAUACUCUGAUCAGAGGUGUACAUCUUUACCCACAAGACACAUCUUCCUCACGUGCAACCACGUGCCACAUACCACCACGGUAUACAGACGGAAGACGUGACAUAGUUUCCAACCCAUCCUAGCCAUAGACAAGAGUACCGACCCAACCCCACCUACGGCCGGAACCCCCGGGACAGGUAGGCAGGACUGAGCCCCUAGCAGCAGGACACCGGCCCUGUGCCAUGACAUCUCGACUACCGGGCCGCAGCUCGUGUAGCCUUCAUUUGCCCUGGAGAAUGUCCAUCGACCCCCGACUUCAUCCAUCUCCAAUCCGUGUACUUUUGUUUAUAACCAGACUGAGCCACAAACUAAGCCUUACCCACUAGACAUGUGGAAGUACGGUAGUGCUUUGCAACAGAGGCCCGAGCUUAAUCCUUAUAGUGGCCGGGGUGCUACUUCCCACAACUGGCAUGCACCCAAACCCCACCGGAAAACAGGUUUUAGGGGUUUUGAAAGAGGAAGAGAGGUGUAUGUCCAAUUCCACCAUAAUCCAACAAUUCCAUAGUGUCCAGGUGAUAUGAAUAUUCCCAAGGUCUAGAGUUAUAAAACCACCUAAUGUUGCCUAAUUAAUCCGCGAAGCAUCUACCUAAAUUCAUACUAGUGGAACCAUGAAUAGAGUACCCACUAGUUGGGGUUUUGCUUAAUCUAGGGUGAACAAGGUAAUAAUAUCAAUAACAAUAAUAUUAAGGUUAUAACAAAGGUAAAUAGUCAUGGCUAAAUAAAAUAGUGAUCAUGCGGGAAUUUAAAUAAAGCGAUAAUGCAAUAAUUUAAAUCAAAAUAAUUUUAUGAACUGGGAUUCAACAUGUUCAAGGAUGAUGUGACUUGCCUUGCUUAGAGAGAACGGCCUUCCGAACCUUCGGCGACGACCGCGAACCACGCUUCGGGAACCUCCAGAACGACGAAGCUACGCGAGGCACACAAGCAAAGCUACAAGCCUAUAAAGAAGCAAUAACAAUACAUAAAAAGGAAGCACACGGUUCUUUAGGUUAUAACAAACAUUAAGAGACUUGAACGGGUCGAUUCGGAGUUCGUAUGACCAAGAUAUGAUCAUCCGAAGUUUAAUGCUGUUAUAUGGGGAUUUGCGGAUUAUUAUAAUUAAGCUUUGCAACUAUAAAACAUGUGCAAGCGCUAGCCUGGAAAAGACAGGAAGGCUGCGCCGUUGACAUGCGGACCCCACAUGUCAACCUAAAGGACCGCGGUAGACCGGGUACACAGAGACGGUCCACGGGUCGACGGAAGCGGACCCCGUGUGUCAACCGAGGCGAGUGGCCGACAAACGGACUCCACUAGACACCACACGGCCUGCACACGUGGAAACCACGCGGCUACCGAGCGGGCACACUAACGCGGACACUACACGGUCACCACCCGCACGCGUGAACGACUACCGACACCGGUACACGGGUACCGGGGCCGACAACCGCACAACGAGCACGGGCGACACCGAAAGGACGAGGACGGGGCAGCGAGGGAGAGGGAUCCUUACCACCACGCGACGAGGCGUGGGGACGACAACGACGAACGGGCGCGGCGGAGACAGACGGGCGCAACGGAGACGAACAGCGAGGGGACGGCUUCGGCGGCGAUCCUUGGACGAAGGCGAGACGCGGCCGGCACGAGGCUUGACGACGCGGAGCCGAGGACGAAGACGAGGACGGGGCUGCAGCGGCUCGCUUGACGAACGCGGACGACGGACGAGAACGGCUCGACGGAGGGACGAACGCCACGACGACCGGGAACGACGAGAGGACGACGACGACGACGACGACCGGGACCGGCGAGGAGGCGACGAGGACAGCUGGCAGCGGCUGCACGGGGACGAGGACGGCGUGGAACACGCCGCAGCGAUGAUGAUGACGGAGGCGGCGCCGCGAGACGACGAGCCGGGCGACCGACGGGACGUCGAUCGGCGAGGACGAACGGUGAUGAGGAAACGAUGAUGGCAGGCAGCAGCGGCUGAGCGGAGGAGGGGACGGCGUGGAACGCGCUGCUGCGAUGUUGGAGAAGGUGGUGGUGCAGCGGGGCGACGAGCCGACGAGGAGGAAUGGGUGGUUGGCGCGGCGGCGGCGUUCCGGCGAACUUCGGGCGAGGAGGAGGUGAUGCCGGGGAUGAGGGCGGCGUCGCGGAGCCGAGGGAGGUGGUGGCGACGUCGGCCGGCGCACGGGAAACGCGACAGUGGCGGCCGGAGGUGGAACAGUGGCGGCAACGCCACUGUUUUGCCGGCGAGGACGCGUCUCCGGUGCUUCCCCCGCGAAACGGAGGGCUGACCGAGGGAGAGGAGGUGGCUGCGAGGCCGAGGGAGAAGACGGCGCGGCCGGACGGCGCUCCGGUGAGGAGGGAGAGGCGGCUGGAGGCGGCCGGCGCGGAGGAAAGAGAAGGGCGACGGCGGGAACGCGCCUCCGGUGGUCACCGCGCGAAACGGAGGGCAGGCCGGGGUGGAGGAGGUGGCGGCGACGCUGGAGGAGGCGACGGCGCACGGUCGAGGCGGCACAGGCGGCUGGAGGCGGCCGGCGGCGUGGGAGAGAGAGGAGGGCGGCGGGGAGAGGGCUAGGGACCACGGGGAGGCUCGGGAUGGGGUUAAAACGAUAGAACGGAGUGAGGGGAUCCCAUUUUAUAGGGUGGGGGCGGGAGCCGGGCUCGGGAGAGGGCGGAACGGCGACGGGAAUAACGGCCGACGGCCAUGGAAAGCGGCCGGACUUGGCGCGUCCGUUCCCGGGGAUUGAAGGCACGAAUCAAGGGGGAAUUUGGGGGCAAUUGAAGAGGAUUCAAUGGGGAUUAAAACCCCCCAAUUAAUUUUGGAAUUGGCCAAUUGAAUCAAGCGGAUUUGGAGGAGGGAGCGAGCUAGGGUUCGCACGGGAGAGAGAGAAGCCGGGCGGGAGGAAGACGACGCGCCUGGCGCGUGGGCCCCACGCGGUCGGGCGCGCGGUCAGCGCGCGGCAACGGCGCGCACGCGCGCGCACGUGCGCGGCACGGGCGGGAGGGCGCCGCUCGGGUUGGGCCGGGCGGCCGGCCCAGGAGGAGAGGAGGGGGAGGCGGCCUGGGCCGGGCAGGCCGGGAGGGGGGGGACGGCCCGAGAGAGAGAGGGGAGGGGGAGGGAGCUGGGCCGAGGGGAAGGGGGGCCCAAGAGGAGGGAGAGAAGGAGAGGGAGAGAAAGAGAGGGAGGAAAGGGAGACUUCGGCCGCGGGCCGAGGGGAGAGAGGGAGGACUUUGUGCCAGACUUGGCCCAAAGGAGGAAGGAGGGUUAUUUUUAGGUUUUUUCUUUUUAAUAAACUUUGAUAAUUGUUUUUGUCGCUUAAUAAUUAUUUCCGGUGCUCUGAAAAUUCAAGUAAAAUUUAAGGGCUCCUUUUAGGCCAAGGAGAAUUUAACAAAAAUUCUCCGGGCCACAUUCGAAUUUUUCUUGUACGUAUUUUUAGUGUUUGCCAAUUUCUUUUCGAAUUUUAAUUAAUUCUAUUAUUCCUUUUAGAGAAUGAUUUUUAAUUCGGGAUGAAUUUAUCAGGACGUGACAGUGUGCCCGCUCGGUAGCCGUGUGGUUUCCACGUGUGUAGCCCGUGUGGUGUCUAGUGGAGUCCGUUUGUCGACCGCUUGCCUCGGUUGACACACGGGAUCCGCUUCCGUCGACCCGUGGACCGUCUCUGUGUACUCGGUCUACUGUGGUCCUUUAGGUUGACAUGUGGAGUCUGCAUGUCAACAGCGCAGCCUUCCUGUCUUUUCCAGGCUAGCGCUUACACAUGUUUUAUAAUUGCAAAACCUAAUCACAAUAAUCCGUAAAUCUCCAUGUAACAGCAUUAAACUUCGGAUGAUCAUAUCUUGGUCAUACGAACCCCGAAUCGACCUGUUCAAGUCUCCUAAUGUUUGUCAUAACCUAAAGAACCGUGUGCUUUCUUUUUAUGUAUUGUUAUUGCUUCUUUAUAGGCUUGUAGCUUUGCUUGUGUGCUUCGCGUAGCUUCUGUCGUUCCGAAGGUUCUCGAAGCGUGGUUUGUGGUCGUCGCCAAAGGUUCGGAAGGCCGUUCUCUCUGAGCAAGGCAAGUCACAUCACCCUUGAGCAUAUUGAAUCCCAGUUUAUAAAAUUAUUUUGAUUUAAAUUAUUGCAUUACCGCUUUAUUUAAAUUCCCGCGUAAUCACUGUUUUAUUUAGCACUUCCUAUUAAUCCUUGUUAUAGCCUUAUCAUUGCUAUUGUUUACUAUUACCUUGUUCACCAUAGGAUAAACAAAACCCCAACUAGUGGGUACUCUAUGUCACGUCCUGAUAAAUUCAUCCCGAAAUUAAAAAUCAUUUUCUAAAAGGAAUAAUAGAAUUAAUUAAAAUUUGAAAAGAAAUUGGCAAACACUAAAAUACGUACAAGAAAAAUUCGAAUGUGGUCCGGAGAAUUUUUGUUAAAUUCUCCUUGGUCUAAAAGGAGCCCUCAAAUUUUACUUGAAUUUUCAGAGCGCCGGGAAUAUUUAUUAAGCAACAAAAACAAUUAUCAAAGUUUAUUAAAAAGAAAAAUCUAAAAAUAAUCCUCCUUUUUCUUUUGGGCCAAAUUUGGCUCAAAGUCCUCCCUCUCUCUCUCCCGGCCCACGGCCAAAGUCUCCCUCUCCUCCCUCUCUUUCCCUCCUCUCCCGGGCCUCCUCUCCCCCUCCCGGCCCACUCCCUCCUCCUCCCUCUUUCUCCCAGGCCGCCUCCCCCUCCUCUUCUCCUGGGCCGGCCGCCCGGCCCAAGCUGCGCCCAAGCCAGGCCGAGCCGAGCCGGCCGUGCACACGCGCGCCGCGCAUGCGCUGACCGCGCGUCCGACCGCGUGGGGCCCACGCGCCAGGCCGGUCGUCUCCUUCCUCCCGCCCGGCCUCCUCUCUCCCUCUCCCGUGAACCCUAGCUUCGUUCCUCCCUCGAAUCCGCGCGAUUUAAGUGUUGGAUUCCAAAAUUAAUUGGGGGGAAUUAAUCCCCUUUCCCUCCUCUCUCUUUCCCCCUUAAUUUCCCCUUGAAUGGCGCCCCCAAUCGCCGGGAACGGCCGCGCCAUUCCCGGCCGCCUUCCACUGCCGCCGGCCGUGUCUCCCACCGCCGUUCCCCGCUCCUCCCGUGGCCGGCUCCCUCCCCCAUCCCAUAAAAUGGGAUCCUCAUCCUCCGUUCUAUCGUUUUAACCCCAUCCCGAGCCUCCCCGUGGUCCCUAGCCAUCUCCCCGCCGUCCUCCUCUCUCUCCCGUGCCGCCGGCCGCCUCCAGCCGCCUCUCCCUCCUCGCCGGAGCGCCGUCCGGUCGCGCCGUCGCCUCCUCCAGCAUCGCAGCCGCCUCCUCUUCGCCGGCCUACCCUCUGUUUCCCGCGGAGACCUCCGGAAGUGCCUCCCCGCCGGCAACUGUGGUGUUGCCGCCACGAUUCCGCCUCCGGCCGCCUCUGCCGCGUCCCCUGCGCGCCGGCCGACGUCGCCACCACCUCUCCCGGCACCGGAGUGCCGUCCUCUUUCCCGGCCAGGCCACGGCGUCGCCCGAAUUUCGCCGGAACGCCGUCGCCCGCGCCGGCCUCUCCUUCCUCCUCGUCGACGUCUCCUCCGGCAGCCCCUUUCGCCAUGCCCGUGCGUCAGCCGGCGCUGCCAUCCCCUCCCUUGGCACGGUGACGUAGCCCUCCACCUCGUCCACCCCUCGGUUUCGCCCGGAAGCCGCCGCACGUCGCCGCGAACCUCUCCAUCCGCCUCACCGGAGUUGUUCGGCCGCCCGUCCCUCCUCGCCCGUGCACCGGUCGGCCGCACCUCCACCACCUUCGGCAUCGCAGCCGCGACGUCGUCCUCGGCAUCGCUUCCCCUUCGGCCGAACACCGCCGGUGUCCGUCGCCGUCUUCACCGUUCAUCCUCGCCGGCUCGUCAUCUCGCGGCAACGCCUCCGUCGUCGACAUCGCAGCGGCGUGUUCCACGCCAUCCUCGCCUCCGUGCAGCCGCUGCCGGCUGCCCUCGUCGUCUCCUCGCCGGCCCCGGUCGUCGUCGUCGUCGUCCUUCCGUCGUUCCAGGUCGUCGUGGCGUUCGUCCCUCCGUCGAGCCGUUCUCGUCCGUCCUCGGUGUUUCAUCAAGGUCGCUGUAGCCGUCGUCGUCUUCGUCCUCGGCUCCGCGUCGUCAAGCCUCGUGCCGGCCGCAUCUCGCCUUCGUCCAAGGAUCGCCGCCGAAGCCGUCCCCUCGCCGUUCGUCUCCGUAGUUCCCGGCCGCCUCCGCCGCGCCCGUUCGUCGUUGUCGUUCCCACGCCUCGUCGCGUGGUUGUAAGGAUCUCUCUUCUCUCGCUGCCCCGUCCUCGUCCUUUCGGUGUCGCCCGUGCCCGUUGUGCGGUUGUCGACCCCGGUACCCGUGUACCGGUGUCGGUAGUCGUUCGCUUGUGCGUGUGGUGACCGUGUUAGUGUGCCCGCUCGGUAGCCACGUGGUUUCCACGUGUGCAGCCCGUGUGGUGUCUAGUGGAGUCCGUUUGUCGGCCACUCGCCUCGGUUGACACACGGGAUCCGCUUCCGUCGACCCGUGGACCGUCUCUGUGUACUCGGUCUACCGCGGUCCUUUUUGUUGACAUGUGAGGUCCGCAUGUCAACAGCGCAGCCUUCCUGUCUUUUCCAGGCUAGCGCUUACACAUGUUUUAUAGUUGCAAAGCUUAAUUAUAAUAAUCCGCAAAUCUCCAUAUAACAGCAUUAAACUUCGGAUGAUCAUAUCUUGGUCAUACGAGCUCCGAAUCGACCCGUUCAAGUCUCUUAAUGUUUGUUAUAACCUAAAGUACCGUAUGCUUUCUUUUUAUGUAUUGUUAUUGUUUCUUUAUAAGCUUGUAGCUUUGCUUGUGUGCUUCGCGUAGCUUCUGUCGUUCCGGAGGUUCCAGAAGCGUGGUUCGCGGUCGUCGCCAAAGGUUCGGAAGGCCGUUCUCUCUGAGCAAGGCAAGUCACAUCAUCCUUGAGCAUAUUGAAUCCCAGUUUAUAAAAUUAUUUUGAUUUAAAUUAAUGCAUUAUCGCUUUAUUUAAAUUCCCGCGUUAUCACUGUUUUAUUUAGCCAUGCCUAUUUACCUUUGUUAAGACAUUAUUAUUGCUAUUGUUAUUAUUACCUUGUUCACCCUAGAAUAAACAAAACCCCAACUACUGGACACUCUAUUCAUGGUUCCACUAGUAUGAAUUUAGGUAGAUGCUUCGCUGUUUAAUUAGGCAACAUUAGGUGGUUUUAUAACUUUAGACUUUGGGAAUUCUCAUAUCAUUUGGACACUAUGGAAUGGUUGGCUUAUGGUGGAAUUGGACAUACACCUCUCUUCCUCUUUCAAAACCCCUAAAACCUGUUUUCCGGUGGGGUUUGGGUGCAUGCCAGUUGUGGGAAGUAGCACCCCGGCCACUAUAAGGAUUAAGCUCGGGCCUCUGUUGCAAAGCACUACCGUACUUCCACAUGUCUAGUGGGUAAGGCUUAGUUUGUGGCCCAGUCUGGUUAUAAACAGAAGUACACGGAUGGAGAUGGACGAAGUCGGGGGUCGAUGGACAUCUCUAGGACAAAUGAAGGCUACACGAGCUGCGGCCCGGUAGUCGAGAUGUCAUGGCACAGGGCUGGUGUCCUGCUGCUAGGGGCUCAAUCCUGCCUACCUGUCCCGGAGGUUCCGGCCGUAGGUUGGGAUUGGGUCGGUACUCUUGUCUAUGGCUAGGAUGGGUUGGAAACUAUGUCACGUCUUUCGUCUGUAUACCGUGGUGGUAUGUGGCACGUGGUUGCACGUGAGAAAGAUGUGUCUUGUGGGUAAAGAUGUACACCUCUGAUCAGAGUAAAACCUAUUCGAAUAGCCGCGCCCUCGGUUAUGGGCAAGCCUAGCAAUGUACCCAAGUUAGUGUUUUAAUUCUUAAAAUUUGCUCAACAACUAAAAUGUGGAAUGGUUGGCCUGGGUUGGCUUGGGACGAGCUGGGACCCAGGGUCGGGUUGCCAGUUCGGUCUGAAUCAUCGUAGGCCUUGGGUUAAGGCAGGUUCGUGAGGGUUCACGGCCUUGAUUAAUAAUAUUGUAUAGCUCUAGGAUCGUGUUUACAAAAUAGCUUUGGGCAACUAAGUGACUUUUAAAUGCUGUUUACUGCAAAACUUAACCCCUAUAUUAUUAUCCCCUUGUACCCCCUUGCAUUAAUUAUGCAUCUCCGGUGUGACUUGCUGAGUACUGUGGUUGUACUCAUUCUUGCUCUAUCUUUCUCCCCCCUUCAGUAAGAGAAGCUUUGGAGAAGAAGUCUUAGGUGGAGUCCUGGCUUAUACCCCAGUUGAGCGCCUGUGAAGAUGGAGCCGUAGGCCCGCUAGUCCGCUGCUGUUUAUUUUUGUUUGUCAGGCCUGAAGCGCCUUUGUAAUAAUGUAAAUAUUAUCGAUAUAAUAAAGAUGUGUCUUUUAUAUCAUGUUUGUGUGGUGUACCCCGGCUUUUCCUGGGACGGGGAUUAAUACACUAGCGUUCGGGAAAAGGCAAUUUUCUCGGUCGCGACACUCUAUUAACAGUUCCACUAGUAUGAAUCUAGGUAGAUGCUUCGCUGACUAAUUAGGCAACAUUAGGUGGUUUUAUAACUUUAGACUUUGGGAAUUCUCAUAUCAUUUGGACACUGUGGAAUGGUUGGCUUGUGAUGGAAUUGAACACACACCUCCCCCCUCUAUUCAAAACCCCAAAAUGGUUUUAGGCUGGGCUCGAGGUGCAGGGUUUUGCUAGUAGCACCUCGGCCACUAUAAGGACCGGUCUUCGGGCCUCUGUUGCAAAGCACUAUCGUACUAACCACAUGUCUAAUGGGUAAGGCUUAACUCGGUGCUCAGUCUAGUCCUGAACAAAAGGACACGGAUAGAGAUGGAUGAAGUCGUUGCGACGAUGGAUAUCUCUGAGGCAAAUGAAGGCUACACGAGCUGCGGCUCGGUAAUCGAGAUGUCUAGGCAAAUGAAGACUACACGGGUCGGUGCCCGUUAGUCGAGAUGCCAUGGCACUGGACUAGUACACGGGUGGUCUCACCCCUAUGCGUGUGGCGCACCCGGUCUAGAUCCUGUUGCUAGGGGCUCAAUCCUGGCCUGCCUGUCCCGGGAUACCGGCCGUAGGCAGGGUUGGGUCGGUACUUUUGUUCACGGCUAGGAUGGGUGAAGGGUUAUGUCACAUGUUUACGAUGGGUUCCAAGGCCAUGGAAUGCGGAGUAAAGAUGUGUCUUGUGGGUAAAGAUGUACACCUCUGAUCAGAGUAAAUCUAUUCGAAUAGCCGUGCCCUCGGAUAUGGGCAAGCCUAGCAAUGUACCCAAGUUAGUGGUUUAAUUCUUAAAAAUUGCUUAACAACUAAAAGGUGGAAAGGUUGGCCUGGGUUGGCUUGGGACGAGCUGGGACCCAGGUCGGGUUGCCAGUUCGGUCUGAAUCAUCGUAGGCCUUGGGUUAAGGCAGGUUCGUGUGGGUCCACGGCCUUGAUUAAUAAUGCUGUGUAGCUCUAGGAUCGUCUUUAUAAAAUAGCUUUGGGCAACUAAGUGUCUUUUAAAUGCUGUUUACUGCAAAACCUAAUCCCCUAUAUUAUUACCCCUUGUUUCCCUUGCAUUAAUCAUGCAUCUCCCGGUGUGACUUGCUGAGUAUUGUGGUUGUACUCAUUCUUGCUCUAUCUUCCCUCCCCUAGUAAGAGAAGCUUUGGAGAAGAAGUCUUAGGUGGAGCCCUGGCUUAUACCCCAGUUGAGCGCCUGUGAAGAUGGAGCCGUAGGCCCGCUAGUCCACUGCUGUUUAUUUUUGAUUGUCAGGCUUGAAGUGCCUUUGUAAUAAUGUAAAUAUUAUCGAUAUAAUAAAGAUGUGCCAUUUGUAUCAUGUUUGUGUGGUGUACGCCGGCUUUUUCUGGGACGGGGAUUAAUACACUAGCGUUCGGGAAAAUGCAAAUUUUCUCGGUCGCGACAAGACUGCCGAGGAAAGCAUUAAGAAAAACUCCAACCAUAUGAUGGUUAUGCAUAAGCGCAAGCCCAACAACAAGAAGAGUGGUCAAAAGAGAAAGCUAAACUCUGAUGAGAUCACGAGUACUAGCAACUCUAAGACCAAGGUUCAAAAGACAGGGCCCGCUAAGGAUGCAGAGUGCUUCUUUUGCAACGAGACAGGUCAUUGGAAGAGAAACUGUAAGAAAUACCUAGAGCAGCUCAAGUAGAAGCAGCAGGAUGGAAAGAGUUCCAUCUCAGGUAUUAAUGUUAUAGAAAUUAAUCUUGCUACUUCCUCUACUGAUUCUUGGGUAUUUGAUACCGGUUCAGUUGCUCACAUAUGCAAAUCGUUGCAGGGGCUGAAAAGAAGUAGGAGCUUAGCAAGAGGCGAAGUGGACAUUCGCGUGGGCAAUAGAGCAAGAGUUGCUGCUGUUGCGGUCGGCACUAUGCCAUUAUCUUUACCGUCAGGAUUAGUUUUGGAGUUAAAUAAUUGUUAUUGCAUUCCAGCUUUGUGUAAGAACGUUAUCUCUGCUUCUUGUUUGCAAGCAGAGGGUUAUGGUUUUAGAUUUGUGGACAAUGGUUGUUCAGUCUAUUAUAAUGACAUUUUCUAUUUCCAUGCACCCAUGAUGAAUGGCUUAUACAUUGUGAAUCUUGAUGGAUGUUCAGUCUAUAACAUUAAUGCAAAAAGGCAACGUCCUAAUGAUUUGAAUCCCACUUUUAUUUGGCAUUGUCGGUUGGGUCAUAUAAAUGAGAAAUGCAUGGAGAAGCUUCAUAGAGAUGGACUUCUACACUCUUUUGAUUUUGAAUCAUUUGAGACAUGCGAAUCUUGUUUACUUGGCAAAAUGACAAAGGCACCUUUCACGGGUCAAAGUGAAAGGGCAAGUGAACUAUUGGGACUAGUACAUACUGAUGUAUGUGGACCAAUGAGCUCAACUGCCAGAUGUGGUUUUGGGUACUUUAUUACCUUUACCGAUGACUUUAGUAGAUAUGGUUAUAUCUACUUAAUGAGGCAUAAGUCUGAGUCCUUUGAAAAGUUCAAGGAAUUUCAGAAUGAGGUACAAAAUCAUUUGGGCAAGACAAUCAAGUAUCUACGAUCUGAUCUUAGUGGAGAGUACUUGAGCCUUGAAUUCUGCAAUCAUCUAAAGGAGUGUGAAAUUGUUCCACAACUCACUCCACCAGGAACGCCUCAGUGGAAUGGGGUGUCUGAACGGAGGAAUCGUACAUUGUUGGACAUGGUGCGAUCAAUGAUGAGCCAAACUGAUCUGCCGCUAAGCUUUUGGGAUUACGCUCUAGGGACAGCUGCGUUCACACUAAAUAGGGUUCCAUCAAAAUCAGUGGAUAAGACACUAUAUGAGAUAUGGACUGGGAAGCGUCCCAGUUUGUCUUUCCUAAAGAUUUGGGGUUGUGAGGUCUAUGUAAAACGUUUGCAAUCGGACAAACUCACACCUAAAUCAGAUAAAUAAUUCUUUGUGGGGUAUCCUAUGGAAACGAAAGGAUAUUAUUUUUAUAAUUGGGAAGAGGGCAAAGUGUUUGUCGCCCGACACAGUGUUUUCUUGGAAAAAGAGUUUAUUUCACGAAAGGAUAGUGGGAGCAUGGUGCGAUUUGAAGAAAUUCAGAUAACACCGGAAAACGCUUCAACGUCCACACAACCACAAGCUAAGCAAGAUGUUGUUCAAUAGGUUGAACAAGUUGUUGUUGAACCAGUUGUGGAAGCACCGGCUUCACGAAGGUCCGUAAGGAUACGGCGUACACUUGCGAGGUAUGCGUUGUUAACUACAGGUAACGUGAUAUAUUGUUGUUAGACAACGAUGAACCUACUACCUAUGAGGAAGCAAUGGUGGGACCAGACUCUGAGAAAUGGCUUGGAGCCAUAAAAUCUGAAAUAGAAUCUAUGCAUGUCAAUUAAGUUUGGAACUUGGUUGAUCCACUUGAUGGUGUAAAAGCCAUUGAGUGCAAAUGGGUCUUUAAGAAAAAGACAGAUGAAGAUGGAAAUGUUCACAUCUACAAGGAACGAUUGGUGGCGGAAGGUUUCAGACAAAUUCAAGGUGUUGAUUAUGAUAAAACUUUCUCGCCAGUCGCCAUGCUAGAAUCUAUUCGGAUUGUUUUAGCGAUUCCUGCCUAUUUCGAUUAUGAGAUAUUUCAAAUGGAUGUCAAAACAGCUUUCCUCAAUGGAAAUCUCGAUGAGGAUGUGUACAUGGCACAACCCAAGGGAUUUGUUGAUCCACAAUCAGCUAAAAAUAUAUGCAAAUUGCAGAAAUCCAUUUAUGGGUUGAAGCAAGCAUCUCGGAGUUGGAAUAUUCGUUUUGACGAAGUAGUCAAGACGUUGGGCUUUGUCAAAAAUGAAGAAGAGCCUUGUGUAUACAAGAAGAUUAGUGGGAGUGCACUGGUGUUUCUAAUCCUAUAUGUAGAUGACAUAUUAUUGAUUGGGAAUGAUAUUCCUAUGCUUGAAUCCGUUAAGACAUCGUUGAAAAAUAGUUUUUCAAUGAAAGACUUAGGGGAAGCAGCAUAUAUUCUGGGCAUAAGGAUCUAUUGAGAUAGAUCAAAGAGGCUAAUUGGAUUAAGCCAGAGUACAUACAUUGACAAAGUGUUGAAGAGGUUCAACAUGCAAGAUUCUAAGAAAGGUUUCUUACCGAUGUCACAUGGCAUUAAUCUUGGCAAGAAUCAGUGUCCUCAAACGACUGAUGAGCGAAACAAGAUGAGUGUGAUUCCAUAUGCCUCGGCAAUCGGAUCCAUUAUGUAUGCUAUGCUAUGUACACGUCCAGAUGUUUCAUAUGCACUUAGUGCAACAAGCUGAUACCAAUUAGAUCCAGGUGAGAGUCACUGGAUAGCUGUAAAGAAUAUCCUGAAGUACUUGAGAAGAACUAAGGAUUUGUUCCUAGUCUAUGGAGGACAGGAAGAGCUCGUUCUAAAUGGUUACACUGACGCAAGCUUCCAAACCGACAAAGAUGCGUGCGCACGUCUUCUGAAUUGGUAAGCAAUGCGUUUUUUUUUCAGAAAAAAAACAUUCUACAAGAAAGUUGCUUUAAAAAUUAUAUUAAUUUAUUUUUCAAGUUUUUUAGCUAAUAUUGAGGGCAUGGUAGAGCUCCAACUCCUUAAUUUAGCUCCAGGAGAUGGGAUUGGAGUUGUGUUGUGGAGAAGUUUAAACCUAGCUCCACCUCUCUAGUUCAUUUUAUGAGAACGCUCUACCCAGCUCCGUUCCUAUUUUAGGUGAAGUUGAAACUGUUUGGCUAGACUCUAGCUCUAAGAGAGGUAGAGUUGGAGCUGUGCCAAACAGAUCUUGAUUUAAUCAUGAGCUAAUGAAUUGCUCCGUUUCAUGUGCAAGGGGGAGAAGUACCCAACCGGAACAUUCAAGCUUAGCCUAAGGCUGAGUUUAGGAGGUGGACUUAGAAACUCCACAUCCCCGCACAGAAAAUGGUAUUGCCCAUUAACGCUUAAUUAAUUAAGUAUGAGUCUAAAAUACUUCAAACAUAGAUUAAUAUGAUUUUUAAAGUAACUUUCUAUAGAAAACUUAAAAGAAACGUAUCGUUUAACAGUUUGUAAAGCGUGCACGUGGAGAAAAAGAGAUACGAGUUUGGGAAAGAAGGGGAAAGAACACAGCCGAAGCAGGGUUCGUGCAACCUCCUCAACCAUAGUACUAAAUUUACAAUUUUGCAUUAUCUGUGCGAAACAAUAGCACGAUUUUCUUAAAAAAAAGAAAAGCGUAACAUCAUGCUUACAUUCUAUUACACCACCUACCUUGGAAUAAAAUUCCUUUUGCAACCAUGCCAGGACAAAAUUUCUGUGACAAAAACAGCACAAGCCACUCGCGAGGCCGUCGGCAAAGCUCCACGUAUACAUGCAUGCGGUGGCUUGAUGGCGAAGUGAUGGAGCCAAGUCCAGCAUCAUGUCGAUCCAACGUGUCAACUCCAAAAAAACUUUAAAAAACCGGUCCAGCGGGAACGCGCAGCGCAAACGAACGAGGCUGCCGCGUGGGCCCCACUCCCGUGGACCCGGUCCGCGCGCCCCUCCCCCUCGGCUGAUGUAAUAAAUCCUUUUUAAAUUAAAAUUUAAAUGAAGAAAUUCGUAAAUAUUCAUUUAAAGAGCAUAUAAACUUCAAAUGGCCAUAACUUGGCCAUUUGAACUCGGAAUUGGACCGUUCAAGUCUCUAAUUUUUCCUUAAGAAGUCAAGAACCCAUUUUUGUGCUUUGUUCCUGCUUGUUAUAUGGAGUUUAUUAGAGUAAAAGCUCUUUUCUUUUACGUUGGUCGUGUAGACGCUGCAGCUUCUGAAGAUCCGCUCUUCGUGGAGGUUGAAGCCGACGUUUGGGAAAGUGAGCAAGGCAAGUCACAUCAUCCUUGAACAUAUUGGAUCCCAUUUUAUAAAAUUAUUUUGAUUUAAAUUAUUGCAUUAUCGCUUUACUUAAAUUCCCGCGUUAUCAUUGUUUUAUUUAGCGAUGCCUAUUUACCUUUGUUAUGACCUUAUUAUUAUUGUUAUUGAUAUUAUUACCUUGUUCACCCUAGAUUAAACAAAACCCCAACUAGUGGACACUCUACUCAUGGUACCACUAGUAUGAAUUUAGGUAGAUGCUUCGCUGGUUAAUUAGGCAACAUUAGGUGGUUUUACAACUCUAGACUUUGGGAAUAUUCUCAUCAUCUGGACACUAUGGAAUGGAUGGAUUAUUGUGGAAUUGGAUUCACACCUCCCCCUCUAUUCAAAAUCCUCAAAAUGGUUUUAGGCUAGGCUUGGGGUGCAUGGUUUUGAUAGUAGCACCUCGGCCAUAUAAGGACCGGUCUUCGGGCCUCUGUUGCAAAGCACUACCGUACUUCCACAUGUCUAGUGGGUAAGGCUUAGUUUGUGGCUCAGUCUGGUUAUAAACAAAAGUACACGGAUGGAGAUGGACGAAGUCGGGGGUCGAUGGACAUCUCUAGGGCAAACGAAGGCUACACGAGCUGCGGCCCGGUAGUCGAGAUGUCAUGGCACAGGGCCGGUGUCCUGCUGCUAGGGGCUCAGUCCUGCCUACCUGUCCCGGAGGUUCCGGCCGUAGGUGGGGUUGGGUCGGUACUCUUGUCUAUGGCUAGGAUGGGUUGGAAACUAUGUCACGUCUUCCGUCCGUAUACCGUGGUGGUAUGUGGCACGUGGUUACACGUGAGGAAGAUGUGUCUUGUGGGUAAAGAUGUACACCUCUGAUCAGAGUAUAAUCUAUUCGAAUAGCCGCGCCCUCGGUUAUGGGCAAGCCGAACAAUGUACCCAAGUUAGUGUUUUAAUUCUUAAAACCAGCAUAACAACUAAAAUAUGGAACGGUUGGCCUGGGUUGGCUUGGGACGAGCUGAGACCCAGGGUCGGGUUGCCAGUUCGGUCUGAAUCAUCGUAGGCCUUGGGUUAAGGCAGGUUCGUGUGGGUUCACGGCCUUGAUUAAUAAUCUUGUAUAGCUCUAGGAUCGUCUUUAUAAAAUAUCUUUGGACAACUAAGUGUCCUUUAAAUCCUGUUUACUACAAACCCUAACCCCUUAUAUUAUAACCCCCUUGUACUCCCUUGCAUUUAUUCUGCACUUGUGGGUGUGUCUUGUUGAGUACGGUGGUUGUACUCAGUCUUGCUCAAUUUUUCCCAAACCCAGAAGAGGAGUUCCUGGAAGAUGAAGGCUUUGGUGUCUAGCUCGUGCCUGCCAUCAAGCGCCUGUGGUCGUCGCCCUAGUCUUCCGCUGUUUUUCGUUUGUCUUCUUGUGUGCUGGGCCUUCGCCGCCCAUGUAAUAAAUUAAUUAUUUACGCUUCCGCUUGUUAAACUCUGAAUUGUAUCAACUUUUGGUGUACCUUGCCUCCUGGGACAAGGAAUAAUACACGCACGUAAGGAACAGCCGUUGGGUUAUUUCCGGUCGUGACAAUUGGUAUCAGAGCCUCCUUGACCCUAGGACGAGAUUUAGAUCCCAAGCCUUAGCAAUAUUUUCGAAAUAAAAAUCCAUUCUUAUUUGUGAAAAUCCUCUAGUCUCUCUCCGUCUUGCUGCUUCAUUUAUCAUCAAAAGCUGAUCCCUAAAAUGUUUAUUUCUUUUUCUCUUUUGUCUUUGUUUGUAGAUGGCCGGCAGCAUCAACCGUCGUGGCCUGGACCUGACUGGCUUCAUUUUGGAGCUGCGGGGCAUGUGCGUUGUCCUGGGGUAUCCGCAUGGAGUGGACUACCAGGGCAAGCAGCUCCCGGAGCAGGAGGGUGACGAUGCAGAGCCCCACGCUGCUUGGGAGGUCACUGCAGUGAUCCUCACUGGCUCACCCGAGAGGACUUCGUUGGCAGUCACCGCGGGUGGAGAUUCUUUCUCCGCCGCUUGCUAGAGCGCCGUGCUCCUCGCCAUCGGCACUCUUCACCAGCGCUACCUGGACGAGUUGCAGCACUCGCCCUACCGCUACCACCCUCGUCGAGGAGGAGCCCGCGACUACGUGUCACGUCCUGAUAAAUUCAUCCCGAAAUAAAAAUCAUUCUCUAAAAGGAAUAAUAGAAUUAAUUAAAAUUCGAAAAGAAAUUGGCAAACACUAAAAUACGUACAAGAAAAAUUCAAAUGUGGCCUGGAGAAUUUUUGUUAAAUUCUCCUUGGUCUAAAAGGAGCCCUCAAAUUUUAGUGGAAUUUUCAGAGCACAAAUAAUAAUUAAGAAGAAAUAAACAAAGUUAAAAUGAUUUUAUAAAAAGAAAAACCCUAAAAAGUCUUCUUUCCCCCCCUUCCCUUCUUGGGCCGGCUCGGCCCACUUCCCUCCCUCUCUCUCUCCUCUCCCCCGCGGCCCAAUCGGCCCCCUCCCGCGCAUGCGCCGCUGACGGGCGGGCCCGCCCGCCACCCUCGCUGACGGGUGGGGCCCACCUGUCAUCGCCUACCUCGCGCCGCGCCCGCCGCCGCCCGUGCCCUAGCGCCGCCGCCGCCGCCGAAUCCGCCGCAUCCCGCCGUCCCCGCGCGCCAUAAAGAGGGGGAAAUCACUCCCCGUGAUUCCCUCCCUCUUUCCCCCCACUUUCCCCUCUCUCUCUCCCUCGGAUUCGCUCGGAUUUAUUCCCGAAAUCCUCGCCGGCGUCAUCAAUGGCGGCCGAGAUUUCCGCGGCCGAUUCCUUCCCCUCCGGCCGCUCUCUCCCCCUCCCGGCGCUAUAUAAUUGUUCCCCGUGCCUCACUCCUCCGUUUCUGCCACUCGCCGCUCGCUCUUUCCGUCGGAUUCGUGCCCGCGCCGUCGUCCUUUCUCUCCGCCGUCGCCGCCGAGCUCCGGUUCGCCGCCGUCGUCGCCCCGGACCUCCUCCCGCUUCGGCAUCGCCUCCUUCGGCUUCGCCGCGUCCUCGCCGACCUCGUCCGCUCCUCCGUUUCGCCCGCCGACCGUCGGAGCGCCGCCGUCCUCGUCGAUCCGAACCGCGCCGCCGCCUUCCUCCGCUCCGGUCGUCGUUUCCGCCGUCUUCGUCGUCCCGGGGUGAGCCGAGGACCGCCGCUUCGCUUCCCUCUUCUCUCCUCUCUCUCGGGCGCCGCUCCGCCGCGCCGGUGGUCGCCGGCGGUGACCAUCGGGGCGCGGGCGCGCCGCCUCCCAUCGGCCGUGCCGGCGAGGCCGCCUUCGGGCGCGCCCCGCGGCUGCCAGGUGGGGCCCGGCCGUCAGCCGCCCGCGCCCGCGGGUGCGGCUGACGCGUGGGACCCACGGCGCCGGUCGGCGCCAGCAGCGUGCACCAGGUCCACCGUGGACCGUGAGGCUGCCGCGUGGGCCCCACUCCCGUGGACCCGGUCCGCGCACCCCUCCCCUCGGCUGACGCAAUAAAUCCGAUUUUUAAUUAAAAUUUAAAUGAAGAAAUUCGCAAAUAUCCAUUUAAAGAGCAUAUAAACUUCAAAUGGCUAUAACUUGGCCAUUUGAACUCGGAAUUGGACCGUUCAAGUCUCUAAUUUUUCCUUAAGAAGUCAAGAACCCAUUUUUGUGCUUUGUUCCUGCUUGUUGUAUGGAGUUUAUUAGAGUAAAAGCCUUUUCUUUUCCGUUGGUCGUGUAGACGCUGCAGCUUCGGAAGAUCCGCUCUUCGUGGAAGUUGAAGCCGGCGUUUGGGAAAGCGAGCAAGGCAAGUCACAUCAUCCUUGAACAUAUUGAAUCCCAGUUUAUAAAAUUAUUUUAAUUUAAAUUAAUGCAUUAUCGCUUUAUUUAAAUUCCCGCGUUAUCACUGUUUUAUUUAGCCAUGCCUAUUUACCUUUGUUAUGACCUUAUUAUUAUUGCUAUUGUUAUUAUUACCUUGUUCACCCUAGGAUAAACAAAACCCCAACUAGUGGGUAUUCUAUUCAUGGUUCCACUAGUAUGAAUUUAGGUAGAUGCUUCGCUGAUUAAUUAGGCAAUAUUAGGUGGUUUUAUAACUUUAGACUUUGGGAAUUCUCAUAUCAUUUGGACACUAUGGAAUUGUUGGAUUAUGGUGGAAUUGGACAUACACCUCUCUUCCUCUUUCAAAACCCCUAAAACCUGUUUUCGGUGGGGUUUGGGUGCAUGCCAGUUGUGGGAAGUAGCACCUCGGCCACUAUAAGGAUUAAGCUCGGGCCUCUGUUGCAAAGCACUACCGUACUUCCACAUGUCUAGUGGGUAAGGCUUAGUUUGUGGCUCAGUCUGGUUAUAAACAAAAGUACACGGAUGGAGAUGGAUGAAGUCGGGGGUCGAUGGACAUUCUCCAGGGCAAAUGAAGGCUACACGAGCUGCGGCCCGGUAGUCGAGAUGUCAUGGCACAGGGCCGGUGUCCUGCUGCUAGGGGCUCAGUCCUGCCUACCUGUCCCGGGGGUUCCGGCCGUAGGUGGGAUUGGGUCGGUACUCUUGUCUAUGGCUAGGAUGGGUUGGAAACUAUGUCACGUCUUCCGUCGGUAUACCGUGGUGGUAUGUGGCACGUGGUUGCACGUGAGGAAGAUGUGUCUUGUGGGUAAAGAUGUACACCUCUGAUCAGAGUAUAAUCUAUUCGAAUAGCCGCGCCCUCGGUUAUGGGCAAGCCGAGCAAUGUACCCAAGUCAGUGUUUCAAUUCUUAAAAUUUGCUCAACAACUAAAAUGUGGAAUGGUUGGCCUGGGUUGGCUUGGGACGAGCUGGGACCCAGGGUCGGGUUGCCAGUUCGGUCUGAAUCAUCGUAGGCCUUGGGUUAAGGCAGGUUCGUGAGGGUUCACGGCCUUGUUUAAUAAUACUGUGUAGCUCUAGGAUCGUCUUUAUAAAAUGGCUUUGGGCAACUAAGUGACUUUUAAAUGCUGCUUUCUGCAAAACUUAACCCCUAUAUUAUUACCCCUUGUACCCCCUUGCAUUAAUCAUGCAUCCCCGGUGUGGCUUGCUGAGUACUGUGGUUGUACUCAUUCUUGCUCAAUCUUUCCCCUCUUCAGUAAGAGAAGCUUUGGAGAAGAUGUCUUAGGUGGAGUCCUGGCUUAUACCCCAGUUGAGCGCCUGUGAAGAUGGAGCCGUAGGCCCGCUAGUCCGCUGCUGUUUAUUUUUGUUUGUCAGGCCUGAAGCGCCUUUGUAAUAAUGUAAAUAUUAUCGAUAUAAUAAAGAUGUGUCUUUUAUAUCAUGUUUGUAUGGUGUACCCCGGCUUUUCCUGGGACGGGGAUUAAUACACUAGCGUUCGGGAAAAGGCAAUUUUCCCGGUCGCGACACUACGCCACCUUCAGGGAUGCUAGCUUGGAGGAUGACGCUACCAUCAUGCACCUGGCGCGCAUGGUGGAGGCGUACGACGCGGCCCGUAUCGACUUCCAUCAUAUGGUGUGCCAUGGGUUGGUCGAGAACAACAUGAAGAUCCUGGAGCUGCGUCAGGAGAAUCUGCAGCUGAAGAAGGACCUGGACGCAGUGGAGGCGCAGCUGUGUCAGCUCAAGAUCGCCCAUGGAGAGGUCUGUCGCCCCAAGCUCCGCCGCGUCUACCGCAGCCUGAAGAUCACCUGUCACGACCGGAAAUAACCCACCGGGCGUUCCUUACGUGCGUGCAUUAAUCCUUGUCCCAGGAGGCAAGGUACACCAACAGUUGAUACAAUUCAGAGUUUAACAAGCGGAAGCGUAAAUAGUUAAUUUAUUACAUGGGCAGCGAAGGCCCAGCACACACAAAGACAAACGAGAAGCAGCGGAAGACUAGGGCGACGACCACAGGCGCUUGACGGCAGGCACGAGCUAGACACCAAAACCUUCAUCUUCAAGGAACUCCUCUUCUGGGUUCGGGAAAAAUUGAGCAAGACUGAGUACAACCACCGUACUCAACAAGACACACCCACAAGUGCAGAAUAAAUGCAAGGGAGUACAAAGGAGUUAUACUAUAAAGGGUUAGGGUUUGCAGUAAACAGCAUUUAAAGGUACUUAGUUGCUCAAAGCUAUUUUGUAAAUACGAUUCUAGAACUAUACCAUAUUAUUUAUCAAGGCCGUGAACCCACACGAACCUGCCUUAACCCAAGGCCUACGAUGAUUCAGACCGAACUGGCAACCCGACCCUGGGUUCCAGCUCGUCCCAAGCCAACCCAGGCCAACCAUUCCACAUUUUAGUUGUUAAGCCGGUUUUAAGAAUUAAAACACUAACUUGGGUACAUUGCUCGGCUUGCCCAUAACCGAGGGCGCGGCUAUUCGAAUAGAUUAUACUCUGAUCAGAGGUGUACAUCUUUACCCACAAGACACAUCUUUCUCACGUGCAACCACGUGCCACAUACCACCACGGUAUACAGACGAAAGACGUGACAUAGUUUCCAACCCAUCCUAGCUAUAGACAAGAGUACCGACCCAAUCCCACCUACGGCCGGAACCUCCGGGACAGGUAAGCAGGACUGAGCCCCUAGCAGCAGGACACCGGCCCUGUGCCAUGACAUCUCGACUACCGAACCGCAGCCCGUGUAGCCUUCAUUUGUCCUAGAGAUGUCCAUCGACCCCCGACUUCGUCCAUCUCUAAUCCGUGUACUUUUUUUUACAACCAGACUGAGCCACAAACUAAGCCUUACCCACUAGACAUGUGGAAGUACGGUAAUGCUUUGCAACAGAGGCCCGAAGACCGGUCCUUAUAUGGCCGAGGUGCUACCAUCAAAACCAUGCACCCCGAGCCCAGCCUAAAACCAUUUUGGGGAUUUUGAAUAGAGGGGGAGGUGUGAAUCCAAUUCCACAAUGAUCCAACAAUUCCAUAGUGUCCAGGUGAUGAGAAUAUUCCCAAAGUCUAGAGUUGUAAAAUCACCUAAUGUUACCUAAUUAAAAGCGAAGCAUCUACCUAAAAUCAUACUAGUGGUACCAUGAGUAGAGUGUCCACUAGUUGGGGUUUUGUUUAUUCCAGGGUGAACGAGGUAAUAAUAACAAUAACAAUAAUAAUAAGGUCAUAACAAAGGUAAAUAGGCAUGGCUAGAUAAAACAGUGAUAACGCGGGAAUUUAAAUAAAGCGAUAAUGCAAUAAUUUAAAUCAACAUAAUUUUAUAAACUGGGAUUCAAUAUGUUCAAGGAUGAUGUGACUUGCCUUGCUCGCUUUCCCAAACGUCGGCUUCAACCUCCACGAAGAGCGGAUCUUCCGAAGCUGCAGCGUCUACACGACCAACGGAAAAGAAAAGGCUUUUACUCUAAUAAACUCCAUAUAACAAGCAGAAACAAAGCACAAAAAUGGGUUCUUGACUUCUUAAGGAAAAAUUAGAGACUUGAACGGUCCAAUUCCGAGUUCAAAUGGCCAAGUUAUGGCCAUUUGAAGGUUAUAUGCUCUUUAAAUGGAUAUUUGCGAAUUUCUUCAUUUAAAUUUUAAUUUUAAAUCGGAUUUAUUGCGUCAGCCGAGGGGAGGGGCGCGCGGACCGGGUCCACGGGAGUGGGGCCCACGCGGCAGCCUCACGGUCCACGGUGGACCGGGUGUACACGGCUUACGCCGGCCGGCGCCGUGGGUCCCACGCGUCAGCCGCACCUGAGGGCGCGGGCGGCUGACGGCCGGGCCCCACAUGGCAGCCGCGGGGCGCGCCCGAAGGCGGCCUCGCCGGCACAGCCGACUGGAGGCGGCGCGCCCGCGCCCCUAUGGUCGCCGGCGGCGGCCAUAGGCACGGCGGAGCGGCGGCCGGGAGAGGGGAGGGAAGGGGGAAACGAAAUGGGCGGUCCACGGUUCACCCCGGGUCGACGGCGACGACGGGAACGGCGACCGGAGCGGAGGAAGGCGGCGGCGCGGCUCGGGUCGACGAGGACGGCGGUGUUCCGGCGGUCGGCGGGCGAAACGGAGGGGUGGACGAGGUCGGCGAGGACGCGGCGAAGCCGAAGAAGGCGACGCCGAAGCAGGAGAAGGUCCGGGGCGACGACGGCGGCGGACCGGAGCUCGGCGGUGACGGCGGAGAGAGGGAGCGACGGCGCGAGCUCGAUUCCGGCGGAGAGAGAGAGCGGCGAGAGGCGGAAACGGCGGAGGGAGGCACGGGGAGUGUUUAUAUAGGGUUGGGAGGGGGAGAGAGCGGCCGGAUGAGGGGGAAUCGGCCGCGGAAGAUCCGGCCGCCAUUGAUGCGCUGGCGAGGUUUAGGGGGAAAUGAUUCCGAGCGAAUCCGAGGGAGAGAGAGAGGGAGAAAUGGGGGGAAAGGGGGAGGGAAUCACGGGGAGUGAUUUCCCCCUCUUUAUUGCGCGCGUGGACGGCGGGAGGCGGCGGGAUUCGUGGCGACGGCGGCGCUAGGGCACGGGCGAGGCGGCGGGAGCGGCGCGAGGUAGGGGAUGACGGGUGGGCCCCACCCGUCAGCGAGGGUGGCGGGCGGGCCCGCCCGUCAGCGGCGCGCGCGCGGGGAGGAGGCUGAUUGGGCCGCGGGGGAGAGGAGAGAGAGGGAGAGGGAGGUGGGCCGAGCCGGCCCAAGAAGGGAAGGGGGGAAAAAAAGACUUUUUAGGGUUUUUCUUUUUAUAAACUCAUUUUAACUUUGUUUAUUUCUUUUUAAUUAUUAUUUGUGCUCUGAAAAUUCCACUAAAAUUUAUUUACGCAUUUUAGGCUUUUAGGAAAUAUACAAAAAUCCUCCAAGCCUUAUUUGACUUUUAACUUAGCACAUUUUAAUUGUUGGAGGCUUUCACAAGGAUUUUACUUAUUCUAUGCAUAAUUUCGAGGAUGUAUUUUAGAGUCGUUUUGGGACGCGACAUCACCGCCCGCAAGAGUACCUCCAGGCCCGAGCUUGUUCGUCAGUCCCUGGCGUGGACAUGCUUCAUGGAGACCCCUCGCGCCGAGCCCACGCCCUUGGUUCCUCAGGAGGAGGGAGCCUCUGGCGUUGGUAGCACGGAGGAUGCGCUGCUGCUCACCUUCCGCCCUGGCCCGUCGCAGAAGUAGACGAGCAGUUAGUAGGCUUGCGCGUGUAUUCUUCUCGUUUGUUUUUCUGGUUGAGUCAUGUGGGGCAUGGUUAUACCGGUGUGUGGUAUAACUGUGUCGAAGCCUGUCUUUAUUUUAUUUGCUUAAGCAACUUGAACCUUAAUGAACCAAUUUAAUAGCAGAAAUAAAUUCAAGAAUUAUGGUAGUCGUGGGUGGUUAGUUUUAAUAGUCAGCUCUCUCUGUUUGCUGGUUCUGUGUGGUAUUUUCAGAUGGUGACAACCAGGAGAAGUUCUGCUACCGGUGAAGGCAGUCACCCCGAAGGCAGCAACCACAACAACCAAGGCAGCCCACCUCCACCUCCUCCCCCGCCUCCACCACCACCACCAGACACCAACUCUAUCCUCACCCAAAUCCUCGCCCAACAGGCCAACAUGAUGGCUGCUUUCCUCCAUCACAUCCAAAAUCCGCCACAGCAUAAUGCUCCACCUCCACCACCACCCCCGCAACAUUCUAAACUCGCCGAGUUCCUCCGCAUCCGUCCGCCUACCUUCUCUAGCUCCAAUAACCCCGUGGAUGCCUUGGAUUGGUUGCAUGCCGUGGGGAAAAAGUUGGAUACCAUGCAGUGCAACGAUGAGGAGAAAGUCAUCUUCGCCGCCCAUCAACUGCAGGGGCCCGCAUCUCUAUGGUGGGACCACUUCCAGGCUACGCAGCCAGAAGGACAGCCUAUUACUUGGGCCCGCUUCACCGCCGCUUUCCGGAGGACCCAUGUGCCCGCCGGAGUCAUGGCCCUUAAGAAAAGGGAAUUCCGGGAGUUGAAGCAAGGCAACCUCUCCGUGAUGGAGUAUUUGCAUGAGUUUAACAACUUGGCCCGAUAUGCCCCGGAGGAUGUUCGGGAAGAUGAGGAGAAGCAGGAGAAGUUCUUGGCAGGAAUGGACCCUGAGCUGUCCGUGCGUCUGGUCUCCGGGGAUUAUCCGGAUUUCCAGCGUCUGGUGGAGAAGAGCAUCCGCCUGGAAGCCAAGCACAAGGAACUGGAGUAGCACAAGCGUCGCCUGGCGAAUUUCCGCAACCAACAGGGGGCUAACCAAAGGGUCCGCUAUACCAAUCCCUACCCAGGGGGAUCCUCCUCGCAGCAGCAGCAGCAACCAUGCUCCGUGCCCCGACCUCAAUUCGUGGUGCGCGUCCCACAGCUGCAGCAGCAGCAGAAUCAGCAAGGGACCCGUGCGCCCCGUCCUCCUGCGCCCGUUGUGCAGCCUGGUCAAGGCCGCAGAGACGCUCAAGGUUAGAAACGUUUGUGCUUCAAUUGCUUCGAGCCCGGGCACUUUGCGGUUAAAUGCCCAAAGCUGAGGCGCCAGCAAGGCCAACCGCCUCCCCGCCCCAACAACGGUGGUAAGGAUGUCAUUCGGGGUCGUGUGAACCACGUGACUGCCGAGGAUGUGCUGACAACUCCAGAUGUCAUCGUGGGUACGUUCCUCAUUCAUUCUAUUCCUGCUACCAUUUUGUUCGACUCUGGAGCUUCCCACUCGUUUAUAUCUGUGCCAUUCGUGGGGAGAAAUCAGUUGGGGGUAGAAAGGCUUAGGAACCCUCUGCUCAUCACCACCCUUGGCGGGUUAUGACAGCAAAGUACUAUAGCCCUGCCGUUCCUAUAGAAAUCCAGAGAAUCCCUUUUCCCUCGGAUUUGAUUCUUCUGGACACCAAGAACUUGGAUGUGAUCCUUGGGAUGAAUUGGUUGGCUCAAUUCCAAGGAGUAGUGGAUUGCGCAAGACGCACUAUCACUCUGUACCGAGGGCCGGAACAACUGGUGGUUUUCUUUGCACCCCCAACCUCUGUCGGCAGUUCAGAACUUCAUCAGAUAGGACUGUCGGAAAUCCCCAUCGUCAGAGAGUUCGGAGAUGUGUUUCCGGAAGAACUACCCAGUAUGCCACCCAAGCGAGAGAUUGAGUUCCGGAUAGAUCUCGCUCCACGAACCACUCCUCUGUACAAGCGACCCUACCGUAUGACAGCAAAUGAACUGGCCGAAGUCAAGAGACAGUUGGAAGAGUUGAAAGAGAAGGGAUAUAUAUGGCCGAGCACUUCCCCCUGGGGUGCUCCUGUGAUUUUUGUGGAGAAGAAAGACAAGACAAAGAGGAUGUGCGUUGACUACAGAGCUCUUAAUGAAGUUACUAUCAAAAACAAAUACCCUCUUCUCCAAAUCGAUGAUCUGUUCAAUCAGCUUAAAGGUGCCACUGUCUUUUCUAAAAUCGAUCUUCGUUCCGGAUAUCACCAAUUGCGUAUUCGUGAAGAAGAUAUCCCGAAGACCGCAUUCACCACGCGUUACGGACUGUAUGAAUUCACGAUGAUGUCGUUCGGUCUGACCAAUGCUCCUGCCUUCUUCAUGAACUUAAUGAACAAAGUGUUCAUGGAAUACUUGGAUAAGUUUGUUGUGGUUUUCAUUGACGACAUUCUGGUGUACUCACAAUCAGAGGAAGACCAUCAGCAGCAUCUCCGUCUGGUGUUGGGAAAGUUGCGGGAACACCAAUUGUAUGCCAAGUUUAGCAAGUGUGAGUUCUAGUUGUCCGAAGUCAAGUUCUUAGGGCACGUGAUAUCUGCUAAAGGAGUUGCUGUGGACCCCGAAACAGUGACCGCCGUCACUGAUUGGAAGCCACCCAAGACAAUCACUCGAGUCCGCAGCUUUUUGGGUUUGGCCGGGUACUACCGAAGAUUCAUCGAGAAUUUCUCCAAAAUUGCCAGACCCAUGACGCAGUUGCUGAAGAAGGAAGAAAAAUUUGUGUGGAGCCCGCAAUGCGAGAAGGCGUUCCAAACUCUCAAGGAAAAACUAGGGUCCUCGCCAGUUUUAAUCUUACCGGAUACUCGCAAGGACUUCCUGGUGUACUGUGACGCUUCGCGCCAAGGAUUGGGGUACGUAUUAAUGCAAGAAAGUCAUGUGGUAGCCUAUGCCUCACGCCAGCUACGGCCCCAUGAAGGCAACUACCCUACCCAUGAUUUGGAGUUGGCCGCUGUGGUUCAUGCUCUAAAGAUCUGGCGGCACUAUCUCAUUGGGAAUCGCUGUGAAAUAUAUACUGAUCAUAAGAGUUUGAAAUACAUCUUCACUCAGUCGGAUCUGAAUCUUCGGCAGAGGAGAUGGUUAGAACUCAUUAAGGAUUAUGAUGUGGGAAUCCACUAUCACCCUGGUAAGGCCAACGUGGUCGCCAACGCUUUAAGUCGGAAAAGCCGUUGCAACACUCUUGGCGUCCGUGGCAUUCCACCGGAACUUAAUCAACAGAUGGAAGCCCUGAACCUAAGCAUAGUUGGUCGUGGAUUCUUGGCUACGCUGGAAGCCAAGCCUACCUUGCUCGAUCAAAUCCGUGAGGCUCAGAAGAAUGAUCCAGAUAUGCAUGGACUCCUCAAGAAUAUGAAACAGGGUAAAGCCGCUGGUUUCACAGAGGAUGAACACGAAACCCUAUGGAACGGAAAUCGGGUAUGCGUUCCAGACGAUAGAGAACUUAAACAGUUGAUACUUCAGGAAGCUCACGAAAGUCCUUAUUCCAUCCACCCUGGCAGUACGAAGAUGUACUUGGACUUGAAAGAGAAAUACUGGUGGGUUAGUAUGAAGCGGGAAAUUGCAGAGUUCGUGGCCCUUUGUGAUGUGUGCCAGUGUGUCAAGGCAGAGCACCAACGACCAGCCGGACUUCUUGUCACACCCAGAAAUUCUCGAACCAGAAUUUCUAAGCUGAAUGUGCAUUAAAUCCCUGUCCAGGACCAGCCAGGGUACACAAACGACAAUUGUUGACAUACAGACCCACGUCUUACAAAAAUAUAAAAGAUUACAAAUGCAGCGGGAAAGAUAAAAGCGAGCUAAACCGGGAAGCUUGACUUCAGCAGCGGGCGACUCCACUCCACAGGCAAACCUUGACGACAGCGACGAAACCAACCUCUCUGAGAUGGCUCCAACUGAGAAGAACUUCAACUUUGGUGUGGGGGAAAAGAGAGCAAGACUGAGUACUACCCCCUGUACUCAGCAAGUCAUACCGGAAGAGGAGGUAUGAUGCAGGAUAUAACCAAAGGAAGCUAUGGGUUCUUUUGCAUAAAGCAGGCAUUUCAAAGCAGUAGUUGAAAGCAAUAAAACAGCUAUAGUAAUUAAUCAAUAUUAACCAAUCACUGUCCAACGCUACACCACGUUGCAACAGGCCCAACCAACCACCUGAACUACACAAGUUCAUUAAGUUAAACUAGGGGUGAGACUAAUCACGGUGAAUCUGGUUGAUCGCCCAUAACCGCGGGCACGGCUAUUCGAAUAGUUUUACUCUGGCCAGAGGUGUACAACUGUACCCACAAGACACGAUUCCACACAUGUCGCCAUGCCCCGAAGUAUCACCAUGAUACUGCAAAGGGGGAAAUCGUGACAAGACCCUUCACAUAACCCUCCCCUAACCAUCCACACCACGCUAAGGUUUCACCCCCACCCCUCAAAAGGCAGUGGGCGGUCCCCUCUUGCGCCGCGGUGAAUCCGGCAGCUGGACAACCGAACACCUCGGCCGACCCAACUCCAUCACGCCCACCCUCGCCACCGGUGCCUAGGAAAGGGUCGAGCUAUACUUCAGAUCAAGCAGUUACCCACUCCCGCUUGUGGUAAGCACGGUAAGUCUCCCAGGUUUCCCGUGAACCGGUCCUUAACUGCCAUGGGUGCGACCAGCAAAACCAUGCACUCACAGCCCGCCAUUCAGAAUAUUUUAAUUAACUGACACCCUUGCGGUGGCACCAAUCUAAAGCUAUGCCAAUAGUCAGAGUCUAUGUAAUAAUGUGAUCCCCAUUUGUGUACUAGUUGAACUAAGCAUGGCUAAGCAUUUCCUAAGCCAACAUCUAGUCAUUUUGAUACCCAAGUUAUCAAUGGCAUAAGAUAACCAAUAUGUGGCUGAGGAAUAGGACCCAUCCCACAUUACAUUGUAAAAGAAUGCAACAUUUAAUAGAAAUGCGGGAUAUUGGUAAAUUGGGUACAAUAUGAUCAAACGUAUUGCAUGACUUGCCUUGCUCUCAAACUGAUGAGACCUCAGCAACGUCUUCGAGAAACUGCGGAUCAACGAAACGGCCGAAACCUACGCGACAAACAAAGCACACAAGCAAAACAUGCUAUAAGACUACUGAAACAGGAAACAAAACCAUUUUUAAUGGAUUCUUUGCAUUUUUCUUGAUUUACUGAGACUUGAAUGGACUUAAACGGAGCUCGGAUGAAUUACUUAUGAAUUUUAGAAGAUAAACUGUGUUUUUACUAAUAAAGAAAAAGUCCUUAAUUAAUUAUUGCGCAAUAAUACCCGGGGCUGACGUCAGCGAGGGGGGCGGCGUCGACAGGCGGAGCCCGCAUGUCAGCGGCACAAGGGGAGAGGGAGGGGGCGCCGGCAUGUGGACCCCACGGGCAAUGGCUCAAGGGGGAAGACGGGGUGGCGCCCGGUUGGCUCGGCUCGGCUUCAAAGCCGACCGGCGACCAUGGCGACCGGCGGCGGCGCGCGAGCGCCGGUAACGGCAAGCGACGGCGCGGGAGGCGGCGGUGGACGGCGCACAGGCCGGCGGCGGCGGCCGAAGGCGAUGGCGAGCGCAGGGAGCGGCAGCGCGUGUGGGACAGAGGGAAGGAGGGAGGAGAGGAGCUCCUCACCGUGAGCACGGCGGCCGGCGCGAAGGAUGAAGACGACGGCGAUGACCGGUGAUGCGGAGGCAUGGACGGGCGGCGGUGACACCCUAGGAGAAGAUGGAGAGGCGUUAGGAUAGGAGACGACGACCACGGCGGCUUGAAUUGCCGGCCGGAGAUGGAGGGGAGGGAAAAACUCACCGGCUCGCGAGGGGAGAGGCGCUCCGGUGGGAUUCCGGCAACGCGAGGCGGUGGCUGGGAAAGCUCUUGCGGCGGCGAAGCUAACGGCGGUGGCGGGUUGGCGCGGCGGCGACUCUAGCAGCGACGGCGCUAGCAGCGAGCGGCACGAGCACGAUAGGAGGCACGGGAGAGUGCAGUGAAUGAGGGAAAUGGGAGAGGAGGUUUGGGGGAGCGUUUUUACGGGCGAGGGAGGGGCGGAAACAGCCGGGGAUGGCCCCUAUUUGGCUGGCGAUGUGGGGAGUGGAGGGAGAGAGAGAGGUGGAUUCGAAUGCGAAUCCCUCCCAUUUUUGGGCGGGCGCGAGAGCGGGAAGAGGUGGGGGAGGGGCGGCGACAUGGGCGCAGGGCGCGGGAGAGGCGCAGGAGGCGGGGAAGGUGGGCAGCGUGGGGAGCGGUGGUUUCGGCGGUGGUUGGCGCCGGGGCGUGGGCGGCUAGAGGUAGGGGACGACCCCGACAGGUGGGCCCCACCUGUCGGUGCCCGAAAGAGAAAGGGAGGGAGGGAGGACUUCAGGGAGGGGAAAUGUCACGCCCGGAAUUUCUAUCCAAAAUUCCAAACGCUUACAUGUGUGUGAACCCUCGUCCAGGAAUCAGCCGAGGCACACAAUAACAAAUUGAUAAUAGAGUACAAUUAUUACUCUAAUUAAUAAGCGAAUAAAAUGUCAUUACAGAGGUAGAUAGUUCCUCUCAAUCAAUAAAGAUCUAAGCAGCGGAAAAAUAAGAUAAACGGCGCGGACGGCUCCACUCCACAGGCAGCUUGACCAAGGCUACACCUAAACCUCCACACCAUCAGCAUCAUUGUAGAACUCUUCCUCUGAUGAAUGAUUGCAAGGUGAGUAUAUGACAUACUCAGCAAGCCACGCAGCAAAUAUGCAAGUGCACAGGAUAACAAAGGAUGGCAUAAUAGGGUUUCAUUUGCAAAAACAGCAUUUAACAAACUUUUCAGAAUUUAAUAAAACAGUUGAGUAUUAAUUAAACAAUAUUAAUCCAACGCUAUACAACAUACCCUGUUGUAUAGGCCCAACCAUUAUGUACAACCAUCCCAGCUGCACAGUUCUAUCUCCAAACCAGGAAUAUACCAUUCCAAACCAGGAGCUAAUCAAAUUAUUACCAAUUAUAGCAUCAUUUACUAUGGUGAGAAGGGUGAGACUAAUCACGAAAGACAUUGUUAGACCCGCCCAUAACCGCGGGCACGGCUAUUCGAAUAGUUUUACUCUGAUCAGAGGUGUACCACUGUACCCACAAGACACAACCCCACAUCAUGUCGCCAUGUGCCUCAAUACCACCACGGUACCUCGGAAAGGAGUUGUGACAAUACCCCUUGCAUAACACAAUCCACCGCAGCGCACCUUCCUGGAUCAUAAUCACCCCCUUAUAAACAAGGCAUGGACUCCCCAGCGACCCCCGUGGGCUUAUCUCCGCCACUUCUCAGUCUGGUGCUCCGCAAUGAACCAUGUUAUACAAAAGAUAAAGCCGUUGCCCACGCUGGCUUGUGGUUGGCACGGUUAAUGUUUCACAACCGAAACUCGUGAACCGGUCCUUAAUUGUCAUGAGCACGACCAUCAAAACCAUGUGCUCACAACCCACCAUUACCAGGUUUUAGUUGGCACAUUAAUUAAUUAACCAAUCACGAUUGACCAUCGUGAAAUCAUUAAAUAAUAGUGAGUCAUAAGUUAUCCCAAUAGUGUGCUAAUGUUUCUAAGCAGGGCUAAGCAAUUAUAUCUAAUAUCUAGUUGAACCAAUAUAUAAAGCUCAACUAGUCAAAUUAUAAUAACCCAAGGUAUCAAGGAAUAAAGUAAUCAAGAACAAAAGGGCUAUAACAAACAAUAGGUUAUUUCCACCCAAUGACAUUCGAAAAUAAAUGCAAUAGUUGAAUAGAAAUAAUAGCUUUAAAUAGGAUCAACAUGCUCAAAGGGUUGUUUGGGAUCUGUGUGACUUGCCUUGCUGGCCUUGGAACUCUUCAAAUUCUUCUCCUGCGAAAACGGACUCUCCGGAAACAACGGAAUCUAAGCAGAAAAGAGCAAAAUCACCAAAACAGCACAUAAACAAGCAUGAACAGUACAUGUGGAUAUUUUUAACCUGUAGAUCUCAAUUUUAGAAAAAUUUAGAGACUUGAACCAACUAAAUCGGAGCUAAGAUGAAUUAGUUAUGAAUUUUUGAAGAUUAAAUCGGAUUAAAACACUUAUAUUGAUUUUAAUUGAAUUAUGACGCAAUAAUGAAUUAUUUUUGAAAAGGAAAAAAGGGUUUAUUGCGUUAGCAGCUAGGGUUUCGCGGUGGACCGGGUGCACGGCGGCGGUUCACGCGAACGGACGGCCGAGAUCGACUUGAUCCAAAACGGACGACCGAGAUCGAUCGGUCCACGACCGGCUCACGGGAGAGGGCGACGAUGACGUCGACGAUGACGUCACCACCGGCGGCGGCGGCUCGGCGGCUCGGACGGCGCACGCUCACCGGCGAACGGCGGCGCUUUGGCACGAACUGAGGACACCAACGGGUAGCGGACGGCACGGCGAACUCACCGGCGACCAAAGCGACGGCGGAAGACCAACGGACGGCGACGGCGACGAGGUUGAAACGGCGGCGCUCUUCGGCAUGACGACGGCGACGAUGCUCCGGCGGUCUCCGACGGUGGCGAAGCGGCGGACGAGGACGGCGACGACUUGGCGAGCACGACGGCGGUCUUCCCGAGCGACGACGAUGACUGGAACGGCGGCGGCGCACGGCUGGAGCGACGGCGGCGACGGCGGCGCUAGGGCACACGGCGCUAGAGCGCUACGGGCGACGAGAGGCGAAGGCGAGGGUGGCGGCCGGUAGAGGAGACACCGGGGGUCCUUUUAAAGGGGCUAGGAGGCGACGGCGAAGGCCCACGGCGACCGGCGACGCGAAGGAAACUUCGGGUUCGGGAGAGAGGAAAGUCGAUCCGAUUUGACUUCAAAUCUAUCGAUUUCCAAACCGAUUUAGCCGAUGAUUCCAAAAGAGAAAAGGUUGAGGAGAUCUCGAGGAUCAUUUGCCCUCUUUUGAUUCGGCCGGAGAAGGAAAGGGGCGGCCGGAUUUGGAAAGGAACGGCGGCGGCGCGAAACUAGGGUUUCGGGCGGCGGCGGCCGGAGGUUGACGACGACCCUGACAGGUGGGGCCCACCUGUCAGCGGGAGAGAGAGAGGAGAGCGGCGGCUUGGACUGGGCCGGCUGGGCUGAAGAGAGAGAGAGAGCGGUUUUGGGCCGACUUUCGGCCCAAAGCCAAAAGAGACUUUUUAAAACCUUUUUCAAUUUAAAUUAUUUAUGAAAUGCAAUUCCAUUUAUUAAAAAUACUUCCUUAGCUCAAAUAAAUCCCAGAAAAAUCUAGGAAUUAUAGAAUUAAGCAAAGUAUUUAAUGAAAUUUUAUCUGGCCCCAUUUUAUAUUGGAAUUUAUUAAUUAAAAUUAGAUCUUCUCUUCUAGGCUCUUAAAAUAAAUUCUAAAAAUUCCAUUUAAACAACAAUUUAUAUAUUUUGAAUUUUCAGGGUGUGACAGGAAAGGAGGAGCGGGCCGGCCCAGGAAGGGGCGCCGAGCGCGGGGAGAGAGACGGGCCGACGGCCCAUCUAGAGAAAAAAGAAGGAAAAGAAAAAGAAAAAGAAAAAGAAGAAAGGAUUUUUCCUGGGAUUUAAAAUUGCACUUUGGUGAUUUUUAAUUGAUUAAAAUUAUUUCCAAGGCUCUGAAAAUUCCACUAAAAAUCUUGUUAAUGCAUUGGAAAAUGGGGAACUCAAGAAAAAUUCCACCACGCUAUUUCCGAUUAUUAAUUGCAUUUAUUAACUAGGGAUUUAGCUCUAGGUUAAUUAAGAUAAUUUCUUCGGGCAAUUUAUUUAACCAAUUUUUAAAGCAAGAAAAAGGGGGGGAUACUUCAGGGUGUGACACUUCUCCAACCUCUCCAACUACCAGAAUGGAAAUGGGAUGAAAUUGGGAUGGAUUUCAUCACCGGACUUCCAAAAACCUAGGGCGGUUAUGAUUCUAUAUGGGUAGUCGUGGAUCGACUAACCAAGGUAGCUCGGUUUAUUCCUGUGAAGACCACCUAUGGAGGAAACAAACUAGCCGAACUCUACUUCGCUAGGAUCGUGAGUCUCCAUGGCGUUCCUAAGAAAAUUGUAUCUGAUAGGGGAAGCCAAUUCACCUCUCACUUCUGGAAGAAGCUCCAAGAAGAGUUGGUACCCGAUUAAAUUUCAGCACCGCGUAUCACCCGCAGACAGAUGGACAGACCGAGCGUCUAAAUCAGAUCCUAGAAGAUAUGCUCCAUGCCUGUGUUCUAGAUUUUGGGAAGACCUGGGAUAAGAGUCUCCUCUAUGCCGAGUUCUCCUACAAUAACAGCUACCAAGCCAGCAUACAAAUGGCACCCUAUGAAGCGUUGUAUGGACGCAAAUGCCGGACACCGCUAUUGUGGGACCAAGUUGGGGAAAGCCAAGUGUUCGGGACCGAUAUCCUGAGAGAAGCUGAAGCUAAAGUCAGAACCAUUCGGCAUAAUCUAAAGGUGGCACAGUCUCGGUCGAAAAGCUAUGCAGAUAACCGACGCCGUAACCUGGAAUUUGCAGUGGAUGACUUUGUGUACCUUAGGGUCACGCCAUUGUGGGGUGUACACAGGUUCCAAACGAAAGGGAAGCUAGCACCUCGGUUCGUGGGUCCUUUCCGUAUCAUCGCUCGACGCGGAGAAGUCGCUUACCAGUUGGAGCUGCCCGCAUCCUUGGGUAACGUGCAUGAUGUGUUCCAUGUGUCGCAACUCAAGAAAUGUCUUCGAGUGCCAUCCGAGCAGGCCGAUUCAGAGCAAAUUGAAGUUCGCGAAGACUUGACCUACGUGGAAAGGCCAGUGAAAAUCCUGGACACCAUGGAGCGCAGGACCAGGAACCGGGUAAUCCGUUUUUGCAAGGUCGAAUGGAGCAACCACGCUGAGGAAGAGGCUACUUGGGAACGUGAAGACGAGCUGAAGGCAGCCCAUCCCGAUCUCUUCGCCAGUUCUUCCGAAUCUCGGGGUCGAGAUUCCGUUUAAGGGGGGUAGGAUUGUCACGUCCCAAAACGACUCUAAAAUAUAUCUUUUAAAUUAUGCCUAGAAUAAUUAAAAUCCUUGUGAAAGCCUCCAGCAAUUAAAAUGUGCAAAGUUAAAAGUCAAAUCAGGCUUAGAGGAUUUUUGUAUAUUUCCUAAAAGCCUAAAAUGUGUAAAUAAAUUUUAGUGGAAUUUUCAGAGCACAAAUAAUAAUUAUUAAGAAAUAAACAAAGUUGAAAAAUUUUUAUAAAAAGAAAAACCCUAAAAGUCCCCCUUUCCUCCCUUGGGCCGGCCCAGCCCAUCUCUCCUCCCCCCUCUCUAUCUCCUCUCCCCGCGGCCCACUCGGCCUCUCCCCGCGCGCGCGCCGCUGACGGGCGGGCCCGCCCGCCACCCUCGCUGACGGGUGGGGCCCACCCGUCAUCCCCGACCUCCCGCCGCCUCGCCCGCGCCCUAGCGCUGCCGCCGCCGCGAAUCCCGCCGCCUCCCGCCGUCCCGCGUGCAGUGAAGUAGGGGGAAAUACUCCUCAUGAUUCCCUCUCCCUUUCCCCCCAUUUUUCCCUCCCUCUCUCGCGUUCAAACAGGCGGAUUUGCCCCCGCAAAUCUUGCCGGCGCCAUUGAUGGCGGCCGACCUCCCGCGCCGGUUUCCUUCCCCUCCGGCCGCUCUCUCCCCCUUCCAACCCUAUUUAAACCCUCCCCGCACCUCCUCCGUCCAUUUCCGCCUCUCGCCGCCCUUCCACCUCGCCGGAUUCGAGCUCGCGACGUCGCUCUCUCUCUCCACCAUCGCCGCCGAGCUCCGGUCCGCCGCCGUCGUCGCCCUGGACCGCCUCCCACCUCGGCGCCGCCUCCUUCGGCUUCGCCGCAUCCUCGCCGACCUCGUCCACCUCUCCGUUUCGGUCGCCGACCGCCGGAGCGCUGCCGACCCCGUCGACCCGAGCCGCACUGCCGCCUCCCUCCGCUUCGGCCGCCUCCUCCGUCGCCGCCGUCGCCCCGGGGUGAGCCGUGGACCGUCGCCUCCUUUCCCCCUUCCCUCCCCUCUCUCGGCCGCCGCUCCGCGGCGCCGGUGGUCGCCGGCGGCAACCAUCGAGGCGCGGGGGCGCCGCCUCCCGCCGACCGCGCCGGCUUGGCCGCCCUCGGGUGCGCCAAGUGGCUGCCGCGUGGGGCCCAGCCGUCAGCCGCCCGCGCCCUCGGGUGCGGCUGACGCGUGGGGCCCACGGCGCCGGCCGGUGCGAGCCCGGGUGCGCCCGGUCCACCGUGGACCAUGAGGCUGCCGCGUGGGCCCCACUCCCGUGGACCCGGUCCGCGCGCCCCUCCCCCUCGGCUGACGCAAUAAACCCUUUUUAAAUUAAAAUUUAAAUGAAGAAAUUCGCAAAUAUUCAUUUAAAGAGCAUGUAAACUUCAAAUGGCCAUAACUUGGCCAUUUGAACUCGGAAUUGGACCGUUCAAGUCUCUAAUUUUUCCUUAAGAAGUCAAGAACCCAUUUUUGUGCUUUGUUCCUGCUUGUUAUAUGGAGUUUAUUAAAGUAAAAGCCCUUUUCUUUUCCGUUGGUCGUGCAGACGCUGCAGCUUCGGAAGAUCCGCUCUUCGUGGAGGUUGAAGCCAACGUUUGGGAAAGUGAGCAAGGCAAGUCAUAUCAUCCUUGAACAUAUUGGAUCCCAUUUUAUAAAAUUAUUUUGAUUUAAAUUAUUGCAUUAUCGCUUUACUUAAAUUCCCGCGUUAUCAUUGUUUUAUUUAGCCAUGCCUAUUUACCUUUGUUAUGAACUUAUUAUUAUUGUUAUUGAUAUUAUUACCUUAUUCACCCUAGAUUAAACAAAACCCCAACUAGUGGACACUCUACUCAUGGUACCCCUAGUAUGAAUUUAGGUAGAUGCUUCGCUGGUUAAUUAGGCAACAUUAGGUGGUUUUACAACUCUAGACUUUGGGAAUAUUCUCAUCACCUGGACACUAUGGAAUGGAUGGAUUAUUGUGGAAUUGGAUUCACACCUCCCCCUCUAUUCAAAAUCCUCAAAAUGGUUUUAGGCUGGGGUCGGGGUGCAUGGUUUUGACAGUAGCACCUCGGCCAUAUAAGGACUGGUCUUCGGGCCUCUGUUGCAAAGCACUACCGUACUUCCACAUGUCUAGUGGGUAAGGCUUAGUUUGUGGCUCAGUCUGGUUAUAAACAAAAGUACACGGAUGGAGAUGGACGAAGUCGGGGGUCGAUGGACAUCUCUAGGGCAAAUGAAGGCUACACGAGCUGCGGCCCGGUAGUCGAGAUGUCAUGGCACAGGGCCGGUGUCCUGCUGCUAGGGACUCAGUCCUGCCUACCUGUCCCAGAGGUUCCGGCCGUAGGUGGGGUUGGGUCGGUACUCUUGUCUAUGGCUAGGAUGGGUUGGAAACUAUGUCACGUCUUCCGUCCGUAUACCGUGGUGGUAUGUGGCACGUGGUUACACGUGAGGAAGAUGUGUCUUGUGGGUAAAGAUGUACACCUCUGAUCAGAGUAUAAUCUAUUCGAAUAGCCGCGCCCUCGGUUAUGGGCAAGCCGAGCAAUGUACCCAAGUUAGUGUUUUAAUUCUUAAAACCAGCAUAACAACUAAAAUAUGGAACGGUUGGCCUGGGUUGGCUUGGGACGAGCUAGGACCCAGGGUCGGGUUGCCAGUUCGGUCUGAAUCAUCGUAGACCUUGGGUUAAGGCAGGUUCGUGUGGGUUCACGGCCUUGAUUAAUAAUCUUGUAUAGCUCUAGGAUCGUCUUUAUAAAAUAUCUUUGGGCAACUAAGUGUCUUUUAAAUCCUGUUACUGCAAACCCUAACCCCUUAUAUUAUAACCCCCUUGUACUCCCUUGCAUUUAUUCUGCACUUGUGGGUGUGUCUUGUUGAGUACGGUGGUUGUACUCAGUCUUGCUCAAUUUUUCCCAAACCCAGAAGAGGAGUUCCUGGAAGAUGAAGGCUUUGGUGUCUAGCUCGUGCCUGCCGUCAAGCGCCUGUGGUCGUCGCCCUAGUCUUCCGCUGUUUUUCGUUUGUCUUCUUGUGUGCUGGGCCUUCGCCGCCCAUGUAAUAAAUUAAUUAUUUACGCUUCCGCUUGUUAAACUCUGAAUUGUAUCAACUUUCGGUGUACCUUGCCUCCUAGGACAAGGAAUAAUACACGCACGUAAGGAACGCCCGUUGGGUUAUUUCCAGGCAUGACAUGUGUCCACACUAUUAAUUUGGUAUCUCUAUACCAUGAUCCAUAAGACAUUAUCAUCAAUUAAUACAUGUGUUGAUCAUAUAAACGUAUUUGUUCCACAUAUGAUAUUUGAUCAGGGAUCCUUUAGAAAUAGCAACACAUAACAUAAAGAGUCUGAUGAAAGAAUCACAUAUUCAUUAACCAAUAAUGAGUUUAUCUAUUUUAAGAAACAAAGUCGGAUAAAUAUGUAAACAUAGUGUGUGACACGAUCAUCUCUAUGAUUGCCUCUAGGGCAUAUCACUAACACUGAAAACCUUUCGUUUUGCCCACGAGACGGUUAGUUAUCUAGAAUCGGCUCCGCUAACCGGUUUAGUUAACAAACCCAUCUUGCUUUAGCUUUUGCUAGAUCGAGGUGGUUGGCGACUCUAGGAUCACCACAAGGCGUUUAGAUGCUGCGAUCGUGUGCUUGUCAACUUGUCACAAAAAGUUGCCAACAGUGAUGUUAACGGUUUAUUAGUGAAAAACAUAAUUUAUAAAUACAAGUUUUAUAUUUGUAUUCUAAGCAAUUUAAACGUUAAUGCUGAAUAAAAAACUCCAUUAAAAGUACUCUAAAAUCAAGUCUAAAAUAUUGAAAUACAAAUAUAUAGAUGGUUAAAUAGAAAAUUUCAGCAACUCAAAUGCGAAAGCAAAACAAAAGAUGAAAGUACUAAAAUAGAAACAUAAGAACCGAACAAAUUGAAUGCCGCGCGUGGAUAAUCUUUGCAACUAUGCAACUUGCCAUGACAAAGAGUGAAAAACGCAGAGAUUAUAUCAGCACGGAAACGAGAGGAGACUUCAGAAAACGGCGAAGGAUGCUGCCCGGAAAAAAUAAACUCCCUUAAAUUCCUAUGCAUAUCUUGUGCUCCGCAGACCAAGUAAAAACUUAAUUAAGCACAUGCAUUUGACGCCUUUUCAGUUUCCACCAUAUCCAAAUGUUCGUUCUCCACAAGUCGUACGUGCACGGCUCAAACUCACCUUUUUUUUAUUUCAGGUCAAAUGUCCUGGUAAGUUAAAUAGACUGCAUGUUUAGGAGAACAAUACCCUUGUGUCUUUUACGAAAACUUUUCAGACUAGACCUCUAUAUUUUCCUUGGCACAGGAACCAUACUCGCUCUAAGUUAGUAGCGCGGAAUCAUCUUCUCUCACGCAUCGCUAAUAUUAUAUUAUCUCACGACCAAUGAGUUUAAAUGGAAUAUUCUAACCAGUGAUGGGAGGUUCUCGGUUAAAUCUCUUUAUCUUGCAUUGGUGUAGACCGGAGUUUCCAAUAGACAAAAAGAAUUUAGAAGAUCAAAGCCCUCCUAAAGAUUAAGAUAUUCUUAUGGUACUUACGUCGGGCAGUAGUUUUAACAAGAGAUAAUCUGAUUAAAAAGAAUAGGAGGAAACAAGACUUGUUCUUAAUAUCACGAAGAGAAAACUGUUAAACAUUUGUUCUUUGAUUGCCGUUUUGCCCACGUGGUUUGGUCCUUAAUCCACUUUGCUUGUAAUAUUACUUUACAUAAUAGUAUAACUCGUAUAUAUGUUUGGGUGUAGGAUAAGAAGAAAACCACACAAUUUGUGGCAACGAAAACAAAUGUUCUUUUUCCUAAAUUUUUUGUCCAAUCUUUGAUCAAUUAUAUCAUUGUAUAUUCCUCUCAAAAAAAUUAUAUCAUUGUGUUGUAUUCGUUAAAUUUCACUAAUCUAUAGGUAUUUUAAUCAAAUUAUCACAAAACUAUAUAUUUAACACCAAAUUUAUCUUAAACCUAUAGAUUUAAGGCCUACAUAUUUUAGAGUUUAAAUCCUAGCACCAUUAUUACUUUGGAGCUAUAAACAUUGUAGUUUUGAACUAAAUUUUGGGUUCUGGUAGUGAGUAGUGACUGUAUCGUCGGUGUAGAAGCAUUAGCCAAAUACUUCAUGGCAUUAUAACUCAUUUUUAUAAGUUAGAUACAUAACGAUUUAUGAAAGCACGGUAUCAAUUUGAAAAGGUCGUCUAUCAAAUGAUUAAAUUGGUUCCGGAUUCCAAAUUAAAAUACUUGCUACGUAUGCAGUAUGUCGUUAUCAAACGUGAUGGAUCUGGUUAUCCUUAUUAGCACGAGGGGUUACUUCAGCUUUGUGGGCGAAGUUAAUUAGUUGACCAUAAGUUUUAACGUUUACUUGUACACAUACCGUGCUUUCAUAUCUUUAUAUGGUACGCGUACACACAUACCGUCUAGAUGACCUCUUUUACGUAUAUAUAUAAGUUAGAGGUCAUAUCUUUAAUUAACAAGCCACGCAGUGUUGUUUCAGGGGAGAGAGAGAGAGAGAUGCGUUCUUGCGGCAUCAGAGGUGUCAUUCGCCACCAUCUGGCGUGGCUGGUGCUAAUUUUGUGCUCAUGGCAGGUUGCAGCUGCUCAGGCUCAGCAAGCACCAAAAACCGAUCCAGUCGAAGGUAGGCGUAUAGAUGGCCAAAUGGGCCGCCCGGCCCGGCCCGGCCCAAGCAUGGCCGUGCCUAGGCCAAGGCUUAUUGGGCCGGCACGGCCCGACCAACACACCGGGCCGUCCCGUGCCAGCCCACGGGCGGCAUCCACGGCCCAGGCACGGCCCAAUACUACUCGGGCCGUGCCGGGCCGGCCCGAAGGCACGAUGGUCCAUCGUGCUUCCUCAUAGAAAAAGUCUAUUUUUGGUCGCUCAACUUUGUGGGCUGUGUUUAAAUGGCUGGAAAAUAAGUCUAUUUUGUAUACCUCUUAUCUUGGGCCUUGCCUUAUAUGAUUAUUUAAGUCUAUUUUAAAUCCCUAUAUUUUUUUUAUUUGACCGGGCCGUGCCGUGCCGGCCCAGCGUGCCGAAGGUGCGGCCCAAGCACGGCCCGGCUGUCGGGCUGGGCUGGCACGGGCACAACCCCAGUCAGGCCAUGCCGUCCUUGGCCAAACAGCCGUGCUUUGGGCCGGGCCGUGGGCCACGGGCCAUAUGGCCAUCUAUAGGUAAGCGAGCAAUUAAUCAUGCACGCGUACGUAUAUACGUAUCACGCAUGCAUAUGCAUGUCUCUCUAGUUUGGUUUUCCUCCAUGUAGCUAGAUCGCAGGAGUUGUAAUUUGUGGUUGAUAACAUUGAUAUGGUGUCCCCCUCUUGCCGCCUUGAAACGAAAGAGUUAGAGAAAUCUUAUAUAUUUAUAUAAAGUUCUAUCCUAUAUAUUUUUAUAAAGUCCAUUCCUAACCGUAGUAAUUAUUACUAUUUAUAUCUUUUCUUAUUAAGCCACAUCAUCCGAAUUGUUUUUUUAUUCCUUCGAUAGUUGGUAGUAUAUUGUGCAAAUUAUCUCUCAUAUUUUCCUAUCUUAUUAAGUCAUAUCACCUUAGUUUUAUAUUUAAGAUGAUGUACUUGGCCACAUCACUAUUGUUGUGAUUUUAAAUGACCAAUCUAGUUUAAAUUAUUAUAAAUAACAUCUUAAUUGUACGUAGUAUUUUUCUACAGUAGAUAAAGAUGGUUAAUUCAUUAAUCGCCUAGCUAGCUUCCAUCCGCAUGAUUAAUAAUGGAGAGUUUAAUUAACCAUGCAGCGGCUGCUCUGAACACGAUACUGGGGAGAUGGGGCAAGAAGGCAUCGCCGGAGUGGAACAUCAGCGGCGAGCUCUGCAGCGGUUUUGCCACUGAUAAAACUGACUGGGAUUACUACCCCAACAUCAACCCGUUCAUCAAGUGCGAUUGCACGGACAGCAACAACACCCUCUGCCACAUUACCAGACUGUACGCACACUCUCUUUAUCUUUAUCGUGGUUUCAUCAUAUGUGCUCCACGCAGUGCCUGAAAGAGCCCAUGCAUACACACGUAUAUGCUGCAAGUAUACAAAUUAAAAAACAUAUAUAUAUAAACACCAGAUUAUUAAUAUUAAUUAGUAUCUCCAAGGAAUGCGUAGAGGAAUCAGAAAAGUCUAUCCUAAAUUCGGUACAUAUCUUCCUUAAAAAAAUUGUACAUAUCUGCUGGACCCAAAUGGAGGUAUUAAUUUGGUCCUCCGGCUGUAUAUAUGUAUCCCAAACACAGUUCUCUUAUCAGUAUUUUUACUUGUUUUUUAUGCAGGAGGGUAACUAAUUUGAAUGUAGUUGGUCAAAUACCUACGGAGCUACAGAAUCUCACACAUCUAGUGGAUCUGUACGGUAUCCAAGACUUCUCUUCUUAAUUAAUCUUGCUACUAGUCGCAUCGGGAAAUUCACUAGCUUGUAAUUAGCGAAUUAAUUUGUGCAUUCUCGUCUAGUAAUUAGCCGAUAUACUAGAAACGACAAUUCAAUAAUCCAAUAUAAUAAUAACAUUAGAUAUUACUUACAAAUAAAAAGAAAACAAUAGCUUACAAACGAUAUAGCAUUAGCUUCAGCUCUAGUUCCACGCACAGCUCAACUGAGAUAUAAGCCAGAUGUCUUCUUCCUCAAAAAUUUUCUUCAACUGAGAUUUGAUGAUUAUUGUAUGGCGAGUACAUGGAAUACUCCAUAAGCCACACAGAAAAAAUACAGGUGCAUGGUGAUACAAAGGAAGGUAUGAUAGGGUUCAUUUGCAAAAGCAACAUUCAGCAAAACAAUAUAAAAUCAACACUGUACAACAUACCUAUGCUCCAUAGGCCCAACCAUCUCUAAACAACCAAACCCGACUACACUGACUAAAGUCCAUACAAAGAGCUAACAAAUUAUCAUUACCAAUUUAUUUAUCAUUAAUAAGUAGUGUGUGACUAAUCACAAAAAAAACACUGUUAGGCUUGCCCAUAACCGCGUGCACAACUAUUCGAACAGUUUUACUCUGGCCAGAUAUGUACUAAUGUACCCACAAGACAAUUCCACAACCUGUCACCAUGUCAUCAUGUGCCCACGCUUAACAUGUCACCAUGUGUGAAAUUCUAACAAGACCAUUCGCAUAGCACAACUCAAAGUAGUUCACCAUUCUCAGAUCGUCGUCUUUCCAUAACUCAGAAUAGACGCGUUGUGACCCACGUGGGCUUAUUAGUCUGGUUCUCUACAACGAAUCAUGCUAUACAAAAAGUCCAGUCAUUGCUCAUGCUGGCUUGUGGUUAGUACGGUUAAUGCUUCACCACAGUAGCUCGUGAACCGUUCCUUAAUUGCCAUGAGCACGACCAUCGUAUCCAUGUGCUCAAAGCUUACCAUUAAUCAAGUUUUAGUUGGCAUAUUAUUAAUCAACCAUGACAAAACAUCACAAUAUACCAUUAAUUAACCAUCAUUAAUCAUGAGUGAAUCAUUAGUUAUCGCAUGUAAAAGGAAUAUGUUCAUCUGAAGUCCCUUAACGUGUCAACGUAUCCGAUUUUCGUCCUUCAAUCGGAAAACCAGAUACCACGGGUCCGUCAACUAUCAAAACCGGUAAAGAUGAGGUCCCUCGGCGGUUUAGAUGGCGGUUUAGGCUGACAUGGCGCCUACUUGGCUAAUUUGACUCGGUCUUCAUCUGACGUGGCAUUGUCAUGGCGAUUACGUGGCAAUUUGUUCCGGAAAAAUAAUAAAACACAUGGGACCCACAAGUCAGUUUCACACACAAAAUAAUUAAAAAUGGUGGGACCCACGUGGGCCCUGUCUCACCCCUCCUUUCUUCCUCCUCCCUCCCCAUCUCUUUCUCUUCAUUUCUAUCCCCUUAAUUUCCUCUCUCUUCUCUCUCCAACGCCACCACCACCGACUCCACCGAGGAUAGAGAUAAGAGAGGAGAAAGAGGAUGACAUGUGGGGCCCACGUGGGUCCCACCAUUUUUUAUUAUUUUGUGUGAAACUAACAUGUGGGUCCCACGGGUUUAUUAUUUUUCCGGAUCAAAUUGCCACAUAAGCACCACGUUAAUGCCACGUCAGAUGAAGACCGAGUCAAAUUAGCCACAUAGGUGCCACGUCAGCCAAAACCACCAUCUAAACCAUCAAGUGACCUCAUCUGCACUGGUUUUGAUAGUUGAGGGACCCUAAGUAUCUGGUUUUCCGAUUGAAGGACGAAAAUCGCAUUCGUUGACAAGUUAAGGGACAUCAAAUGAACUUAUUACCAUGUAAAAUGAUACUGAUGUUUCUGAGCAUGGCAAAAAAAAUUACACUAAUAUCUAGCCGAACCAAUAUAUGCAGCUCAAGCUAGACAAGUAAUAUCCCAAGAUAUCAAGGAAUGGGAUCAUCAAUAUAAACUGGCUAUUCAAAGUAAAAAGGUUCACACCAUCCAAUGACAUUCAAAAAUAAAUACACAUUUGAAAUAAAAGAAGAAUUUAAAUAUUGUAUCAACAUGCUCAAAGGAAUUGUUUGGGAUAUGUGUAACUUGCUUGCAAUAAUCGAAAAUGAUGGAAACUACAAGCUAACAUGCAAAAUGAGGAAAAAGACUAAUAAAAACCAAAUAAACAAUACAUAAAAGUAAACAAACACUUAGAGCUUGAUUUUAGAUAAAUUAUGAGACUUGAACAGCCUCAUUCCAACUUCAUAAGAAUUAGUUAUGAAUUUUACAAGAUUUAAUCCAAUUAAAGCCUAUUUAAAAGGAUUAAAUAGAUUUAUUACAUAAAUUAUAACUACUUUAAAGAAGACAAAGAUAAAUUAUGAUGUCAUCGGCAAUCAGUCCACCGUAGACUAGGUCCACAGAGGUAGUCCACGGGUUCACUGAGAUGGAAAACCUAGAUUAAAUCAUAACCAAGAGUUGACCAAAAUCCGACGGCCCAGACCGAUUCAAUCCAGGGUUUAGAUGGAACCACAUGACAACAUGUUGACAUGGAAUUCGUCGUACAUGAAGUCAUGAGAGAUCUGCAUAGCUCGUCCUAUCAUUCGUGUACGUGGCGUUUUAGUUAGUUUGAUCCUACAACCAACAAAAUAGAUAAAUGGAUUGUAUAAGAUCAUAGGGCCAAUGUGAUCCUACAACUAACAAGAUCAAAGGGCAUUUUAGUUCAUUUGAUCCUACAACUAACAAGAUACAUCUAACCAAUAGGCCAAUGUGAUGUAGCGAGGCUUGCCGAUGUCAAUAGGGUUUUGAUCAAUCGGCUAUAUGCUCGAUGUAGAUUCAGAUAAUCGGAUAAACAAUGAGAUAUAUGCUAUCAUCGGCUAGAACUAAACAUAUGCAUAAUCAUCAAUAAACCACUCCUUAUUAAAACAAUCUUGAUAGAUUAGACCUAAUCGAGACAAUAUAAGAUCGAAGAUGAUAAAGAGAAAUUUAACUAUUGAUUAUACAAGUUUGAGUAUAAGACAAUACAACACUGAGAAUUAGUAACAAGAUAACACAUCGGCUAGAACUCUGAUAAAAACACAGCAUAAAACCUAUUGGCUUAGUAGAAUUACUUAUUAGCAGCCAUCUAUUAGAUUAAACCUAACCGAGACAGUAUAAGAUUGAAGAAAAUAAUCAAAAAAACUAUUUAGCCGAUAAAUAUGCACAAACAUGAUGGAUAUAACAAAUUUAUCUAAAACAACGGUAUGAUUAGAGAAAUAUCAACUUAAUCAGAAUAUCGGACCUAACCGAGAAAGUCCUAACUAAGUCGAUUCAACUAUAAAUAGCUAUGCAGUUAAAGAUAAAAUCAAUGUAUUAGAUAGGUAAUGCUUGCGUCAACCCAAAAAAAAAAUAUGACUUAAUCGAGAAUGUUCUAGUCAUGCCGAUACAAGUGAAGUUGAUAGAACUUACUUCCUUGUUGGAGAUUGAAACCAAUGCAUCUCAACUUGAAACUAAGAACUUGCCAGAACAAAAGGUUGCAAUGCGCCGAAAGUAAUUGUAUUAAUCUGUGGAGACAAUUUGCAAACAUCCUAGGGGUACAUAUUUAUACCCUCAGGUUGAUACGAGUCCUGAUUGAACAAGACAUAUGUUUCCUAGAGAUAAAAGGAAAAAAAUACAAUUCUUGAUCGGACACUAGAUAAAACUUCAAAAAGAUAAAAGGAAAGUUAAUAAAUCCUAACUAAUCAAUAGAUAGAAUUAGUUUGCCAUGCCAUGGUCUUCACGAUUCCUUUUUGAAAUCAGUCUCUUUUGGAUAAACUUCCAUUGGUUGAUCGAAUUCGUUCUUCAACCGAAUGCACUAAAAAACCAUACCAAAUUUUGGUGUUAACACAAUAGCGCUGACGUGCCGAUGAUGUCACCUCACCAGUGACGGCCGGCUUGGGACCCUAAGGUCGCUGGUGAAUCAAGCACGGCGGCGUGAACAGAGGGCAUCGAGAGGUUGAGUGUGACAAGCCGAAGACAUCGAGAGGUGACACGACAAAGGACGGUGAUAGCGGUGAGUUUGAAACAAUGACGUAGCUCGGGUCAUCAUCAACGGUGGUGUUCUGGCAGUAGAUGGUGAUGGAGGACCGCUAGACGAAAUGCACCUCCUCCUUGCAUACUCGGCAGAGGUGACAACGGGCAAAGGCGACAAAUAGAGCAGCGACGUGCCCCGACUGGAAGGUAGCGGCGGUGUUGAUUUGCACAGGCGAGGGUGGCGGUGGAAAGAAGAUAGGGGGUGGAUCCUAUUUGUAGCCACGAGAGACCAUAUCCUUGCCCAAGACGGCUAUGGCAGUGCUGGGAAAAAACUAGAGUUCUACCGGAUAGAGAGAGUCCGAGUUCGAGCCCGAUUCCACACAAUUUACUUAGGUAUUUUUGGGGAUUUCUUGGGGAAAGGGUAGAGGAGGAGAUAAGGAACAAACGCCCUCAACUAAUUUUGGAAAAGAUCAAUAGAGGCGGUUGGAUUUCAAGGCGACAUAGACUCUGGCCAGAUGUAGGGGACAACACUAACAUGUGGGAUCUCGUCCCACAUGUUGGUAGGAGGGAGAUGAGGGAGGUGGGUCGGGCUAGUGCCUUGAGCUAGCUAAGCCGAGCGGGGAGAGAGAGGGAGAUGGGCUCGAUUUGACCCAAAAGUUUAGAGGCGGUUUUUAAUUUAUUUUAUAUUUAUAUAACCAUUGAAUUGAUGUUUGUAUUAUUAAAAUUAGUAAUUGAGCUCUGAAGAAUCUCAGAAAAUUCCAAAGUGUUUUUAAUCAUGGAGAAUUUAAUUAUGUAAUUAACCAUGUUUUAUUUAGGAAACUUUAUUUCCGACUUUAAUUCACUUGCUUAAUUAAUGUACAUUUUAAAAUAAACUCUAGAAGGAAUUUAAUAAAUAAUUUAUCUUUUUUUGAAAACGCAAGAGAGCUGCAUUUCAUUUCAUUAAGGGGAAGUAAAAACAACACAAAAAAAAACCAAAAAACAAAAAUAUUUACGAAGUAGGAGGACCCGAGCCCUCCUAUCGAGACCCACACACACUAAACCACCCGGAGAGCUUAGCUGCCUAGGCUUGCCGUCCCACAAACGAGCUUUUGAAGGCCAGAAGCUCCUGCAACACUCCAAGGAUGACUCUCAUUUUCUACCACUUGCAAGAUCGUCACAACUCUAGGAUUGGCGCCAUUGAAAACAUAGUCAUUGCGGUACUUCCAAAUCUUCCAAGCCACUAGGGUCACCAAAGAGUUAAUCCCCAUUCGCACCUUCUUCGGCCGAUUCUUGGUCGCUUGGCUCCACCACCUUAGAAAGCGGUCGGUAGAGGGCUAAGGCGCUACCUCGGCUAACCCCAGCCUCAAGAAGAUUGCCGUCCAAACUUGGCGAGAAAAGACACAUGAGAUCAAAAUGUGUUGGAUGGAUUCUUGACUUAGAUCACAAUGGGGACAGCUCACCGAGUGCUGCAGCCCACGCCUAGCCAAUUGAUCAGCUUUCCAACACCUAUCAUUGAUAGCCAACCAAAUGAAGAAUUUGCAUCGGAGGUGACCCCAACACUUCCAAAUACACUUCCAACACCUAUUAAAUAAUUUAUAAAUCCCUGAAACGAAAUCAGGCACUACACCAUGGCAUCAGAUUACCAACAGACAUCUGUUGGUAAAAAUAAACAAUCAUUGAUAGACUGUAUGUUAGUAAAAGCUUUUGGCAAACCAUAUGUCAGCAAUACUCAUAUGUCAGCAAUACUAUGUAACAAGAUAUGUUAUAUGUUGGCCUUUGCUGACAUAUCUGUAGCAGGCUACCUUGUGACAUGGUGUAGUGAGGGUGUGGCACUACUAAAGAGUCUUGCUACUAAAGUUACGCUAUUGAUCAAGGCUUUGCACAAAAUAUAACUUCCAUGGCUCUCUUUGUGAACACCAGCAAAUGCUUGUCAGCUAUUCAGCAUCAUUUUUGUGUUGGCUAAUUGUUCUAGUUUAUUUUUAUGUUCUUUUCAGGAACUUUCGGAAUAAUUACUUGACUGGUCCCAUUCCACCAUUCAUCGGGAAAUUUACUUCAAUGCAAUACUUGUAUGAGUUACUGCUCGUUCUAGAUCAUGUUCCAUCUAUUGGUCAUUAUUUUUUGUUAAUUAUUGUUAAUCAUCUCAAGGUCAUUAUCUUUGAAUCCACUAUCUGGACUACUUCCAAAGGAACUAGGAAACCUCACCAAUCUUGUUUCAUUGUAAGAAAUCUUUUCUCACACGUGGAUUAAUCUUCAACUGCUCCCUCUGCUACGAACUACUCAUGCUUGUAGCUUUAACCGUCAAUUCCUAGCACUUUUCGUAUAUAUAUAGUUGAACAUUUUCCACCCUCCUCCAUUUGAAAAACAACUUAUGAUUAUGAAUGCGCAUAGCUUAUGUCUAGAUUGUAAGCUAGAAGUGCUUUUUUUUAUGGAGGGAGUACGAAUUAUACAUUAUGAAAUUAUUUCUCAUGUUGAAUCUAAAUGUUAAACUAUACAAAUUUGUAAAAAUGGAUAUUUAGGAAUACAAAUGUUUGACUUACAACAAAAGCAGAAUGACAGAUAGUAUGAAACGAAUGGAGCAUAUAUUUGGACUGCAUGAACUGAUAUAAUAAUACAAGAAAUAGCAAUCACAUAAGUUCUAAUAAAAAAAUCAAAACUACUACUAAAUAGGAUGUAAUAGGCAUGUCAGUGUAACUCCUGUUCAUGUGGUUUUUCAGAUGAUCAAGUAAGAUUAAACAGCAAGGACUUGAACAUAUUGUAAUGAUGAAUAUUGUGGGUCCAAUAGCACAUCGGGAAAACUAUGCCCUUUUGCUAUUAGAUGAUGACAAACAUUUUAAAUCACUUCUGAAAUAUUUCAUUUUUCUUUUAGGGGCAUUGGCUCAAACAAUUUUACAGGAGGCCUUCCUGAAGAACUGGGUAACUUGACCAAACUUCAGCGAUUGUAAGAUACCCCCAUUGAUUUCUAGCUUCUUAUUUCUACUUGUAAAAGAACUAAAUUUGGAAUGGCCAUAUCUAUUGUCGAACAUGAUAAUAUUUCAAACUUUCAACAACAGGUACAUUGAUAGUUCUGGAUUCAGUGGUCCGUUCCCUUCAUCGUUCUCAAAACUUCAGAACCUGAAUACAUUGUAUUGUCAAAAACAUAGCCACAGCUAUUAUAUUUGUCAUGUUUUCAAGCUAAGUGAUAUUUUGGUCUGCUUGCAGGAAAGCAUCAGAUAAUGGAUUCAAUGGGAAAAUACCUGAAUAUUUGGGCACAAUAACUAAUUUGGUAGAAAUGUAAGCUUCUUAACAUAUCAUUUGUUCUUACUGUUCAGAGAUAGAUGAAUUUGUGCAAGAUAAAUUACUGUCUGUAUAUCACAUUGUCUCCAUUCAGACUUAAACAAUAGCAUUUUUUUCACAUUUCAGCCCUCACUCAAUAGAAAUGCGCAUAUAUGCAUCACAGUAAGCGGUCCACAUGGCAUAUUCAUACCUAGAGAUCUUGUUAAGAAUGCUCAAAUAGAUUUUUUUUCUUUUUUAAAAAAGGUUGAAUGUCCCUAACUUUGUUUCUAAAAUUAUGAGCUUGUAGUGCUUUGUACGGAAACUCCUUUGAAGGACCAAUUCCAGAAAGUCUGUCUAAUCUGGCCAAAUUAAAAACCUUGUAAGUAUAAUCUUUUUGUGGCAUGAACUCUUGAAGGUUGAUAAUGUAUUAAUGUCAAAGCCGAUAACUAAAUUAUGAAAAAUUCAAAUAUUGAGCAGACGGAUUGGAGAUAUUGUAAAUGGGAUCUCUCCACUGGCUUUUAUCAGUAAUAUGACAUCCCUGAGCACCAUGUAUGUGAUAUUUUUAGCUAUAACGCUUACAGUAUUGUGUAGUUGCAAGUUACCAAGGUUAUAUUUUGUCGUUACAGAAUAUUGAGGAACUGCAAGAUAUCUAGUGAUCUCGGAGCAAUAGAUUUUUCCAAGUUUGAACAUUUAGAAUUGCUGUAAGUUCUCAAUUAUAGGCCAUGGUGCCAAAUGGUGAUGUUAUUACGCAUUUCCUCAAGUUGUGUACCAUAUGAUCAAGUAAUAUGGUAGUCCUGUGGCACAGGGACCUGAGUUUUAACAAUAUCACCGGGGAAGUUCCUCAAUCCAUCUUGAAUUUGGGAAAUCUCAAGUUCUUGUAAGAAAUUCUUUCUUUACAUUAAUUUGUUCAACAAGCCUCUAUUAAGCAGAUGAGCAUGUUCUAUAAUCUUGAACUAUGCCCAAUUCAGGUUUCUUGGGAACAAUAGCCUUACAGGAAGGUUGCCAGAUGGUAUAAGCUCUUCAUUAAAAGCGAUGUAUGUCAAAUACAAUUUACAUGGCAGUAUAGCAAAAACUACAUUCAUAAUAGUAUCUAUUAAUUUUGUAUAAUAUAAUUCUGGAAUGUUGACAGAGAUUUUUCAUACAACCAACUCACUGGGAGCUUUCCUUCUUGGGCUAGCCAAAACAAUUUACAGUUGUAAGUGUAAAAAUGUGAUAUUUGUGUUACUGAGAAAAAAAUAUGUAUUCUAAUAUUCUGUUUUUUUGAAAGGAAUUUGGUGGCAAACAACUUCUUACUCGAGAGCACCAGUGACAGGUACUUGUGACAUUUAGUUCUAAUUUGGCGAGUGAACUAUACUAAAAUCAUCCCAAUAACUUUAAAUUUUCAAUUCAAAUUAUGCACAGUACGCUACCUUGGGGACUAAACUGCCUCCAGCAAGACACCCCUUGUUUCCGUGGGUCACCAAAAUGUAUGUUUCUCAAUCCUCAUAAAACUAAACUAUAACAUGAACUUAUGAAUUUAGUCGUUCAAAAAAACAUGAACUUACGAAUUUGAAUGAUUGUUACAUUUUUUUAAUCUUAAUUGCAGAUUAUUCCUUCGCAGUUGACUGUGGCAGUAAUGGAUCUACAAGAGGCUCAGAUGACACUAUUUAUGAAGCAGAUCCUACAAAUCUUGGAGCUGCAACAUAUUAUGUUACUGGUCAAACAAGAUGGGGUGUCAGUAGUGUAGGGAACUACUUCCAGAGAGAAGAUGCAAAGAAUAUUAUAUAUAGCUCCCAAAAUUUUCAAAAUGUAGUUCAUUCAGAAUUGUUUCAAACUGCAAGGAUGUCACCAUCAUCUCUAAGGUACUACGGCCUUGGACUUGAGAAUGGAAAUUACACUGUUUUGCUCCAAUUUGCAGAAUUUGCUUUUCCUGACUCACAGACUUGGCUAAGCUUAGGUAGAAGAGUUUUUGACAUAUAUAUCCAGGUACAAAUUGAGUGCAUUUUACAUAAUGUGUUUCUACUGAAUCUUGCCAUUACUCAUCUAAAAGUAUUACUGAUAUUUACAUAGGGUGCUCUAAAAGAAAAGGAUUUCGAUAUAAAGAAAACAGCAGGUGGAAAAUCUUUUCGCGUAGUUAAUAGGAGUUUCAUGGUAACUGUGUCUAAAAACUUCCUUGAGAUCCAUCUAUUCUGGGCUGGCAAGGGCACAGAUGCCAUACCUAUUAAAGGUUACUAUGGGCCAAUGAUCUCAGCAUUGAGGGUCACUCCAAGUAAGAACCACACUAAAACGACAACAGGAAGUGUUAUACUGGCUGCUAAUAAAUAAUAUUUUUCCUUUGCAGAUUUUACUCCUACCGUGCGAAAUGGCAUACCAAAAAGGGAAAGUAAGGCAGGUGCAAUUUCCGGAAUAUUGAUUGGUGCAAUAGUUUUAGUAUUAGCAGCAUUAUUUGGAGUAUUUACACUGAUAAAGAAGCGGAGAGCAUUGGCACAACAGAAAGAAGGUAUGAUUUAUCAGUACAUAAUUCAAACAUCAAAAUUGUCAACUGGUUUAUUCUUCUCAUCUAUACUAAAAAUAACAUGCAGAACUAUACAACCUGGUUGGACGACCUGAUGUUUUCAGUUACGCUGAGCUCAAGCUAGCCACAGACAAUUUCAAUUCUCAAAAUAUUCUAGGGGAAGGAGGAUUCGGGCCAGUGUAUAAGGUUCUUAAUUUAUUUCCAUAAUUAAUCAUGUACAACUGCAACUGGUUAUAAAUUUGUGUGAUUUUGGCAUUUAAGUGUUGUGUUUUAGCCACAUUUGUCUAUGCUCAAAAUAUACAUGUAAAAACUUUAUCAGGGUAAGCUACCUGAUGAAAGAGUUAUAGCUGUGAAGCAACUUUCUCAGUCAUCUCAUCAGGGGACAAGCCAAUUUGUGACAGAGGUUGCGACAAUUUCAGCUGUUCAACAUCGGAAUCUUGUGAUAUUGCAUGGAUGCUGCAUUGACAGUAAAACACCCUUGUUGGUUUAUGAGUACCUUGAGAAUGGAAGCCUGGAUCGAGCAAUCUUUGGUGAGUUCACUUCUGCAAAAUUGCCACCCUCGGCACUUAUAGAAUUGUAUUUUCUUAGUUCACAAAUAAAACUCACACUACAACAAAUAUACCUUGUAGAGACAUUUUCCUAACACUAUAGAGACAUUUUUAAAAUGCCUUUACAAUGUUAUAGAGACAUUUUGAAGAGUGUCUCAUAAGUGUCUUUUGGUGAAUUGUCUCUAUGAUCUAAGAGGCAUUUUAUAAGAUGUCUCUAUGCAAAUAGAGGCACUUUGUAGAGGCAUUAAUAUGUUGCGGCAACUAGCAAAUCAAUAUGAAAAAAAAAAAGAAAAAUAUUAUCCCUUAUCAAUCCUUGAACUCAUGACCUCUUGAGUUGAACAUUUUUAUCUUCAAUACACUAACCAUCUCAACCUCAUAUAAUUACAUGCAAAUAUGUUAAUUUUGUUACUUAUAUCUACUUACUUUAUAUAUGUUAAUAUUUGGAAAAAUGCCUUUACAUCAUUUUAAAUGCCUUAAGAAAAUGCCAUUACAUAUGAGGCAAAUUUUAAAGUGCCGAAAAGAUGUCUCUAUAAGAUAAAUUUAACAAAGUAUGCUAAAAAUAUCUCUAAAGUGUCUCUAGAAUAAAAAUAUUUUAAGCGAUUUUAAAAGUGACUCUAAAAAGUGUCUUUAGACUAUAGAGCUUCAAAACUUAGAGGCGUUUUGAAAAUUGUCUCUACAAAAGAGCCUCUACAUAAGGUUUGGUUUUUGUUGUAGUGUCAUUGCUUCAUGACUAAUAAUUAUGGAUUUUUCUUUUCUGCAUUUUUGUAAUAAUUUGCGUUCCUUAUGAUAACUGAGCUAUUUAUGCUUGUAAAGGUGACAGCAACUUAAACCUAGACUGGGUAAUGCGCUUCGAGAUCAUUUUAGGAAUAGCAAGAGGCCUAAUUUAUCUUCAUGAAGAGUCAAGUAUACGCAUUGUGCAUAGAGACAUCAAAGCUAGUAAUGUUCUACUUGACACUAAUCUCGUUCCAAAGAUCUCUGACUUUGGACUUGCCAAACUCUAUGAUGAAAAUCAAACUCAUGUGAGCACUAGAAUUGCGGGCACAUUGUAAGAAUAUUUUACCACUUAUCAUCUUAUGAUUAUAACAUCAAUAUGAAUGCUACUAUUAACCUGUCUUAUCUUUUUUAAGGGGUUAUCUAGCUCCUGAGUAUGCAAUGAGAGGCCAUUUGUCAGAAAAGGCUGAUAUUUUUGCAUUCGGAGUGGUCAUGCUGGAGACUGUCGCUGGGCGACCAAACACCGACAACUCCCUCGAGGAAAGCAAGAUCUGUCUCCUUGAAUGGGUAUGCUGGUCUAUGAUCUUCCCAUACAAGAAAACUUCAAUUCACUGUGUAUUGUCUUUUGCUUACUGAAACUAUAUACAAUAAAACUUCAAUUUAAGGCAUGGGGCCUGUAUGAAAAGGAUCAAGCACUUGGAAUUGUUGACCCAAGUCUCAAGGAAUUUGGCAAGGAUGAAGCUUUUAGAGCCAUAUGUGUUGCACUUGUCUGCACUCAGGGCUCACCGCACCAGCGACCGCCAAUGUCGAAGGUUGUGGCAAUGCUGACUGGAGAUGUCGAUGUGGCUAAGGUGGUCACCAAGCCGAGCUACAUCACUGAGUGGCAGCUUAGGGGUGGUGGGAACAGCAGCAACACCACUAGCAGCUAAGCAGAAGUUUGUCUCCAGGUUAAGUGAAUUUAAAGUAGAAAAUGCAUGGGUCAUCAAGAUUGGUUUGCGACAAUAUUGUAUGUCUUUUUCUAAAAAAUAAUUAUGUGUUGACUAAAUUACAGCAAAUAAUGGAAUUACUUAUCCUUAACUCGGUCCUGGUAAUAAAAGUUUGCUCCUAAUAAUUUGUAAAUGGUGAAUAACCGUGGUGUAUUCAAUACUCAAUAAAUGUUAAUAGAUAACCCUCAAUCUGUAAUGGCCAGUGCAAUGCAGAGGUAAAAUUCUGUCCCAUUGUUAAUUUCAUGAAGAGCUGUCUCUCCCAUACUUUUUUCAGAUUUUUAUUUAAUUUCUAAAAGUUGUAGUACAAACUAGUACCAAAACAUUUAUUAAUCAUUACAAACCAGUACUAACGUGUUUUGAAAGGUUUUAAAAUCCAUUUGCGAAAGGUUUUAAAAUCCAUUUGCGAACUCCUCCUACGUACUAGUACGAAUUUGUGAAAUUCCGGGUUAGAACCCGCUAACAUGUAUGUUUUGAAAAUGGGUUGAUAAAAUUUAAAAUUUGAUAGAUAUGAGAGGUUGAACACUUCAUCAUUAUAUUUCUGUACCAUAAAUAAUAUUGGUGGCGUUUUGAACUCCUCUAUCAUGAUAUUUCAAAAUUGUACCGAUAUGGUAUAGAACGGGUAGAUUUGGGACAGGUUAGUAAUUGUUGUGCGUAAACCCUGGAUUUAUUGCUUAGAUCAAUCAUAUAAAAUUCGUAUGGCCUCUGGAUCACUUUAACUUCACAACAUUAAAAGAUGAUGAAAGUAGGAAACUUAAAACGUACUCUAAGAUUUAUGUUGCGUUGGUUGUGGGGGACACAGAGAAACCAGGCUACAUCUCUUCUUCACCUGCCCGUUCAGUGUAAGAUGUUGGUAACAUCUGGGAAUCACAUGGAAUCAACACAUGAGUUCUUUCAAAUGAAUGUCUUAGUAAGGCUGAAUUUUGCCAGAAAGGGUUUCUUGGAAAUUUUCUUUAUUGCCUCUUGGCACAUCUGGAAGCAGAGAAAUGGGUUUAUUUUUCAGAAUAUUUCCCCUCCUUUUCAAUCAUGGAGAAACCAUUUCAAGAACAAAAUUCUUCAGUAUAUCUGCAGAAUGAAGGAUCCUUUAAAGCAAUUAGUUUUUGACUGGUUACAAACUUUGUAAUCUUUUGUGUUUCCCUGUAACUUUUGUACAUAUUUGCUCUAUGUAAUGAAAAUAUACUACUAGACAAUGCUCUGGUAGUUUUCCCAGUAAAAGAAAACAUUCCAAGUUACGAUGAUUUAGUUAUGAAUUUUGUAAGAUUAAUAUGCUUUUAACCUAAUACAGAAAACUAUUAUGAUUUACGACGCAAUAAAGAUUUAUUUUGAAGAAGGAAAAGGGCUUUUCUUACGUCAGCAUGACGUCAUCGUCGGCACUGCACGGGACCACGAGAUCACCGGUGCUACAGGGCUCGGCCGGGCUAUCCAAGGGCACCAUCGUGGAGAGGACGACGAGGUGAACUCACCGGUGCUCAGAACAACGACGGACGACGACGAACGGCGGCCGGCGGUGAGCUCCAACGGCGGCGCGGCUCUGGGCGGCGUCGACGGCGGGAUUCCGGCGGGUCUCGACGGCAACGGAGGAGCGGACGGGGUGCGGCUCCACUCGGCGAACCCGAUGGCGACAAUAGUGAGCGGCGGCGGCGACCACAACGGUGGCGUGGGGCGGCUAGGCUUGCGGCGACCACUAGGACGGACGCGGCGGCUGUGCUAUGGACCACGGCGGAGGACGUGGCUUCAGGGCAAUGGUAGAGGACGACAAGGGGAUCAUUUACAUAGGCACGGAAGCUCGAGAUCGAUCCCACACCGAGAGGAAUCAAAGCCGUAAAACUAUAGGGUUAGGUGGAGAGAUAAACUCGAAUUCGAAUUCGAUUUGGAUAAACUACACGAAAUUCGGCUCCGAUUCUUAGGGGAAAAGGAAGAGGACGAUGAGGGGAUAAAUUUCCCUCAUCCAAUCGAACUCGGGAGCGACGACCAGCGGCGGAUUUGGUGGGGAGGUGGUGGUGGUCGGGCUCGGCUUGACUGGCCGGAGGUAGGGGAUGGCCCCGACAUGUGGGCCCCAGAUGUCGGCGGCUUAGAGAGAGGGGGAGGGGCGGCUUGGCCUGGGCCGGCAGGGCCGCGUGGCUCGCGCGCGCGAGGGGAAGAGUUGGGCCGGAAAAGGGCCCAACAGAUUAGGAUAGGAUUUUAAAAAUUUUCCUAAUUAAAAUAAUUCGUGAAAUGCUAUUUCAUUUAAUAAAAAUACUUCCCUUGCUCAAAUAAUUCACAUAAAAAUCCAGGAAAUAGAUAAACAAGCAAAGUAUUUAAUAAAAUUGUAUCUAUCUCAAUUUUAUGUGCGAUUUUGCUAGUUUUUAUUAGGGUUUAUCUUGUAGGUUUUUAAAAUAAUUUCUAAAAAAUGCAUUAAAGAAUGAAUUAUUAAAUUAAGCGAUUCUGAGAGUGUGACAUGUAGGGAGAAUACUUCCAUAAAAGAUGCCCGUGGUGCCUUAGGCCCUCUUUUUGCAUGUGUAUAGUAUUAUGUACACAUUGGAUGACAUGGCGUUGGACCUGUUCGAAAUAGUGCUGGGACAGUAUGUCAACAUCUUCAUUCUGGUAGCCAUGCCCUACAAUUUACUCACCCAACAUUGCUGCGGAAUUCUAGAGGCACUCUUAAGUUUCAGUAGUCAGUAUGGACUGCAAAUCUCUGCCCCUAUACAGCCAAUAUCAAAUUGCCUUUUUCAGUACAAUGAGCUCCAUAUCUUGAGGUAUGUAUAGAGAUUAUGGAUACCCCAUACCCACACGGCAUAUAUAGUCUGACUGGGUAUGGGGUGCCAUCUGUAGAUAGAAUAUCUUUUAAAGGGACUCGGAUUAAAUUUCAAACUUGUAUGUCAAGGAAAUAUCCGGGAUCCUAGUCGGUUACGAUUGUAACUUAUCUGUAACUACCUAUUCCGUUAGGGAUAUGGAUUGUACUUUGUAAUACGGACCCCUCCCCUAUAUAAGGAGGGGUCCGGGUGCCUCUAAGGGCACGAUUUUCUCCCAGAUCAUACGGUCAAUAACAUACUCGGCGGAUCAAUCCCCGGACAGGAGUAGGGUAUUACUUCUUAUUAAGAAGGCAUGAACCUGUAUAAAAUUCCUUGUCUCUCAACCCAUCCACUUUUCCAGCUUGAUAGCCACCCCCUUUUAGUAUUGCCGAAAUCUCGUUUCGACAGUUGGCGUGCCAGGUAGGGGUAGCGUCAAGUUCUUCGCCGACUAGUGCGAUGGGUUUCAUCUCCGGCAUCGACGACUUCGUCUUCCCUCCCGGGCAGGCGUUCCGGUUUGGCAGCCUCGACUUUGUCACCAACGACUUCGGCAAGAUUUCUCUCCUCGGCUCAGAUCCGAAACAGUCGGGGAGAGGCCAGGUCUCCGCCCCGUUCGGUAUCCCGAAGUCGGCCGAGAUCUACUCCAGGAUCAUCACAACCGAGCCGGCCCCAAACCACUCGGACGAGAUCCAAUCUACUCCAACAUGACCCGAUCAAGACGAUGGCGCCUAUCCUCCAAUCCUGAUGAAACUCCCCGAUGACUUGGCUGCCAUCUUCACCAUAAGGGCGUCUUCUCCCCGUAGGCCUAGGCGGGACCCGACCUCGGCCCCGAUCCAGUCUAGCUCUAGGGAAGUCGGCAUCAUACUCCAGCCUCUCGGCACGGUUUCGACGGAACAAUUGGACGGCUACCUUAGCUCCCCCGGUGUCGACUCUCGACCGACAGAGAUCGUAGAGUACGACGACUUCGGCUACCGCUACGACCACCGCAACCUCGACGACUUCGAUGAAGGCUACGAAGAUAACUACACACCUCUCUACUUCGGCAUUUUCAUGGCCGACAACGAGACAGAAGAACAGCGCCAAGCCCAAGAAGCAGAAGAACAGCGCGUGCGACAAGAAGCCGAACGUCGCCGACUAGAGGAGGAACGCUAAGCACAAGAGCGAGAACGAUUGCAGCGUGAGCAACAGGAGCGCGAACGGGCUGCAAAGGAGGCUGAGGACCGGCGACAGCGUGCCUUGGAGGCCGAGCGACGAGCACGAGAGCUCAUCGGGCAACAAGACGUUGAGGGGACGGCGGUUUUUCGCACCCCCUAGCAGAACGCGGCUGCACCGAUCACUCUUCUCGACACCCUCCUCAAGGAAGACGCACUCAAUCAAGCCAAUCACGUCGUCAACAUCUUGAACCAGACCAAGACCAUGAUCACCGCUUCGGUUCCAGUAAACUGUCACAGCCUGAAUUUUGUUUCAGGAUUUAUAAGUUAUCUAAUAAAUUAUUAAUAGAAUUUAUAUUAAAUGUUCUUUAAUUAACAAGUGAAGUUAAAUGUGGGAAAUAAAAUUUCCUAAAUAUAAAUCAUGGUUGGAUUUAAUUUUUAUUAAAUUCUCCAUGAUUAAUUAUACUCUCUGAAAUUUUCUCGGAUUUUUCAGAGCUCAAUUCCUAAAUGAUACAAAGAACAGUUCAGUAAUUAUUUAAUCAUUAAUGAUCUAAUUAUAAUUAUGUUAAGUGCUUUUCUUGUUUAAAAAUCCUUAAUUUAUAAAUUGUUGUCUAAAAGGGAAUUAUUAGAAAUGAUCUUAAAAGCCUAGAAGAGAAGAUCUAAUUUUAAUUUGUUAAAUUCCAAUAUAAAAGUGGGCUAGAUAAAAUUUUAUUAAAUACUUUACUUGAUUCUAUAGUUCCUAGAUUUUUCUGGGGUUUAUUUGAGCCAAGGAAGUAUUUUUAAUAAAUGGAAUUGCAUUUCAUGAAUAAUUUAAAUGGAAAAAGGUUUUUAAAAGUCCCUUUUGGUUUUGGGCCGAAAGCCGGCCCAAACCGCUCUCUCUCUCUCUCUCCCUCGGCCCAAGUCAGCCCAAGCCGAGCCGCCCGCGCGCGUGCGUGCGACCGCCGCUGACAGGUGGGUCCCACCCGUCAGUCGUCGUCUUCCUCUCGCCGAAACCCUAGCCGAGCUGCGCCGCCGCCGCCAUUCCAAAUCCGGCCAUCCCUUUCCGUUUCCGGUGAAAUUGAUUGAGGGGAAAGGAUCCCCGUGAUCCACUCUACCUUUUCCCUUUUGGAAACAUCGUCUAAAUCGCUUUGGAAAUCGCCGGAUUUGAGUUCGAUUCGGAUCGAUUUGUCUCCUCCGAACCCUAAACCUUCCUUCCCGUCACCGGUCGCCGUGGGCCUUCGCCGCCGCUCCCUAGACCCUAUAAAUUGACCCCCCAAGCUCCCCUAUACCUGCCGCCACCCUCGCCUUAGCCUCUCGUCGCCGGUAGAGCUCUAGCGCCGUGCCGCCUCGCGCCGCCGUCGCCGCCGCCACUCCAGCAGUGCGCCGCCAUCGCUCCAGUCGUCGUCGUCGCUCGGGGAGGUCACCGCCGUGGUCGCCGUCGCGUCGCCGUCCUCGUCCGCCCUUUCGCCGUCGCUGUCAGCCGCCGGAGCACCGUCGCCGCCGUUGACCCGAUCGUCGCCGCCGCUCUUCCUCGUCGCUGUCGUCGUCCGUUGAUCUUCCGCCGUCGUUUUGGUCACCAGUGAGUUCGCCGUGCCGUCCGCUACGCGUAGGUGUCCUCCGUUUGCGCCGCCGCGCCGUCGUUCGCCGGCGAGCACGCGAGGCCGAGCCGUCGCCGGUGAUGACGUCAUCGCCGACGUCAUCGUUGCAGUCCGCCAUGGUCCGGUUGUGGACCGAUGGAUCUUGGCCGUCCGUUUUGGAUGGAUGAAUCUCGGCCGUCCGUUUUCGUGAACCGUCGCCAUGCACUCGGUCCUCCGUCAACUGAUGAGGUUGUUGUCCCGAUCUUCACGACGUAAGAUUGAUCUUGAUAACUAGCCGAAGAACGACCGAUAACUUGCUGCAAGCAGCGAUAAUUAGUGCAACCUGACGACACGCACAAGGAGCCAACCACCGUCUCUAUACGGCAGCCUGAACCAAGGAUUCGCCCAACCACACUCUCAAAGAACCAACCUACGCAACCUAAACUCGAGGAUCAGGAGCACGGAUUGGGUGCCGAUGACGCGGCCGCUUCUGUAAUCUCCGCGAAGGAAAACACAAGAGAAAAGGGGUAGAGAAUCUCUCUCUGGGGUUUGUUAGCACACAGCUGAACAAAGGGUUCCGAAUUGGAUUAUCAAAAGUCUGAGUUUGCAAUGGUCUUAGGGGUUAUUUACACUAGCAACAGCCCUGCUAGAUAGGUGUGAAUUCGAGAUGGAAAUGAAAAGACUAAAAAUGUGAAAGGGCCUCCACGAAAUGGCUUCUGAAGUGGGUUCGCGAGGCUGUUGGUCUUCUGGAGUGGUGUUCAGUAAUUUGGCAAUAACUCCAACUUGGGAAGUCCAAAUGAUGCACCGUCAGUUGCGUUGGAAAGUUAACUUCACUAUGUUUUGAACCAUGUAUACAUGCACCACGAAACAUUGUAGAUUGGUACAGUUUUGAACAUGAACUUGUACCAACGUGCUGACUCAGCAGACUCCUGGCCUUCAGAGCAGUCUUCACAAACGUACUUGGUUCUCAUUGGUGUGAAGUCCAAAGUACUUGGUAUUGGUGGCAUUGGAAAGCUGACUUGAUAAGCUUUCCAAAGAGUCCUCAUUUACUUCCAUAGCUUCUGUAAAUUGAGAGUUAUGAGCAGUUCUUUGAACUGGUCCGUUUUGCACUGCAGUUGGUCCGUUUUGCUUCACUGGUCCGUUCUGUACUCCAGUGAUAGAAUCCACCGAUCCACUUUCAUCCUCCUCAUGUUGUAUGUUCCUAAGCACAACUAAAGUAGAACACUUAGGUAGUAUAACAUUCUCAGAAGUACUGAAAUUAAAAUCAGUUAGGAAUGAAUUCACCUGAACUUGUAGUUUCUUGGCACGACUUCUUGUAAGUGGACCUUGAAUUGUAUCCUUUGUGUUUGAUGAUGGUUGCUUGGUACUUGAAGUAGCAUGCACGGUUGGGAUGUCCUCAUCAUCCUCCCCCUCUUGAAAAGGAGUCGACCUCGACGACUCUGAAUCUUCUAGUCCAAAGAAUGGUGUUAAGUCAGCAACAUUGAAGGUUGAACUAACACCAUAAUCUUCAGGUAGCUCAAUCUUGUAAGCAUUGUCAUUGAUCUUGGACAGCACUCUGAAUGGUCCAUCUCCUCGUGGCAUCAACUUGGAUUUGCGCUUCUGUGGGAAGCGGUCUUUGCGAAGAUGUACCCAAACCAAAUCUCCAGGCUCAAAUGUCACCUUCUUGCGAUUCUUGUUUGCCCAUGCAGCAUAGUACUUGGACCUCUUCUCAAUUGCUUCUUUGGUCUUCUCAUGAAUCUUCUUAACGUAAGUUGCACGCUUGGACGCUUCCAUGUCACUCCUUUCCUGCAAUGGUAGAGGCAACAAAUCGAUGGGAGAAAGUGGUUUGAAACCAUAUACAACUUCAAAUGGACACAUGUUAGUUGUAGAGUGUACUGCCCUGUUGUAAGCGAAUUCCACGUGUGGCAAGCACUCUUCCCAUUCCUUCAGGUUCUUCUUUAUCAAGGCUCGCAGCAGCAUAGAGAGUGUUCUAUUCACAACUUCAGUUUGCCCAUCCGUUUGAGGGUGGCAAGUGGUGGAAAACAGCAGCCUUGUUCCAAGCUUUGCCCAUAAGGUCUUCCAAAAAUAGCUCAAAAACUUGGUGUCACGAUCUGAAACAAUCGUCUUGGGCAUGCCAUGCAACCUCACAAUUUCACUGAAAAAUAGAGAAGCUAUGUGGGAAGCAUCAUCGCUUUUAUGACAAGGUAUAAAGUGUGCCAUUUUAGAGAAUCGAUCAACAACAACAAAAAUCGAAUCCCUCCCCCUCUUUGUCCUAGGUAAUCCCAAAACAAAAUCCAUGCUAAUAUCUUCCCAAGGAGCACUAGGAACAGGUAAGGGAGUAUAUAAUCCAUGAGGGUUCAGUUUUGACUUAGCUUUGUGACAGGUGACACAUCUUUGCACAAGUCGUUGAACAUCUCUUCUCAUCUUAGGCCAAUAGAAGUGAUCAGCUAGCAUGUCAUAAGUCUUUCUCCAUCCAAAGUGGCCCAUCAGUCCACCUGCAUGUGUUUCCUGUAAUAACAAGAGUCUAACAGAGCAAUGUGGAACACACAAUUUGUUAGCUCUAAACAAAAAUCCAUCAUGUAUAUGAUAUUUUUCCCAUCCUUUUCCAGCUGUACAUUUUGCAUAUGGUUCUGAAAAAUCAAGAUCAGCAGAGUAUAAUUCUUUUAUGCUUUCAAUUCCAGUCACUUUUACUUCAAGUUGAUUUAGCAAAACAUUUUUACGAGAUAAAGCAUCAGCAACAAUGUUUUCCUUACCUUUCUUGUAUUUUACAACAUAUGGAAAAGUUUCAAUGAAUUCAACCCAUUUGGCAUGUCUACGGUUCAGUUUUGCUUGGCCCUUUAAAUACUUCAAAGCCUCAUGAUCUGAAUGAAUAACAAAUUCUUUUGGCCACAAAUAAUGUUGCCAAGUUUCAAGUGCUCUUACCAAAGCAUACAACUCUUUGUCAUACACCGAGUAGUUCAGUUGUGCUCCUCCCAACUUCUCACUGAAAUAUGCAACGGGCUGUCCAUUUUGCAUGAGAACGCCUCCAAUACCAAUCCCACUUGCAUCACAUUCAACCUCGAAGGUUUUAGUGAAAUCCGGCAACACAAGCAAGGGGCCUUCGGACAAUCUUUUCUUCAAUUCUUGGAAAGCUUUCUCUUGCGGUUCUCCCCAUUGGAAGGCAACACCUUUCUUUGUCAACUCGUUCAAUGGUGCAGCUAUGGUGCUGAAACCUCUGACAAAUCUCCUGUAAAAACCAGCAAGUCCACGAAAACUUUUCACCUGGCUUACAUUUUCAGGAGUUGGCCAAUCCUUUAUUGCUUUCACCUUUGAUUCAUCAACCUGAAUUCCUAAACCUGAAACAACAAAACCAAGAAACACAACCUGAUCUGUACAAAAUGUGCACUUCUCAAGGUUAGCAUAUAAUUGUUCUUUCCUGAGUACAUCCAAAACUUGCUGAAUAUGAGCAACAUGUUCCUCCAAUGUCUUGCUGUAAAUUAGGAUAUCAUCAAAGUACACAACAACAAAUUUUCCAAUAAAUGCUCUUAAGACAUGGUUCAUUAAUCUCAUGAAUGUACUAGGUGCAUUAGUCAAACCAAAAGGCAUAACUAACCAUUCAUACAACCCAAACUUUGUUUUAAAAGCAGUUUUCCAUUCGUCUCCAAUUUUCAUUCUAAUUUGAUGGAAACCACUUCUCAAAUCAAUUUUCGAAAAUAUCAUAGACCCACUCAAUUCAUCUAGCAUAUCAUCUAGCCUAGGAAUAGGAUGACGAUAGCGAACAGUGAUGUUAUUUAUGGCUCUACAAUCUACACACAUCCUCCAUGAACCAUCUUUCUUUGGCACCAAAAUCACAGGGACAGCACAAGGACUUAAACUUUCUCGAACAUAACCUUUAUCUAAAAGUGCUUGUACUUGCCUUUGAAUUUCCUUAGUUUCUUCAGGGUUGGUGCGGUAUGCUGGACGGUUUGGAAGUGUAGCUCCAGGGAUGAGAUCAAUUUGAUGUUCAAUGCCACGCAAUGGAGGAAGUCCAACAGGUGUUUCCUCUGGAAAGACAUCUUCAUAUUCCUGUAAAACACGUGCAACAACACUAGGAACAGAGGUUAAGUCGUUAGCUGAAAGUAAUGUGUCCUUGCACACAAGUAUGAAUAAUACUUGUUCUGGGUUUCUCCUCACAUCUCUCAUUUCAGAUUUGGUGGCUAUCAUCACUAAGUUCUCUCCCUCUCUUUUCUUGUUGUCUCUCAUGUUUGGCUUGUGGCUCUCACUCACCGAUUUGUGGGGGGCACUCAAAUUAUUUUUCUGUCCUUCUUUUGCACUCUCAUUCCUCACUUCAGAGCUCUUUUGCAAGUGCUCAGCUAGAAUUUGCUGCGGUGUCAUGGGUUUAAGAAUCAACUCCUUGCCCUUCCACUUGAUGGUGUAUUGAUUGGUUCUACCACAAUGUAGAGAUGACCGAUCAUAUUGCCAUGGUCUUCCCAACAGCAUGUGACACACUGUCAUAGGUGCCACAUCACACUCCAUGGUGUCAAUAUAUUCACCAAUCUUGAAAGGAACUUUUACUCUUUGUGCAAUCUUAAUAGAACCUGAAUUAUUAAGCCAUUGCACAUGAUAUGGAUGAGGAUGUUUUAGCAGCUUCAAACCAAGCUUUUCAACCAUUUCUUUGCUAGCAAGAUUGUGGCAACUUCCACCAUCAAUGAUCACCUUGACAACUUUAUCUUGCACUUUAGCUCUAGUUUGAAAAAGAUUGUGCCGCUGUCCAUUUUCAGCAUCACUCAUUUGUACACUCAAAAUUUGAGUUACAACAAGAGCAGCACCAGAUUCAAAUUCACAGAUAUCCUUCUCAAGAUUAUUCUCCUCUUCACUAUCUUCUUGUUCUUCCUCACUAGUAGAUUCAUACUCUCCUUGAUCAUUCACAACGAUGGUUCUAUUGUUUGGACACUCUCUAGCAACAUGACCACGACCACCACAUUUGAAGCAUUGAAUUCCACUACUCUUGGUGGAAGAACCCACUGAAGUAGAUGAUGUGUUUGCUGCAUUUUUCCUCUCAUUUGGAGCAGCCAAAUCUUUCCCACUGGAAGUACCAUAAUUGCUAGAUCGUGCACCACCACUUGAGCUAGAAAAUGCACCUCUAUUUCCACUACCUCUUGAUGUGAAUUUGCUUCCACUUGCUGCAUUCUUUGUGCUGAAAGACACUCCUCUAUUGGACUUCAUGUCUUGCUGCAAUUGACGUUCAGCUUUGCUAGCUUGAUGCACCAAUUCAAUAAGAUUGCGGUACUGCUGAAAUUCAACAAUACGCUGAAUGUUGCGGUGCAGUCCUGACAUAAAACGUGCAAUUGAUUGCUCUUCAUCUUCAUAAACAUUGGCUCUAAUCAUUGCCUUCUCCAUCUCUUUAUAAUAUUCAUCAACACUGAGGCUUCCUUGCUUCAAAUUCUGCAGCUUGUCAAAAAGAUCACGGCGAUAAUGUUUAGGGACAAAUCUUGCCCUCAUUUCUCUCUUCAUUUCAGCCCAUGAACGCACAUCGCCUUGGCCAGCUUCUUCUCUUUCAUUUAGCAUUUGCUCCCACCAGAUUAGAGCAUAGCCAUCAAACUCUAGAGCAGCCAUGGCAACUUUCUUCCGCUCAGAAUAAUUAUGCAAACGAAAGAUUUUAUCCACCUUCAACUCCCAUGUAAGAUAGACUUCAGGAUCAGAUCCUCCUUCAAACUUGGGCAUGGUGAAUUUUAAUUUGCCAAAUCUCUCUUCAUUGGGCUGAUUUCGCCCACGAUUUCCUCGGUGACGACGAUCAUCACGAUGAGGCUGUUCAACCUCUUCGUCAGUCCCACUUUCUUCUAGUCCAUGUUCUCUUCCACGAUCAGCACCUCUACCACCAUUUCCACGACCAGGAUGUGGAGGUCUUCUUGCAUUUGCAACAACACGAUCUCUCCGUCUUCUUCGUUGUUCUCUUGCAAGGCGAGCAGCAGCUUCUCCUUCGGAUUCUUCAUCUUCUUCUCCAUGGUGACUUGCAUUUGCAUCUUCAGGAGGAGGCUCUGGCAAUCGAUUCAUAAGUGCUUGAACAUUGGCUGUUAGUGCCUCCAUGCUUUGCUUCAUCUCAUUGAAUUGUGCCAUGGUGACACAAUCCUCAAUCUCAACAUUAGAACCCAUCUUCCUGUCAAGUUAGUGAUGGCUUGCAACAAAUAUUUGUGGAAUAUGUGGAAUAGGAAAAUAUAUGUGCAAUCACACAACCUCACCUCUCUACCGAAGCUCAAGUGAGUUCCCUGCAGAUUACAGAGGACCAAUGCGAGGUGGUAACUUGAGAAUGAUGGUUGGGAGAAUGCAAGAUCAGCGUUCCUAUGACGGUGGAUUACUUGUGGAGCUUGGUGGGGAUAUAUUUUACAAGGAAUGCAAUCUGAAUUCUCGCUAUUGUAAAGUUAAAUCACAGUCCAAAAUGCUUAGUGCUGACCACAAGAUAUGAAUAACGUAAAUAGAUCAAACACACACGCAAAGAUAAUUCAGUUUUGAUGCAAACAAGGAGUAUGCUUAGGAUGCAAGUGUUGCAAUCAGACCUAAGCAAAAUUUUGCACCAAAAGAUAGAUAACAAACUGAUUGUGCAACUUGAUAUAAAAUUCAGAACAUGUGCACAUAAACAAACUGAUCUUUCAACUUUUCUUUCUCAAACUUUCCUCAACUCUUUUUCUUCUCUCUUUUUUUUUGUAACUUUUCUUUCUUCUCUUUUUUUUUGAUAAACUUUUUUUUAUAUAUAUAACUAAGAACAAGAACAGAUAUGAAACUUAUACACUUUUCUUUUUGUAGAAACAAGACACGACCGUCAGCGUUCUAACUUGAUAGGAUCAAAGUUUACGCGAAGGAUGAUACCGGUUUCUGAAUUUUUUUUUAUAUAUAUGGAUUUGCAGAUGUAUGAAAGAAGCUCAAAGGACACGCAAAGGAGAAUAUGAUCAGCAACUAAAACAAGACUCUAAUGGACUGAAAAUUAACUAAACUCACAAGAAUAACAGAUUGAAACAAAGGGCUAUAGCAGAAUAUUUUUAUGGCUUUUUCAGUGGAUAGGACGAACACAAAUAUAUAUGUAGCUAAGGGUAAAAAUCCUACCGUUGCAACCGAGGCUCUGAUACCAGAUGAUGAGGUUGUUGUCCCGAUCUUCACGACGUAAGAUUGAUCUUGAUAACUAGCCGAAGAACGACCGAUAACUUGCUGCAAGCAGCGAUAAUUAGUGCAACCUGACGACACGCACAAGGAGCCAACCACCGUCUCUAUACGGCAGCCUGAACCAAGGAUUCGCCCAACCACACUCUCAAAGAACCAACCUACGCAACCUAAACUCGAGGAUCAGGAGCACGGAUUGGGUGCCGAUGACGCGGCCGCUUCUGUAAUCUCCGCGAAGGAAAACACAAGAGAAAAGGGGUAGAGAAUCUCUCUCUGGGGUUUGUUAGCACACAGCUGAACAAAGGGUUCCGAAUUGGAUUAUCAAAAGUCUGAGUUUGCAAUGGUCUUAGGGGUUAUUUACACUAGCAACAGCCCUGCUAGAUAGGUGUGAAUUCGAGAUGGAAAUGAAAAGACUAAAAAUGUGAAAGGGCCUCCACGAAAUGGCUUCUGAAGUGGGUUCGCGAGGCUGUUGGUCUUCUGGAGUGGUGUUCAGUAAUUUGGCAAUAACUCCAACUUGGGAAGUCCAAAUGAUGCACCGUCAGUUGCGUUGGAAAGUUAACUUCACUAUGUUUUGAACCAUGUAUACAUGCACCACGAAACAUUGUAGAUUGGUACAGUUUUGAACAUGAACUUGUACCAACGUGCUGACUCAGCAGACUCCUGGCCUUCAGAGCAGUCUUCACAAACGUACUUGGUUCUCAUUGGUGUGAAGUCCAAAGUACUUGGUAUUGGUGGCAUUGGAAAGCUGACUUGAUAAGCUUUCCAAAGAGUCCUCAUUUACUUCCAUAGCUUCUGUAAAUUGAGAGUUAUGAGCAGUUCUUUGAACUGGUCCGUUUUGCACUGCAGUUGGUCCGUUUUGCUUCACUGGUCCGUUCUGUACUCCAGUGAUAGAAUCCACCGAUCCACUUUCAUCCUCCUCAUGUUGUAUGUUCCUAAGCACAACUAAAGUAGAACACUUAGGUAGUAUAACAUUCUCAGAAGUACUGAAAUUAAAAUCAGUUAGGAAUGAAUUCACCUGAACUUGUAGUUUCUUGGCACGACUUCUUGUAAGUGGACCUUGAAUUGUAUCCUUUGUGUUUGAUGAUGGUUGCUUGGUACUUGAAGUAGCAUGCACGGUUGGGAUGUCCUCAUCAUCAACCCUAGAUGCUGAUGCAAUAAAUCCCUUUUCCUUUUCAAAAAUAAUUCAUUAUUGCGUCAUAAUUCAAUUAAAAUCCAUAUAAAUGCUUUAAUCCGGUUUAAUCUUUAAAAAUUCAUAUCUAAUUCAUUGUAACUCGGUUUAAUGUGGUUCAAGUUGCAAAAGUUGUAUAAAAUAAAGAUCUACAUAUUAAAAUUAUUCAUAAAUUGAAUUAAAUUUAUUUAAUUUUUUUUAAAUGGGCUUUAAUUAGAUUAAAUCUAGUAAAAUUCAUAAUAAAUUCAUAUGAAGUCAGAAUGAGGCCGUUCAAGUCUCAUAAUUCAUCUAAAAUUAUGAUCUACAUGUUUGUUUACUUUAUGUGUAUUGUUUAUUUGGAGUUUCUUAGUGUUUUCCUCGUUUUGCGUUUUAGCUUGUCGUUUCCGUCGUUGCGAAGGUUCGCGAGUGCGCCGGAAGUGUUCAAGAAGAUUAAUUGAAGACCGAAUAUUGCAAGGCAAGUCACACAGAUCCCAAACACAAUUCCUUUGAGCAUGUUGAUCCUAUAUUUAAAUUCUCUAUUUAUUUCAACUGUGCAUUUAUUUUCAAAUGUCACCGGGUGGUGUGAACCUAUUCCUUUGUUAUGGCCUGUUUGCAUUGAUUACCCUAUUUCUUGAUUACCUCGGGUUAUAAUUUGACUAGUUGGAUUUAUAUAUUGGUUCAACUAGAUGUAUUAGAUAUAAUUGCUUAGCCAUGCUUAGAAACAUUAGCACAUGAUUGGGAUAAUUAAUGUUUCACUAUUAUUUAAUGAUGGAUAUUUAAUAGCUCACGAUGGUCAAUCGUGAUUGGUUAAUUAAUUAAUGUGCCAACUAAAACUUGAUAAUGGUGGGUUGUGAGCACAUGGUUUUGAUGGUCGUGCUCAUGAAAAUUAAGGACCGGUUCACGAGUUUCGGUUGUGAAACAUUAAUCGUUCCAACCACAAGCCAGAGUGGGCAACGGCUGGACACUUUGUAUAACAAGGCUCAUUGCGGAGCACCAGACUGAGAAGUGGCGGAGAUAAGCCCACGGGGGUCGCUGGGGAGUCCAUGACUCUGGUUUUUGAGGGGGUGACUAUGAUCCGGGAACGGUGCACUGCUUUGGGUUGAGUUAUGCGAGGGGUCUUGUCACAACUACAGAAAUGGUGACAUGUUCAGCAUGGGCACAUGAUGAUAUGGUGACAUAUUGUGGAGUUUUGUCUUGUGGGUACAGUGGUACACCUCUAGCCAGAGUAAAACUAUUCGAAUAGCCGUGCCCGCGGUUAUGGGCGGGUCGAACAAUGUCUUUCGUGAUUAGUCCCACACUACUCAUUAAUAGUAAUGUGAUAAUUGAUGGUAAUUAAUUUAGCUCCUGGUUUGGAAUGGUAUAUUCCUGGUUUGGAGAUAGAUCUGUACAACUGGGUAUGGUUGUUCAGGAUGGUUGGGCCUGUGCAGCAUGGAUGUGCUGUUCAGUGAUUGAUUAAUAUUGAUAAUUAAUUACUCUAUUGUUUUACUACUCUUAAAUGUUUGCUAAAUGCUGCUUUUGCAAAUGAGCCCUAUAUUAUGCCAUCCUUUGGUAUCCUGUGCACUUGCAUAUUUGCUGUGUGGCUUGCUGAGUAUGUCAUAUGCUCACCUUGCAAUAAUCAAUCAAACCUCAGUUGAAGACAAGUUGCGAAGGAGAAGACGUUUGGCUUAUACCCCAGUUGAGCUACCUGUGGGAGUGGAGCCGGAGCUUCGCUAGAUUUUAUUUUCCGCUGCAGUUUUCUUCAUGGUGAGGACUAAGUGCCUCUUAAGUAAGUAUUUAUCGUUUUAGUUAAUUUGAUGAAUCUGUAUAUUAAAUUGUCAGUUUGUGUACCUCGGCUGAUUCCUGGACGAGGAUUUUAUGCACAAAUAAGUUCGGAAAUUACUAGUGAAUUUCUGGGCGUGACAUAAACUCCGCAAGCGUCCACACGCCGACUAGCAGCCGAGUUCCGCCUCUUCGAUCCCAAGAUUAUCACCAACCAAGCCUCAGCAUCGUCGCGGGAUCCAGUCGCAGGAGCAGGGACCAUGGCAAACGAUCUGUCUACUCGCCUCCUGACUGGCACAAGGAGCAUCAAGCCGAACAUCCCCGCUCCCCACGUCGCAGGCGUCCCGUCGAUCUUCGUGAAACUAUCAACCAGUGCUGCGCGGCAAGAGGCUACAUCCCCCGCCAUUCACCAGAUCGUUACGACGAAGACGUAGAUGGAGUUGCUGCCUUCACAAGCGACCUGCAUCGAGUAGAUUGGCCAGCCGGCUUCAAACCGACUGGAAUCGAGAAGUAUGACGGCACGACAAAUCGUGAGUCUUGGCUCACCGUCUACAGUCUCGCAAUCCGCGCAGCAGGAGGAGACAGCAAAGCCAUGGCAAACUAUAUGCCCGUGGCUCUAGCGGAUUCUGCCCGGUCCUGGCUUCACGGGCUACCCCGUGGCACAAUCGGAUCUUGGGCGGAGCUUUGUGACCACUUCAGCGCCAACUUCCAGGGCACCUUUGAAUGCUCUGGCACCCAAUUUGAUCUCUACAAUGUUGUCCAGAAGUCCGGAGAAUCCCUUCGAGAUUACAUCCGGCGUUUUACCGAGCAAAGCAACAAGAUUUCCGACAUCACCGACGACGUCAUCAUCGCCGCCGUCACCAAGGGCAUUCGCCAUGAUCUCUUAGUCGGUAAGUUUGGCCGCAAAACUCCCAGGACGGUCAAGCAGAUGUUUGAAAAAGCCAAUGAGUACGCAAAAGCCGAAGAUGCCGUCAUCGCAUCCAAGCAGUCAGGCACCACCUGGAAGCUGAAGAAAGAUACGCCGACUGCAGGGGGAGCGGUAGUACCAAUCACAAGGAUCGCAAGCGUAAGCCCGAGGAACUUGUGGCAACCACUACACCGUCCUCCCGACAGCGUUCGCGCAUCAACACUUUCCACAAGAUUAUGAACUCCCAAUGUCUGCAUCAUCCAAAUUCAAAUCACGCAGCCAAAGAUUGCUUCGUCUACAAAUAGUUUGCAGAGCAAUACGCCAAGAACGCACGCAAACCGACUGACGGAGAUCAAAGCAAGUCCAAGAAGAAGGAUGAUGAAGAUGCCAAGACCCUUGCAAGGAACUCAACCAUAUCUUCGGCGGACCCCUGGCUUAUGAAUCUAAGUGAAAGCAAAAGCUGACCGAACGGGAGAUCAAUGCUGUUCAACCCGACACGCCCCAAUAUCUUCGGUGGUCAGAGACAGCUAUCAAGUUUGACCGCUCGGAUCAUCCCGACCGAGUGGUCCACCCGGGGCGGUACCCCCUGGUACUAGACCCAGUGGUUCGCAACGUCAAGCUCUGACGAUCUCUCAUCGAUGGUCGCAGUGCACUCAACAUCCAUUUCACCAAGACUCUGGACGACAUGCAGAUCCCUCGCACAGAAUUGAAGCCGAGUAAUGCGCCCUUUCACGGAGUCAUCCCCGGGCUAUCUUCUACUCCACUCGGCCAGAUCACCUUGCCGGUUACUUUCGGCACUCGGGAGAACUUUCGCACGGAGAACAUUUGCUUCGAAGUUGCUGAUUUUGAGACAGCGAACCACGCUAUACUCGGACGCCCGGCGUUAGCAAAGUUCAUGGCUGUCCCGCAUUAUACCUACAUGAUGAUGAAAAUGCCAGGUCCUCAAGGAGUCAUAUCCCUACGAAGCGACAUCAAGCAAGCCGUCACUUGUGACAAGGAAAGCUGCGAGCUGUCCCAGACCCACGAGAUCACUCUGGCUCGAGAGGAAAUCCGACUGGCUGCGUCCACAGCAACCAAAGGAGAAGUGCUUGCAACCAAGAUGCCAAAGAACGGAGAAGGCGACGCCAAGACCAAGAAAAUUCCUCUAGAUCCCUCUGAUCCCACUAAAACUGCUGUAAUAGGCGCUGAGUUAGAUUGUAAAUAGGAAAGAGCGCACAUCACCUUUCUUCAAAUAUAAUAAAGAUAUCUUUGCGUGGAAACCAUCUGAUAUGCCUGGUAUUCCUAGAGAGGUGAUUGAGCACUCUUUACAUGUUAAGGAAGACGCUAAACGUAUUAAUCAACGACCGCCGUUUCGAACAGGAUAGAAAGGAUGCGAUCAAGGAGGAAUUGACCAAGCUGUUAGCAGCAGGCUUCAUCAAGGAAGUCCUACAUCCCGACUGGCUGGCCAACCCAGUCCUGGUUCAGAAGAAGACGGGGCAAUGGCGUAUGUGUGUUGAUUACACCGACCUCAACAAGUCUUGUCCCAAAAAUCCCUUCGGGUUACCUCGCAUUGACCAGGUAGUUGACUCAACGGCCGGCUGCGAGUUACUCAGUUUUUUGGAUUGUUACUCAGGAUAUCAUCAGAUCUGACUAAAGGAGUCCGACUGCUUGAAGACUUCAUUCAUCACACCCUUCGGGGCCUACUGCUACAUCACCAUGCCUUUUGGAUUAAAGAAUGCAGGAGCAACUUAUCAACGCAUGAUCCAGAGAUGCUUUUCAACUCAGAUUGGUUGCAACGUUGAAGCUUAUGUUGAUGAUGUAGUCGUCAAGACCAAGCAGAAGGAUGAUUUGAUUACGGAUCUACAAGAGACCUUUGCGAGCAUCCGCGCUUUCAAGAUGAAAUUAAACCCUGAAAAGUGCAUCUUCGGAGUACCGUCAAGGAAGCUGCUUGGCUUUAUGGUGUCCUAUAGAGGCAUACAAGCCAACCCGGAGAAAAUCCUCAACAUGAAACCGCUGAGCUCCUAGAAAGAUGUUCAAAAGUUAACUGGUUGCAUGGCGGCGCUCAGCCGGUUCGUCUCACGACUCGGCGAGCGGGGGAUGCCUUUUUUCAAGCUGCUAAAGAAAACUGAUAAUUUCCAGUGGGGACCUGAAGCACAAAAAGCCUUUGAAGACUUCAAGAAACUUCUCACUACUCCACCAGUCUUAGCUUCGCCACAUCCGCAAGAGCCGCUGUUGUUAUACGUGUCGGCAACUUCCCAGGUUGUAAGCACGGUCCUGGUUAUCGAGCGUGAGGAAGAAGGCCAUGUUCAAAAAGUCCAACAACCAAUCUAUUUCGUCAGCGAGGUUUUGGCCGACUCCAAGUCAAGAUAUCCUCAGGUUCAAAAGUUGCUAUGUGGUGUUUUAAUUACUGUUAGGAAAUUAUCUCACUAUUUUCAAGGUCACUCGGUUACGGUGGUUACAUCGUUUCCACUUGGGGAUAUACUUCACAAUCGCGAAGCAAAUGGGCGGAUUGCAAAGUGGGCCUUAGAGUUGAUGUCUUUGGAUCUAUCCUUCAAGCCGCGAACUUCGAUCAAGUUCCAAGCUUUAGCUGACUUCGUCGCCGAGUGGACCGUAUGCCAAGAAGACACGUCUACGGAGAAGAUGGAGUACUGGACAAUGCAUUUUGACGAGUCAAAGAGGCUAUCAGGCACUGUAGCGGGGGUUGUUCUAAUUUCCCCGACUGGAGAGAGACUAAGCUACGUAUUGUGGAUACAUUUUUCUGCGUCUCACAACGUGGCGGAAUAUGAGGCGCUUCUUCAUGGAUUAAGGAUUGCGAUUUCUGUAGGAAUUCGGCGUCUUAUAGUUCGUGGAGAUUCUCAGUUGGUUGUUAAUCAAGUCAUGAAAGAGUGGUCCUGCCUUGAUGAUAACAUGACCGCCUAUCGUCAGGAGGUAUGCAAGUUAGAAGAUAAAUUCAAUGGCCUUGAGCUAACCCACGUCCUUCGACAUAAUAAUGAGGCAGCCGACAGACUGGCUAAUUUUGGUACAAAACGAAAAGCAGCUUCUUCCGACGUGUUUGUUGAACAUCUUUAUGAGCCAACCGUACUAAGGAAAGAAAUAAUCGAGACCACGGACACUCAAGAAGUAAGCACGAUUGAAGCCGACUGGAGAGAGCCCCUCAUCAGAUUUUUGGCUAAACAAGAGCUCCACUACUGGAGAGGGAGAAGCUCCCUGGUGCUAAAAACACCCGGCAACAAUGGAAAAACACCCGGUAAUCACUGUUGCCGUGUACCUCACUCCGGAAUCAUUACCCGGGAGUGAAAAGAAACGGCGGCGAUUGCGUAGUGCGUCUAAAAACACGGGAAGCCUUAAUUUACGGAGCGUGCGUACGCCUGGAACACCCAGCAAACAAUUUUCUGUUACCGGGUGCAUAGCAUCUAACACACGAUAAGUCUCAGUAUUUGCGGAGUGCCUAUAAAACCAUACGUUCAUUUGAUACUCUGUAAUGUUCCCGACUCUGGCAUUAUUUACAGUAUUGAUAGUGCAAUAUUUGCUUAUUCAUUUAUUAUUUGCACCAGAACAGCAGCAUCCAAAUCACACAUCAACACAGAAGAAUGGAUUGAAAUGCAUUGACAUCCAUGUUCAGUUAAUCAAUUUGAUGACAAUCUAAUAUGGAACAAUUGAAAUACCAAUCUCAGAAACAGCUACAAUUGAGAUGAAUUUGAGCAUUACUUCCUCUACCAACAAGCUUGGGCAACCAGGAACUCUUGCAAACAGAAGAAAACAUCAUAUGAACGGCACCAUAGGCAGUUUGACCACUCCUCAUAACAUAGCAAAUAAGCCGAUUGACUAGGAAAACCUGAACCUGAGAUUGCAUAAAAGAGAGAUCAAUUUCACAUAAAAAAGUGGUGACACUUUCAUGUGUUGUACUAAAACAAAGUGAUGACACUUAUGUAGAAUAGCACUAGCAAAAUAAUAUGAAUGAUGUAUGCGCAUUGAAAACAAAGUAAUCUGAACUUGUACAUCUUUUAUUCAAGAUUAUGUAGGCUUGUUAAAAUUUAGGCAUAGUGUCAGUGGAAUUGUUGAUGGCGCAUGAUGAAGCAAUAUGCGCCCACGUGACUGAUUUGCCAAUUGCCCAGGCAUUACAACCAAAUCCAAAUAAAUGAUUAUGCAGCUUUUAUUUGACAGAACAUCCUGAUUACUAGUAUAUAAUGCUCAAUCAAGAUUCAGGAACAAAAUAGUGAUUUAUCAUCCCAGUUGAAACAAUUGCCAUUCAUCUAUCAAAAACUUAUCUUAGAAUCCACAAGGGGUUCAUAAAAAAAUUGGAUAUCAUGUAGCCAGAUCAAAAGAAUUAACUAGCAUAUGAAGUGGCAAAAUUUGGUAGUAUUUUACUUCACUGUUAUUCGGAUUCACUAUUGUUGGCAAAAUGGCAGCACCAUAUCAUAACUAAAAACUUGAACCACAAAUGCAGACAUAGUAAAAAUGGAUUAAUAUAGAUCCAUCUUCUUGCUGAGAAUCAGGUGUGAGAGCUUACAGCGCAGGUGAGUAUCUGAUGGAACUGGUGUACAUCAGAUCCCUCUAGCUGGUAGCAAAAAGAAUAUCUGCAGAAAUGAUGAGGUCUGAUUUAGGAACACAAAUCCUUUAUUUCAAAAGCUCCAGAGCUAGGAGAAUGCAAUCUUCAUGUACUAUUAUUUAUUGCAUGAUCCUUCUAAAAAUGAAGUAUGCAACAUCUUGGGAACAUCUAACCUAGUGGCAUUUGGCAUAGCAGGGGCAUAAACAAUGAUGGUCCACCUCAUCAUGUCUCCAAUUUUGAACUACAUAGUAGUACUUAUAUACAGAAAACAUGAAUUUAUAUUUUACAAAGAAGGAAACAAGAGCUUGCAUAUGGAGCUAACAAAAUGAGCUUUGUCAGACUAUAUUACCAAAUAAAAAAUGCCAAGUGGAGGAAAAAACUUGCAGGACUCAGAUACAACCCAAUGGAAUAAUUGACCUGGCCAAGAUCAUUAAUUAGAUUACUCAUCAGACCUGUGGCAAUGGGUCACUAGUUGAUAUAAUGCUCGACUAUUUGCGAUACACAUAUAUAAAUGCAUGAAAGAGGGGUAGUAAUUUAAUCUUUUGCACAAAACUAUACAAGGAUUUGUUAGUUACUCCUUACAAUGGUUGUUUGUUUCCAACAAGAAUAGUCCAGCAAUGUGAAGGAAGCUAGAUAAGUCCACAAGAAAAGUUAAAGACCUAUAUUAAAUGAUCAUACGUCUUUGGACUAGACUGAACAAAAUGAUGGUAGCUUACAUUCAUGGGACCUGCAUGGCCAUACCAUUGUCUGGUACAUUCAACACGGUUCUAUUGUUGAUUGCGCUCCUAUCAAGAAAAAGAAUACAGUGAAAAUAUUCAUAAGUGUAAAUCCAUUUUAUUGUUGGUCAAGCUAACAUGGAGUCAUACAUAUACCAGAAAAUGAAUAAAUAGUUACUUCUAUAAUCAUAGAACACUGCCUUUACAAAAACAGCUUCAGAUAUAAAGAGUGUGACAUAUGAACAGCUGGACAAAAUUAGGAAGUGGUAUAAGUUUGUUGCUCGAUGGCUUUAGAUAAGUUUAAUAUCACUUCUCACCUAGGAAAAAUAAUGCCAUGCAGUACACACAGAUCUGAAAGAUAAGUGCUGAAAGGAGAUUAUUACUCUACCAACCUAAUAAUAUUUAGUGCUGAAGAUUUGGCAAUGAGCACCCGUCGUCGGUAUAUUUAGGAAGAACUUACCGAGCACUCUAGCAGCAGUGGCAGGUAGGGAGGAUGAGAGGCCAGCACUGGCCAUGGGAAUGUGGUGGUGGUGGUACCAAAGUGGAGCAAGAGGCAGGUCGCAGACUCAGACGGAGAAGUAGCCAUCGCAGGGUGUCGGCGCCUCUUUUCAUGUCUUGGCGUCGCAGGACAGCAAUAGAGGCAACAGGCUCGUGUGGGGAACUGCAGGGACAGUGAGGAUAUGGUGCUGCACGGCUCCUUCGUACACUACCACCUCCACCAGGAUGGCCGUUGCGGUCGCCGUCCCUGUCUCCUCAGCUGGCGUGCCCUCCUCCCUCACGGUAGAGAUGCGCAUCUCUGGGCGUGGUGGAGGGGAGCAUUGACCGCCGAGGAGGUUUCGACCACCUCGCCGCCGGCAGCACCUUCAACUGCUAAAGUCAGAGGGCCGAGUAGCCGACAACGAUACGAGGAGCACCCCCCAACUCUGAUUAAUCCUACUCCACCCCGAGGCACCGACAGGCACGAGUACAAUUCCUCCCUCCCCAUUCUCCAUGCCUAGCCAACGAUGCCGAUGCGGAUCUGGUGCGGCGAGGAGAGGAGAGGGUGAGACGAUCGGAAUCAAAGCCGGCGUCGACGAGCUGCAGGUUGCAGCCUACCGCGCGGAGGAGCCAAGGCGGCGGCGGCGGCGGCGCGUGGGAGAGGCUGAGAGGGAUUAGGGUGCGAGUGCGACUGUGCGAGAGUGGGGACUGGAUUUGGGGAGGUGAUGGUGGCACGGACGGCUUUGGUUGUCUGUGACCGACGGAUCGGACGGCUCACGCGAGGGAUGGUUACUGCUGCCCUAGAAAGAUGGGGGAUUUGUAUUCCCGCCCACCACCGGAAAUUGGGAAUUUGGAGGGAAAUAUUUGGUUUCAUUAACCCUGAUUCGUUUUUUUUAUUUGUUUGUAACGUGCAGUUGAUUUAUUAUUAUAUCACUGAAACAUAUACUUCUCAUGGAUAAAAUAUAAUUUCACUCCAAUAAAAUUUAGAAUGAAAAUUUUUAAACUUCUAAUAGGAUAAUUAUAGAGUAAGAUUUUUAUACUUUAAUAAUUUUAGAGCAACAUAAUGGAUCUUAAUAGUUCAAUUCCUGACAUUGAGUGAACAAAGGACUUAAAACCCCUUAAAAAGUAUCUAAAUUUUAUAUUUAUUGCAAUUUAUAAACUAAAACCAAAACUAAAACAAACUCAUAGUAUCAACUAGCACAUAACAAAUUAAUGUAACUUAGUAUAUAUUUGUUCUUUUAAUUUCUACGUGUUUUUACAUAUAUGUUCCUACAUCUUUGUUUAUAAAUCAUGCAAUUCAUAUAGGUAAGUAUUGAUCAAAGUAUAAUUUGAUAUAAAUAUAAUUUAAAUUCCUUUCAUUUGAUUUAAAUGCUAUUUGCCCAUUCAUCUAAAUUAAUAUAAGUAUAAUUUAAAGCCAGCAUAUGGAAGUAGGGUGAUGUCAAGAGGAGAGAAGCAACGCCGAUGCCUCUGUCCAACUGAAACAAGACUAAGAAUGUGAGUAUAGCAAGGCGACAUGUCAACGCAGUUAUAGGAGCGAGGGCAACGGAUAGAGGAGGCCAAUAUGGCAUGCAACCUAUGGUUUUCUCCACAUUUCCUGAAUGAAUUUGGGUUGUCUUGCCGAUCCAAAGACGAAGGAAGGAUUAGUUGUCCUAGGCUAAGUGGCGGUCAAAUCGAGCCCACUAGCAAGAUCGAACAAUCCUCGUGAGUUAGCGGCUUCAUGCUAUUAACAGAAAGUCGUAGAACUUCUUUGCAGAAUCACUGACAUCAUGUCCCAUUGCCUCAGCUUCUCAUCGAGCCUACAUGGUUUAGAGAGAUUAAUAUGAUGGAUGAAAUUGAGUUCUAUGAUAACUAUGGAAGGCACAAACAAACGAAUUUAAUACUAGUAAGAUGAAAAGUUAAAUUUUAAAUAAACCUAAGAAAUAUCAAUGAAAAUAGUUAUCAAAGAAAUCAAACCAUCGAAUUGACUAAAUGCGUCGAAUUUCAAGUAUUUCAGAAAACCAUUGAAUUUUUGGAAAGUGGAAUUUGAAUACAAUUUUCUGGUUUCUGAGUAAAACAAGAACAAGUUUGAACCGAUAUCAAUCAAGAUCUGACAAUUUUUAUUAAAACCACGGAGAGAAGACGUGCACCAUUGGUUUUAGAAAGUGAAUUAGUUUUAUGGAAAUUAAAUUUCCAUGUCAUACUCCCCAAAUUUUAGGGCCCCUUUGAAUCGUAGGGUAGAAAAAACAGAGGAAUACGAAAAAUUACAGGAUUCUGACAGAAAUUGAAGUGUAAAACAUAGGAUUGCAAAACACAGGAGAAACACAGGAAUGGUCGUUUGAUUGGAGCGCAGGAAAAACGCUGGAAUCGGAUGAGAGAGAUAGACUCAAAGAAAAUUUUUCAAGAGGUUGGAGCUCUUGCUAAAUUUCCUACAAAAUCCACAUGCAAUGUGCCAAUCCAUAGGAAUUUAAUAGGAUUUGGAAAGCUUUAAUCCUUUGAAUCAAAGGGCCAAAUAGGAAAAUUUCCUAUAGGAUUUGAAUCCUAUGAAAUUCCUACAUAAAUCCUAUGAUUCAAAGGGUCCUUAAAAGGAAGAUAUGUAUAGAAUCCAACUAUUUAGAAACAUUAUACUUUAUUUUUGUUUUUUCAGUAUGUAAUUCAAUGAUUUCUGCCUCAAAAGAAAAUGCUACAAUCAGCAAUAAAUAAGUUAAUUAAUUAAUUAACAGUACAAAAAAUACUGCUCAUUAUAUGGCGUCUGUGUAUAUCGAUUGGUCUGGGUGAGUUUUGCUAUGAGUACUAUUUUUUAUAUUCUUCUGGUUUACUUUUCACCCGAGGAACUGUAGCAGUAACGGAAAGUUUUUCAGGCCGUUGAUUGACGUGUGGCCCUAAGUACCGGCUGGUCCGUUAGUUAGUUGGAAUUACCGGGUGUGUGUACCAGAACACACGAUAAACAUCAGAUUCCGUUAGAUUCGGCCAAAAAAAUAGCAUUCGCGCCACCGUGAAUAUUUUGGCGCUAACGCAUUUCUGUUCGCGCCAACGAAAAUAGCUUGGCUGAUGGAUGUGGGCCCCAAGAUCCCGGGUGUAAUUGGUAAAUCUCCUAAUGUUACGUAGUGUUUAAAAUGAACGCUCUGUAAUGACAUCAGUUACGGGGUGUUCCUACUAUACACUCCGUAGUUUACUCAGUGCUAGAUCAAACAUACGGUAACAUUCUGCUCCCACCCGGGAGAGUCUCUCAUCCUGGUAGCUCCCUCAAGAUAAAGACGAAGCCGAGCGGAUCUCCAGACGCAGCAAACUUUAUGUCAUACAUGAGACCGAGCUGUACAAGAAAAGUCCAUCAGGGAUUUUGCAACGCUGUGUGUCUUUGGAAGACGGAAGACAAUUGCUAAGAGAUAACCAUUCAGGCAUCUGUGGCAAUCACGCUGCCGCUCGAACUGUUGUUGGCAAGGCUUAUCAGCAGGGUUUUUUCUGGCCCACAGCUGUAUCCGAUACAGACAAAAUUGUGCGAACAUGUGAAGGUUGUCAAUUUUUCGCCCGACAGACUCAUCUACCGGCUCAGGAGUUGCAAACCAUCCUGUUAUUUUGGCCGUUCGCGGUUUGGGGGCUUGACAUGGUUGGCCCGUUCAAAAAGGCUAUCGGUGGUUAUACUCAUCUCUUUGUAGCUGUUGACAAAUUUUCCAAGUGGAUCGAAGCCAAACCAGUCAUCACAAUCACGGCAGACAAGGCUAGAGCUUUUUUCAUCAACAUUGUGCACCGGUUUGGGGUACCCAAUCGAAUCAUCACUGAUAACGGCACUCAAUUCACUAGCGGAGUAUUUCAAGAUUUUUGCGAGGACUUCGGCAUCAAAAUUUGUUAUGCCUCCGUAGCGCACCCCAUGAGCAAUGGACAAGUUGAACGUGCUAAUGGUAUGGUACUUCAAGGGAUAAAAGCACAAGUUUUUGACCGACUGCAUCCCUAUGCUGGCAAAUGGGUAGAACAGUUGCCAUAUGUCCUUUGGUCCCUGCGCACCACACCCAGUCGGGCUACGGACAGUCACCGUCCUUUCUAGUAUAUGGUGCGGAAGCAAUGUUGCCAAGUGAGGUAGAAUUCGAAUCUUUGCGAUUUCGUAAUUUCAGCGAGGAGCGCUAUGGAGAAGACCGAGUAGAUGAUCUCAACCGACUGGAAGAAGCCCGUGAAGCAGUGCUAAUUCAGUCGGCUCGGUAUUUACAGGGGAUGCGCCGUUAUCACAAUCGCAAUGUUUGAUCACGAGCUUUCUUAGUCGGCGACUUGGUUCUGAGGAAAAUUAAGACUGCACGAGAUCGGCACAAGUUAUCUCCUUUGUGGGAAGGACCGUUCAUAGUUUCUGAAGUUACUCGACCAGGUUCUUAUCGACUCAAGCGUGAAGACGGUACUCAUAUCGACAACUAUUGGAAUAUUGAACAUCUUCGUUGUUUUUAUGCUUAGGCAUUACUUUUUGUAUCUUUCUCUUUGACUGCUAACAUCAAGUUCUUCCUUGAGUUAUCAGUCGGGGGCUACUAUAAUAAUAAUGGAGUGUGAUUUUUAUCAAUUCAAUUUGCUUACUUGAUUUAUCAUUGCCUUGUUUGAUUUUUUGACUUAGUCAAUGAGGACUGAAAGUUUUUAACAGCUUUUGCGGGUUCUAGGCUCAAUAAGGUUUGACAAAAACUUUUAAGAAAUCAGGAGCUAAGUUUAAAUUAUCAAGCACAGCAUAAAUCCAUCAGUAUUGUACAAAUUGUGCCUCCAUCAUCAUCAUCAUUGUCAGAAAACAAUAUCAAUCAGUUUCAGUCUUUUCAUCGUCAGAGUUAUUAGAUCCAGUCGGCCUGAGGUCGUUGUCCUGGAAUCUCUCAACAACAUCAGCGGCUAUCUUGUCAGCAGCUUUCUACGCAUCAUUAAUGAGAUCAAGGGCAGCUUCUUCACUUGUCUCGUCUGCAAAGCCAUCGAUAGGAUCAAUGUUGAUCUUUGGGUACAAGGACUUGGUCAUCGCCAACGCCAGACUCGCUCCCAUGCUUCCAGCUUCCUUCAUGUUCUUAAAAUAUGUUUCUGGAGCAAUUAUCGGCUUGUCGAAUAUUUUGGCAGCAUCAAAUGAACAUGGCUUGGACGAGUGGUGCAGCAGCGUUGGCGACUUCAUCUCUAGCUCCCUCAAGCCUCUUGAUUUUGUUAACCAAGACGUCGAAUUGGGCUUGGGAUUUGAUUUUGUGAUCUGCACAAGUAGAUUCGCAUCAGCGAGUGGGCAUGAAGAUGAGAGUGGUUUCUUGAAGUUGCAGCUGUGAGUACCUUCGACAUCUUUCAGAGCCGAGUCCCUCUGCUUUGUCAGUUCGCCCUUAUCUUUUUCCAGAGCCUUGAUUCGCCUUUCCAGCUCGGAUAUCUUGGCAGUUUGCACUGUAUUGCUUCUCAUUGGUUAGUUGCACAUGGAUAGCAACACGAAACAAGUCAGACAAAGUUGGGAGUUACCUUUUGAUGAACCGCUCAGCUCGAAGUUGGAGUCUUGGAGCUCUGCGAUCCGGUCUCUCAGAUCAUGCUCAGUCUUCCUGGCAAGCUCCUUGGCUUCACGCAGCUGGUCUUUGGUGGCUUCCAGGGUUCCAAGAUGGGGAACCAAUUUUUCGAGGGUCGCGGUCUUCGCCUGAUUUCUAAGAUGGAUUCUCUGUGUUGCAAGUGCAUCUUUAUUCAGUAAAGUGGCCGACAGGAUGAUUGAAGCUACGUAUAAAGAGACUUACAUUUACAAGACGAGUAGCUUGGCCGAGUGUCUUUUUCAGAAGCUGAUCGUAUCCGAAGAACCUCUUCUUCAUCACCGAUCAUUGGCCCUUAUACAUUCAUGAAUAAUGGCAAAGCAAUUGAAGAAAGUUUGUCGGAUCAAGGAAAGAUUUGGAGGACAUGUUUACCUGUAAUAAUUUCCGGUCGAGGACGAGCAGGUCCUUGCACCCUAACAGGAGAGUUGGUUCCAGGGCCAGCACCAGCGUCCGUCUUGGGAGGGCUGUUGGCUUGAGCUUUUGCUUCUGGCAUAUCUCUAUUUUGUUCAGUACCCGACUGGUUUCCAGUCGGGGGCUCCUGAUCAGCACCGACUCCAGCUUCGGCCGACUAGUUUCUAGUCGGGGGCUCGUUGCUGGUAUCUACAUUGCCGGUUGCCGGUUGAUUAUUACCCGGGCGGUCCUCGGUAGUCGGCUCAGUUUCUGCUGAAGGACCAUUCUCCGUGCCAGUCGGCAUGGGGUCUUUUCUUGAUGGAUCUAUGUCAGAUGGUUUCCUACAAAUUUGAGACAUGCUAUCAGCUUUGCUUCAAUAGUGAGUGACUAGCGAAAUUGGGGGAAUUGCUAGACGACACAUACCUGGAUGACUUCCUGAUUUUCGGCAUGGGACGACUGGAUGUUUUCUUCUUUGGAUUGGCUUGCUUUGGCUAUUUUUCAGUCAUCCUUUUGUUGCCCGCGUCAUCACCUUCAUCGUCACUUGAAACCAACUUCCCCUUAUGAGAAUCUGGCUGGUUAGUGGACUUCGCGGUGUUGGGUUGGACGUUUGACUGGAUCUUCGGCCCUCCGCUGGCUUGGCUAGUUUGCCGGCGCGGUGAGCAGCGUUUAGCAAUUGGAGGAUCGGAUUUCAUCAAAGCGAAUUCCUGUGCGUGGUAUUCCAAGUUUUCAGUCGACCUUACAGAAGAUAAAAGCAUGCUUUGAGAAAGGCUGAGGUGUAUGAUACGUACCGGUGGAGGAGGGUUGAAGGCAUUGCAUGGCAUGACUGGCAAUAAGUGUGAAUAGCUGACCACGAUGGCAUUCGAGAAAAUUUUGUACAUUCUCUCCUGCAUAAUUUUGAAUUCAAGAGACUCUGUGUCUUCUCGGUUGGGGUCAUGCUUGCCGUCGAACUCGAAAGCUGUUCGGGAUCCUUCCUUGAUUGGUGCCAGCCGGCUCUUGAUAAAGUGCCGAGUAAUUUGCUCCCCUUGCAGGCCCUAUUCCUUAAGCUUCAGCAUGCGAUCCAACAGGUCAAGCGCUUGGGCAGCCUCUUCUCCCAUAGGAAGUGAGUUCCCGGUAUCGCGAUAUACUGGAGGAAGACAGGAGUACCCAGGAAGCGCUGGCUCGGGGUUUUGCACAUUGAACCAGUUCGCGUGCCAACCUUUGUUCAAGGUCUUGAAUGGCACGGAGAAGUAUUUUUGGCUCUAGGUCCCCCUCAGUUGAAAUCCGGCUCCCCCAACUACGCAUGGUUUGCUUUUAUUAGGCUAGGGCUUGAGGAAGAAGAUGCGACGGAAUAGAGCAAAAUGUGGCCUAAUCCCCAGAAAGGCCUCGCAAGCAUGGAUGAAAUUGGCGAUGUGGACUAUGGAGUUGGGGUUUAGGUCAUGCAAACUGAUCCCAUAGAAAUCUAAAAUCCCCCGGAAGAAACUUGAGGUCGGAAGGGAAAACCCGCCAUAGAAGAAAUGGGAGAAUACCACCACCUCGUAUGUGUCGGGGGUCGGAAACGUUUCACCACAUGCUGGACGCCACCCGAUGAUCUCCUUCGCCGGAAGAACGCCGUGCACCACCAUCUCCUUCAGGUUCUCCUCCGUUACAUCAGAGGGCACCCAUUGACUCUCAAAGCUUUCUCUCUCUUCCGCCAUGGAUACGAACUGGAUGAUGUGAUUUGGUUCGAAAUGUGGCUGGGAAUGGAUGGGAGAUUGAUGCGGUGGUUCCGUGGGAGAUUUUUGUGGAGUUUUGGUGGCUGGAUUGGAGCGAAUCUAUGAACCCUAGCUUCGCCGGUGUGGUCUGACACUGUAGCAGAGAAUGGGGAAAGUGGCGAGAGUUUUGGCGGGGAAGACGAACCGACGCUUUGCAUUCGGUGUUAUUUCAUUAGGGUAUCGGGAGUACUAAUGGGCCUGGGCCUAAACAGUACUUCAGCCCAAUUAGGCUAUCGACGUGGCUAAGUUGUGAUCCUUAGGGACUUAGGCAUUUUGCUUUGGCAACACUUGCUCACAACGGUAUAGCCCAAUGCUGUUAAAAUCCUUUUUGACGCAGUUAGAUAAUUAUUUGGAAUUACUACGAUGCAAAUAAAAUGGUGCCCAACGGAAAGGUGUUAUACUAAUUUUGUAAGCCUUUUUAGGCUGCAAAAGCUGUUUGGGUUUUGUUGAGAUGACUAGUUUUUGAAUAGUCAUUCUCUCGACAUGUUAUAUGCUUAUUUUGAUAUGGUGCGAGUCAUAGCUUAGGCAAUUUAGACUCACCUAUUGUCAUGAUUUAUACCACAUUUGAUGGAUCUUUUUUGAGAGUUUUUACUUGGAUUCUUAUCAUAUGUGUUGGUUUAUAGACCUUUAGAGUGUUUUUCACGCGGGACUUUAUAUAUCUCCUUUCCUGGUGUAUCAAAGCUAAAGCAGUCAGCUGGAUGUUUUAUUAACGUCACAUAUGCUUAGCUAUGUGAUACCAUGGAUGAUCCGGUUGUAAAACCACUCGGUUGGAUGUUAUUUACACCUUGGUUAUAUCCUUAGUUUUUAACUAAACACAUAGUCGAGGUCUACACCUAAUUAGGUGUAUCUAAUCGAUGCACCUGAUUUUCUCUAUUUUUAGCCCUUCACAGUCUUUGAUUUUGGCACUCGGGAGAUCAAGGCAGAAGAAGUCGGAGUACUCGGAUUAUCGUUUGGAUUACGGGAGAAGACUAUUUCGUCGACUGUAAAUGUCUCAGGGGCUACUGUGGAGAUUAUGGAUACCUCAUACCCACACGACAUGUAUAGUCCGACUGGGUAUGGGGUGCCAUGUGUAGAUAGAAUAUCUUUAAAGGGACUCGGAUUAAAUUCCAAACUUGUAUGUUAAGGAAAUAUCCGGGAUCCUAGUCGGUUACCAUUGUAACUUAUCUGUAACUACCUAUUCCGUUAGGGAUAUGGAUUGUACUUUGUAAUACGGACCCCUCCCCCUAUAUAAGGAGGGGUCCGGGUGCCUCUAAGGGCACGAUUUUCUCCCAGAUCAUACGAUCAAUAACAUACUCGGCGGAUCAAUCCCCGGAUAGGAGUAGAGUAUUACUUCUUAUUAAGAAGGCCUGAAUCUGUAUAAAAUUCCUUGUCUCUCAACCCAUCCACUUUUCUAGCUUGAUAGCCACCCCUUUAGUAUUGCCGAAAUCUCAUUUCGACAGUAUGAAUUUGACAUGGUGGGCUACAAACCUAGAACCAUAUGUAUUUCCGACUUGUAGUUGGCCAUCAGUGUAUAUAUAUAGAAAUUGAGAAGAUUAGUAUAGAUUCUACUAGCGAUCAUAGUGAUACAUCUAAGAAGUAAAGCUAUCACUUGUGGGCUUUGUGGAAGGGAAUAAGAAAAAAUAUGAGGUAGCACUAUAGGAAUAAGCUAUUACGUUUACUAGCCAAGAACAUGUGUAUUGUAACGGAAAAUGAAAUCAGUUUCUAGCUCAAUUAGGCACAUAUUUAGUCAAAUUAACACUUUUAUGUUUCUCCUUAUUGAAUAAGUAGAUGAGUUCGAUGUUUAAGAUAAACCAUUAGUGAAACGGGAGAGGACUCAUUGGAGGUUGGUGCAAUACUAUAGAUUGUAGGGCCUAAAUGUCAGUGGUAGGGGGUAGUGUGAAAGAACAGACACCACCACUACAGACAUUUGAAGUAGUAUAGAUUGAAAAAGCAGGUGAUUUCAAAGUUUAAGAUAAACCAACAGUGAAACGGGAGAGGACUCGUUGGAGGUUGGUGUAAUACUAUAGAUUGUUUGGCCUAAAUAUCAGUGGUAGGGGUAGUGUGGCAGAAUGGACACCACCACUACGAACAUUUUAAGUAGAAUAGAUGUACUCUAUUGCUUAAGUGUGAAAGAACUUACAAAGUUGUUGAUUUAUACAUAACAGCUUUGUCAAAUAGCCGUGAGCCCCAUGGACAAGUCAGCUCAGGUUUAACCGACUACUUUAGAUUUUCAGCAAGCUCAUAAGCUUUAGGCUUAUCAUAGGUCACAACCCGAAGUGCUUCGAAGUAAAGAGCAUGAUCAGUAAGUAUUAACCUUGCCAGCAAAGGAAAAGUUGAAAUCCAGUGAUAUAAAACCGUAACAAGGCAAGUUAAAAAAAGCAUGCCAGCAUCUAAACAACAAGAAAUCGUUUCUCCUCACUGAGAACCAGACAUACCUGGCCAUGUCGAAAUCCUAACAUGUUCAAGUACUGGUUGAGUCGUCAAUGUUUCAUCUAUUUCUACAAUCCUUUCUCCUCUCUGAGACCGCUGGCCAGAUAAAAUCAAGGACUCAAAUUGUCCUUUCAUUUUCUUAAUCUCCCUACAUGAGAUAAAACAUACUCUCAGUCCUGACUUUAUGAAACAAGAUCCAACAGAAAGUUAUAUGCUUGCAUAUCCUAUCUUCAGAAAAACAAAGGGAGUAUAGUUGAACUUAUUUUGGUAACAAAAAUUGGCAAAUAUGUUAUCCCAUAUUUGUCGAGGUUACGGAUAAGGUAUACCCUCUAUCCUUGGAUAAACAAUGAGUACUGAUAUGGUAUGCCCGCGCGUAUAUGGAUAGUUCCUAUAUGUGUUAAGGAAAUCUAUCACGUGAUAGAAACAUAAUCCAUGGAUGGAAGGAGUCCUACUCGGACGAGACUGGGUCUUUACCAUAUCGUGAGGGGUCCGAUAUCUCCGAGUUCUACUUGAAGAUCAACUUACCCGCGGUAUAAAAGGGACCCCCUGGGUAGGAGCUAAGGCAUUGAAUAUCAUCGCUAACACAUCCACCACAGCCUACGAAGCCGGAGCCUACAGGAGCUAAGUCGCCGGGUGAUCUAGUCGAACCAACUCGACUACGGUCUCGUCGGUACCAUCGAGUUCUGUUAUUCUCUUUGUAAUCUGUGGUUUCCAUCAUAUAAUCCCAUACCAACUAGAUUAAAGCUAUUACCUACAAAGGGGCCUGAACUAGUAUAAUCCUUAUCUUCUGUUUGCUUGAUGUCGUACUACAUAGAUCCUCAUACCAACAUACCCCAAUACCCUCUAUAUUCGGUCUACGGGUAUCCCCUGUCGACAGUUGCGCGCCAGGUAGGGGAAUUUGGUGCUCAAGGUUUUACUACUAUGACUUCAAGCCUCCUCGACAACAGCGUCGACCCUGGGAUCAACCAAGGAGCUUCAACUUCAACGAUGCUGGUGUGGACUCAAGUCGGCGAAAUCGUCUUCCCGGUCUACACCACGAUGCCGAUCUCGACUGGCGCAGUAAUCACCAGCAGCGAGAACGGCGUGGUUACGACCCCGGUCGACUCCAUGUCGAAAGAUCCUCCCGCAGGAGCGGAGAACGGAACAUCGACAACAUCUGCGCCCGAGAAGGGUCCUAACGCGGCCAGUUCUUUUCGUUCUGACAAGAAGCACGAGCCGACAAGGACAACUUCCGAGGCGACGAGGAUCUGGUGUCCCAUCCACAAGACCAAAAGGCACACUUUGGAAGCUUGCUCGGUUUUUCUCGACGUACAAGCUGAAAUCCGUGCCUGCAAAGAGCAUGGAAUCCAACGCACUUCUCCAACUCGUGAUGUCUAUUGUCCCAUUCACAAGGCAAAGACUCAUGACCUCUCAAGCUGCAAGGUCAUUCUCAGCGCCAUGAGGACGUCACCUCCUAAGGUCCAACAGUCACAAAUCUCUCCUAGAGAUGCGGACAAGGAACGAGGAGCAACGAAUAUUUAAGAUCGAUUCGUCAGGGUAAUCGAUAUUGAUCCCCACGAGCCAUCUGUCCUACAUCUGCUCGAAGACCAGGCCUCAUCAUCAACAAGUACACCACGCAACAUGUACGCCAUCGGUGGGACCAGCACGUCUGGAGGCGGCAACACGGAAGCGGAGGAUCAAUUGGCUACGCCAGCCCAACAUAUCAGAACCAUCAACGCAAUACUGAGGGAAACCUCUAAUGAUCCCGUCCUGAAUGCUGAUCUCGAUCAGUGGACGGAACGACUACGGGAAUCAGUGGCCAGCCUCAGUAACGCGUUCGAGGAGGCCGCUGCCAGGGCACCACCAGAACAACCGCCGACCGGCGGCGCUAAUGGGGAACAGCCUGAACAGCGGACGCCACCUCGUCAAGCCACCCUUCCGCCUUGCGGCACCAGUGAUCUGCGCGACCAUCUGAAUGGUCGCCGAGAAGCGCGACGCACGUGAGACAACGAAAAUCAUUCCCCACAUCGCGUCUCUUUGCGACAUCACGAGAACGAAGAACAAGGAGGACAUCCGAGCGAGAACCGAGACCGUGAUGAUCACCACAACCACCGAGAACAUGCUAAUCGCGAACUGUGGCUGCCGGGUGAUACAAGUUGAGGUCGACGCCGCAAUGACGACGACGAUGGAGGUCGACACUGGGAAAACAACGAUGGAUGACGACGAGGCUCACGAGAACCCGAGCGUCGUCCUCGGAACCCUGCCCCAAAACCGAGUGAUUCGUCAUCGUCCUCGUCAUCUUCAUCAUCUUCCUCAUCGGACAGACAUCCACGACGAGCACAUGAUCGCCGACAACCCACCGCUCCUGGCGGCGGGUGCAGAGCUUUCACUCGUUCCCUACAAGAGGUUCGAUGGCCUGAGAAAUUUCGACCAGGAGCAAUAGAGAAAUACGAUGGAAGCACCGACCCUGAGGAGUUCCUUCAGGUCUAUUCCAUUGUACUCUACACUGCCGGAGCAGACGACAGCGCACUGGCAAAUUAUUUGCCGGCGGCGUUGAAGGGAUCUGUGUCACGACCGGAAUUAACCCAACGGGCGUUCCUUACGUGCGUGUAUUAUUCCUUGUCCCAGGAGGCAAGGUACACCAAAAGUUGAUACAUUUCAGAGUUUAUCAAGCGGAAGCGUAAAUAGUUAAUUUAUUACAUGGGCGGCGAAGGCCCAGCACACACAAAGACAAACGGGAAACAGGGGAAGACUAGGGCGACGACCACAGGCGCUUGACGGCAGGCACGAGCUAGACACCAAAGCCUUCAUCUUCCAGGAACUCCACUUCUGGGUUUGGGAAAAAUUGAGCAAGACUGAGUACAACCACCGUACUCAACAAGACACACCCACAAGUGCAGAAUAAAUGCAAGGGAGUACAAGGGGGUUAUAAUAUAAGGGGUUAGGGUUUGCAGUAAACAGGAUUUAAAAGACACUUAGUUGCCCAAAGAUAUUUUAUAAAGACGAUCCUAGAGCUAUACAAGAUUAUUAAUCAAGGCCGUGAACCCACACGAACCUGCCUUAACCCAAGGCCUACGAUGAUUCAGACUGAAUUGGCAACCCUACCCUGGGUCCCAGCUCGUCCCAAGCCAACCCAGGCCAACCAUUCCACAUUUUAGUUGUUAAGCAGGUUUUAAGAAUUAAAACACUAACUUGGGUACAUUACUUGGCUUGCCCAUAACCGAGGGCGCGGCUAUUCGAAUAGAUUAUACUCUGAUCAGAGGUGUACAUCUUUACCCACAAGACACAUCUUCCUCACGUGUAACCACGUGCCACAUACCACCACGGUAUACGGAUGGAAGACGUGACAUAGUUUCCAACCCAUCCUAGCCAUAGACAAGAGUACCGACCCAACCCCACCUACGGCCGGAACCUCCGGGACAGGUAGGCAGGACUGAGCCCCUAGCAGCAGGACACCGGCCCUGUGCCAUGACAUCUCGACUACCGGGCCGCAGCUCAUGUAGCCUUCAUUUGCCCUAGAGAUGUCCAUCGACCCCUGACUUCGUCCAUCUCCAUCCGUGUACUUUUGUUUAUAACCAGACUGAGCCACAAACUAAGCCUUACCCACUAGACAUGUGGAAGUACGGUAGUGCUUUGCAACAGAGGCCCGAAGACCGGUCCUUAUAUGGCCGAGGUGCUACUAUCAAAACCAUGCACCCCGAGCCCAACCUAAAACCAUUUUGAGUGUUUUGAAUAGAGGGGGAGGUGUGAAUCCAAUUCCACAAUAAUCCAACCAUUCCAUAGUGUCCAGGUGGUGAGAAUAUUCCCAAAGUCUAGAGUUAUAAAACCACCUAAUGUUGCGUAAUUAAUCAGCGAAGCAUCUACCUAAAAUCAUACUAGUGGUACCAUGAGUAGAGUGUCCACUAGUUGGGGUUUUGUUUAUUCUAGGGUGAACAAGGAAAUAAUAACAAUAACAAUAAUAAGGUCAUAACAAAGGUAAAUAGGCAUGGCUAGAUAAAACAGUGAUAACGCGGGAAUUUAAAUAAAGCGGUAAUGCAAUAAUUUAAAUCAAAAUAAUUUUAUAAACUGGGAUUCAAUAUGUUCAAGGAUGAUGUGACUUGCCUUGCUCGCUUUCCCAAACGUCGGCUUCAACCUCCACGAAGAGCGGAUCUUCCGAAGCUGCAUCGUCUACACGACCAACGGAAAAGAAAAGGCUUUUACUCUAAUAAACUCCAUAUAACAAGCAGGAACAAAGCACAAAAAUGGGUUCUUGACUUCUUAAGGAAAAAUUAGAGACUUGAACGGUCCAAUUCCGAGUUCAAAUGGCCAAGUUAUGGUCAUUUGAAGUUUAUAUGCUCUUUAAAUGAAUAUUUGCGAAUUUCUUCACUUAAAUUUUAAUUUUAAAAGGGUUUAUUGCGUCAGCCGAGGGGAGGGGGCGCGCGGACCGGGUCCACGGGAGUGGGGCCCACGCGGCAGCCUCAUGGUCCACGGUGGACCGGGUGCACCCGGGCUCACACCGGCCGGCGCCGUGGGUCCCACGCGUCAGCCGCACCCGAGGGAGCGGGCGGCUGACGGCCGGGCCCCACGCGGCAACCACUCGGCGCGCCCGAGGGCAGCCAAGCCGGCGCAGCCGGCGGGAGGCGGUGCCCGCGCCCCUAUGGUCGGCGGCGGCGGCCAUAGGCACGGCGGAGCGGCGGCCGAGAGAGGGGAAGGGAAGGGGGAAAAGAGGCGGCGGUCCACGGCUCACCCUAGGUCGACGGCGACGACGAAAAAGGCGGCCGGAGCGGAGGAAGGCGGCGCCGCGGCUCGGGUCGACGGGGUCGACGGCGUUCCGGCGGUCGGCGAGCGAAACGGAGGGGUGGACGAGGUCGGCGAGGAUGCGGCGAAGCCGAAGGAGGCGGCGCCGAGGUGGGAGGUGGUCCGGGGCGACGACGGCGGCGGACCGGAGCUCGGCGGCGACGGCGGAGAGAGAGAGCGAUGGCGCGAGCUCGAUUCCGGCGAGGAGGAAGGGCGGCGAGAGGCGGAAACGGACGGAGGAGGUGCGGGGAGGGUUUAAAUAGAGUCGGGGCUAGAGAGGGCGGCCGGGGAAGGAUGGAAACCGGCGCGGGAGGUCGGCCGCCAUCAAUGGCGCCGGCGAGAUUUGCGGGGGCAAGUCCGCCCGUUUGAACGCGAGAGAGAGAGGGAAAAAUGGGGGGAAAGGGAGAGGGAAUCACGGGGAAUAAUUCCCCCCUAUUGAUUGCACGCGGGGACGACGGGAUGCGGCGGAUUCGGCGGCGGCGGCGGCGCUAGGGCGCGGGCGAGGCGGCGGGAGCGGCGGGAGGAUGGGGAUGACUGGUGGGCCCCACCCGUCAGCAAGGGUGGCGGGCGGGCCCGCCCGUCAGCGGCGCGCGCGCGGGGAGAGGCCGAGUGGGCCGCGGGGAGAGGAGAGAGGGGGAGGGAGAUGGGCCGAGCCGGCCCAAGAGGGGGAGGGAGGGAAAGGGGACCUUUAGGGUUUUUUUCUUUUUAUAAAACCAUUUUAACUUUGUUUAUUUCUUAAUAAUUAUUAUUUGUGCUCUGAAAAUUCCACUAAAAUUUAUUUACGCAUUUUAGGCUUUUAGGAAAUAUACAAAAUUCCUCCAAGCCUUAUUUGACUUUUAACUUUGCACAUUUUAAUUUUUGGAGGCUUUCACACAGAUUUUAAUUAUUCUAGGUAUAAUUUAGAGGAUGCAUUUUAGAGUCGUUUUGGGACGUGACAAUCUGCACGUUCACGGCUGGUUCACCUCCCGCCCUACUCGAUCUCAUCAUGGGCAGAUCUGUGGCAACAGUUUAUCACCAACUUCCAAGGUACAUACAAGCGCCACGCAAUCGAGGACGACCUACACGCGUUGACACAGAACCCGGGCGAAUCAUUGAGGGACUAUAUUCGGCGCUUUAGUGAGUGCAGAAAUACGAUCCCCGAGAUCAGCGAUGCUUCCGUGAUCCACGCUUUCAAGUUUGGUGUCCGAGAUCGCUACACUACCCAGGAGUUGGCGACAAGACGGAUCACAACUGCUCGUAAGCUAUUCGAGAUUGUCGAUCGAUGCGCUCACGUGGACGACACCCUGAGACGCAAGAACGACAAGCCGAAGACAGCAGGAGAGAAGAAACCAGCCAAGGAUGCACCUGAGUCAAGCAAGAAGAAGAGUAGCAGGAGUGGGUGUUAACGACCAAAUUUGGUAAUCCAAGGAUCGGAUGUGGAGGAGGAAUUGAGACGGAGUUCGAGAUAGAGAUUGUCCCGGAAACAGAGUGUGCAGAGUUCGAGUCGGACAGGGUUAGCCGAUUGAGCCGAAUCCAACAAUAUGACACGACACGUGUUGUCGGGUUAGGUUAACGUGCUUCAUGAUGGUUGCCACGCAUGGAUAGAGUCCUGAGAAGGCAAUUGUAUCUAUUAAUUAGGAUAUUUCAUGUAAUUUACUUAGAGAUAUGUUUGGGCAAAAGUCUGCCGCAAAGACUUAUGGUAUCUUAGAGUUUGUUAGAGAUAAGAGUCGUGUCCGAUAAGGACAUAUCUUGUAAUUCUCGGGUAUAAAUAGACCCGAGGCCCAUGUAAUCAAACUAACACACGUUCAAUACAAUCUCGGCGCAUCGCCACCCUUUUUUGCUUUCAUUUUGUUUCGACGAGUUAUUGCUUUCGGGUUGAGCUGCAUCGGUUUCGAUCUUCAACGAGAGGUAAAACUUGUUAUGGCGGCUUGCGUUCUUGGGAUUAGUGUUUCCAUCUUCAUGAUACUCUAAUCUUGUUUAUGUAAUUCGUCGAGUUAUCAUAUAUCUUACAUAAUCUCUAGCUAUAUCGUUAUCUAACCUACAAUCGGCUAACAUCUGUCAGUAGAAAGCAGCCGAUUAGGUUAAAUAUCGAUGUUGGUUUAGAUUAUAUAAGGUAUCCACCACUCUAUGACACAUCCAACGGCUUGAUUGUCUAGAUAUUGUCCUUCUUUUCAUACUUAUAGCUACAUCAGUUGAGUUUGAUCUUAGGAGUCAUGAUUAGAAUCUCAAUCUAUAGCCUAUCUUUGGUUGCCGAUUAUGGUAGUAUUGAUGUUUCAGCCGAUCUUACAUUUAUUUUAUAUGCUUGAUUGACAUGUUAAAUAUGCCCUUUAUGCUAGGAUCUUGUUGCAUUUAAGUAUAUUAGGCUCUCCGUUUGGUAUAUUUUAUUUGCUGUGAUAUCUUAAUAUAGAGUGGUAUCGGAGUAUUAGCUGAUACAUGCUAGAUCUAUCUGAUCGGCUAUGCUAUGAACACAUAUAGUCUCGUUAUUAAUAUAUAUUUCGAUCUAAGUGAUUUAUAUUGUCUCGGCACGGCGACCGAUCUAUCCCAAUCACUUGAUUUAAGUAUAUAUCGAUAUAAAGACUAUAUACCGUUAAUAUCUACAACCGAUCGAGUAGAUUUAGUUCUUUCUUACUUAUUAAUGAAUGCCGAUCGAUGCACUAUAUGACAUCGGCUUAAAGAUGAAUGAUAUGUCAUCGGCACCUAGCUGAUCGGCUAUCGUUUAUGGAUUUAACCGCGGUUUCUUUGUCUUUAUUUAUUGUUGAUUGCAGGAUCAAAUCAGCUGGCACGCUCAUACAUCUAAAGGCAAGUUUUGGACCUACACUGGAGUUAAGCAGAUCUCCUAGGCCUUGUGUUUUUACAUCAAUAGUGGGAAAAGGAAGGCUCAAACAGAAGUCUUCGCAGCAGAGUAUGCGAACCCACCCAAGCACCCAGACCCACAAGGCGACGACACGAAGAAAAUAUGGUGCCCUAUACACAAGUCGGAUAAGCACUCUCUUGAGACUUGUUUCGUCUUCAAAAAGGCACUCACAAAGCAACUAGCGUUGGAGAAGGGCAAGCGAGUAAGUGUAGUCGAGAAGGCCGCAGAAGCAGCUACUCAGGACUCAGACUCAGCCUACCCAGACUCCGACCUCCAUGUUUCGCACAUCUUCGGAGGUUCCACGAUGUACUCCUCAAAGCGAGAGUACAAAAAGGUGGAGCGCGAAGUUUGUUCAACAUGGCAGGGGGCUACAUCCAAGAUGAAGUAGUUAGAGCAGAAGAUCGAAUUCUCAGAGGCAGACCACCCCAAGACUGCUGUUACUCCAGGGUGAUAUCCGAUCGUGGUCGAGCCCACUAUUCGGAACAUCAAGGUCGCACAGGUCCUCAUCGAUGGCGGCAGCUCCAUUAACCUACUCUUCGCCAGCACCUUGGACGCGAUGGGGAUCCCACGAAGCGAUUUGACGCCUACUGAUCAACCCUUCCACGGAAUUACUCCUCAGUCAUCGUCCAAGCCAUUGGGCAAGAUUAUGCUACCUGUGACUUUCGGCCAAGCAAACAACUUCCGAACAGAGCAGAUCACCUUUGAUGUCACUGAGUUUGACACAACGCAUAUAAUUCCAUCAUCGGGAGGACUGCACUCGCGAAGUUCAUGGCCGCAUCUCACUACGCAUAUCAAGUGCUCAAGAUGCCUGGGCCAAAGGGAACAAUCACUAUUAAGGGAAACGCGAAGCUAGCGGUACAGUGCAACAAGCGGAGCCUCGACAUGGUUGAGCAUACUCCCAACCCGCCUGCCACAGCUGAGCCGUCCAAGAAAGUGAGCAAAACCAACAAGACACUGAAGCCAGAUGGCGCAAUCAAGAUUGUUCUGCUCUCCAGUGCCAACCCCGACAAGACUGUCAAGAUCGGGGCGUCACUAGAUGAGAAAUAGGAAUUCGCGCUCAUCACCUUCCUUCGCGACAAUGUAGACGUGUUUGUUUGGUAGCCGUCCGACAUGCCGGGGGUCCCUAGGGAGGUGAUUGAGCACAAACUCAUGGUGCGACUCGAUGCCAAGCCAGUAAAGCAAAAACUGCGGAGAUUCGCACCAGAUCGGAAACAAGCCAUACGAGAAGAGCUCGACAAGCUUCUCAAAGCUGGUUUCAUCCUAGAAGUUCUCCACCUAGAGUGGCUAGCCAAUCCAGUCAUGGUGCGCAAGGCCAACGGGAAGUGGAGGAUGUGUGUCGAUUUAACCGAUCUUAACAAGGCAUGUCCGAAGGAUCACUUCCCUCUUGUCACACCCUGAUUUUCGUCUUAGGAUUUAUAAAUUAUUUAAUAAAUUAUUAAUGGAAUUUAUAUUAAAUGUUCUUUAAUUUACAAGUAAAGUUAAAUGUGGGAAAUAAAAUUUUCUAAAUAUAAAGCAUGGAUGGAUUUAAUUUUUAUUAAAUUCUCCAUGGUUAAUUAUACUCUCUGGAAUUUUCUCGGAUUUUUCGGAGCUCAAUUAUUAAUUUUAAUCAUACAAAGAGAAGUUCAGCAAUUAUUUAAAUAUUAAAUUAAUCAUCAAAUGAUCUAAUUAUAAUUGUUAAGUGAUUUUCUUGUUUAAAAAUCCUUAAAUUAUAAAUUGUUGUUUAAAAGGAAUUAUUAGAAAUGAUUUUAAAAGCUUAAAAGAGAAGAUCUAAUUUUAAUUUGCUAAAUCUCAAUAUAAAAUUGGGUUAGAUAAAAUUUUAUUAAAUACUAUGCUUGCUCCUCUAUUUUCUAGAUUUUUCUGGGAAUUAUUUGAGCAAUGGAAGUAUUUUUAAUAAAUGAAACAUCAUUUCACAAUUUAUUUUUAUUGAAAAAGUUCAAAAAGCCCUUCCUUAGUUGUUGGGCCGAAUUCGGCCCAACUCUCUUUCUCUCUCCGCGCGGCCGAACAGGCCCAUUUGGCCCAGCCGAGCCGGCCGCCCUCCUCUCUCUCGUGUCACCGACAUGUGGGGCCCACAUGUCGGUAGCAUCUUCUACCUCCAGCCGCCGGCACAGGCCGAGCCCAAGCCGUCGCCCGAGCCGCUUUCUUCUCCUCUCAAAUCCGCUCCAAUCCGGCCUCUUUUCUUCCGGAUUUUUGAGGGGUUUUGAUCCUCUCGUUCUCCUCUAUCUCUUCCCCCAAGUUUUGGAGCAAAUCGUUGUGUAUCUUGUUCGAAUCAAACUCGUUUUCGAGUUUAUCUCCAAAACCGAGUUUUGAUUUUCUCGGAUCGAUUCCUCUUGUUUGGAGCCCGAUCUCUUCAAUCCAAGGCUAUAUAAAGCAUCCCCUCGUCGCCCUCUUUCGUUUGCCCCCUCUCUCGUCCUCUCCCGUGCACCGUAGCGCCGCCGCCGCGUGCACUUAGCCGCCGCCGUCGCCGGCCGGUCUUCGGUCGCGUCGCGUCGUCGCCUCCGCCGUCGCCGCCGCUUGCUGUCGCCGCCGUUAGGUACGCCGUGGUGAGGAGAACCCCGGCCGCCACCUCUCCUUCGCCGCCGGCCGCCGCAGCUCGCCGUCGCCGUUCAACCGAGCCGCCGCCGUCGCCCUUCUCGUCGCCGGCCGUCGUCGUUCGUCGUUUGUCGUCGUGGUGAGUACCGUCGGGUUCGUCUCGUCGUCCUCUUCGCGUAGGUGCUCUCCAAUCGCCCGGCCAAGGUCCCUAGCUCCGGCGAGGUUGCCGCCCGAGUCGGCCGGCCAUGGAUGACGUCAUGCUGACAUCAUCGAUCUCCUCUUUUUCCUUUUUUUUUAAUAGAUUAAAUCUUCGGAAAAUCAUAUCUAAAUAACCGUAGAUCCGUUUCAGGUGGUUCAAGUUGCUAAAUUUUUCUAAAAUAAAGAUCUACAUAUUAAAAUUGUCCAUAAAUUGAAUUAAAUUUAUUUAAUUCUUUUUAAAUGGGCUUUAAUUAGAUUUAAUCUUGUAAAAUUCAUAAUAAAUUCUUUUGAAGUCAGAAUGAGGCCGUUCAAGUCUCAUAAUUCAUCUAAAAUUAUGAUCUACAUGUUUGUUUACUUUAUAUGUAUUGUUUAUUUGGUUUUUAUUAGUCUUUUUCUUCGUUUUGCGUGUUAGCUUGUCGUUUCCGUCGUUGCGAAGGUUCGUGAGUGCGUCGGAAGUGAUCAAGAAGAUUAAUUGAAGACCGAUUAUUGCAAGGCAAGUCACACAGAUCCUAAACACAAUCCUUUGAGCAUGUUGAUCCUAUAUUUAAAUUCUCUAUUUAUUUCAACUGUGCAUUUAUUUUUGAAUGUCACCGGGUGGUGUGAACCUAUUCCUUUGUUAUGGCCAAUUUGCAUUGAAUGCCCUAUUCCUUGAUACCUUGGGUAAUAAAUUGAGUAGCUUGAACCUUAUGUAUUGGUUUGGUUCAGCUAAAUGUUAUAUAUAUAAUUGCUUAGCAAUGCUUAGAAACAUUAGCUCACUAAUGGGAUGAGUCAUAUAUACUACAUUAUUAUUUAUGGUUACAUUAAAUGGUAGCUCACGAUGGUUAAUCGUGUGAUGAUAAUUAAUUGAUAAUUAAAACCUGGUUAAGGUGGGUUGUGAGCAUGUGGUUUUGACGGUUGUGCUCAUGACAAUUAAGGACCGGUUCGCGAGCUACUGUUGUGAAACAUUAACCGUACCAACCACAAGCCAGCAUGGGCAACGGCUUUACCUUUUGUAUAGCAUGAUUCAUUGCGGGGUGCCAGACUGAGAAGCGGCGAGAAGUCCGUGGGGGUCGCUGGGGAGUCCAUGCCUCUGGUUGUAGAGGGGGUGAUUAUGAUCCAGGAAUGGUGCACUGUGGUGAGUUGUGUUAUGCAGAGGGUAUUGUCACAGCCUCUAUUCGGGUACUUUCCAGUAUCGCGACGCAUGGUAGACAUGAUGCUGAGGCUGUGUCUUGUGGGUACAGUGGUACACCUCUGGCCAGAGUAAAACUAUUCGAAUAGCCGUGCCCGCGGUUAUGGGCGAGUUGAGCAAUGUUUUUCGUGAUUAGUCUCACACCUCUCACAAUAAUUAUGGAUGUUAUAACUGGUAAUAAUUUGCUUAGCUCCUGGUUUGGAGUUAGAUCUGUACAGCCGGGUACGGUUGUUCAGGAUGGUUGGGCCUGUGCAGCAUGGGUGUGCUGUUCAGUGUUGAUUAAAAUUUCUGAUUAAUUACUCCACUGUUUUACUUCUCUUAAAUCUUUGCUAAAUGCUGCUUUUGCAAAUGAGCCGAUAUUAUGCCAUCCUUUGGUAUCCUUGUGCACUUGCAUAUUUGCUGUGUGGCUUGCUGAGUAUGUCAUAUGCUCACCUUGCAAUAAUCAAUCAACCUCAGUUGAAGAAAAAGGAUCCAGAAGGAGAAGACGUUUGGCUUAUACCCCAGUUGAGCUGCCUGUGGGAGUGGAGCCGGAGCUUCGCUAGAUUUUAUUUUCCGCUGCAGUUUUCUUCUUGAUGAGGACUAAGUGCCUCAUAAGUAAGUAUUUAUCGUUUUAGUUAAUUUGAUGAAUCUGUAUAUUAAAUUGUCAGUUUGUGUACCUCGGUUGAUUCCUGGACGAGGAUUUUAUGCACAAAUUAGUUCGGAAAUUACUAGUGAAUUUCCGGGCGUGACAAGUUGGUAUCAGAGCCAUCUCGACUGUAGGAUAAGCCAAGUGGUCAAACCUUAAGGACUAAUUUUCCGAAAACAUAAUUUGUGAAAAAUUUUCCUUUCUUCCUUAUCUAGAAUUCUUUGCAAAUUGUUUCAUUGUCUACUCUCCUCUCUCGUUCAACUUGAGUAGUUCUGAAACUAGUGGUUGAAACCUGAAGACGCC
RNAcentral lists this long non-coding RNA (349173 nucleotides) under Oryza sativa (Asian cultivated rice). Its description in RNAcentral is "long non-coding RNA (OSAT_LNC000954)". The stretch from base 175360 to 175568 matches the Rfam family "MIR812 microRNA precursor family". Lineage: Eukaryota; Viridiplantae; Streptophyta; Magnoliopsida; Poales; Poaceae. The record is from RNAcentral.